This 332212-nucleotide long non-coding RNA is filed under the name Arabidopsis lyrata. RNAcentral describes it as "long non-coding RNA (ALYR_LNC002043)". The stretch from base 153419 to 153534 matches the Rfam family "mir-172 microRNA precursor family". The record is from RNAcentral. Lineage: Eukaryota; Viridiplantae; Streptophyta; Magnoliopsida; Brassicales; Brassicaceae.
UUGUUGAGAGAAACGCCGCGGAAAGAGGAACGGAGAUGGGGAGAGGAAGAGGGAUUGGAGGAAGGAGGAGUGAGGAGACGAGAAGGUGAUGAGAAUGCGAGGAUUGUGUUGGUGGCAGCCAUGGCUGCUGCUGCUGCUGUGAUUUUGGUUUUGACGUUUGGAGGAAAUGAGUAGGCAAAAUAGUGUGAAUUGAGAGAUGAGGUUUUUGUUGGUGUGACUUGUUUCGGCCCACACAAAUACAAAUUGAUUUUUGAGUGCUUUAACAUUUUCCCAACUUAAGAACUUUUUUCCUUUUCUUUUUUUGUUCAAAACAUACUUUAGGACUUAAAUUUGAUUUAUUUAUUAGACACUUUCUUCACUUUAUUGCUAGUUUUUAUUGGCAAAUUAGUUCUUAAAAAGUUAACUAUAUGUUACUAUUUUAAGCGAAAACGUUAACUGAAACACAUAAUUUGGUUGGUUUAGAGACAAAUUUGAGUAGAAAUUAUCUAAGACUCGAUGCAGAACGAGGUUGUGGUCAUAGAGAAAAAUCAACUACAAGCCACCGUUUGUCCUCUCUAGUUAAUCAUUCAAAGCUUUUUCUCUCUAAAACGUUUUUUUAUCUCUCUAGAUUUUUUUCUUUGUGUCAAUGGUCACAAAGAUAUCUCUUAUGUCUCUCUACAAUUAUAUAUUUUAUAGACAAAGGAAGAGAAACCACAUAAACACUGAUGUCAUAAUUAAAGAGAUACUAAUGGUUUUUGGUAAUUUUUCCAAAACUAAACCGGUUCAGUAGACUGCCAAAUCAUGGAUGCAAACCGACCAUAAACCAACCAUAUAUAAAAAAAAAAACCUCUUUUACAAAAUUUAUUAGAAUUUUUAAAUCUUCACGAGGUCUAGAUAAAUUUUAAAUCCACUAGAUGAGUACUCAAGAUUGUAUACGCUAAGAGUUAAAUUAACGUAUACAAGUAAAAUUCAAUGUUUUAGUUUAAAACCGAAUAACAAACCGACAUCAUCUCGAUGAGGAGUUCUAUAAAUAAGCUAAUGGGCCGGCCCGUUAUGGCCCAAAGAUAGACAAAAAAAUAAAAACUAAGCCCAAAAGCAAAAGCUUUGUGUCCUCUCUCAUGGAAACUUGUUGAAAACACAAAAACCCCAACUCAGAGCUGACAAACAAACAACACAGAGCUCCGUCAUGAAUUUCCCUCGUCCACCGCCCGUCCCCGGCUUAAUCCGCCGGCCAGUCGGUCCCUCACCACCACCUCCAUCACCAGAUCCACCUCAAUUCCUCUCUCCAUCAAAUCAUCACCUCCCUUCUUCUUCAAACGGAGUCGUCGUCGUAGGCUUCCUCUCACGAAGACCAGACGAUUCAUCACACCUUAUAAACCAAGUUCUUGACAACAACGUCUUCGGUUCUGGAAAAUUGAACAAGAUCCUUACCGUUGAUAAACCGGAUUUUCAAGAUUGGUUUAGGUUCCGGAAGAUUUGUUAUUACCACGAAGAAGAUAAAGGAAUCGUCUUUGUGCAAUUCUCACCUAUCAUUUGCCCUGCUUUAUCGAGUUCUUCUGACUCGGGUUUUGAUUCUGUUUUGGAGGAACGAGAGUUCGGUGAUCUUCAGGGUUUGCUAUUUAUGUUCUCUGUGAGUUUUCUCUUUAGCUAAAGCAUCAAUCUUUCACUUCAAUUGCAACUUAUGUUACCAAAGAUAGGAACUUUUGAGUAUUUUGAACAUAGAGGAUUGAUUUAGGACGCUGAUAAUUGUUUUUUAAGCUGGAUUAACAAUGUGGGUUAUAUCGGUUUGUCUUUAGUUAGUUUAGACAUCUUGAUGAGGAAAAGAACUAGAGUAGGCAGAAGUUGUCUUGUUUAGUUUCUUAAUGAUUCUAGCAAUGCAGGUUUGCCAUGUUAUCAUAAACAUUCAGGAGGGGUCGCGCUUUGAUACUCGGCUUUUGAAGAAAUUUCGGGUUUUGCAAGCUUCGAAACAAGCUUUAGCCCCAUUUGUUAGGUCGCAGACAGUUUUACCUUUGACAUCAAGACUUCAUUCAUCGUCAAAUAAUUUUUCACAACUACACUCAGCUUCGUCGAGAGGUGGGGGCAUUGUAAGUCGCAGUGGUUCAUCGGUGUCUCUCAAGUCUGGUGGAGGCUCCUACACUUCUCUGUUCCCUGGACAGUGUAAUCCUGUUACAUUGUUCGUAUUUUUGGAUGAUUUCUCAGAUAUGUUGAAGUCCAGUUCUAAUGUAGAGGAUUCAACAACCACUUCAUCUGCUAAUGAUCAGUCUGUGAACACAGGAAAGCUUACUAGGUCAGAGUUACCGACGAAAAAUUCUGGUUCUGUAGUUGUUUUAUCUCGCCCAGGAAGUAAAUCUGAAGGGGGGUUGAGGAAAAAAUUACAAUCAUCUCUCGAAGCACAAGUUAGGUUUUUGAUCAAGAAAUGUAGAACGCUCACAGGUUCGGAUAACAAUCAUGUCGGUUCAAGAAGUGGGAGCAUUUCGAGUUAUGCACCGUUAUUUUCGCUGGAUGCAUCAAAGGCUGUUAUUCUCUUAGACCGAUCAAAUAAGAAAGGAGAGGCUUUGGAGUUUGCCUCUUCUCUUGUUGAUGAUGUUUUGAAUGGAAAGGCUAAUUCAGACUCUCUGUUGCUUGAAAACAAUUGCCAGAUGUCUACCAAAGAAGAUGUGCUAUGUGUGAAAGAGUUCAUCUACAGGUGCUCUGAUAUUUUAAGAGGUAAAGGAGGAUUGGCUGCUAAUUCAGGUAGUGCUGGCGUCGGAAUGGUCGCAGUUGCAGCAGCAGCAGCUGCUGCCUCAACUGGAUCCAGAAAAACGUAUAGUGCACCACAGCUGCCACAAUUGGAUGAAUGGCUCUCUUGCGGUCAUCAAAUUUUAGAUGGAAUUAUAACUGCGAAAAUUGUGUCUACUAAUGAAAUUGACCAACGCAAGAAGAAAUCUCGUGAAAGAAACAUGUCCCCUGUGAAAAAUGAAGCAAGGUCAUCUAAGGGCCCAGAAACUUUGGAUAUUGCUGUCUCUUUGUUAGGAAGUGGAAAAGGUCUGAAUUUGAAGUUUUCAUCCUUAUGGUGUGAAAGAGCCUUUCCGGCUGCUAAAGACGUGUAUUUAAAAGAUCUCCCCUCAUGUUAUCCUACGUUAGUGCAUGAAGAACACCUACAAAAGGCUUUAUAUACUUUCCGCUCAAUGGUCAGAGGACCAUCAGUGCAGAUUUUCACAAAGAGGUUACAGGAUGAGUGCAUAUCGAUAUGGGAAUCCGGGAGGCAGCUUUGUGAUGCUACCAGUUUAACCGGUAAACCAUGUGUGCACCAGAGGCACAAUGUGGAGGAGCAAUUUCUCCCUGGGGCGGAAAUCAUGUCACAUUCCAGUGGUUAUGUUUUUCUUCACGCAUGUGCUUGUGGCCGUUCACGGAAAUUACGUUGUGAUCCUUUUGAUUUUGACUCGGCAAAUAUUUCUUUUAACUGCUUUCCAGAUUGUGACAAACUUCUUCCUAGUGUUAAGCUUCCUGAAAUAGCUCAUGCAGGGCCUAUAAUAUCAUCUUCAUGGAGUCUAGUUCGAGUUGGUGGUUCGAGAUACUAUGAACCCUCAAAAGGUUUACUUCAAAGUGGGUUUUCUGCAAUCCAGAAGUUCCUUUUAAAAUUGGUACUCUCUUCGCAGAAAGAUGAUGCUCCAAAUGAUUUGCUGGUUGGGGAAUCGGAGAAAGCUUGUAUAUCUAGGGCAAAUGUAACUAUGGCUAAGACUAUCAGAACUAACAUUGAUUCUGCACCGGUUACCUUGGCCACAGUGACACGUGGAGAAUCUGUUGGUAAUGGUAGUAUUGGUGACAAGAAAAUUAGUUUUGGUAGAGGCCUUCCCAAUUUACUAAUGAGAAAGCCUUUCUCCGAGGUUGUUGCUGGAUCAAAGAGUACAGAUUUGUUAUUUCCUCCCCUUCAACCGAGCAGGCAGCCUCCUCCGGCCUUAGAAAAGGUUGUCAAGCAAAAGGUUUGGAAUGGUCUGAGUGAAGAGAGCGUUCAGGAUGCUUGUAAUCAAGAAUGUCAAGAGUUUAAGGACAUUUCUCGUGAUCAGGAAACCUUAGGCAUGUCUAGAGGUAUAUCUGCGACAGGCAAUGACCUUCCGUUGCAAAAUGGUAGUAAUCCUGUGCCAGUAAACAUGAAAGUUGCUGAGAAGGUUACGUCAAGCCCCGUGCAGAAACCUCUGACUGCUUACAUAGGGUUUGAGCACGAGUGCCCCAGUGGUCAUCGCUUUUUAUUGAAUACAGAGCAUCUUGCUAAGCUUGGCCCUUACUCUGUCCCUGAAGAAUAUUUUGAUCCUAAUUCUGCAGAAAGUUCAAAAAUUAAGACUGACACUUCAAAGCUGCAGAAAAAUAUUGUUUAUGGUAAAGGACGCCGAAAGACAAAUAGGAUGGCUUCUGGAGUGAAUAGGAUGAAAAACAUGGACAGGUCAAACCAAGUGGUCUCAAAAGAUAAUAUUUUUCCUGGAAAAAAAGGGAAUAGAAAUUCAGCUGAUAGUGAACCCAUCAAUCAACAUAUACAUAACCUUGGGGCCAAUAACCAAGAUAAUAACGCUGAAGACUUUGGGGUAGCUUUUUCUAUGCUGAAUAGAAACUUGCCGAUAUUUAUGAAUUGUCCACAUUGCUCAGCUGCUUUUGGAAAGAAAGAUUCUUCAGAUAUCAAGUAUGCGGGUACAAUAUCGCAGCUUCAAAGGAUCUUUCUGGUAAGAUAUGGAAGUAGCAAAUUUUCCUUAGUGAAAUUUGUACCUGGGGUGUUUAAUUUGUCACAUUAUAUUUUCUUAUUGCAAACGUUUUGCUUCCAGGUUACGCCUCAGUUUCCAGUAGUGUUGGCAACUUGUCCAGUGAUAAAGUUUGAGGUACUUUUCGCACUCUGAGAGCUUAUGUUAAUCCUUGGGUGAAGGAAUGAAUAUCUUACAGAAUGAUGUCUUGUGAAUAGCAGAAAACAUUACGCUUAACUAUUUUAUCUCAGACUAAUUUACACGUCUAUAAGCUAUUUCUAGUGAUGGUUCAUAGUUCUUUAUUGUUUCUGUACUGAGAACCCAAUAACUGGAUCUUUUCACGUUCAUGCUCUAACCUAUAAUUUGGUCGAUAUUCAUGAAUUUCACAUAACCUCUGACGUUAUCUCUACUUCAGGAGUCAUGUAUACCUCCCUCCAUCAUUGGCCGUGAACAGAAGUUGCAGUUCAGCCUUGGAUGUCCAGUGAUUUUACCACCUGAUAGUUUUCUCUCUCUAAGAUUGCCAUUUGUGUACGGUGUGCAACUUGAAGAUGGAACACAACUUCCUCUUAUGCCGUCUGCACAAGAACCUGAGAAAACUGCCUGGAUUGUCAAGGGCACGGUGCUUCAGUUUCUAACAAAAGAGAACGAUCUCGGUGAAAAACUCCAGACGUGAUGUGAAUUUGUCUACGCCUUUCAAAUUAUCAUCACAGCGAUGCUUCUCCCAUGCUGUGCACCGAGCAUGCUCCUCUGAACCAGAAACUCUCGGUAAGUUAUUAUCUGAUGGGGAAUGAGAUUCCACUUAUUUCGGUAUCUGCACGCAGUAUCAUGAUUCUUCAGUUGCCUAUAAGAUGCUUUUGAAGUCGGGCUUAAAAAGUUGAAGCAUAGAGUGAACAGAUAGGUGAUAAGGGUCACUAGCCACGUUUCAGGUACUCUUCCUUGUGGCCUCUACUUCGAAUUUUGUUAAAUCUUUUAGUUUUAAUAGAGUAAGAUGGUCUACUGGUCUGGUUCAGAUAGCUUGGAGAGCAGAGGAGACAGUGCAAACCUCAGCCAUGAUUGUUGAAACAAGUUUCUGGGAUUGGGACAUCUGAUGACUGUUUAUAAUCCAAAUAAAUGUGCUUUUGAAGUUUCCUAUCUUCUGUGUGAACAAAGCUGUUUUCAUAGAAAGACAGUCUUCUUAUUUAAAGAAAUUUCUUUUUCUGGUAGAUUCUUAGUUGACUUCUUCUAUGGUUUAACUUGUAAGAAGCUGAAGACAUAUACUAUUUAUAGUGGAGAAACAACUCAAAAACUGUCUAAAACUACAUAUGUCUAUAGAUGUCCAAAGUGUGUUUUUUUAUAACGGCAUAACCUAUUAACAGCAUAUACAUCUGUGUGCCCUUGUUUACAAAUUGUUUCUCCUUUUUCACUCUCAAAAGGAACCCAACAUUUCUUUUGUUAUCGUCUUCCCCAUUUUCACAAGAACUCUCACAUAAGAUUUUAUAGUUAUGGAUAUGGGGAAUGGGACAGGACCCGGGAUGUCGGGGGCUUUUAGUGGAGGCGGCGACGAGAUGAUGGGAAUGGGAGGUGGCGGCGACGUAAUGACGGGAAUGGUAGGCGGUGAGGUUACGGAGAUGAGUCCUGAAGUAAGAUGGAUAUUUGAGAUGGCUUGGUAUGGUGAAACUGUAAGAGACGAUGGGUUGAUUUGCGAGGAGCAUCCCCCUAAGCUGUCUUCAGAUGGUAUUUGGGAGAAACUUAUUGUGAAAACGGUAGGUCUUUAUUUUUGGCAAUAUCGUCUUCCGAAGCUCGAGAUUGUCAUCUUGCUCGUCUUUUUCCUUUGGCAAGCCUUUAAUAUCCUGUUCAAGAAAUUGCGUCUUUCUGUUCCCAAGUUCUCCUCUAUGAUGCUCGUGAGUUCUUCUUCUUCUUCUUUUUCUUUUUCUUCAAAACUUGUGUGUUUGCUACUGACAAAAUCAUUGCUGCAUUGAAGGCUGGGCUACUCUUGAAUGUUGUAGUUACUUUAUCGGGAGACAACUCGCUCAUUGGGGAGAUCUUAGUCACCAAAAACAGAGUCGACAUAGCAGCACUCCUUGGAUCAUUUGGAUUCUUGAUUUUCUGGUUCCUCAAAGGUGUGAAAAUGGACGUCAAGAGAAUCUUCAAGGCUGAAGCAAAAGCAAGAGUCACUGGAGUUGCAUCGGUUACUUUCCCUAUACUUGUUGGCUUCUUCCUUUACUCGCUCAAAUCAGCUGAGAAUCGACCGCUCAGUGCCAACGAGUAUGACAUAAUGCUGCUAAUGGAAAGCAUCACAUCCUUCUCGGGGAUCGCAAGACUCUUGCGCGACCUCGGCAUGAACCAUUCAUCUAUUGGCCGGGUCGCUUUAUCCUCAGCCUUAGUCUCUGAUAUAGUUGGACUCCUGCUCUUGGUGGCGAACGUUUCUAGAGUUUCAAAGUCUUUUAAUGAUGGUCUGUCUAUACUUUUUGAGAUAUCCUUAUUUCUCGUCAUUGCGUUUGCGGCUGUGAGGCCGUUAAUGUUUAAAGUAAUCAAGCGGAAACGAGAAGGGAGACCAAUCGAAGACAAAUACAUCUACGGGAUUCUCGUCUUGGUUUGCUUAUCUUGUAUGUAUUGGGAAGAUCUCAGUCAGUUUCCUCCACUUGGAGCCUUCUUUCUUGGCCUCGCCAUUCCCAAUGGACCUCCUAUUGGAUCUGCAUUGGUCGAACGAUUAGAGAGCUUCAAUUUUGGUAUCAUAUUGCCUCUCUUCUUAUCAGCCAUUAUGCUCAGGACUGAUAUCACUUCUUGGAAAGGCUGUUUGACAUUCUUUAGCAGCGAUGAUAAGAAAUUUGCGGUUGCGUCUCUCAUCUUGCUCAUCUUCUUGUUGAAGCUCUCUGUCUCAGUGAUUGUACCUUACCUCUAUAAAAUGCCGUUGAGAGACUCUAUUAUCCUUGCCCUUAUCAUGUCUCAUAAGGGUAUUAUCGAACUCAGCUUCUACCUUUUCUCUUACAGCCUCGUGGUUAGUCUCUCAUCUUUCGAUUCUUGAUCAUGAUUAUGAUUUCUUGCAAAUAACAAAAAACAGAAAGAUUCAUUUUUUAUUUCUUCUGAUUGAUGAUUUGGUACAGAUGGUAAGCAAAGAUACAUUCUCAAUCCUAGUCUUGUCCAUUGUCCUCAACUCUGUGUUCAUACCAGUAGUGAUCGGGUUUCUCUACGAUCCAUCUAAGCAAUUCAUGUGCUACCAAAAGAGAAAUUUAGCGAGUAUGAAGAACAUUGGAGAGCUAAAGACUCUUGUGUGCAUCCAUAGACCAGACCACAUAUCUUCCAUGAUCAACCUUUUAGAAGCUUCUUAUCAAUCCGAAGAGAGCCCUCUCACUUGCUACGUGCUUCACCUCGUCGAGUUACAAGGUCAAGACGUUCCCACUUUGAUCUCACACAAAGUUCAGAAACUAGGAGUCGGGUCUGGAAAGAAAUAUUCCGAAAACGUCAUUCUCUCUUUUGAACAUUUCCACCGUUAUGUCUGCAGUUCCAUUUCCAUAGACACAUUCACUUGCAUCGCAAACGCGAACCAUAUGCAGGAUGAUAUUUGUUGGCUAGCUCUUGAUAAAGCUGUCACACUUAUCAUUCUUCCUUUCCACCGGACUUGGUCACUUGACCGAACAUCCAUCGUAUCCGACGUUGAGAUGACCCGAUUUCUCAAUCUCAAUGUCUUGAAACAAGCUCCUUGCUCUGUCGGCAUUCUUAUCGAACGCCAUCUCGUUAACAAAAAGCAAGAACCGCAGCAAAGCCUUAAGGUAUACUUACAAUAUACAUUUUAUUAUUUCCGCCUUAAAAACCAACCAUAGUGGUCUAGUGGUUUAGGACUCGCUUUGUUAGUCAAGUAUAGCGCCCAUGUUGGUCGUUGUAGACGCUUUUAACUAUAUAGAAAGACUAAGCACACGGAGCUAUUUGAUGACAGGUGUGUACAAUAUUCGUGGGAGGAAAAGACGAUAGGGAAGCUCUGGCCUUUGCGAAGCGAAUGGGCCGACAAGAGAACGUAACAUUAACAGUUCUACGCCUCCUGGCAUCAGGAAAGAGCAAAGAAGCGACAGGAUGGGAUCAAAUGCUGGACACAGUGGAACUAAGAGAGUUGAUGAAAAGCAACGAUGCCGGAACAGUAAAAGAAGAAACAUCAACAAUUUACUUGGAACAAGAGAUAUUGGAUGGAGCGGAUACAUCAAUGCUUCUACGUUCCAUGGCAUUCGAUUAUGAUCUUUUCGUCGUGGGAAGAACAUGUGGCGAAAACCACGAGGCAACUAGCGGUAUAGAGAAUUGGUGUGAGUUUGAGGAGCUUGGAGUCAUUGGUGAUUUCUUGGCCUCGCCGGAUUUCCCGAGCAAAACGUCGGUGUUAGUAGUGCAACAACAACGAACGGUAGUCAAUAAUAAUUAGAAACUGAGAAGCAUAUUUUUGCUUUGUGGUUGUUGUUGUUACAUAUCUCUCUCUCCUUUGUAGCAUCUACAACAAAAGUUUGAAAAUAAAAAUAAAUGUAUGACCACAUUUUUCAUUUUAUUUGGUUUUUUGAUUGCUACUCUUUUUUGGUAGAGCAGAAAGAAAUUUUUUGAAGAAUGUUUUAAACCUUAAAGGCGUGUCUAUAGACGUUGGGAUGCUUAGAAAAACCAAACCGAGGGCUGCUUUAAUCGGGUUUACUACAGUGGUCAUCCCGUGUAUAUCCGGUUACAUUCUAAUGAGGACUAGGGAACAUUUUGGGUAGUUGGCAAUGACGGAACUUCAGUACCAAGAAAUCAUUAUAUUGCAAAGUUUAUUGACAGAUCUCAAGAUCAAGCAUUCCGAGUUUGGACGAAUGGUUCAGUCUUGUGCCGCGGUCACUGACUUAGUAAUCUUUAUAAUGGCCUCCGGGACGGUUCUUUUAAAAGGACAAAAAGGUUUACCACAUGUUAUGGUUAUUGUUUCGUUAUCGUCUUCUUGGUCUACAUCGUAUAUAUGGCCGGAAAUGUUAUGGAUUAUCAAACAGACUCCAGAAGGCAGGCCGGUUAAAGAUGUCUACAUCUACUUGGUUAUGGCUUAGCUUGGCUAAUGAACAAUAAUAUGUAAAGUUUAAUUUCUCAAAACAGAUGUUUGACAACAAGAGCUUCACUGUCGUUGCAGCUUCAUCAGUACUUGUCAGCUCGCUGUUGAUACCGAUCGCGAUAGAAUUCAUGUACGAACCACAUCCUAUCUUUAGUAGUUACCGAGAUAGGAACUUGCUAACCUUGAAACAUGACUGUAAGCUGAAGACCCUUGUAUAUAUGCAUUCAUAAGCCUGACCACAUAACCUCCAUGGUCAACUUUCUAGAUGUUUUUAACCCAACACAAGAUUCACAAUUGGAAUGCAACGUUGUUCAACUAGGGGAGCUCAUAGGUCAAGCCAGUCCUACCUUCAUUUCCCACAAGAUGCAAAAGCCGAGGGUUGGAACACGCUCUUACUCCCGCAAUGUCAUAACUGCAUUCUUAAAUCUUCGUAGACAUUUCACCGAAGAGGCAAUGUCCAUUGACAUCUUUACAUAUGCAAGCUUGGUAGAUCACAUGCACGAGGACCCCUUUUGGCUUGCCCUUGACAAAAUUGUAGCUCUCGUUGUGCUUCCUUUUCACCGUUCUUGGUCUGUUGACCGCUCAACCGUGGUCACUGACGACAAGGCCAUGCAGAAUCUCAACCGUAAUGCCUUGAAAAGAGCGUCUUGCUCUGUUGGAGUCUUCGGCUACCGGAAACCUCUAUGGGAAUCUCAAAUGGACGGAUCAUGUUACAAGGUACUUGAAAAAACAUGUUCUAAUGAUGGCUUUAACCGAUUUAUUUUUUUGCGAUUUAGAGAUCUAAUCUAAUAAUGGCUUUAUAACUCAAAACCAACUGAUGAUUAGUAUCUAUUUUGGCUUAUAUAUCUUCUAUACUAGUGUUGGUCCAUAAGCACUUCGAUGUGUGCUCUUACAAGUUCUAAAUCGGUCUCAUGGUUCUAAUGUCAGGUGUGUGCAAUAGUUGUGGGAGGGAAAGACGAUAGAGAAGCCUUAGCAUUUACCAACCGUAUGAGGAGAAACAAGCAGACAAGCGUAACCAUCUUACGCCUCAUCCCUCAACUUACUACGGGGGAAAGCGAUGACUCGGUGCAGAAGUUGGAUUUCGAGGACAAAAAGGGGAUAAUGAACAAUGAGGAGGAUUCAAAUGAAAAUGAUUCCAUGAUAUGUAUCGAAAAAAGGGUCAAAGAAGGGGCUGAGACUUCAAUGAUACUAAGAUCAAUAGCGUAUGAUUAUGCUUUGUUUAUAGUUGAAAGUAGCAGCGGAAUGAAUAGCGCGGUUACGCAAGGAUUGAAUGAACGGACAGAGUUUGAGGAACUUGGAGCCAUCGGAGAUGUUAUAGCGUCAAAGGAAUUUCCUUCAAGGGUAUCUGUCUUGGUCUUGCAACAGCAAGACAAACUUAAGACUUGAGAUUGAUUAUAAACAAAACAUAAAAUUACUUCAUUUAAUCAUACAAUUUGUCGCUAAAUUACUCUAUAAGACGGUGUUUAUUCAAGAGAGAAUCAACAAUCUCGAUUACAUCAUCACUAGAAUUAAAAUUAGAUCCCUGAAAGUUAUGAAACAUGCAAGAAAGGUACACAAUCAAUGAGAUGCAGAACCGGAUUUUACUCACGUUAGAGCAAGCGUUACGGAAUCAAGUGAAUGGCUUGAUGAAUUCAAAACCUUGGUUUAGAAGUGAUCCAGUGAUCCACAGCUUCAGGUUAGGCAAGUUUAAGCUCUGUUCAAAACAUGUCCCCUGUUUCCACCAAACUCAGUAAGAAAACGUAUAUUCGGGACUUAUAAACAAGAAAAGUAGAAGGGAACAAGUUACUUUACAUCUAACGUAUAUGUUAAGAGGUAUCUGUCAGGAGAAGGAGAGCUUAGGUUUGAGUUUUGCACUUGGAAACUUGUAAGAGACUCCAAAGACUUGUAAAGAGAUGGAGCAACACCUUCUCCUUUAUUACAUACCAAUCUCACAUAAAACCCUUUCUCCUCCACUUGAAUAACAUCCAUCUAACACAUCAAAACACACAAAUAUUCAAGCUUUGAUGUUUCAAGAAGAUUGUUUGGUUUUUCGGGUUAUUACCUGAACGAUUUUCUUGGAAACCGGAGGAUUGAUACCGCGAAAAGGUUGAGUCUUUUGAGCAUCCGGAGCAGGUUCUUGGUACCCACCAGUAGAGUUUAAAGAAGCUUCAAGUCCCGCGAUAUCGGAUUUGAGUUUCUUGGCUUGUGAUUGAAGUUCUUGAACAUACGACACCGCAUCUCCAACGAUAGAUGCUUUAUCCAUCUACACACACAUCAUCAUCAUUAUUUACAGUUUCAUUACCAAAUCUUGUGUCUGAACAUGUUAUGAUUUACCUUAGUAAUAUUGGGAACAAGAGAUCUCAAUGCAUAAAGCUUAUCCUUCAUACGACCUCUCCUUCUUCUCUCAGAGAUCAAAGUCCUAGACCGAUCAGUCUUCGUCUUACGACUUCCAUCAUUAUUCGUCGUAGUGGCAGAGGAAUCAUCACCGUCGUUGUAAUCUUCUUCUUCUUCUUCGCCGUUGGCUCUAACACUCUCACCAUCAAAGCUACGGAAAGAUUCAGCGACAUUGGAGUCUAAGUCAGGCAGUUCGUCGAACAGGUCAUCGACAGGUGUUGGGAUGAACUGGUUCUCGUCUAUGAAACAUGGGCUGUUUUGUAAUGGACCAAGAUCGAAAUCAAGAACUGGGUUUUCGUCGAUGGCUUGAUGAUCACCUCGUAUGAGAUUUAUGAACUGAUCGAAGUUUGGAUCGACCAAGAAAUCGUGAAGUUCUAGAUCGUUUAUGGUUGACAAAGCGUUGACUCUUCCUUCCAUUUGUGUUUUUUGUCAAAUGAAGAGAAGACUGUUUCGAAAGUUUCUGACAACGAAAGAGAGACAAAAUGAGUUUAUAUAAUAAAUACACUUUCAUUUUUUGUGUUUCAGACAAUUUAAUUUAAAACUAUAAAAUGAGUUUAUAUAGAAACAAAUAUAAUAUGAGAUAGUGAUGUUUUAAAAAUUUUGAGUGUGAAGUAAACUGUAUUAAAGAUUAACAUAAUAACUUACGAAAUCAAUUAUAUAUAUACAUACUCUUGUUAUUAGAUUAUUCAGUUAACGUUCUUGAUAAUGUCAUGCAUGACCUGUAUAUUAUAUGUAUAAAUUAUGUUACUCAAAUGAUUAAUUUGUCGUGUUGCAUGACAAUUAUAUGUUCCCAUUGUUCUUCUUUAUAUUUUAUCAUUUGAAUUUUUUUUGUGGUGGAGGGGAUGCAGAUUAGAAACAAGAACAUAUAAAUAACAUACAUUUUUCAUUAUUGGGAAAUAUUUUUUAAGCAUACCACUUUCCAAAAAUAUGAUUUUUUGUCCAAUUUUCUAAAAUACCACAGUUACGGAUUUAUAAAUUUCUACAAUAUAUAAUGCAUGUUAUAAAAUAUUUAACGUUUAAUAAAAUUUUACAAGACUUUACAAAAAAUUUAUAAGACAUGCUAUAUAAUGGUAUUUUUGAAAAACUUUUCUCGUAGUGAUAUUUUUGAAAAAUGGUAUCAUAAAAGUGAUAUUUCUAAUACUUUCUCUUCUUAAUAUUUUUGUUGUCUAUGUGUGGUAUAAUCUUACUGUGAUAAAUCAUCUAUCCAUAAUAGUUAAAUAAAAAGAUAAAAUCAUUAAAAUAGCUGAAAUUCAAUCUUGUCCAAAUGACUCAAAAAUUAUUUUGCUAUCUGAAAAAAAAAUAACAUGUUUUUUUUUUGCUAUGAGUGCAAAUACUCUUUACAGAGGUGAUAUUUACUAUUUAGUAUAAAACGAAUUAGGAUAUAAAAGAAUUACACGGUUUUGUUUUAACCUUUAGAAAAAAAAACAAGAUUUAUGUUCUGUUUUGUCAGUUUUCCCCACCUAUUCCAAAAACAUUCAAUCAAAUUCAAAUUUAGAAAGAUUAUUUAUAAAAUAGUAUAAACACAAAAUAUAAAAUAUUCAUUACAAAUAUAUCAGACAUUCGUUUAUCAUAUUUUGGAUAAGAUUUGAUAAAUUUAGAAUCUUACAAAAGUGAAAGUUAAAACCAAAAUAAAUAAAUGUAAUCGACAUUCUCAUCAAUCUUGUUGGUGUUAGCUUGUUAGGCUAAGGCCUAAUCGGUUCUUUAUACUAAAAAUAGUUUCAUAUGUCAUCAGUGUAUGAAAGGAAUCAGAAGAGAAGUUUAUCCAUCCACUUCCUGUUACUAUAUAAUUGUUUUAUUUAGUUUAUGAAUAUAUUUAUAUAAAUAAUAAAUCGAUCAGACCGUAUUAAAAAGAUGUUCAGAAGCAUUAGUUUGAGUUCGAUAAUUUAGAAAAUAAUAUUAGACGUACAAAUGUCAGUGUACUCUUUAUAUUUUAGAUCCACAUGUAUUAUUAUUUUUUAAUGAUAGGAAUUAGUUUGCAAUCGGCUUAUUACAAUUGUAGAUGUCAAAAAUCCUGGAGAUGUGAUUUAAUGAUUGGAAUCACAAAAUUGGGGUCAAAAUCUUAGUUGAGAAAGCACAAAAUUGAGCUAUUGUGCAAGAAAAUAUGUUUAUCGGACUAAUAGUCUAGGUUGACUCAACUUAAGUCAUAAGGCAUUUAUCGGAUUUGUUGUCUAUGCAUUGUGACCAUUCGGUCAAUCAAAUCGUAUGAGAUUUGUUAAGUAAGUUUGGGGGUGGAUAAUAGAGAGUGGAAGCAUGUAUGGCUUACUUGUUACAAACUAGACUCUGGAUUAAGUAUUUGAGUCUUGAGAGGUAAACUCGGUUUAACUGUCACAAGCUAGAAUGUUAACAUAGUUAGUUAUAUGGCACGCUUUGUAAAAUCCAUAAUGGGUUGUUUUAACGGAUUUUUUUGGAAUUUGCAGAUGACUAUGGGGCAGAGUACAAGGUGUGAACUGAGGUUUGAUCUCAGUGUUUAAGUUGCUUUUAUAAUUCGCUUGUGCCAAAUUUCUUAAAGAUUUUUUUUUUAGCGCGAUAACCUAAUUCGAGGUGCGGUGCAAUACAUCUUCAGUAAUCAUAGGUUUGUUAACACUUAGCUUUUCUCGGAAUUUUAAAUGGUACCACCGCAUGAUUUUUGGCACGGAUAAGUGUAACACCCCGGUUUUAGGAAUAUGGUAGUGCAUGCGGAGAAGUUUAAUAGAAUUGAUUUGGCCACCUAUGUCACCAAAGUGCACUUAUCUUUUCGGUCAACUGUCCAGAGAGAACUCCACAAUUAAGGGUGCUUGAAUUGGAACAAUUUCAUGAUGAGUGACUUUCUGGGAAGUGAUUGUCGGAACUGUGUGAGUGAGGACAAAACACAGAGAAAGAUCAUUUGGUGAUUUGUAGGGUCGGUAAACAAAUCUUUAAAAACCUCCCGGACAUAGCGAACCGAUCGUCGGAAGAUGGUGAGCCCACGGGCCGAGAGAGGACGUGGGGCCUAUUAAAAAAAAUAAGGAUCGGAUCGUUACAAUAAGGCGUUAAGAUCAUUGAUUAUGGUUAUGCUCGCUUGAUGGCAUUUUACGAGCCAUGUGUUACCCAUAAUCUGCUUAUUAGCUCUUCUCAUCUGCUUAGGCUAAUCUUUUUCAAGUUCUUCUCAAUUUUUCAUGUUAGUGCAUUUCAAAAUACUUCAAAAAUAUAAAGUUUGUUGUCCCAAAAUUAAGAUCUUAUAUAUAUAUAUAUAUAUAAGGGCUUCUUCAACGUUACGCCAUCCCACUAUAUUUGGUGUAAUAUUGUUCAUAAAACACCAAAAAAAAAUUAUUAUUUUAUUUGUAUUUUGAUUUAUAUACUUUAAUGAAAUUAUUAUUUAUCAACUAAAAAUCAAAUAUACCAUCAAUUUUUGUAUGUUUUUAUUUUUAAUAAUAUGUACUUUAAAGUAUAAUUAAAAUGAAUAAUAAUUUAUACAUAAUUUUUAAGGAAAUACUAAAUUAAUUAAAACUGAAAAUACAUAUUAAAGUUCAAUUAAAUACUGACAACAUAAAAUUACAAAAUUAAACUAUUAGUAUUUAUCAAACUAUUAAAAAAUAGUGAAAAUCUAAAAUUUAAUAAUUUAAUAAUACUAAAUUUAUUUUUGGUGUGAGAUUUGGUGUUAAUAGUUGGAGAUGAAAAAAAAGUAGUACACCAAAACACCAAAUUUGGUGUUAAAAUUUGGUGUUUUGGUGUAUUGUUGUUGGAGUUGCUCUAACUCGUUGCACAAAAAAAUGAUAUAUAAAAAACUCAUAAUAUUAUUAAGCCGGCUCUGAAUCGAUGGAAUAUCAUAGCAUUUCAUCGCUCUAAUCAUUUACGGAUAAUCGCAAUUAACUAUGAAGAAGCCUGUUCAAUGCACGGUUUUGGUUCUUGUCUCAACAAACAAACAAACAAAGGCCAUUUAUUAAAAAAAAAAACGCAAAUACCUCAAGUAUAAAAUAUUAGACUCUUGGCCGGGAGGACAAUAAUCAACAAUUUAAAUAUAUCAAGUUGGAAUAUUUUAUCACGUAUAAACCGUAAAACAAAAAAAUUAGUCAACCAAUUAUAGAUUCCUUCUAAGCUUCUAGCAGUUGCUUUUAUUAACGAAAUUGAACGUUUGAGCAACAUUGGAUUUUCGGGAUAUUCCAGAACCCUUAAAACCUCGACCAAUUUCUAAAAUAUCAAAAAAAAAAAAAAAUCCAAUUUCUUAAAAUAGUCUGAUAUUUUAAUGAUAUUUUCCCAAUCUUGGUAAAAACAAAUACUCGGAUUAAAACUGAGGAUUAAUCUGGGACUAGUUUUAGGGUUAUUUUAAUAUUUUAAAAAUAUAUUAAUUUAAUAUUGUUUUCAAAAUUACAGUAAAAACAUAAAAAUAUAUUUUAACGCAAAUUUUAUAUUUUUAUUAAAAAUUUAUGACUUUUAUUAAAAUUUGAACAUAAAUUAUUGUAAAACAUCACAAACUUCUAAUUCAAAUGUUUGAAUAACAAAAAAAAAAGUUUUUUUUUUAAUACUUGCAUCAAAAAAUAAUCAGGAUAUGUAAGAAUAGGCGGAAAAUAAUCAGAUUAGAAAGGAAUUAAUCGGAUUAGGCGGAAAGUAAUCGGGUGACUGAUUUUUUUAAGAGAUUAAUCAUUAAUCGAGACGAAUAGGGUGGAUCUAGAGAUUAAGCGGGAGUAAUCGGAGUAGACAGGGAUUUUCACAACAUGGAUUAUAGCUGAAACCAGUUGAAAUACUUUUACUCUAAUUUUUUUGGAGGACAAGUUUACCGUGCUUUUUCCCUUUUUUUUAGCUAAAACAAGUUGAAAUCAUUUUUUUUUAAGUUUUCAACUUGAUUGGUAAAAAAGUAUAAGAAUUGAGAGUAAUUGUAAUUUUUUUUUUCAGUUGAUUCUAGAAAAGAAAAUUGGUGGGGUGAUCUGACUCUGUUGUCGCAAAUCUAUCUUUAUUUUUCCGACAAACCACCAAUAAAUUCAUUGUUAAAUCGCAAAUAGACAAUCAAGUCGAUAAAUUUUAAAAAUAGACUAUUUCAUUUUGACGGUGAAAUUUAUAAUUGAUACAGCGUAAAUCCAUCGUUAUAUGUAACAAUUCAAGAACCCUUGACUAAUGCAACUUCUCCAUUUUCACAAAACUAUCCACAACUAAUAAAUCACAUAUUUACUUCGAAAAUAUUUUGAUACUUCACCACAACAAAUAUGAGAACUCUUUUUCUUUAUUUUGACAUUUGGAACAAAUUCAAUUUUGCUGUAACCUAUCACAUCUUAAGAAACAUAACUCUGUUUUUUGUUUUAAUCUUAACUUUAUGCAUGUCAACUAGAAAAGAACUUAUAUUUUUCACCCCAACAAAUAUGGGAAAAAUAUGACAACUCCUUUUCCUUUCUAUGAAGACAUGGAACAAAUUCAAUUUUCUGUGACUUAUCAGCACAUCUUUAGAAACACAACAGCGGAUAAGUCAUGAACAUCAAUAAAGUAUUAUGUCAGAUUUUCAGAUAAACCGUAACUUUCGGUUACAUUUUUGAGAACCGAAAUGGCAUGGAUUCACUAAUAAAACCAAACCUACCAAUGACCACACCAAUCAGUAAACAAUGACCACACCAAUCAGUAACAGUGGUCCAUUUUCUCUUCUCACAUCACAUCAAAACAUUAAUACCUUUUGUUACCAAACUUUUUUCUCUCUCAAUUUACUUACAACUUUUCUUUGCCCAAUACCAACAUUUAGUGCUCUCUGAAUCUUUUUAGGCUUUUUAUGAAACUUUUUUGCCCUUUCUCUUUUUCUCAUACCACCUUUCCAGAUUUACAAUCAAAAUGGAGAAAGUUGCCGCCACAAAACAAACCAGAAAAAGGGUCUUCUAGAUUUCAAAAUUUUCGCUUCAUACUCUUGGUUAAGGCUCCUCUGAAGGCACUAGUGCUUUCGAUUCGAUUCUAACUCGUGCUCCUGAAGCAAGCCUGUUCAAGAUACAUACAAGCUUUAAAUAAAUCUGAAUAUGAAUAAGAUAAGAAUGAUAUGUUCAUAUCAAUAUAUUGAACAAGAUUCAAGAAGUUUAUGUUUUACCUUUCGUCGAUCUUAAUAACUUUCUCCUCGUCUUCUCUGAAUGAAUCGGGCUUCCUCGAAGAUUCGGUUAUUCUUUUAGUGGGACAUGGAAUGUUCUUGGUAGUAUCUUCUGAUGAGUCUCUUUUCUUUUCUGAGACAGGAGAUCUCAUGGACUCGCUACGUGGUUGUUGCUUGCCUAAUAUAGACGAUGCCUUUCCCGAGCUUGGAUUGUAUUUCGAACUACCCGGUUUUGAGUCUCCAUUCUCUGCUACACCCAUUUGGUUGGAUGCCCUGAAAAAAACUCACAUGAGAUGUGUCCUCAAGAAUUCACAGAGAUGAAGUUUACUACUCAAAUCAAGAACAUUUCCAAUCACAGAGUAUAACUCUAACAAAAAACUAACUGUCUUAAGUGUUGACAUCAAAGCAUAGGUGAUUCAGAAAUCUACCUGUCACCAUUGUAGGAUGAAGAACGCUUAAGUGAAGCAUCAUUAGCUUCUGCUGCAUCCUUCUUCUGUAGCUUCGUCUCGACUAAGCUCCCACUAAAAUACUCUUUCUCCUCCAAUCUCAUACCCAUUAGACUCGGAGUUUCCGACAAACGGUCAAGAUCCCCCAUCAUAAACGACGAGGAGAAAAACGGAGACGGAAACUUCGAGUGGCCAAAUUUCGGUUUGUAAGUUGGGACAAGGCCGAAACUGUUAUCCUUGACUGAUAUUGAACCACAUGAUAUCAACUGCAUCAGCAUAUUCGAGGCCCUCAGCCUCGGAUUAGUGGGCAUUCGAACAUCUUCUUGUUCAAGAAUCCUAAAACUAUUCAUUUUACGAACAUCAGCUCUUAUUAGAGACUCCAAUGUAUCAGUCUUUGCGCCUAGCGAAGAAGCACUAUUGGAAAAAGGCGGUGAGAUAGAGUUUCUUGAUAUUUCCGCACUCUCCCUCUCCUUCCCCGCACACGAAGCUUCACUCACGAUAUUAUUUUCGCUGGUUUCAUGUUCUGGUGACCCAUCUUCAUCAGUUGAAACACCUCUACUGAAGGUCUCUAUAGGUUUUUGAGAACAACCACUCACAGUUUCAUCGGUUUGAGUAGACGCAUCUGCGAGCCCCUCGCUCUUAUAAACUUUGUACUCAGCCAAACACCAAGAAGACGAGUUCUUCGCGUCUCUAGAAUCAGGCGAUACACCAGACGAGGAAACAGAGCGAACAGCUGGAGGAGAAAGCUCAUCAUCUUCUUGAGAAUGCUUAUUAGUUCCCUUCCCAUUAUUCAUACUCGAAGACGAAGACGAAUCAUCCAUACUUCUAGAUGAUGGUGGCUCGACAACUAUUUGCUUCAUGUUUUGACUCGCUAAGUUCAUAAUUGGACUAAAGUGAUCUGUCCACAACAACAUAGUUUUUUUUUAGCCUUCUUCAUUGAAACUAAAACCAAAUGAUUACAAAACAAAAUGUUUGUUCACCUGAAUUGGAUUCAUCAAAUAGCUCAGAUCCUUUAAGAACAUACUCAUUCCCAUUAGCUGGUAAAAUCAAGUCAUCUUCUGAUAAAUCAUGCCAAACAAAACCAUUCCUAUAGCUUCUGCAAGUCAAAAUCAAGAAAACAUUGAAUCUGAAAACUCUUUCUUACUUCAAAAGAAGUAAUGAAUGAAUGAAAUCAAGAAAGUUAUAUAAAUACCUCUUACUAGACCAAGAAUACAUUGAAGCCAUUCCUCUACCUCUAAGAACAUUAAGCCUCUCUGUAACAUCUACAAAACAAAACCCAAAAACAUAAUUGAUUCCUUCACAAUUCUUCAAAAUCUCACAAACACUUUAAGCAUUUAAUAACAUUACCUCUUAAGUAUAAACCAUUUGGAGAAGAAAUCAACACUUCCAUGAAAUGAGGAUGCUCAAGUUGACGAUUCUUGGAGAGGUAAUAAACAAUUUGAACUUUCUUAAUCUUUUGAUGAUACUUUGGUGAUUUCUCAGUCCAGACUUUUGCUCUCUCUGGACUCACUUCUCUGCUAUACUUCUUCAUCCUUGCUUCCAUGUUUUUAUCUCGCUGACCCUUUUAUUAAAAACCCCUAAUUGACUAGUUCCGACAUUGUUCUCUGUCAGAUCUAUCAAUCUGGAGGAACGAUGGAAGAGUUAGAGAGAAUCUAACAGAGCUUAAGGAUGAAGAAGAGAGAGAGAGUUUCAGCAAUUAAUGUUUUUUUUUAGAGCAGUGGAGAUUAAUGGAGAGACAGAGAGACGACAGUAACAGUGUUAGAGAGAGAGAGAGAGUUAAAGCUUAUUUUUUCAGACAGAGCUAUUUUGUUUUGUAACGAGGGAAAAAAAACACUGAAAAUCACUGUGAUUUUAUUCGCUCGUGUCUUUUUCUUUUUUGUCUAUUUUUUUAUUUAAUCAAAUUAAAGAAAAUUUCACAAAUAUUUUUUUUAGGUUUACUGGAUAAAUAAUUUGGAAUUUUUAAUUAGUUCGUUUUUUGUAGUUGAUAGUUUAAAAUCAAACCAAAGAUUGAAACAGAGUAACAGACUUAACAAUUAAAACUGGAACAGAAAAAAUUUGACAAAAACUGUAAAGAUUGAAUUGGCUUCUAGAGACAGAAGCCAAGAUUUUUAAUUAGUUUUACAGAAAGAAAGGAGAUUUGAAUUAGAAUUACAAUAAUUUAGUGAAACUAAUAUAGAGUAUUGUUUGCUUUAUUUGAAGUAGUAUAAUAAGUAGUAUACACAUAUUCAAAUUCUAGAACUUUCACCGUAAAAAGGUAAUUUUAAAAUAAUAAAUUUUCGUAUAGAGUAAUCUUUUUUUAUUCUCAACAUUUUUUUUUUGAACCAAACAGUUAAACUAAAAUAAAAAAAUUUUAUUGGUGAUCUAGUCAAGACGAUAAAAUUAAUUACAAAAUAUAAAUAAACUCAUUUGCGUAGUAGGGAUUGGCUAUGGAUCGGGCCUUGUCGAUCCAAAGAUGUCAAAAAAAAAAAACUCAUUUGCCAGCUCACAUAUUCUUCUGACUCCCUCUAAAAAUUAUGAUUUUGUAUCCUUAAGCCAGAAUCCAGAAAACAAACAUUGAUUUAGUCCAAUAAAUAUAUAAAUCAUUUUAGGGGUUUAUGCAAUAUACUGAAAAAACAUAAAUUUCACAAUCUGUUAGUGAGGAUCUCGGAGAGACGAUUCUCGCACUCAAUCAAAGCGUACAGUAUAUUUUUUGUAUCUCUUGUAAUUCAAUGUUGAUUAGCUUAAUUGGUUAGCCUAAUUAGUGGCAGAGAUCUUGGAGUAUCUUGUAUAGACUCUAUAUAUUGUAACUUCGACUAUCAAUGAAAGACACCAUUUCCAGAAACUGAAAACUAGCUCUACAUAAUCCAUGGCAAAUUUGUGUUAAACCAGAAAUGGAUCCACGUAUUCCGUGAGUUCAGUGAUAUAUUUCCAGUUUUUAUAAUUUUUUAUAUUACAUUAUUUUAAUAAUUUUUAUUACAAUACUAUUCGAAAAUAUAUGAAAUUCUAUUAGUAAAACUACGAUAAUAUAAAAAUAAUAAAUGGUAUAGAUUUAGUGAUUUACAAGUCCACUUAUGAUAUACUACAUAUAUUAAACAUCUUUUUUGUUGUUGUUUUUGUUGUGCAACUUAGUAAUCCAAUGACCGUUAAUUAUAUAUUUUCUCUUUUAGGAGGUGUUAUUGGUUUGUGAUUUAAAUAGACUUUUAGUGACUUUAAAUGUUAUGUAGAAUCUGUUGUUAUUCAAUCAAGAUUUUUUAAAAGUUUGUUAAAGUUUGGUGUUAUUAAUUUAAGAUUUGUAAAAAGUAAUCUAAAAUCUUCAUAAAUCUGGAGUUAUUGGAUCCAUACUCUUAUAAAGUCAUUAAAAGUUUUGUGUUAUUCAAUUACAACAAAAGGAUCUAUGAUUGUUAAUGAAUUAAAUUAUUAUGUUAUUGGUUUAUGACUUUCUACACUUUUCUUCACAAAACAAAGUCAUGAAAAGUAUCAUCAAAAUAGAAAGAUUGUUUGGGAAACUUUACAAGAUUAUGACAUACUAAUCAACAAGAUUAUAUAAAAUUCUCAAAAACUCUCUAACAAUAGUUUAAAUUCUUUCAUUUUACUUUCUAUGAUUUUAUUAAAGUCAUCAAAAUUCCAUGUAAAUUAGGAACUAAUAACACCCCCUAAGUGCAUAAAUCUUCUAGUGCAUAAAUCUUCUAGUGCAUAAAUGUAUAUGCAUAACAUCUUCUAAAUAUAAAAUGCAAGUGUGACAUUUUAAAUGUGAUUUUUCUUUUCUAAAUUUAUAUCUUAUUUUAUAAUAUAUAUUAGUUUCUCUUUAGACCUUUAGUUUUCUGAGACUAAUUUUGUCAUCCAGUUCGGAUAUUUCUAUAAUCUACUAUAUUUUUUUGUUUAUGUUUUAUAAAAUUCAAUGUUGUCAUUGUGCUCUUUCACCUAUUUUUGAUAUUUCUUAAAUAAUUGUUUUAUAGUUUUAAUAAGUGCAUAAUGUUUGUAUUAAUAUGAAAUGCAUUUAUGACCUUUCAACUUCCAUUCUUUCUAACAAAGAAAAUACUUUCAUAUAAUUUUAGAAAUACCAAACAUAUUGAUUUUAAGUAUGUGAUAAGAUUCAUUGAUAUAUAUAUAUUUAAAACUGAAAAAUAUAUGACCUUUCAUCUUUCAUACAAUUUUAGAGUCAUCCAACAUACUGAUUUUUAAUAUAUCAAUUUUAAAAUAAAAAUAAAAUUUUAAAUAUUAUCAAUCUUAAACACUUUUCGCUAAAUUCAACUUAAACACUUUUCGCUAAAUUCAACUUAUAUUAUUACGCAUAAUAACAUAUUUCAUAUUUUUAUACUUAUAAUAUUAAUUCAUUUGUAUUUAACUUCAAAAUUUUUAAUAAUACAUAACACUAAAUAUAAAUAAGUAUGUAUUAAAUGAACAUUUUAAAUAAAUUAUAAUUUAUAAAUUCUAUUUAGAUAGACGCUUAGGUGGACGCUGAUGUGGAUGCUUAUGUGUAUAACCUAAAUAGAGAGAAUAGUCUCCUAUUAUAUAUAUAGAUCAUUUGUAUUUAACUUUAAAUUUUUUAAUCAUAAAUAACAAUAAAUAUAAAUAAUUAUGUAUUGAAUGUACAUUUUAAAUAAAUUAAAAUUUAUAAAUUCUAUUUAGAUAGAUGCUUAGGUGGACGAUGAUGUGGAUGUUUAUGUGUUUAGCCUAAAUGUGGAGAGAACUCUCCUAUCUUAUUAUAUAAAGUAUGAUUUUCAAAGUUAGUAAUUCAUAAGAUUGUGAUAUAUGGCAUAUCUAUCGAUCUAAAUUUUGAUACGUGUAUAACCAAAAUUUCCUUAUAAAAACAAAAAUUAUUGUAAGUAAUUAUAAAUUUAAAUAAUUUUAAAAAUGUAAAAGAUAAUUAUAAGGAUAAUUGUAAAUAAUUAAUAUUUAUGUAAACAAUUUAAAAAAUAUCAAAAGAUAAUAAUAAGGAAAUUAUACGUUUUAUAAUUAAAAUUAUAUAGUUCAAUUAAACAAGGAAAAAAUGAGGCAAAUUUAUUAAAAAGGAAACAUAUGUUAUUAUAUAACUACUACAAUAUAUUUUUGUUUCUGAAAGUUAGUAAUUAAUAGUAUUAUGAACCGUUAUCAGUCAAAGAUUUUAUCAAGUGUACACAUGACAUUCAUGAUUUAUUUUAAAAUUUGAUAUUGUUUAUCUCAAAUUCCUUUCCAAUUAAAAAUAUAUGAUGGUUUAGUUAAACUAAUCCUCAUAUUAUUUAUUUGAGUUUAUUUUUUCAAUUAGAAAUAAGAGAGAUCAGUUUUUUUUUUCCUUUUUAUAAUAUUUUCUUACUUAAUUGUGUUUUUUGUUUGUCGUCCUCAAUUAUGAUUGUAGUAUUGUUACAUUGUUUAUUUUAAUUUUUCUUUUCAUAUUUAAAUUAUCAAAGAUUCAUAUAUCAUCAUGUUUAUAAUUUUUUUGAAUUUAACUGUUGUAUCUUCAAAUUAUUUAUUUUGGUUCUAAAUUAAGUUUAAAUUAUAUAAGAUUUAUAAUAUAUCAUAGUUCUAAUGAUUUUAGAUAGCGACAUGUCACAUGAUUUAAAUUACAAACUUACAUUAUUUAUAUCAAUUUUAUUUUCUAAUUAGAAAUAUGUGAUGAUUUUAAGCAAAGUUUUGUAUUGUUUAUUUGAAAUUCUUGAAUAUGUAAGAACCAUAUAUGCUUCUUCUUUUUUUUUUUUGAUAUUUUGAAUUAAUUGUACUAUUUUAAAAUUGUUUAUUUAAAUUUCUAUGUUCAUAAGUGAAUGAUAUAAAAUUUAUAUAUAAUCGUGCUUAUAAUUUUUUGAAUUUAUCAAUUUGUAUUGAUUGAUCAUAAUGUCAUCGCAAUCGAGUAAAUAGGAAUCAAACCCGCAAAGUUAGCUUGGAAGGCUAAGGGAUUAGUCGAUUUAUCAUCUUUAUAUUUUUAACGUGUUUAAUUAAAAACUACUUUGGUUUCAUUCGCCAACUUUAUGAUGAAUGUUUUUAAUUUUAUUUCUUCAUAUAAGUAUACCAUAAGGUAUUGCUAUGUGAUAUGUUUUCAUUCGAAAUAAUUUUGAAUUAAUAAUUUUAGUGGUUAAAGAAACAAUACAACAGUGAAAAAAUAGAUAUUUUUUUUUUACUUUUGAAAGAAAAUUUCUACUUACAACGUUGUUAAUUUUUUUUUAAAAAAAUUUGAUUUUUAUUUUUAAAAAUUAAACCCGUUCAUCGCUUAUCUAGUUAUCUAGUUAUAUAUAUAGAUUAGCAAUAUCAUGUAUAUUAUGUUUUUUUUUAAUGUUGAAUUGUAGAGUCAAACUUUUUGUUGACAAUGUGAUAGGAAUUUUUAAUGUUUUUUUUUUUAUGUUGAAUAGCACCUAAUCUGCUAAUGACAUAGCAAUUUUUUUAUUCUAUGGUAAUUUUGUUGUUAUUGUUUUUUGGAUGAACAGUUUCAAAUUUAAAUGGAUUUAUGGUCUUUGGAUUUAACUAAUUGAGAAUGAGCUUGAAAACACAAAUUUGGAGACUAGCACCCAACAAUCCUUGUCACAAGCGAUGUAAAUAACUUCAUUCACCUCAAGUAUUCUUACUAUCUCAAACCACUAUCAAAUUGCCGCCUUCAAAAACUAAUUUUUUUAAUCGAAAGCAUAAUUAAUAUGAUUUAUCUCUUCGAAAAUGCAAGGUUUGUACAAGUCGUUCAAACAUAAAAUUGAAAGCAUAAAACCAAAGCUAACUUCCUUUACUUCAACUUCAGUAUCAGUGUAAGAGAUAGAGCUUCCAAAUAGAUCUCCAGCAUCUACCACUCUAAAGUCUACCAACAGUUUGAUGAAGCUAAGAUCAUUAGUUCCAGCCACAGCAAUUUCAAAGAGUUGCGAUGAACAAAACCAAAGUCAACUUCUUCUGCUUCCACUUCAUCUUCACUUUUAUGAAAAUCAACAACCUUCUCGAAGACAUCUUUAAUAAGCAGAUUAACUAUUCGAGUAAAAGCUUUUUUGGUCUCGUGCAACCGACCAGAAAUCUGAAGUGUGUUCUCAUCAGUGUAAAAUACAUAGCUUCCCAAUAGAUCUCCACCACUUACUACUCUAUAGUCUACCAUCAAUUUGAUGAAGCUACUAUCAACUGUUCCAGCCACAACAAUUUCAAAGAAAAGGCUUGUGAUGCUGCAAAUGUUAAUGACAACCAUGAGGAAUCAAACUUUUCAUAGGCAGACAAUUCGACAAGAAGACUAUCCCCUCUACUUGUACUCGGAUAUCGAUUUUCUGAUUAUUUUUCUUCAGUCUCUAAAGGCUUGUGAUAUCCUUAGGCUGAGGAAAAUCAAUCUAACCACGGCUCUUCUCUUUUCACGUGUUUCAUAUAAAGAAAGGGGAACCAUAAUACCCUGAAAUCAUUGAGACAAAAACGGAAAACACAUUAUAAAGCAUCAAUUUAUUAGACAAAAACGGAAAACGCAUUAUAAAGCAUCAAUGUAUAUUAAAAACGUCAAUAUCGGAAAUCUCAAAUCAAAAUUCCUAAAAAAUAAGAAAUUGAAUUAUUAAAAAAAAACUAAAAAUUGGAAACCCCAAAUUAAAAUCCCUAAAAAUCGGAAAUUUAAGUAAUAAACGGAAAACACUUAUAAAGCAUCAAUUCGGCUUUGAUUAUGUACGAAACCCACAUACUAAAAACCAUGAUUUCAUACUCAAAAUUGGAAACCCCAAAUUAAAAACCCAAGAAUUCAAAAUCAUAUCCCAGAAAAUUAGGAUUGAGACGAUUUUGAGGAGAAAUGUUUCCCUUUCCCUGAAUCAUCGAAUUCAGAUUGAGAAACUUUCCUAGUGAAUUGAGACUUGGAUGAGAAGCCAAGAACUAGUGAGAAAUGCGGCACUUAGAGAAAGAAAGAGUAUGUUGGAAAUAGAAUUCAAAAUUUACAUGUUUGGCAUUUAGAGAUGGCAACUAAAAAAUGUCUAACACAAAUAAAAUAAAAAUUUCUCGGCACAAUAUUUUUAGGGAGAUUUACUCAGAUGUUAUACAUUUUAUAUGAAAUUACCAGAAACAUACAUAUCUUUUUUUUAUUACUAUCAUAUUGCGGGUAUAUUUUUUAUACCCAGCGUGCCCUUGUUAAACGUUACAGGAAAAAACGUAAUUACAAAGAAUGCCACUGCCACGUCAGCAAAGCCGCGUCGCCACGUCAGAAAUCGCUGACGUGUAUUAAUGAACUCAGCCGUCGAGCGAUAUAGCGGCAGUGACGGCUGAGUUACGGUAUGUUGCGGCUGAUUUAAGAAAAAUGGCUGAGUUAUGAGCAAACGGCUGACUUACGAGUAUAACCUAGCCUGGAGUUACGGCUGACUUACUGAAAUCUGUCUGAGUUAUGAUAAAAUGGCUGACUUUCGAGCAUAACCCAGCCUAAGUUACGGCUGAGUUUUCACCCGAUGGUUGAUUUGUCAAAUUUUUGGCUGAGUUAUUGCAUCGACACGGCUGACUUAACUUUCUCUGGCUGGCUGAGUUAUCAAAGACGGCUUAGUUAUGGGAUGACGUUACGGCUGAUUUAUGUUCGAGUAUCAUAAAUCAGCCGUAAUGAGCUGGAUUAACGGAAAACUCGGCCUUAUUAUGGCUGACUUAGUAGCGAAAGAUUAAUUACUAGAAUAGCAUGCAAUGACGGCCGACUUAUUAAACGACACGACUGAGUUAAAUAUUUUUGGUUGAGUUACGACAGUAAACGGCUGAAUUUGGCUGCCGUUUUUUCGUUUUUUAAUUACUGUAAUAGUAUUCAUGUUGCGGCUCAGUUAAAGUUUUGUUUGAUGGCUGAUUUAAUUAAGCUGAUUUACAUUUUUGUUUAGUGGCUUACUUGCUACUUCAUCAAUUAAAAAAUGACGUGUAUGCAACAUUCCAUGUCAUCAUUCCAUGUCAUCAUCAUCAAAGGACAAAAAAAUAGGGCCAAAUUUUUUCAACUCGUCUUCUUCACCUGAGUUUAUCACAUCACCGGAACUUUCAAUUCCUCAUCGUCUUCCUCAUUCUUCUUCAAUUUCUUUCAUCCUUCUCCCGAUAUGGUUGAUCCGGUUCCGGUAAUUGGGUAUAAAAACACAAAUACGUAUUUAACACCGAUGAAAGAGGGUGUAGAGUUGUGCAGAUAGAUGCGAAAACAACGCACGAAAAACUUGUGAAGUUGGUGCUCGAUGAUAAAGUUAGAGGAAAUGUUGCGUCUCUUAUUGUUUUGCUGCAAAUUUACAUGUCACGGCUGAGUUAUAUGCUUAAGGGAAGACGAAUGGUUCGGUCAAUUUACAUGUCACGGCUGAGUUAUAUGUUCCAGGGAAGACGAAAGGUUCGGUAAAAUUACAUUACGGCUGAGUUAUAUGCUUAAGGAAAGACGAAAAGUUCGGUCAAUUUACAUGUCACAGCUGAGUUAUAUGUUCCAGGGAAGACGAAAGGUUCGGUAAAAUUACAUUACGGCUGAGUUAUAUGUUUAAGGGAAGAUGAAAGGUUCGGUAAAUUUACAUGUCACGGCUGAGUUAUAUUCUCCAGGGAAGACGAUAUAUGGGUGUAAAUUAUAUGUUACGGGUGAGUUAUAUGCUUCAGGAAAGACGAAAGGUUUGGUAAAUUACAUGUCACGACUGAGUUAUCAUUCAAGGAAGACGAAAGGUUGUGUAAAUUAUAUGUUACGGCUGAGUUACAUCACGUUACGGCUGAGUUACAUCACUUUACGGCUGAUUUAUAAUACAGAUCGGAAAGCAACAUUUUUUUGGAGAAGACAAUAUGAAAUUUAUUGGUCAAAUAACAACAAUCAAAUUAAGAUUCGUAAAAAUAUGUUUGAGGGAUACAUAGGAGGAAGACUAAACCGUAUGAAUCAAAACAUAGAUAGAAGUAGAAAUGUCUCCAAAUAGAUCGAUUGAGAGGAAGAUUAAACGAGAGACAUGUAAAAUCAAAGUAAAAGAGUAGCUAUUCUUGAUUUCAACUCAAACCUGUAACGAAUCAUGUAGAAUUCCAUAGAUCUCUUUGUUUUGGGUUUUGAUUUUCGAUGACUUUUUUCGUGAGCGUGGUUGCGAGUAGAUCUGACGAAGCUUUUGAUUUGGGAGCCUAUGGCAAGCGUUGUGGCUGUGAGGUCUAGGAAUAUCCAGCCCAAUCCUGCAAUUUGAAGAUCUCUGUCAAUGUUGUACCCAAGUUAGUUGCAGAUUAUUAGAUCUAAAAGUUUUUUUUGGAUUUGGAGACAAAAAAAAGAGAAGAGGAGAAAUGAUCUACAAGCUUUUCUUGGAUUUGGAGACAAAAAAGAGAAGAGGAGAAAUAACGUGAGUUUGAGGAGUGUGAGAUUGGUGAUGUGGAUUAAUGACAUGGAUAAUCAAAUUUUUAUUUAUUAUUUUUAAUUAAAAACGAAUUGAAAAUUAUUAAUUAAAAAAAAACUAAGGAAGGGUGUUAAUUGUAAUUACACAAAUGCUCAAAACAUAUGAGUAAUUUUAGAAAAUGUAUGAUAUUCUAGUAAUAUUCGAACUUUUGGUUAACAUCUGAGUAAAUAUUUCAUAUUUUUAUAAAAGCCCAAACAUGCCCACUAGUUACAAAAAUAAAAGAAAACAAACAUGUGUUAUGCAACUAGUCGCAACUCUCAAGUCUUCACAUAACUGAAUUAUCUACUAUUAGUAUUGUCCCAUGAUCAAAACCACUUUUCUUGUCUACAUAUAUUGUCUCAUUCCAUCUCAUUUGAUUGGUUAUCGCCUUUACUUUGAUAAGAACGUCAAAAUGGUCUCGUAUUACAAUUGUCCCUUAUGGUCUAAGAAUCCUCUGCAUCACCAAGAGUAUAUCAACAAUGUCACAUCUAUCAUAAUUCAUAAAAAAACAUGUAAAAAAAACAAACCAUUACACAUUGAUUACAAGAAAAUGUAAAUCAUAAUUUUUCAAUGUUACAGACAGAUCUUACUUGUUCAAGUACAAACUAAACACACAAUUGGCAUGAAUCAGAUCAUAUGCUCGAGGGUAUGUAGAGAAAGCUUCACACCUGAAAAAAAAACCAGAAGAGAAGGUAUAAGAGAGGUCUAACUAGAUGAUUGACAUAUGAACGUUUUUGAGUGUUUUACCAGUUUAUCUAAGUUCCAGGGGGACGAUCGUACUUAAGAUCAAAUGGAACCAUAUUCAUAACCCACAUUGGAUAUUUGUUCAAGGCUACAACAAAACAGCCUAAUCCAGCGUUCAUAUCAAUGAUGUUUCUGUAUUUUCCAUUGCUGACACAAGUUUGUGUCAGCUUUGAAGCUGGCAAUAGUUGUGUGUGUCGUUAACAUCUGGAAGAGGAGUGAUGCACGACUCCAUAUCUUUGUAUCUUUUGUAACAAAAUAUGUAACUGAAUCAAGCUUUGGCUUCUAAAGAUGCUGAGGAAAUUAGAUUUGGGGAAAGUAAGGCCACCAUGCAGCAUCAAGAUCACCAGAAUAGCAGAAUCCAGGAAACUUAAGAGUUUGUAGCCUUUGUCUACACUGCAAAUGAUUACAAGGCUUUCUCCAUAUGACAACCGGGUAACUUUCAGCAAUCUUCAACCAACAAACUCUUCUUAAAACAUCAUUUAGUUGCUCUAUCUAGUUUUGCAACUCCUUGGAAUCUGUCUUCUGGUUCUUGGAUUUAACCCUUGAUGCUACAUAUGGUCCAGAAAACAUCCACUAUCCCUCAGGAUGUAGAACAUGAUCCACUUCCAUCAAGUAAAGCACAUCUGGAUAAGAUGUUCUCUCUCUUUCAGUAUCAGAAGUAGAGUGAUUCAAGCAAGGGGUCCAAUCACUUAUGUAAACGAUAUUUCCCAAGAAUGACUCUUUUGAGCGAAAUUAAUUAAAGUUGUUGACAAGAAAAAAUUAACAUUCUUAAGAAGAUGAACUUUAAACAAGAAAAAGAUAUUUUCAACCAAUAUGCCAAUUAUGACCACUUUGAAGUAACAGUCAAUCAAUAUUGUAACACCUCGACUACUCCUAUCAGUGAAGUGAUAAUCCACGUCUAUUCUUGGACCUGUGGGCUCCAUCCCUGUCCAACGGUCGGUCUGUUACGUCCGGGAGGCUUUAAAGACUAAUUUACCGAUCCUACAAAUCACCACAUGAUCUUUCACAAUGUUUUGUCCUCACUCAUACGGUUCCGACAAUCACUUUCCGGAAGGUCAUCCAUCCUGAAAUCCACCCCAACACGCUUAACUGUAGAGUUCUCUUAGAACGUUUGACCGGAAAGAUAGGUGCAUUUUGAUAAUAUAAAUGACCAAAUCAAUUCUUUUAAACAUCUCUGCAUGUACCACUAUAUUCCUGAAAUCGAAAUGUUACAAAUACGCCGAUUAUGACCACUUUGAGGUUACAUUCUCCCUUCCGAAUAUAUACAGAUACUCCCUCCGUCACACAAAGAUAGAUUUUUUAGAAAUUUCACAUUCUUUAAGAAAUAAUGUAUAAUGACAAUUUUAACCUUUUAACGUUUUAACACAUUUUGAGUAAAUUUUUAAUUGUUGUUUAAUAAGGGAAAAAUAGGUAAACUGUUUUAAAUUUGAUGUUGGAAACAUAAAAUUUCUAUGUUUGUGAGAUAUUUUUUUUUCUAAAAAAUUCAUCUUUCUGGGACGAAGGGAGUAAAUGUUUAUAAGAAAUUUCAAAUUUGCAUCUUCUCGGAAGAACAAAUAAAUAAUAUGAUUAAAUGCGAGCGUUAACUUGCAAUUUAAGAAAAGGUUAAAGCGAUUAUUUGCUUUCUCUUUCUUUGUUGGAAAGCUGAAAUGGAAUAAAAACUCGUGCAUGAAGAAUUGAAGAUGUCUCUUGUUAGAUUUACGUGCAUGCUUUUAUUUUUGUAUCAUUGCCCAUUAUGCAUUUAAUAAUUGACUUAGAAUAUGUGGUUAUAUAGCAAUUAUCUUCUUUUUCUUUGUUGAUGCCAAUUAACUUCUAUUUAUGUUUUCGACUUUCUACAAUUAUACCAAAUUUAGGCCAACAUUCUUUGCAAAAACAUUUUGUUGACUAAUAGCUUUAGCCUCAAUAAAUUAAUGUGUAAAAACAAACUCUUAAUCGGAAACUGAUAUUUUAUAUUGAUAUUGUAAAUCUGACUGCUUACUACAUAUUUAUAAAUUUGACUGCUUAUUACAUAUUUAUAAAAUUUUUAUAUACUUUCGGUAUAUACAUUUUAGUAUAUAAAAAUUUAUAAAUAUGUAGUAAGCAGUCAGAGUUACAAUUUUUAACACAUAAGAUCUAUUUGGGCCAAGCCAACAACCUUUUCUUCCUUUUCUAUUCAUCAUAACAACAAAAAAAUUUGGAUUGCCUUUCUUUUGGAUUAUCAAUCCAACAAAAUUAGAAGUUAGAACCAUUCUUAGUUAUAGAAUUACACUAUCACUUUCUUCAGAUAAAUGGGCUGUUUGCCCCAGUCCCCCUGUAAUAUAUCGUUUCAAUUAGGUUCACCUUAUACUUUCACCAUCUACCUAUUUCUCCCUACACACAUUAUAUUCUUCACAAUUCCACCCAAUUUUAUACAAUUCCACCCAAUUCACUAAAAUCAAUUAUGCUUCCUAAAUGCGUUUUAAAAGCACAAAAUCGCGUUUUAAAAUUGAUAAUCUAUGAUAAAACCGGUAAUCCGACUCAUGUCUCAUAACCUGAAUUGAACCUUCUGUUUGAUAUAGAGGAUUCGAUUUUGACUUCAAAAUCUGGUUCCUUAUAUUGCUUCAAGGUUUUUUUUUCGUUCUUCUUCGCAUGGCCUAUUUUUAAAGGGCCUAGUUUUCCGUUCUUCUUCCCUGUUCUUUUAAGUUUGUUAUUUACCCUGUUCUUUUAAGUUUGUUAUUUACAAUGUUUCUUCACACACUUUCCUCUCCUUUGUCUCAUGCAAAUAUUUUGGAGCACAUACGACAAAUGAUAAAAAGACCAACCAAAUAAAAUCCAGGAAACCCAAAUCUUUUGGUUUGAAACCCAAUUUCGAUAGUGGGCCUUGUUAAAUAUUUUCUCGAAACGUCCUUUAAAAACAUGUUUAGUGUAUAGAAAACAUUAGUUCAUUAACAAAAAAAUAUUGAAAAUUGUUAAUACUGAAAAUUUUAAAAACUGAUACCUCUUAUUGUAUACGUUUCAGAGUUUUGUAACUUUUGUUCUCUAAUGUACAUAUGCCAAUUGAAUUCUUUUGUUCUUGUUGUCUCUGUGAUCGUGUUAAUUAAAAUUUUGAUACGUGUCAGGCUCUCGUGAGAAUGUUCAAGGUUUAUAUGAUAAGAAAUAAGAUUUGUUUCAGAAAAAAAUAAAUUUUUGAUAUUAAAAAUAAAUAUAUAUUGUAUUAGAUUAGACAAAUUGUUGUAUCAUUCCCCAUUUAGGCCCACUACUAGCAACCACUCAAUAUGAAGAUGACCCAACCUUACCCAACUCUAACUUGUUCAUCAUUUCAGUAUAUGAAGAUUUUUCUUUGUUUGUUGUAAAAAUUAAUGAUGGGAAUUUUUUUUGUCGUUUAGGUUCAUAUAAACAAAAUUAUGUAUCCAACCAAGUUCUCCGUUUAUUUCAUUGGAAGAGCACGAAAUUCCUCUCCUCCUAGACGCUAUAUAGCUUAUCAUUGCUCCUAAGUAGCUUAUGUAUUUGCCAUGAAUGUUAAAAGUAAGCAAAAGUGAUCAACUUGUGUAUGGAAAAAUAUGGUAUUAGUGGGUGAAUUUGUCAAAUGAUAGUGCACAAUGUAAAGCCAAGAAAAAAGAGGUCCUCAUACUUUUUCUUUAGCAUCCACCGACUCCUACUCAUGUGUCUUUUGGCAAGAAUUCACUGUUACUGUCGCUGACAAAGUUGUCUUCUUAGAAGAAACUAAAUCAGAUCUGUGGGUAACCAAAUCCUAAUAAUCACUGUACGCUCAUCAACCUCACAUCAUUUCAUAUCUUAAAAUAUCUUUUUCACCCCUUUUUUUUCUUACACACAUACAAAAAAGGAGUAGAGUUAUUACCUUGGGCCGGGCCAGCUCACUUUAGUCUGGCCCGUUUUAGCCUCAUUCUAGGACACAAGCUAACUCGCGGUUAACCUAUACAAUCGUACAAUUAUCAAGCUUAUUAUCAAAAGAGUCAUGCUCACCCCGGAAGAAACCGAUACUAAUCUUUUUUUUUUUAAAUAUAAUGGAUCUAGACUCCAAAAUAAGAAAUGGGUUAACCCAAAGGCAGGACUGCUCCACUGCUUGGUAUACAAUGACCCCUUGGAAAGAAUACAAAGAAAAACGAACUCUUUCUAUACAUACUUGAUGAUUAAGUGAAAUGUGAGUACAUAAACGAUCAAGGCAAGAGCCUUUGGUACUUGGUCUCUCUUUUGGAGUCAGACUCGUCACAGUGAACCCUCUUCCUGUUAAGAUUAUUCCCACAACUAUCUUGUGACAAUGGUGAUGCUUCAGCAAUAAUCACUGGUGGAAUUUCAAAGGACUCAAGCUGCGGUGGUGGAUGACGCCAUUGUGGAAGCUGUCCAGCUAGAAGCAGAGUCUGAAGCAAAGGCCCUGCCUUCACCACCGCCUUUAAAAGCUUCCCUUUCUCCGGUAAUGUCAUCUCCGGAAAAUCUAACUCGAUCUCCAUCGGCGGUUCAAAAGAUGAAACAAUGCUUUCUUCACCGUCUGAUGAGUGAAACCCAUUAAUGUUUGGGUCUUGCUCUUCGUCCGUUUGGCGUUGAAGAAGAUUGUUUUGGUCAAGAAGAAGCCUCUUGUAUCUCUCUUGUGCUUCAUCUUUCUCUUUGAUAGCUUUGUUGAGAAGAUCUUUGAGAUGCAUUAUCUGGUCAUCUUUGGCAAUGAGUUCUUCACUGGCUACCAUUCUUGUUUGCUCUAACUCCAUUGUUGUGUGAAGAAGAGAAUGUCUAAGAUCUUCUAUUGUCUGCCAACCAAAAUAAACAGUUUGAGCUUGGAGGAAUUGAGAAAUCUAUAAUAGAAAAGAAGGUAAAAUCUCUUGAAGAAGAAUGUAGACUAGUGUUUUAAUUACCUUUAUACCACACUGGUUUUGGUGAGCCCAACUAAGUAGAUAAUUUUGCUGCUGUCUCUCCAUCUUUCUUCAAUGAAUCAAUUCUAAUGAGAGAGGGAGAGAGAGUGAGUUAUAUAUGACUUAUGAAUUAUGAUAAGUGUAUUGUUGUUAUCAUAGUUUAUAAGCAAAAUAUAGGAUAGAUUUACACUGUUUUAAAUUAGUGGGUAAUUUUUGGGUAUUUGAUUUGCUUUUAGAUUGGUCACAACUCACAAGAGGUUGGGACAAGAGUCAAGAAAAUGUUUGAAACCUUUUUCCAUCAAAGAGAAUCUUUUAAGACUUUUUUCUUCCUUUUUAUUUAUUUUUUAAUAAAAAAUACAAAUUAAACAAACAAACAAAAAAAGAACGCGCUAACGGUAAUUAUGAUUAUAUUGGAAAAAUACUUUAUUCCAUGGACUUCUUCGGCCUCGAUUUGAGAGGAGAAGAGAAUUAUACGUUGCGAUAUGAGAACGUUCCAACUUUAUACUAAACUAGUAAUCUAUGUCAUGCUCAUGCAAGAAAAUAUUGCGAGUAUCAAGUUUACUAAAAUCAAGCAUCUUUUUGGACAUACUUAAUAGGGCAUAUUUGUUACAUUUUUGGUAAAAAUUUGACAAAAAAAAAGGUCAUGAAAACAUUAUAUCUCACCAAAUAACCAUGAUUUUUACUAAUCUGAUUCGUUUGUAAACAAGCACAACAUUCAUCUUGUAUAGACAAAAUAAAAUUGGGGCCAUUUAUGUUUUUAAUAUUUUUUUGGAAGAAUUGGAUCCUUUCUCUAGUAAAUUAAUUUCUUAAAAUAUUUGUCCUACCUAAUAUAUAUAUAUAUAUCAAAAUGAUUAUGAGUUUAUGGGCCAACUCACAUUUUCCUUACAGUCAGUCGUUGGCAGUGAGUGAGAUUAUAAUAAGUGCCAAUGGCAAUGGGACCCUAAGAAAUUCUUAAAAAUAGGUAAUUUAUUAUUGCAACAUUCCGACAUAUUAUCUAAAAGCUGAGUCGAUCACACUUGUCCACACGCGUACGCAUUUUCUUCUGCGUAUGUGAAUUCACACGUACGUGUGUUUAUAUACUCGUAUGAUCAUAAGUUUGUAAAGUUUUGAAAGGCAAUGUGUGUUUGAUGUGAACGUGGGUAGAGAAAAGUUGGUCAGCAAAAGGAGGGAACUGAUAACCUAACAUCUACCCUUUUGUUUCUAUUCACAGGUCUCAAAAAUAAUUCUUUUAUUAUUUACAAUAUUUGUUGAAUUUUAUAGAUUUCCAAUUUUAGGUUUCUUUAAUAAGUGGAAAAAUUCAUAUUAUAUUCUCAGUUCUUUAACCAAUCUCAAACUACAUUUUACUGAAUAUAUUUGGGUCAACUUACAUAGAUCAAUAACAUGGUUAUCAUAUGAUGAUAAAUUGAUGAGUGUAUAACAAAAAUUCUUCUCUAUCAAUUUCAUUUUCUUAUUCUCAUCAGUUUGUUAUUACUGAUUUCCUUACUAUUACUAAUGUUUCCCCAAAGGUCCACAAAAACAAAUAAGUCUAUGCUAAUGAGACUCGAAAUCAUCCUCGAUCUCAUCACGUUGCAACCGUUUCGGCCAUGGCUCUGCAUCACCUCACGAUUCUUCCAUGCCUUAGCACCGCCAGAGAAGACAUCUUCACUCAAGAUUGCUUCCACCAACCUUAUUUCAAUUAAGCUAAAAAAAAGAAAAGAAAUAUAGAUCCAAAAAAGAUGCCUUAGAAAAAAAAAGAGAAAGAAUAGUUUUCUAUAAAAUUUUAUUCAUACGAAAGAAAAAUAAAGCAAAUAUUAUUUGCUAAAUAGAGAAUUUAUAUACUAUGAAUUCGUCUAUUCUUUCUUUGACUAAAACCUAUUAAUUUUUCUAAAAUACUAAUCAAUCUUAAUAGUUGAAUUAAAAUAUAUCAGUCUGCAAGACCACAUUUCAAAAGGUAAAACCAAUGAACAUAUUUUGUCGUCUGCGACUGCGAACUUAAGAGGUGUAAGAGACCCCGCAAAUUAGAGGUCAUGCCAAUUAAACAGUCAUAAUCUAAUUCUAAAGCAUCAGUACUUUAAUAUAUCUCUAGAUCAUGCUACAAAAAUUAGAAGCCAGAGUAAAAUCUCUAGAUCAUGCUACAGUAAAACAAUAACUUUUGGUGGGUUAUAUACAUUUUAUAAUCAUUUCUUUUGGUGGGUUAUAUACAUUUUAUAAUCAUUUCUAACAAAUUAUAUACACUAAAUCAUCUCUUUUAUAAUCAUUUCUAACAAGUUAUAUACACUAAAUCAUUUCUUUUUCUAUAGUUUACAGGCAAAAUCUAAUUUUGGCUUCUUUUUUCAAUCACAUAUAACAUUAAAUAAUGGUGUUACAAUACGAACAUCAUUAAUUAAAUAUUUUACAUUGAAUGAAAAAUAUAAGUAAUAAAAAUAUUAAAAAUAAUAAAAUAAUUUCAAAUUUAAGAAAUUUAAUGAUAAUAAAUAAUAUGUAAAUUACUCGAUAGAAUGAUAUAUCUAAAAUAUUUAAUAACUAAUUUUUAAACUUUUUAAUAUUUAUUAAACAUCUGUUCAGCCUGUUAAUGUUUUUCACCAUUCAAGAUAUAUUUUAACUCGCUUUAUCUGCUUUACCCGCACUUGUUCUGCCGAUCUACUUGAUCUUCUCUUAUUUCUUUUGAUCUGCACCGCUUGAUCCACUUUGAUCAUUUGAAUCUUUAGUAAAGAUAAUUUUAUUGUCUUUCCAAUAUAAUUUGACAUCAUCACCUGUUUUAAGACCUCUUGCCUCUCUGAGAUUUUUCCACCCACCUCUGAUAAUAUAACCAUUCAUUAAUGAAAGGUUUACUUGAUAAGAUUUGUCAUUGUCUUGAAUUUCCAAAUGAAUAUCAUUUUGGGGUACUGUAAUUCCCUUAGUCUUUAGUAUGUUAUCCAUUUGCUUUUUUGGUAAGUACAAAUAACCUUGACUGGAGACAUCCCUAUCUACUAGUGUUUUUUCUAUCAUCAUAUAGGAUCCAUUUUGUUGGCCUUUUAUCUUAGAAAUAUAACUAACAAUGUUUUCAGAAGAUAAAAGAUUUGAGGAGUUUGAAAACUAGAGCUAAGCUAUAUAUUUAUAUAUAGUUCUCGGUCAAAUAAUAUUCUUUAUCUUUUGUGUCUAUCCUAAUAGUAUUAAUUUUUAAAAACAAAAUCUCUAAAUUUAGUAAAUUCUAUAGAUAUUAUUUUUCUAAUAUUUACAACUUAAUUCUAUAGAUAUUAUUUUUCUAAUAUUUACAACUUUAUAGGUUAAAUUAAUAUUUUUCUAAUAUUUUUAAAAUCAAUCUUGCUCGCAGUUGUCUUGACAUCCAGACUGUCGUUUCUGCCUCCCAACUUCAUAAACUUCUCAGCCAGGACGUUGAAGUCCUCUAGCAUCCUUAGCUUCAAAGAUUGGGAUCCAAAGAGCUGGUAGGUCAGGCUUCGACCAUGCUUGUGGGAUUCUUUGCUUUGAACAAACAGAUUGUUCUCUCCACACAAUCUGACAAUGCUCCGAGUUAAAGCAGAGUCUGUCUUUGACUUGGCAAUCUCCAAGUUUACUUGGACAACAGUGGAGAUGACCACUUUCUGUCCAAACAAACUAGUCUUAUCCACAGUUUCCCUCUAGAAGUUUUUCAACAGUAAAACUGGCAACUUCAUUAGGAUCUGUGAUUAUUUUAUAUCUCUUCUACUUGACCUUUUUACUUGUAUCCUCUCAUAGACCUGUAUUUCAGUAUUCACCAUAAUACAGAGUCGAUAGGGUUCCAAAUAUCAAUAAUGUUCUAUGGAGUCCAACCGCUAGAUCGAAUAAAUUGUGUAUAAAAACCUCCAUAAACUACUGUUAAUAAUGCAUGCCACGGACGUCCUAGUAACGUAUUUACAUUUUUUUGACUGGGGUAAAGUCAUAAUUUACAGUUAUGUUACACCUCUGGAAUGAAAACCCCGACGAAGGAAUCUCUUUGUCACGAGAUUGAGCAGUCAAUACAUUGGUUUGUCUUGUACCCGGUUUACGUGCCUCGAUUUGGCAAUACUGAAACACCGUUGUUGCCCGUCCACAAAUUUUGUUUCAAAAUUCUAAUGAACAUAAAAAUUAUUUCCUGUUCCAUGACUAGUAUAAUUUUGUAGAUUAAAAAAAGGUGAUAGUAAUCAUAUUAUUUUAGAUCUUGUAUAUUUUUUUUUUGGAUUUUUGAAACUAAUAUUAUUUGAACUAAACUUACAAGAUGUAUUGUAUUAAUAAAAUACUAAAAGGGAAGAUGAAAACCCACAUGAAACUUGAAAACUUGUUUUAUAAUUUUUUACGAAAGAUUUAUUUCUUAAUUUCUAAAAAUAAAAAUUAACAAACUGAAACUCUUGACAUGGCAAUAGAAAAGUUAUGAUAUGCCACUCAGAUUAUCCCAUUCAUCUAUCAUAAAAACACACACACAUAAAUAUAAUUUUCUUAUGUUUUGUUUAUAUUUUACAUUUGUUUUGCUCUUUUUAUCAAUUUACUUUUCGAUAUCAAAAAAAUAAAAUAACUAAGUAAGAUGUUAAAUAAACGCAACAUUAUGUUGAAUCAAGGUAUUCUUGAUAAAUUGAUCCUAACAAUCGUCAAUUCCAUCUAGUUUUAUCCGGUUAAUAGUAGAGAAAAAUGAUAUUAAUAAGGAUUGUAGAGUUGUAAGUUUUAGUACCAUCCACGUAGUUCAAACUACCGUUUCCAACGAUGGUUAAAUUAUUUUUCUUCUUCCCGAUAUAAACGACUUCUUUGUAUAUACUUUUUUCGUAAAUGACAUAUAUUUUUUCAUAUUAUUCUCUGAAGCUGUUGCGGCAGCUUCAGUCACCGUGGUGAAGUUACCGUUACCAUACUUAGAAACAUUGAAGUGGCUUUAUCCUUCAACGCCUUCAAAAUAAGAAACAAAUGAAAUACAAUGAGCCUUUAGAAUAUUCUCUAAGAUGGUAAAAAAAAUAUAAAUAAAAAUAUAUGAAAAUUCGAUUCUGAUCCUUAUUAGAUAUAUGCAAAUUUUAUUAAUGAUUUAAACUACAUGAAUUACAUAUAUCCAAUUAACAUGUUACCCAUAUUAUUUGACCUUUGUCUACUAUACUUUCGAUAAUAAUAUUUUAUAGGGAGCCUCACAAAAAUGCCUAUUUUUCAAUAUCCCUUUUCAAAAAUGCCCCUUUUGGCUGUCCAUUUUUAAAAAUACCAUUUUUUAUGUACAAAAUAACUAAAUUACCCUUCUUUUAAUAAAAGAUAUCACAAAUAUAUAAGGAAAACAUGAGAAUGUGCACACAUCAAAAUUACAAAUUUGAUUUUGUAAAAACUUGUAAAACCUUUAAAAUACCUUGUAAAAUUUUCCCGUAAAAAUUUUUUUCGGCAAAAAAUUUUCCCGCCAAAAAUUUUUUUUUGCGGGAAAAGUGAUUCAGCAAUUUUUUUGGCGUUAAAUUUUUGGCGGGAAAAAUUUACAAGGUAUUUUAAAGGUUUUUCACAUGGUAUUCAUAAAGUUUGACAAUGUAUUUUAUAAGGUUUCACAACGUAUUUAUAAGAUANNNNNNNNNNNNNNNNNNNNNNNNNNNNNNNNNNNNNNNNNNNNNNNNNNNNNNNNNNNNNNNNNNNNNNNNNNNNNNNNNNNNNNNNNNNNNNNNNNNNNNNNNNNNNNNNNNNNNNNNNNNNNNNNNNNNNNNNNNNNNNNNNNNNNNNNNNNNNNNNNNNNNNNNNNNNNNNNNNNNNNNNNNNNNNNNNNNNNNNNNNNNNNNNNNNNNNNNNNNNNNNNNNNNNNNNNNNNNNNNNNNNNNNNNNNNNNNNNNNNNNNNNNNNNNNNNNNNNNNNNNNNNNNNNNNNNNNNNNNNNNNNNNNNNNNNNNNNNNNNNNNNNNNNNNNNNNNNNNNNNNNNNNNNNNNNNNNNNNNNNNNNNNNNNNNNNNNNNNNNNNNNNNNNNNNNNNNNNNNNNNNNNNNNNNNNNNNNNNNNNNNNNNNNNNNNNNNNNNNNNNNNNNNNNNNNNNNNNNNNNNNNNNNNNNNNNNNNNNNNNNNNNNNNNNNNNNNNNNNNNNNNNNNNNNNNNNNNNNNNNNNNNNNNNNNNNNNNNNNNNNNNNNNNNNNNNNNNNNNNNNNNNNNNNNNNNGUUCUUUUUUCAAUCACAUAUAAAACUAUAGAUAGGGGCUACAUAAGAACAAUAUUAAUCGAAUAUUUACAUUGAACUAAAAAUAUACAUAUAACAGAAAGAUUAAAAUUCAUCUAUUUUUAUAUUAGUUAAUUAUAUAUUUUUAUAAUUUUAAAUUGUAUUUACCACAAUCUUCUUUUUAGUAUUUUUAAAGAAAUUUCCUUUAUAUUUAAGCUAAAUAUAUUACAAUAUCUACAAAAAAAAAAUUCUAAUAAUAUUAUAAAAAACCUUUUUCAUCUAUUAAAUUGUAAAAUCACGAUUACUAUCUAGUAAAUAAUCAACAACAUGAUUUUGAUGUUAAGUACUUUUUAAUUAAAACUGAAAAUUUAACUAUUAAAUUCAUCGCAACAUAAAUAUAUUAAUUACUAUAGUUGUAAAAUUAUCGAUAUCAUGAUAAAUAUUUUAUACUAACAGUUUAGUGUCAAAUGACAAUUCUCAGGAAGGAAUUCUUAGUAUGAAGAAUUGAUUAUGUCAACAACAAAACUAUGAUUUUAUAUUAAGAGCUAAAUAUAUCAAUUUCGAAUUUAUUUUAUUGACACCAAUACAUGAAAUAAUAAUCAUAGAUAAAGUUUAUUUCUUCAGAAUAUUUAUCUUCUUAUUGAUUUAUGAGCUUUUGUAUUCCUUUUGUUAACACUUAACAAGAUUUUGUAUUGAUUAUUUAUGCUAAUAUAGGUAUUUUUCUUAUGUAUCUAGUAAUUUAUUUAAUUAAAAAAAUUAUUUGUUGUUGUAUAAUUUAAAUUUUACUAAUUAGUAAAUUAAAUUAUUUGUUACGUCACUAUGAAUUUUGCGAGAAUAAAAUACAGUUAUGACAUAAAUUUUAUUUUUAUGGGUUAAUCGUAGUAAAAACACUUCGACAAGUACAGUAAAACCUCUAGAAAUUAAUAAUGUUGGGACUAGCAAAUUUUAUUAAUUUAGAGAGAUAUUAAUUUAUCAAUAAAUUAAUAAUUAUUAAUUUAUAGAGAGAUUUUACUAAUUUUGUAAUUUCUUAAAAACAUUUCUAUCUAAAAAUAAUUUUCUUCCCUAUAAGUAAUAUCUUUUAAAAACUAAUUACAAGUAGAUAAGUAAUUAUUAAGUUUAAAAAAACUACACAAACUAUUUUCGUAUAAUAGAGUCAUAUUUUAUUAAANNNNNNNNNNNNNNNNNNNNNNNNNNNNNNNNNNNNNNNNNNNNNNNNNNNNNNNNNNNNNNNNNNNNNNNNNNNNNNNNNNNNNNNNNNNNNNNNNNNNNNNNNNNNNNNNNNNNNNNNNNNNNNNNNNNNNNNNNNNNNNNNNNNNNNNNNNNNNNNNNNNNNNNNNNNNNNNNNNNNNNNNNNNNNNNNNNNNNNNNNNNNNNNNNNNNNNNNNNNNNNNNNNNNNNNNNNNNNNNNNNNNNNNNNNNNNNNNNNNNNNNNNNNNNNNNNNNNNNNNNNNNNNNNNNNNNNNNNNNNNNNNNNNNNNNNNNNNNNNNNNNNNNNNNNNNNNNNNNNNNNNNNNNNNNNNNNNNNNNNNNNNNNNNNNNNNNNNNNNNNNNNNNNNNNNNNNNNNNNNNNNNNNNNNNNNNNNNNNNNNNNNNNNNNNNNNNNNNNNNNNNNNNNNNNNNNNNNNNNNNNNNNNNNNNNNNNNNNNNNNNNNNNNNNNNNNNNNNNNNNNNNNNNNNNNNNNNNNNNNNNNNNNNNNNNNNNNNNNNNNNNNNNNNNNNNNNNNNNNNNNNNNNNNNNNNNNNNNNNNNNNNNNNNNNNNNNNNNNNNNNNNNNNNNNNNNNNNNNNNNNNNNNNNNNNNNNNNNNNNNNNNNNNNNNNNNNNNNNNNNNNNNNNNNNNNNNNNNNNNNNNNNNNNNNNNNNNNNNNNNNNNNNNNNNNNNNNNNNNNNNNNNNNNNNNNNNNNNNNNNNNNNNNNNNNNNNNNNNNNNNNNNNNNNNNNNNNNNNNNNNNNNNNNNNNNNNNNNNNNNNNNNNNNNNNNNNNNNNNNNNNNNNNNNNNNNNNNNNNNNNNNNNNNNNNNNNNNNNNNNNNNNNNNNNNNNNNNNNNNNNNNNNNNNNNNNNNNNNNNNNNNNNNNNNNNNNNNNNNNNNNNNNNNNNNNNNNNNNNNNNNNNNNNNNNNNNNNNNNNNNNNNNNNNNNNNNNNNNNNNNNNNNNNNNNNNNNNNNNNNNNNNNNNNNNNNNNNNNNNNNNNNUAAUAAUUAUUAAUUUAUAGAGAGCUUUUUACUAAUUUUGUAAUUUCUUAAAAACAUUUCUAUCUAAAACUAAUUUUUUUCCCCCCCCCCCCAAUAUCUUUUAAAAACUAAUUACAAGUAGAUAAGUAAUUAUUAAGUUUAAAAAAACAACACAAACUUUUUUCGAAUAAUAGAGUCAUAUUUUAUUAAAUUUUUUACAUAGAAUAUUUUAAAUAUAUAUCAUAGUAAUUCAGAUAUGACAUAUAUAAAUUUAUAUCAUAUAUAUAUAUAUAUAUUGAUAAGUUUAUACAAUUAUUAAUUUAUGAUAUCGAUGGGACCAUAUGUUUAUAUGAGAUUUUCAAAAAAAUUAUUAUCUUAUUAAUUUAUCGAUUUAUGUCAUAUUUUACACUGGUCCUAACUCGGGACCGGAAUAAUUUAUUAAUUUAGAGAGGUUAUUAAUUUAUAGAGGUUUUACUGUAUAUGCUAUACCUUAUAAAUACAACGCAUAUAAAGGUUUAGAGAUACCAUAAGAAAAGUGGAAAGGAAGGACACGGAUUUGGAGAGGCCAAAACUCAGCUUAUCGUUCUCUAUUGAAGGCGAUAAAAUUUUUGAUGCAAAGUUGUUUGUGUCUAGAUUCAUAAUCAGGAUAAGACUUUGAAUAUUAGCUUUGAUAGUUAUGGGACAUGCACAUCUGUGAAAUUUUGGUUCUGCAGUUUCUCACUUGACUCUCUAUCUAUGAAAAACAUUGAACAUUGUUCCAUUUGAAUGAUUAAGAAGAUUUUACGAAGCUACGAGUUUCUUCCAACAAAGAAUCGUCGCAUUUUUGAAGACUAUAUCAAAAAACUAUUGCACACAAGGUCAAGUUGGUUGAUUGCGGAUUUUGGUAUUCAGUAUUGUUACAAGUCCAUUGUCAUUACAAAAACAAGGUCAAAAUACUUGGUUCGAGUAAUCGGCUAGACUGAUUUCUCAUUAGUUAGAAAUCAUAAACUGUGUAAACAUCGAUCAACUAGUUUUAAGCACUACAUCUUUCGAGAACUUUAGUUAUCAUUACUACGAAACCCAAAAUGAUAUAACUAUAAGCAUUGUAGUACCACUUAUAGAUUUGUUAAAAUUGACCUAAAGUAUCCAUCAAUGACACAAAGAUAUGGGAUAAUUUUACAUUUUAGUGGUAAAUUUAAACCAAAACCUAAUAUCAGCGAAACUACUGCUAAAGUUUCAGAUGUACCCCUUCAAUUGCUGCUGCAUCCUUGAAGAAGAUAGGCGGCUUUGGUACGAACCUGUUAAUAACCACGGAACCAAAACCGUUACCCGGUAAUUAAAGACAUGAAUCAAAGUUAAAAAGAUAAUAAAAAGUUUUGAUGUGAUCCGCUAUCUACUCACUUUCGAUGCAUAAGACCGAAGAUCGGUGCUGUUGAUCUGACAAGAACAGUUUCUGAGAAACACAGCCCACAUGUCCCUCAGUACCGGCUUUUCUUCUACCAAUGUACUGGAGAAGAGCCAGUUCUCCGCCAAUACCACGGAAAUGUAAGUUUUGAAUAGGUUACAACUUUUCUCCUUCACAUUGAUAGACAUCAGAGAGCUCAACAAAUUUUCGUCGCUGUCCUGUUAACAGAUAAUCAAGACCAGAGAAUGUAUAAACGCCUUGUUUGCUACAAUCUUAACUUGUUGGUAUUAUCUUAUAAUUUAGUUCAUGGUUGGUUACCUUAUGAUCAAGUAAAACAACGAGCAUUUGAUGUGCGAUGGAACUUCUCAGAUGCUUGCUUCGAGCAUCAACACCUGAUACAGAUUCCACUACCCUCAAACAAUUCAUGUCUUGAGGUACUCUGCAGAUGCAUCAAACGAGAAGCGAAAACUGCGUAAGUUGAUUAAAAGAUAAGACAUAUCACCAAGAAUGUUUCAAGAAAGUAAGAGGUUGAACCUGGAAGCAAGAGAGUUUGCUAUUUCCUUGCAGCUUGAAACCCAUUCUUCCUCUUUAAAGGAUCCAAUAACAGAUAUUAAGCAUUCUUGUAAGAGAAGUGAAAGACCUAGAAGACCGCGAUCUAAUAGCAGCAAUACAAGGAUUUCCGCUAUCUCUUCAACUUGUGAAGUGGAAAAAAUGGGAUUUUUACACGUGAAUCAUAAAGCAACAGAGAAGGCGUGAGUAAUCAAAAUGUAUGUGAGGAGAACGUCUUUGCUAAUCCGUAAAAGAGAGGAGUUUUUCGCCACAAACCUAAUUUGACAACAAGUUGUGACCAGUGUGAGCCAAGCUCUAAUAUUCUGUGGAGGACCUUGAGAGUCAGAAUCUUCAAAGCCAAAAGUUAGCGGACUUCAGUAGUAUUAUAAAACCUAAAGAAAAAAUAACCGCCAAUUAAAGAACAGGGAGAAACAGGAAACUCACCCGCGUCUGCUAGUUCAACGUCUUGUGACAGGCUAAUUCUGAAGCCAUAUGAUUCAAGAGCUUCUUUAAGUUCCUGAUAGUUAGGAAGCCAGUAAAUUUCAACAGGAGCUCCAUUAACCUGAUUAAACCACAUUGGUUAAAAACCAACGAGUCAGCUUCAGUCAAAAGAUAAUGUAGUAAGCUAUGCAAGCUCACGAAAGAAAGAAAGUACCUUGUUUUGUGAUAACAGUAUGGAACACCAAAAGUCACAAGCAGAUGAUCUUAGAUCUUCUUUAGAUGAAUACAACACUGGUAAGUCCCAAAACAUCAAAAACCAUAGAGUAAGCCAAAGUCCAUAGAAUAAACAAAGUUAAAGAGAGAGCUAGGACACGCACAUAUAUUAAGUGUCCACUUGCAUAUGAACUUUUCCACACGCGCACAAGUCAAGAUCAGUCUUGUGAGCCAGCCAUUAACCAGCAAUCCUUCAAGAAAUGUUGUUCCUGAAUUGUACAAGAAACCAAUUACUUUAAAAACCGGAAAAAAGAAUAUCAAAGGCAAUGAGGUCAUAGACAACAAACCUUCAUCUACGGUAAGAUCCACGACCAAAUUUAACUGAUUACUCAUAAACUCUUUCAACAAGCAGCAACUAUCGAGAUCAACAUGCGGUGAAGGUAUUGGAAUUUUCUGCAUAGUAACAUACAAGUACAAAUCUUUACUUACUCUAAAACAACAUUUAACAUAGUGAAUAACAAUCAGCCUAACCUGAUCUCCAAACAAAGAUAAUCCCCAAUCUUGAUUCUCCUCUUCACCAGCUAUCUCAUUCAUCUAAUAACACAACAAUCACCACCAAACAUUACACAUCAAAAUGUAAGAUGAUAAACAUAGAAAGAUAUGAUUUUUUUACUCAUACCUGAUUCUGACACUCAUCAACACAUUGAGAAAGCAAAUCCACUUGGCCUUGUUCAUCAUCAUCCGAAUGAUAAACCUUAGAGACUUUGCGUUUCUUGUUUACCUUGUCAAUAACCUUACUCUUCUCUUUAUAAAAAUCAGAUAGAAGAUCGUCCAAACCAAUAACUUUCUUCCUGUUUUUGUGACAUAACAAAAAUUUAAGCUUUGUGUCGACAAAGGAGCAAACUUUUCAUUUACCCUAAACAAAAAGAACCCAAAUUUCAGAAUUCAACAACAAGGAUUAGAUUCUCUAGAAAACCCUAAUUUACAAAAGACUCAAAAUUUCAUUACAAUGACAACAAUGAAGAGAAAUUCGACACAACAGAAGUCGGAAAAUGGGUAAUUAGCGGUUGAUAAAAAAAGGAUUGACCUUUUUUCAAUUGUCGGUGGAGGGUUAACCAGAGGAUCUUCGUUCUCGAAAUCAAGAGGUCCAUCCAAAUCCAUCGUUAAUUAAUCUCUCUUCUUCUUUCUCUGACUUGGGGCUUAUUCAAGCUUCUUCUCCUUCAGACGAAACCCUUAAAAGUUGAACUUUUGCAGCUUUGGGAAGCGCGCAAAAGGGGCAAGUGUUUAAAAGAGUCAAACACUUUUGGUUUUUUAAUUGACGAACAACACUUGCAGUUUCGAAUAGGUUUUGUUUUGUGUAGGCAUUAGCGUUCGGAUUCGGAUCAGGUUCGGAUCGGAUUUUUCGGAUUUAGAAAACUAAGAUCCGUUCGGAUAUUAUAAAACUUCGGGUUCAGGUCAGAUUCGGGUCGGAUAUUUCGGGUUUGGAUUCGGGUUUAUCCGAAGUAUCCAAAUAUUAAAAAAUUUGUAUAAAAUUAUAUCCGAUUCUAUGCAAAGUAUUGAAAAAUACUCAAAAAUCUAUAACUCAAGUAUUUUUUAUUCGAAUCUAGCCAAAAGUAGCUAAAACACCCAAAAAUAUCUUAACAUCUGAAUAAUUUAGGCGUUUAGGUUAUUACAAGUAAAAAUAUUACUAUUAUAUUAUAACUAUGUACUUCUAUUUCGGGUAUGUUCGGGUACUUGUUCGGAUUCGGGUUCAGAUCGGGUUCGGAUUUGGGUUUUCGGGUUGUGAAGUUUAGAACCCGUUCGGGUAUUUUAAAACUUCGGAUUCGAGUUCGGAUCGGGUUUUUCGGAUCGGAUUCGGUUCGGUUCUUCGUAAUAAUUUUUAAAACAAUAAAAAAGCAAAAAACACUUUAAAAAAAAAACACAUUUUAGGUUCAAUAUUUAUGGGUGAAGCAAACAAAAAAGGUAAAAAUAUGUGAUGAAUUGUAUUAAAAAACGUAAGAAGUAAAAAACUAUUAUAAAAUUUAAAGGGUUUAAAUACAAAUUAAUAAUUUUUAGAGGGUCAUAACAGAAGAAAUAUAAACAAUACUAUGAAUCUUAAAGGACUGUAACAUAAUUUCAGAAUUUUAGGAGGGUCAAAAGAGAAAGAAAUAUAAACAAUACUACAAAUCUUAAAGGACUAUAACACAAUUUCAGAAUUUUAUGUGGGUCAGCUGACCCCCUUUAAGUCUUAGUGGGUCCGCCCCUGAUGGUGGUGGAACUUCAACAGCUUCAUCAAAGAAUCUUGGAGAUCUAGAAGUUCCAUGAUCUAUUAUGUAUUUAUGUAGUUUAUGGAAUCCAACUUUAUGAAACUAGUAAUGUGUUAACUACAAAGAGUGAGAUGUUGGGGUAAGUUGGGUUUAUAAAAAAACAAAACUAAAAGAAGACACGUAUUUGAAUCACCCCAAAUUAGAUGUUGUAUCCGCCCAUAUGCGACCAUGUUACACAUGAACCAAGAUUUUCUUUUGCAAGUGAAUUUAAUUUUCCAAACUCUACCUGCAAAAUUUGUUUGAUGUGAAUAUAAAUCUGAAAGCGGACUUUCCCUUUCACAGCCAGAAGUCAUAAACUCGUAAUAUAGGACAUUUUUUCUCAAAAGAGUGACAAAUGUGUCGUAACUAAUUUUGGCUCCAUCACUUGAACAUCCAAAUAUUACACGAGAGUUCAUGCUCAAAGGGGCAAAUAGGUAAAUCAACAACUAAUCGGCGUGCAUUAUCCAUAGUUGGUGAGAGUGAGACAGACACGAGUGCGACUUCGAAUAUGACACCUAUAACGAAUGUAACAUUCCAACUCGUGAUCAUGAACGUGAUGUUUUGGCAUGUUAUGAGAUUAUCACAUGAUUACUAAUACUUUUUUUUUAGUAUAACCGACAAAAGAAGUGCUUAAACAACUUGUCCUGAAUUAAAGAGAAGUAAACCAAGUUGAGAAAGACUAAAGAAAUUAAACGGCUCUUUUCUAUUAAUUUAUUCAACUAUAAUUCAAGUUACAAAUACAAUUUGUAUGAUAAUUAUUUACCAACAAAUUCAACAGCUUUUCUUGAAUCAGACUCGGAUUCAGUACUCUCCCUAAACUUCUUGUAAAUAUCACCUUUGUAAAACUCUCUCGUCCUUAUCGCUAGACCCAAAGAUACAAGUGCUCCAAAGAACGUUACUGCUGCCAAAAUCACAAACGGUAGCUUAUAACAUUGACUUCCUAAGCAAGUCAAGUCCUUUACGUCUUUUCGAGUUAGCCCUCGAGCCGUUAGUUGCUUCAAGGCCUCUCUAUCGUAAAGCAUUCCCGUGACGCGGACGUUUAGGAUGUAUGACCCGAGCGGGCUAGCAAGUUGUCCACAAUUGAACAAUGUAGAGUAGUACUUGAGUCCAAAGAGUUCUGAGAUGAUGGCAAAGAGCAGAGGAAGUUGUGCACCGAAAGAGAAUCCCAUUAGAAUCGACGCUAUAUAUACCGAGCCUGGUACCGGGAAGGCGAUGAGAAGGUGCCCCGCACAACUCAAUAAGAGGACUAAUGUCAUCAUAAGCGGCCGGGGUAACUUAUACUUGGCAAGCAAGUAUUCUGAGACAAAACCUGAGAACACUCGACCAAAGUAAUUCCAUAUGCUGACUAGAGACACAAAAGAGCUAACCGUGUGGUUCGGGUAGCCUAGAGAUUCUCCUAUUUGCCCGAGGUUGUCUACUGCAGUCAAGCUCGAUCCUAAACCACAGAAUGUCGCCACAAAUAGUAUUAUCAUGUCGGUGCUGAGCAAUGCUUGCAAUAUUGUGUAAUCUUCCCCUCUUGGCGGUGGAGAAAACACCGUCAAGAAACAAGAUUUCGUCUCCUUCUCUUCUCCAUCCACCUUGGCGGUUUUGUCUUGAACAAGAUCAAGUUCUUUCUUCGGUUUCUCAACCUUGACCUCGCUCGGCUCUUCGAUAGGUAACUUCUUCAUGUUCCAAACUUCAAUCUCUUGUUUAACCGAAACCGUAAGAGGCACAAAAAGCAAAACACAACAUAUCGUAGCGCUUGCCGCAUAAGCGGCUUUCGAGAAAUGAACUUGCUUCUCAGCAAUGUUCAUUGCCAUAAGGAACAAAGCCAAGAAUAUAGAAAUAUAAAGGAAUUGGUAAAACACACUGAGCUCAUUCCUCUGCCUCACAACCUUCUUCUCUCUUAUCAAAUACACAAAUACGAGAGAAACCGCAGCAGGCAACCAUGCUAUCAACAAAAUCAAAGACUUUGAAUCGUGUCCAUAGAUCGCAAAAUAAAGCUGCGUCAAGAUUGCGCCACUUAGUCCAACAUAACCCUUAAGCAAACCAAGCAUAACUCCUCUGCUCUCAGGGAAAUUCUUAACACAAGUAACCAAAGCUCCGGUGUUUGCAAAGUUCUGCGAGUUAGCUCCUAUGCAAAUAUAAAGACACAUUUGCCAAACCUUUGGCUUCGCGACUUUGCCUGUGACGGUAAGCCAAAUCAUGAAGUAACCGACGAAGUUCAUCGCCGAGCCAAUGGUGAGGACGAACCAAGUCGGUGUGACCUCUGCUAUGAGUCCGGACAAGACUCCAACGUUAGCUCCAAGAUCUUUAAAGAAACCUAAGAGGUUCAACGUUGUCUGGUCGUAACCAAGUGUAGAUUUGAUAUCUUUAGAGUAAGUCCCGAAAAGAUAAGUGGCUCCAGCGCAAGCCAUGAUGAGGAACGAAGCAAACACCAUGAACCAUCUUCCAUUAAAGAAGUGAAUCAAGAAUCGUACGGUCUCGUCGUUUCCCAUCUUGGAAACCCGAGUGUGAGGCUAAUAUCAAGAUAUCUUUGAAAGUGAAUCUUGAAAAGAUUUGAGUCUCUUUCAAGAUUUUCUUGAUUGAGAAAUGGAGAAACUUGGCUGAUCCAGAAUAAGAGAACAAACUAAGAGAGAGAGAUAAAUGAUUAGAGUACAGAAAGAGAGUCUCAGGGCUAUAAAGUAGAUCAGAGGAAUAGAGGAAUUUGUUUAUAUGUAAGUAUAUCGAAGAGAGGGCUGAUUGUCGGAAAGUUUUGAGGGAGAUUUGACCAUUUUAUUGUAGCUUAGAAAAGAUAAAGAUUGACCAUUAUAUCUGUCUUUUCUAUAUUUGUCUUUUUGUUUGAAAUUAUUGUCCAAACUCCAAAGAUAAGGAGAUAUUAUCUUCCUAAUAAAGUGUCCAACUAAGAGUGCCAAAAAAUUAGUGUGUCCAUCUAAGCUCAACUAUCUCCAUAUAGAAUGUCCAACAAAGCAAAACUAGACAAUUUUACACUAAACUAGAAAUAAAAUGUUUACUUAAUUCGUUCUUUUUUUUUUUUUUUUUUGACCACAUAAAUUUCAACAAAUUUUAGAAGACACAAGAAAAUCAAGUACUAUAAAUAAUAACAAAUGAAAUACUAACUUCAUGAAAUAAGAAAUUUUAAAAUUGUAAUGUUAGUUGAAUAGAAAGUAAAAAAAAAAAAUUAUAUAUAGGUAGUAUUUUUUUGUAAUAACUAAUAAUCAUUUUAUACAAUUUUCAAUCGAAAAUGCGUAUUUAACAUUGAUCCUAUUUGUUUCAGAUAUAAGAUUCAUUUGAUCAUUUAAUUAAUAUUGAAAAUAAUAAAUAUAUAAGAUUCAUUUUUCCAAUUUGUUAUGUUUUUCCUUAAGUUUUUCUAAUUUUUUAGUUAAAUGUUUUACAAAUUUAUAAUUGUUGCUUUUAUCUAAAAUAAGUAAUACUAAAUAUUUUUUAAAUUGGCUAGUACCAGAAAAUGUCGUCCGUUAAACCAAAAAAGUGCCGAAAUGUAUGGUUAUGGUGUUGCAUACAUGUCUUAUGCAAAUUGGUGAAUAUCACUAUAAUUUAGCAAUUGUUUGUGUAGUUUCUAAAACACUAAAUUAGUGUAUGUAUGUAUUUGGAUUUAGGCUCAAAAGAUUUGAAUGGAGAAGAUGGUAUUAUGAUAUUUAAAGGGAAAAAAAGGGAGAAGGAAACCCAUACAAAAUUAGACAACCCUAAAUUUUCUGCCAAAAGAAGGCCUUAAGCGAGUGUUUCAUAUUUUUUAACUACAGCACAAUGGGCCUCAAUGCCCAUGUUCGUGUUAGUGUAUUUAGUAAUUAAAAAAAAAUGCAACAUGUGGAAUAAUUUCAACGAUACAAAACAAACCAAACGGAUUAGAUUAAUCGCUAACCACCUAUCUCCUACAGUUUUUAUGCUAUGACCUUAUCUUAAUUGUUAUAUGUAUUAUGUCAUUCCAACUUAGCCAAGCAACCUCUUGAAAGUGACUUUAUACCUUAUAUUAUCUGGUUUGUUAUAUAUAUAAUACGUAAUUUGCGAUUGGACACUAAUGCUAACACUAAACUAUCUACACAUACAUUAUCUAUAUAUAUGCGGUCGGUUUGCAAAUCAUUAAUAGUUUAUGAUAAGUUGAUAACCGAACAUGGACUUCUCUUACCUUUUCUUUUUACAUAAACAAAAAGGUGUAGAAAAUGAGUGGUUGGUCAAGUUUGCCUUUUCUAAUAAGCUCUGAAAUACGUAACUCGUAAGUAUUAAACAAAAGUUAAAAAAAAAAAGGUAUUACAAAAAAGCUAACAAAUAAAAAACAUAGUAUUGAAUAAAACUCGUUUUGGAUGAGGAUUUCUAGCUCCAAAAGCGUACUUUUUAAGUUGAGAAUGUGUAUGACUAGAAUACGUAAGUACAAUUGUGGAUAGUAUGUUGUUUCUGGAAAUUUCUGAUCAAUUAGUAAAGGAUUCGUGGUGGUAUGUACUCGUGAAAAUAUUUAUAAAUUGUUACAUAAACUUACAAAUAACUAAAUGAGAGAGGGUUCAUGUUCUAUUAGAAAAAGGAAUACAUAAUUAUAGUCAUGGGCGUUCGGUUAUCUGAUCGGUUAUCAGUUCGGUUCCAUUCGGUUUCGGAUAUUUCGGUUCUAAAAUUUAGUAUCAAUUUGGGUAUUUUGAAAUUUUGGUUCGGCUUCAGUUCGGUUCCGGUUCUUUCGGUUUUAAAAUUUAGUAUCCAUUCGGUUAUUUUGCUUUGGAUAUUUUCGGAUAUUUCGGUUAUUUUUGGGUAUUUUCGAAUAUUUUUGGAUAUUUUCCGGUUAUUUUCGAGUAUUUUUACUAAUUAUAUAUUUUUCAAAGUAUUUAUUAUUAUUUGGUCAAUAAAUAACUAAUAUUUUUGAAAUAUAAUUGUAUUUCGGAUAGUUUCGAUUCAGUUACGGUUCUUUUGGUUAUAGAAUUUAGUUUUGGUUCGUUUUUUUUGCUACGGUUUUUGGUUCGGUUUAUUUGCCUAGGCCUACAUAAUUAUAGUGCAGACUGCAGACCAUUACAUAAUUAGGGGAUUGUAUCCUUUAAGGAAACGGAGAGGUGAUUCAACAUCAUUUUGAUUUCUUCUUUGUCUUCUAAACUUUUGUUGUUGUUGUUUCGAGCAACAUUUAACAGAAAUUUUUUAAACUGAAAAAUGAACAUCUAAAAAUCUUAUGAAAAUUAACCACAACGAUGUUCUUAGACUUCUACAUACUUGCUGACUAUCUGUUAGUGCCACCUAAUAUACUUAUCUGGCUUGAUUGGAUCGAAAAUAUCAAUCCAUACAAUUAUUAUAGAAGCCAAAGAAAAUUGGUUGAUGAGUUAUUUUCUAAGUGUAUACAAAUUUCUUUCUUUCAAAUCUCUUAAUACUGUAUCAUUAAAUAAUCUAAUAAAGCUUUUAAAAUAUUUUUUUGGAUAAGUAUAAGUUCUUAUAAAACUAUUUUUGUAUACUUCUCCAUUUUUCAAAAUUCAUUUAUAUUAUACUUACUUUUUCAAAUUAUCAACCGUUUUUACAUGUUUUGUAUAAUAAUUAAUAAUUACUCCUACCUUACAAACGAAUAAAACUUUUACUAUGUUCGCUGAUUAAAUUUUUGUUAUAUCAUUAUAUGUUUCAUAAGUUUAUUACCUAAUUAUUGACUUUUAUAUGUUUUGUUAUAGUAAACAAACAGCAAAAACAAAAUCUACAUGUCCUAAAUGAUAGUCUGAUUUUCAUCCAUAAUUCUCUGGUUUUUGAAAAUUAAUGAUUGUGUUGUAUGAAAAAUGUUCAUUGGUUCGACUAAUUUUUUAUUCAUCAUAUAUAUCUUAUUAAAAAGAAAUUAACAAAAUUUGGUGGCUACAAUGGUUCAAGACUUCAGGGGAUGUGCCUUUAGUCAAGUGGUUAAGUCCAUUUGUCUCCGUCUUCCCCACCGGAGUUCGAUUCCACUAAGUCGCGUUACGUAGUCUUUAAAUAAAAAUUUGCGGCUUAAAUCAAUCUUCUCUAGUAUGUAAAAAAAAAAAAAAGUAGAAGUUUUUAAAUUAGUAUAUUACUAACUUAUGAAAAUACUUUAGUUACAAGAUAGAGUAUGAAAAAAAAAAAUUAUUGGAAUGCAAAUUCUUGAAUUUCAAUUGUUUAAAAACUAUAAAUUUCUACAUAACAAAACUUUUUUUACUAAAAGUAAUAAUUUUUCGGCUAUGCGUUAUGUGUAUAUCAAUUAAAAAGAUAAUGUACAAUUUUCCAAAAAUAUAUAUCUUGAAUAGUACGUAACAACACGACACAUAACAAACAUACCCGAUUAGUUGGACCAAACCGAGAGCAAUAUCAUUGAUUCCCCAAAGUGGUUAUUUUUAGGAGUCGUAUUCGACGAACAACCUCAUACUCGCCUAACAUAGAUAAAUUUUCUUUUGAAUACUUCGGUUAACCCUAACCAAGAUUUGUUUUCUUGCUUUUUAUAUACUCAAUACAAUACAUAUACGUGCUCCUUUAGCAAUAUUUUCAUAUUUAUUAUUUCUUUUAAAUAUUAUCAUGAUUCUUUUUCUUUCGUCAUGUUUGGCCUCUUUAAUAGUAUAUUUCUUGAAUAGAAUGAGCAUUAAUCCAAUAGCGUCCUGAUCCCAAAAACCUCAUAUUUAGGUUCGAGAGCCCGAAAAUAUACUUUUUAAAUAAAGCAGUUAAGUGUCAUACUUUUUCUUUUCUUUUUUUGUUUAAGUGUCAUACUUAUUACUUUAACAAUGAGCAAAAUUUGUCAUUAUAUAUUGUCACUUUGAGAUGUAAGGUUAAUGCAGAGAGAUUGAGUCUCUUUACAUGUGUAGUCAUAUAAUAAAUUUUUAUGCCAUAUAUAUUACUAUGAAAUAGGAUUUCCGGACAAUAGCGAAAGGGAAAGUAUACAAAGAAAUAAGAUCUUAAGACCAGAAAAUAGAAAAGAGAACUAGCAACGGGUGUUAAGAGAACGAAGGAUCCAGAACUUUAACAUCUACAUCUCCUACGUAAGACUUGGACAAUCUCCAUGUCAUUUUUUUUUAAUCUCCAUGUAUUUUUUAUAUAAUCUGUACAAAAAUACGACUUUUUAGCAUAUGAAAGUACUAAUAACUAGAAAGCAAAAAACAAUGAGAAAAAGAAAACACGAAAUAAAAAGAAAUGAAGAAAUUAUUAGAAAUUUGAAUGGUUUAAUAUCUCUUAAGAGUCAACAAAAAAUAAAAGAUUAAAGAGAUAGUCUUCAUCAAUCUUUCUCCAACUUCUUCUAUUGUUGUUCCACCUUCACCAUUCCUUAAUCUCCACUUUAUCUCCCAAACCCGAAUCCGAAAACUCCUCUUCAACAACUUAAAACCCUUUUAACUAAUCCCAACUAUCAGAUGAUUCGAAUUCAACAACCAACUCCGACCAUAAGAUUCAUUCCGGCAAAACAAGAACCAUGAUAACACAGAAACAAAGAAGAACAGAGAAAAGUCUCUGUUUAAAACAUUACUACAAAUGGUUCCUCUGUUUUUUCCUUACUCUUUAUUUUCUUGCUUCCUUCUUUGUCGACCAUGAUCAAGAUCACGAUCAUGAUCAAAGGUCUUCUUCUUCCCGAUCAAACCCUCUUCUUACUAACUCUAAACCCAAACUUUUCGCUUCUCGUGCCAUGUUUGAAUCUAAAAUCCAUGAUCACAAACUUGGGUUUGCCCCUCAACGUCCCAACAUAAGAACAGGUACAUAUAUAUAGAUGAACCAUCAUGUUUUCUCAUAGAAUUUAUUUUCGUAAAGUAUCCGUAUAAUGGGAAGAAUAUCCGGUGCAUCGGGAUUAGUCUAGUUCAUGUUUUAGUUGUCCGCUCAAGUUGAACAAUCUUCUCUUAUCAUGACAAUAUUUUUGGUUGUUUAAAUUUUCUUUGUAGAUGUAUUCAACAAUUUGAAGAUCUACGUCUAUGACUUGCCUUCAAAGUUCAACAAAGACUGGUUAGCCAAUGAUAGGUGUAGCAACCACCUCUUUGCCGCGGAGGUAGCUCUCCACAAGGCGUUUCUCAGCCUCGAAGGAGACAUACGGACAGAAGAUCCAUACGAAGCCGAUUUCUUCUUUGUUCCUGUCUAUGUCUCUUGCAACUUCAGCACCAUCAAUGGUUUUCCAGCUAUUGGUCACGCGCGAACACUCAUCAAUGACGCGAUUAAGUUCGUCUCGACUCAAUACCCGUUUUGGAAUCGAAAUAAUGGCUCUGACCACGUCUUCACCGCCACACAUGACUUUGGCUCUUGCUUCCACACCAUGGUUAGUUCAAAAUGAUUUGCCAAGUUGUAUACAUAUUUAUUUAUACUGAAUUUUUUUAUUUUUUUUUGUGAAGGAGGAUAGAGCAAUUGCUGAUGGAGUACCAAAGAUUUUGAGAAGCUCUAUAGUUUUGCAAACAUUUGGUGUUACUUUUAACCAUCCAUGCCAAGAGGUAGAGAACGUGGUGAUACCACCGUACAUCUCACCGGAAAGUUUACACAAGACUCUAAAGAAUAUUCCGGUAAAUAAAGAACGAGACAUUUGGGCUUUUUUCCGCGGCAAGAUGGAACUUCAUCCCAAAAACAUCAGUGGACGCUUCUAUAGCAAGUAAAAGAAACUCUUAUAGCAAUCUCUAUAUCUAAAUUUUUUUCUAUAACCAAAAUAUUUCGGCCCGCUUCUCGUCAUCGGUGUUCGAACUUGUGACCUUGAAAACUCUCCUUCAUACCAACUAAUACACCGGUUGAACAAACGAUGUAUAAGACUUUAUAUAUUGAACUACAUUUUUUCACCUAUCAGGCGAGUAAGGACGAAGAUAUGGCGGAGUUACGGUGGUGACCGGAGGUUUUAUCUUCAACGGCAACGAUUUUCCGGUUACCAGUUAGAAAUAGCUCGUUCUGUUUUCUGUUUGUGUCCUCUCGGGUGGGCACCGUGGAGCCCAAGACUUGUUGAAUCGGUGGCUCUUGGCUGUGUACCAGUGAUUAUAGCCGAUGGGAUCCGUUUGCCGUUCCCUUCCGCCGUGCGUUGGCCGGAUAUUUCGCUCACGGUGGCAGAGAGAGACGUUGGAAAGCUAGGGGAUAUUUUGGAACACGUGGUGGCAACUAAUUUGUCAGUUAUACAGAGAAACUUGGAGGAUCCGUCUGUUAGGCGGGCCCUUAUGUUUAAUGUUCCUUCAAGAGAGGGAGAUGCCACGUGGCAAGUUUUGGAGGCUUUGUCAAAGAAAUUGAAUAGGUCUGUUAGAAGGUCAAACUCUUUCUUGUAAACCAAUAAAUUUUGACACGUGAAUAUUAUUUUUCUGGGGUAACUUUGUGUAUAUUACUACUCUGAGAAUUAAAAUUGGAAUCUAUAUAAUCAUAACGAUCCGGAUAAAGAGAAAAUUCUAACAAAAAAAAAACCCCAACUAUUUGCCAGAAAAAAACCUGAAUUUUUUUUGUUGCCCGAAAAAAACCUAAACUAAUUUACUGCUGGAAAAAAUAACACGAACUUUUUUUUUUCCCAAUUUACUCUCGUCUCCGUUACGGAUGUUAACGCCGUCGUUGACACCGUUACUAUUUUUUCAAAAAUUCCUUAAAAACACCUAAGUUAUUUAAUUUUGCCAAAAAAAUACAUGAAUUAUUUUUUUUGUUGCCAGAAGAAUACACUGAUCAACAUUUUUCUCCAAUUCUUUUAUUUCAUUAACAAUGUAAGUUUUCACUAUUAUUUAGGAGAAUUAAAUUUAAGAACAAAAAUAUACAAUUAGAUUAGUCAAUUUUCAAAAUUCUCAAUUAGAUUUGUUUUGGAUCUAUUCAGACUUUACAAAUUUUGAGACAUCAUCAACAAUGAAACUCCAAAUUUCAUCCCCAAAAACCUUAUUAGAUCUUCAAAAAUUCUCUACAUAAAUCGCAAAAAAAAUACUCAAAUCCCCAAAAAUACACUGAUCAACAUUUUUCUCCUCUUUUUUUAUUUCAUUAACAAUGUAAAGUUAGACCUCAUAACUUUAUGUGUUCUCUUGAACUUCAUACAAGUUCUCACUACUAUUAGACUAAUCGAUUUUUCAAUUUUCCAAUUAGAACAAAACUCACAAUUACAUUAGUUGAUUCCCCAAUUUCCUAACUAGAACAAAAAAACACAAUUAGAUUAAUCAUUUUUUUAGCGUUGAAUUCGUUUGAUUAAGCUAGCUUUAGCUUCAAUUUUGGUGGAUUUUGCUUAUUUGAGUAUUUUUUUUUUGCGAUUUAUGUAAAGAAUUUUUGAAGAACUAAUAAGGUUUUUGGGGAUGAAAUUUGGAGUUCCAUUGUUGAUGAUAUCCCAAAAUUUGUAAAGUCUGAAUAGAUCCAAAAAAAAAUCUAAUUGAGAAUUUUGAAAAUCGACUAAUCUAAUUGUAUAUUUUUGUUCUUAAUUCUAAUUCUCCUAAAUAAUAGUGAAAACAGAAAACUUUUAUGAAGUUCAAGAGAACACACCAAUUUAUCAGCUUUCGACGCCUUACAUUGUUGAUGGAAGACAAAAAGAGAAGAAAAAUAUUGAUCUAUGUAUUUUUCUGGCAACGAACAAAUAAUUCGGGUAGUUUUCUGGCAAAAUUAAAUAAGUUGGGUUUUUUCCAAGAAUUUUCACAAAAAAUAGUAACGGCGUCAACGACGGCGUUAACGCCCGUAACGGAGACGAGAGUAAAUUGGAAACCAAAAACAGUUCGUGUUUUUUUUUUCAGCGGUAAAUUAGUUUGGGUUUUUUUCCGACAACGAAAAAAGUUCAGGUUUUUUUCUGGCAAAUAUUAAAUAGUUGGGGUUUUUUUUUUGGGAAUUUUCCCUCCGGAUAAAUAUUUUUGCUGUUGUGAACAUUAUCUUUUUAUUGCAAUUUCUCGUUAAUCUAUCUUUUUUGAACUAAAAAUAUAUUUUAUUGUUGUUUUUUUCUUUAGAAAGUUGCAAUCCGAAUAAAUAUUUUUUACAAUUGCGUAUUUUUACCGUAACUUUUCAUAAACGGUAGCAACUGUUUAGUUGAAUUAAUCAAACAUUGUUUAUUUUACGAAUAAUUGCAAAUUUUGAUAUAUUUUGUAAAUCGCUAUUACAUUAACUAAAAAAUUUGCAAUCCGAAUAAAUAUCUUCUAUGGUUGGGUAUUUUUCUUGGAAUUCUUCAUAAACGGUUAACCAUUUAAUUGAAUCAUUGCAACAUUUAGUUAUUACACAAACAAAUGCAACUUUUGAUUAUUUUUUUUACAAAUUGUCGUAACAUUUUUUUUUUUGAAACUAAAAAAUAUUUUACAAUUGUGUUUAUUUUAGAAAGUUGAAAUCCCAAUAAAUGUGUUCUACAUUUGCGUCGUUUGAUCGUAACUCUUCAUAAAUAGUUGCAACCGUUUAGUUGAACCAUUGCAACAUUUGGUUUAUUUCACGAACAAAUGCAAUUUUUGGUUUAUUUUAUAAAUCGUUAUAAUAUAUAAUUAUCGUCUCUUGGUAUAACUUUUUAUAACUUAUUAUUUUUUAAUUUUUAUUCAUUAACAUGUAUUUAAAUGAAAUUGUAAUCGUUUAAUUAAACCGUUUCAACAGUUGGUAUAUUUGACAAACCGUUACAACUUUUUGUAUAUUUAAUAUCUACGGUCGCGUCUCUCGAUUAUAGUUAUUCAUAAUGUUUUUUUUAGUUUUGACAUAACCGUCCCUGUCACACCAUGUAUCCUUGAUAAGUAAUAUAUUCAUUGCGAUUUACCUCAAUUUAUUGUUUAAAAUAUAUUUAAAUAAAUUGUUCCUACUGUUUAAUUCAUUAUAGUAUUAUUUGGUUUAUUUGAAGAACCAAUGAAUAUUUUGGCUUAUUUGACGAACUAUCGUAACAUUUGAUUUAUUUGAUAAACCAUUGCAAUAUUUGGUAUUUGAUGAAUCGUUGCAACAUAUAGUUUAUUUGAUAAACAAUUACAUUUUUUUGGUAUAUUUGAUGAACAGUUGCGACAUUUGUCCUUUUAAAAAGAUUUUUGAAGGCAUUAAUUAAAGUUAUAUCUGUUCAUUUAGAGUUGUAUCUUAUCACAAUGUUUUAUUAGUGUUUUUUCAUCACAAACUCUUCUUUUCAAUAAUUAUGUCUUCUACAAACAGUUUAAUCUAUUUAAACUUUCAUGACUUUUUAAAUGUAUAUAUAUUUUUCUCAUUUCUAAGAAAAAUUCUGUAUAUUUAUUAUUACUUUUUGUUUGAUACUUUUUCAUUGCAUUUUUUCGCUAUCUAGCAUUCAUGUAAUUAUUUUGUUAUCUAUAUCAUUAUUACUUUUUUCCUAAACAACUGUUAAUUUAGGUUAUUUGUUAGUUUUUUCGGAGGAUUGUCUCUCUUUAACAUAAUACAAUUUAAAAUGUUGCAUCUUUUUAUCAUAAUGUUUUGUUGAAUACAUUUAUAUAAUUAUAUUUGUAAUUGUUUAAAAAAUUGAAAAAUUGUGUUUAUUCAUUAUAACUCUUCGUUUAAUAUUUCUUACUUAUGAUCGCAUCUUUUCACCAUAAUGUUUUCUAAUAAUAAGAUAAAUCAUAAUAAUGCUUUUGAGGGUUACAUAUCUUUAUCAUAAUUUUUGUAAAAUAUAUCUUCAUUUAUUGUUAAAUUUUUUUUUUUUAAGUUGUCUCCAUUCAUUAUAAAUUUUUGUUUGAUAUUUUUGUCUUUAAAGUUCUUUUAAAUUUUUAUCCUCCGCGGCGGGAAGUCUGAUUAGUAGUUUUCACAGUAACUAACCAAACUGAUUAAUUUUUUUUUUGCAAAAUAAUUGAUACAAUUUCCCACUCAAAGUUUAACAAAUUUCAUGUUAUUUUAUCAGAUAAUAUUUGUGUUUUUUUAUAAUAAUAUUAUGUUAUAUUUAAACACAUGCGGUUAAAUACACGAUCCACGCAUAUACGAAAAUUUGAUAGCACAAUUUUGCCAAUUUUAACACCACAAAUGACUAUCUACCUAAUAACUUAAGAAGCCCUUAAAUGUGAAAGAUAUUAGAAUCUACAAGAUUUGUUGUUAGGAAAUCUACCAAAUGAACUUUAGGAGACACUUGAUUAAAGUUUCCACAUCAACUAUUAAUUUUCUAACAACCAAAUUAGAACUUAAUCCAAGGAGGAACUUAACAACUACUUAAGAGUAUUUCGGACAAAAUAAUGUGUAGAAAAGAUAUCAAACAACUAGUGAUAGCAGCAUUUAUAUGUUUACUCCAACAUUAGGAGCUGUGAUUUGUUGUAGAACAAUUCCCUAAAGAAGCAUUCUUUGAGCAAAUAUGUGUCAAAGUUACAAUUGCUGGCCGAAAUCCUGAUCUUAGAGGAACAAUUGAUGUCACUCUCAUGUGUUGCGCAUUUCGGUUGUGAGGCCGAGUUAAUGUCAUCCUUAGCAUUUCUCCAUCAAAGACCUGAUUAACCUUUGAUGCUGCAAUGGAAACAAAACAUUAAGAGAAUCAUCUGAAAACCUAAUCAGAAAUCUCAUCAAGCUUUUAGUUAAGUGAUUUGAUGAGUCUUUACCGGCUAAUGGAUUGAGCUUAGUGAAGUGGAAGAACUCAUCAGCUGAACAACCAAAGAGAACAGUGGCAGCUCUAUCAAAACAGAUCACAGUUUUCACUGAUGUAUCUGUUGCUAUAGACAUCUGUUAGAUUCAUAAAGGUCAGAACUUUGAAGUCACAACCUCUCAAUUCCACAGGAGAUUAACAGAUUCACCAAAACUGAUUCUUGACUAUUGAUAAAACUACAUUGGACAAACACCAUUUCUAUAACUACAGACAUCUGUUAGAUUCAUAAAGGUGAGAACUUUGAAGUCACAAUCCCUCAGUUCCACAGGAGAUUAACAGAUUCACCAAUACUGAUUCUUGAUCACAGACUGUUACACCUAAAUCCCUAACAGUAAUCACAACUUUUCAGAUUAUUCCACUAAAAAACGAAAAGCUUGAAGGAAGAAGAAGAGGAAAGGGUUCUUACGAGAAUCCGAUAGAGAAGUUUUGGUUCUUUUGAUUUGCAGAAUUUGCAAAAUGAAGAAGAAGCAAGGCCAUUGUUAUCUGAAGGGAGGACUCUCUGGCAGCGAGAACAAACUCUGUAGCAAUAAUCAGUGAGGUCGACGGCAAGCAACGAGCAAAGAACCGUCUCAGUGGCUUCCAUUUUCUUUUCCUUUAGGGCUUUUCUCUGUUUUUCACCAAAGUUUGUUCCUUUCCAUAAAAUUCUCUUGGAAACAUUUUGGGCCGAGUUACAGAAUUAGACCCAAACCUCCAAACUUUUGUCAAGGAGAGAAAAAGAAAAGUCCUUUCUUUGAACUUAAUUUAGGGACUUUGGAAUUCAAAAUGAUAGUGUCAUAAAUACGACUUGAUGCACAUAUGGAUAUUCUCAAGAAAGUCAAACACUUAUGUGGUGAAUCCUUGAGAGUUAUUUCUUACAAAUCAUGUAGUUGUUGCUCUUCCUUCAGUGUCCUUGUGAUUGUUAUCUUUGAUGUGUUUUGACUCGACACCGAAAACUUGUCCAUGUAGAUUCCAAGGUACGAUAUAAGUGGGUCGGUCCUCGCUUUGUCCACCACAAGCUUUAGAGAACGCGACUCAACCUUCAGAAACCGUAGAAGCCUUUUGUUCCCGACUGUUGUGCCGCUCACAACUCUCUCCCAUUUUCCGCUUCCAGUCUUCCGCGUCUCGAGAUGGAAAGACGCAAUCCGUUGACCCAUUUGGAUCGGUUCUCGAAUUUCCAAUACAUUGAAACUAACCGAAUCUUUAAACUCAAAGUACAACACCCAUUCCUUUUGACUUUCCUCUGGCGCCCAGUACUUGUCCAAUCCUUCUUCCAAAACAUUCUUAGGACCAAACUGCGAACUUUGACCGCCACGGAUACUGCUCGAGUUAACCAAUGCUUUGCGGGCGAGAUUAUUCGAGAAAAUAGUGUGUGUCAUUUCGCGAAACUCCUCAAGAACCUUGAUGUCUUGUUCAGAUAUCAGUCCUGAAGAAUUAGGAGGUACAUUAAGCAAGAAGAGACAGUUUCUUCCAACCGAGUAAUAGUAUAUAUCCAAAAGCUUAACAGCCGGUUUAGGCGACUCCAACGCAUGCCAAAACCAACCAGGUCGAAUCGAUACAUCACAUUCCGCCGGUACCCAAUCUUGCCCAAAUUUAUCACCUUCCUGAGAAUACCUACAAGAUCAAACAACUUCAAGCUAUGAUCUCUAUCAUCCCUAACAUCUAUGGAAAGUUUGAACAUUAGAGAGUGACUCACAAAGGAUCAGUGUCACCAAUCUUGGCAUUGGUUCGGUUAAAGAGUGACCAGCAAGUAGACCCAGCGAGUCCAGCUUCAUCACCAAUCCACCGGACAUCAGGACCGGCGUCGGAGAAUAUAACAGCUUUAGGCUGAAGCUGAUGGAUCAAACUAAACCAAGUAUCAAAGAAAUACUCCAUAUCUUUCUCUCCUUCUCCUUUAGCUCCAUCUAACCAAACUUCCUUAAUCUCUCCAUACCUAAUAAAGAUUCAACCUUUUCAAGAACUUGGAAUUUGAUUCACCAACCCAUUUGACUAAUAUGAGAAAAAGGAGCUUACUUUGUUAAUAACUCAGUCAUUUGACUCAGAUAAAACUCGUUAUACUCCAAUGUCUUGCCAUAACUCUGAUCAUGACGAUCCCAUGGAGAAAGGUAAAGACCAAGUCCAAUUCCAGCUUCCGCCGCCGCAGCAGCUAGCUCCGCCACUACAUCGCCGGUUCCGUUUCUCCAUGAGCUCGAUUUGACGGAGUAAUCAGUGUAUUCGCUAGGCCAGAGACAGAAUCCAUCGUGGUGCUUAGCUGUGAGGAUAACGCGGGAAAAGCCUGAGUCUUUAGCGAUUUGGACCCAUUGACUUGCGUUGAGAUGGGUCGGGUUGAAAACGGAUGGGUUGGCUUUUCCGGUGCCCCAUUCGGAGUUGGUAAAAGUGUUGGGACCGAAGUGGAGGAACAUGGCAAUGGAUCCGAGUUGCCAUUGGAGCUGUUGGGAGGAUGGGAGGGGUAAAAUUGGAAGUGGGUGUGGUUUUAGAGGUGAUGAAUUUGAGAUUUGGGAGAGACAGAGGAUUGAGAAGAAGAAGAGAAGAGUGAUUUGAGAGUUCAUGGGUCUUGAAUAAUUUUAGUUGACUCUUUUUCUUCUUCUUCUGCUUCUCUAGUCCUUCAAUGGAGUUUUGUUGUCUCUUUCUUUUUCUACUUGAGCUUUUCUAUCUUUUUAGCUUUGGGUGUAAUUAGUUUUUAUUUGAAGUGAUUAUUGAUUUGGAAACUUAAUGCAAACGCAAUAUAUAUUUGUUUUUUGUAUAACUAUGGGAUUUAAAUAAAAUUAAAUAAAUGAUGACCAACUUUUUUAUAAAACUGAAGAAAAAAAAUCUGGUAAUGGUUGUAUAAGAAUUUAUUUUUUCAAAAUGGUAAAUUUAACCUUGUAAGAACUAUUAUUAUUUAAAAAAUUUGCCUUAGACAAAAGAAUUAAAUAAUGGUUAACAUUCUACUAUUUGUUGGAUAUUCUGAAUCCAUAUUGCUAACCAUAACAUCAGGGUCCGAAUGGUAACAGCGUAUUUGACUAUGCGGAAAAAGCGGUUUUAUAAUGCGGUACGGUUCAACUGCAGUACGUGCGGGAGAAAUAUAUUUGCGGGACAAGUGCAGUUUUUAUAGAAUAAGCGGUACGGAACAAUGUUUGAUUGGUAAAAAAAUAAUUUACGUUAUACAAUAAAAUAUUUGAAUAGUAAAAAAAAACAAACGGUACGCAUUACGUUAGAAAUAAAUAUAGUAGUAAUUAUAAAUUAGUGUUUUUUUGGUAAUAAAGAAACAUUUUCAUAUACGUAUUUAAUCAUAAAAAAAACACAACACAAUUAAAAAAAAAACUACUAUUGGCAUGAACCUAAUUAUUUUGGCAAAUUUUCGGUGUUCCGUAAAACACCAUGUAUAGUUUAUAGCAGUUAUAGUUUAUCUUUAUCGGUGCUUUCAACUAUGUCAAUGAAAUAUGUACGCCCAAAUAACUGCUUUUUAAGUGUACUAAUACAUACCAAAUAAGUAUAUUUACAUAUAUAUUAUAAAAAGUAUUUGUGAAAAUAUUAACAAAAAAAAAACAAAAACCGCACUUUAACCACCUAUACACCCCAAAUUUGAUGCGGGUAGAACGCCCGCUUUUGUAAACAGAAAAACAAACAAAAUCCGUCCCACUUUAAUUAUUUACUGUGCUAGUGCGUUUUUAUUAAAUACAUAACAUUUGUAUGAUUGGUGAAUUUUCUCCAUUUGUCCCGCAACAUGUCAAAUAUGUCCCGCUUUUGUAGCUUCCAUUCACUACCUGAUCUUAAAAAAAAAAACAGAUUAUCAAGAAAAUGCUAAAAUACAAUAACAUCAACUCAAUGGUUAAUGAUGAGUGACAUUGAGUCUAUGAAUUUAAUACAUUUUACGAUUUACUUGAAUGUGAUCUAAUGAGAUUUUUUCAAAUGCUUAUGCUUCUUUUGGAUGCAGAAAACAAAAUAUUAGUUUCUAAAACUUAUAUUUUAUAAUGAAAAAGGGAGUACCAUUUUCUUACAAUGAUUAUUCAUAUACUCAAUUUCUUAUAAUGAAAAAUUAUUGUUUAAAAUCUAAGUUUUAGGAUGACAAAAAAAAAAUCUAAGUUUUAGAAACACCAUACUUCCUCUAUACUCUAUAGUAGGCCUCGACGUUCGGGUACCCGUUCGGUUCUUGUCCAGUUCCGGUUCUUUCGGUUCUAGAGUUUAGGAUCCAUAUAGGAACCAAACAAUUUCGGUUCGGUUCCGGUUCUGGUUCCGGUUCUUUCGGUUAUGAAGUUUAGGAUCCAUUCGGAUAUUUUAUUUCGGAUAUUUUUAGGUAUUUUAGAUAUUUUUAGGUAUUUUCGGAUAUUUUUGAGUAUUUUUUGGAUAUUUUAAGUAUUUUUUGAUAUAUUUUCCAAAUAAUUGUUGGUAUUUCGGAUAUUUUUGGUUAUUCGAUCUAAAAAUAACUAAUAUUUUUAGAUAUAAACUCAUAUUUCGGGUAUUUUUGGGUACCCGAAAUAUUUUGGUUCGGUUCGGUUCCGGUUCCGGUUCUAAAAUUUAGGAUCCAUUUGAGUAUUUUAAAAUUUCGGUUUAGUUCCGGUUCGGUUCUUUUUGCUUCGAUUCCGGUUCGGUUCUUGUGGUUCGGUUAUUUUGUCCAGACCUACUCUAUAGUACAUUAGUACUCCCUUGUGCCCAAAGUAUAGGUUUUUGUUCAAUCAGCGAAUGCACUCAUCACGUGACCUACAAUCAAAUUUUAAAGGCUACACAUAUAUGGUAAUUAAGAUGCGUAUAUUAACUACCAUCAUAUAGUUUUGUCCUAUUAAAUCUCAUUAGAGGUCUUGUAACUCAAUUUUUUUAACAACAAUUUGUCUCUUUCUAAUGGAAUUUUUUGAUGAUUCUACCUUCUAAAAGACCCACGAGCACAUUAAGAUGAGUAUUACAUGUUCUGUGAAGUUUUUUUUUUCAAUAAAUAAAUAAAUAAUAUAAUUUGCAGUAGAAAGCCUAUAUUGCACUCUACCAUUCUUUUUCUUUUUAAUCUUAACAUAAGCUUUAAAGUUAAUUCCUCUUUUAUUUUUAUUGUGAUUUUUUUAAUACGAAAUUAGUUGUCUAGUUAACUUGUCUUGUUAUUCGAUUAAAUAGAUUCUGAAUUAGUUAUCUAACUAUAGAAAUAUAAAGCAAUGAAAACAAGCUCAAAAGUUAAUAAUGUUAUACAAUCUGCUUCAAGAAUAAGCUCAGUAAUAAAUAAAUAUAACUAUAAUUUUCACAUCAAUAUUCCUCAUUUUUAUAUUAUUCUUUUUCACCCAUAUCAUAUUUCAAUCAACAACAAAAUAAAUCAAACUAAAACUUCCACACACCAAUUUUGAUUAAAAACAAAACUCACAAAUUACUAACCAACCAUACAUAACAAAAAAAAUCCAAUCUCAAAUUACAAAAUAUUUUUUAUUUUAUUUUUUUAAUAUAACUUAGUCCAUUAAAAAAAAUGGAAUAUAUAAUAUUUAAAUGAUUUAAUAAUAAAACAAAAAUAGAAAAAGCAGAGUAAUAAGGAAAGGACUAACAAAGUAGUACGUACUGUGAACCACCUCCCACACACACACUCUCUCUUCUGUUACGCAGCCGUCUCUGAAACCAUUUUCGUCGUCUUCUCCACUUUUCUUUUGCAGAAACCGAGAGAGAGAUACUCCAAUCGCUAAUCUCUAUUCCCGAUCAAGGUUCUCUCUGUUUUUCCUCUGCAAAAUGUGUUUGUUGCCUUCUGUGAUUCGUGGUUUUUGAGUUUUUUUUUUUUUUGAUUUUUUUGAUUUUUGACCUGUUGCAGAAGAAGAUAGAGACGAAAAUGGAGGAUGUGGUGUGUGAAUGUUACCACGGAGAUUCGGAGGAGAAGAAAAAGAAACAGAACAGUACGCCGACGACUGUCACCGUCGUUCUUAAGGUUGAUUUUCACUGUGACGGUUGUAUCGCUAGAAUCGUUCGAUUAUCUCGUCGUUUGGAAGGUUCGUUUCGUAUAAACCCUAGAAAAAUCGAAAUCGAUGAUUAUGUUUCUGAACACAAUCUCGUUUUUGCACUUUAGUUUUUCAAUCGAUGAGUACAAAAUCUUCAAUGUCGCGUUCGAUUUCUCUGUUUUUGUGGAUUUUCAUGGUUACGUUGCUGAAUCUGAAUCGAAUCGUUCGUGUUAAUCGUUUGCUUUGUUUCGUUUCGAGUAUUGUGAACGAUUGUGAUUUUUUUUGUUAAACCCUAAACCCUGACGAUAUUUUGAUAUCUUCCUCGCUGAUUUACGUUUAUCGAUCCUCUUCUUGGAUCUAAAUUUCAGAAUCAUACAUAACUCUGUUUCUGCGAUUGAAACACAGCGAUUGUGAAGAAAUUAGUCACUUUUGUUGUUUCAUGAUUUUGUUGGUAUACAAGAAAUUGCAAUCGAUGAUCAAUAAUCUCAUUAUAACUUGUUCUGAUUGUUUUAAAUGUAUCAGGAGUUGAAACAGUGAGAGCAGAUCCUGUUUCGAACAAGCUGACUCUGAUUGGGUUUAUCAUGGAUCCUGUGAAGGUUGCUGAGAAACUUCAGAAGAAGAGCAAGAAGAAAGUGGAGCUCAUAUCUCCUAAACCAAACAAAGAUACCAAAGAGAAGAAUGAGAAAAAAGCUAAUGAUAAGACUCAGACUGUGGUAAGCUCUAAAUACAUUCAUUUGCAUAAAGUUUUGACUCCAUUGGUUAUGAAAAUCUGUCUCUCAGAAACUGAUUAAAAUGUAUUCAAGAGGUUGGUGUUUUUAAGACUUACUUGCUGCAGAAGUAACAUUCUUCUUGUUGAGAUUACUCUAAUAUCAUUUCUUUGUAGAUAAUGUACUGUAGUCAUUACGUUCUAGGUGAUCAUAUGGUUUGAAUAACUAACUACUUUAGCCUUUCAAAUUAGUUUCUAUGAUGAUCUGUUCUUCACUGUCUUGUUAGGUUGCUGUGACCACUGUGGUACUGAAACUGAAUUGCUCUUGUGAUGGUUGCAUCAAGAGGAUUUGCAAGACUGUCUCUAAAACCAAAGGUCAGACUUUUGCUGACUAAUACUGAACUUAUUGACUCAUGCAGAACUUGUUUGCGACCAUUUUAGUCUUUGUUUAAUGGUAUUGACUAUUGAGUAUGUGAUUGUGUCAAAUAGGUGUGUAUCAAGUCAAAAUGGACAAAGAGAAGGAAACGGUAACAGUAAUGGGAACGAUGGAUGUUAAAUCUGUGACUGAGAAUCUGAAACGUAAGCUGAAGAAAACAGUCCAGGUCGUGCCUGAGAAGAAGAAGAAGAAAGAUAAAGACAAUGCAGAGGGAAUCACCAAAGUCGGGUCUCCGGGUCAACCUGAUUAUGGAUGCAAUCAUGGGCUUGGGCCUUACAGGUUCAUGGAAGGCCCAAUGAUUGGGUUUUUCAGUGAGGAGGAUCAGAGCUUUUGCAGCGUUAUGUGAGUAUCGAGGUGACAAAAACAUAUAUACUAGGAGGUAAAUAAACUAAAUAGGGAACAAAAAAGAAAAAGAAGAAGUAAAGUCUGACGGAUAUUUUGUGUGAUGGUCUGUGUCACAUGAGAGUAAUACACUAGUAUUUUCUAUUUUGAGAAAUAUUGCAGUGACAGUACGCUUUUGUGGAGAGGAUCCACUUUUUUCGACAUAGUAAAUGUCGACUUAGUUUUUCACUUUUGGUAAAAAAAAAAAUUAACCCUUCAAUGGAGCUCUUAAAUCUAUAUCCAAGCAAUUACUAUUGUUUAUCUAUAAUGGAUUUACCGCUAUUGUCUAGUUUUUGUCACGCCUUAUUUAGUUUUUAUUCUUACUACAUUGACUAGGGGUUGGUCCAACGAUAUACUAUGUGCAUUUUUAUUUACAAAGUCUAGACUAUGGAAAAUAUUGUAUGUCAUCUUUUCAAGCUUUCAUUUGUCCAAGAAGAAGUUAAUGGUUAUAACUUUGUGUUGACGCAUUUAAGUUCAUACGGAGCAAAAUCAUUCUCACAAUAAGAUUUGAGAUUCUACAUUUAAAGAACAUAUAUGGUCCUAUGACUCGUUUACUUUAUUGCACUCAAAUGCACAUCGGGUUGAUUUUUAGGCCAUAAGACAAAAAUUCAAUCGUAAAGUUAAAAUAUGUAGUGUAAAAUAGCUUGUCUAAUAUGAUCACGUGUUAACCAACUUAUAUUGAUAUAUGGUUAAUAAAUCACCAUGUUGAUUAAGAGACCAUGAUCCGAAGUAACCAUUAAAUUUUGCCCGCAAGGUGGUGGGCGAGUGGUAGAGCGAGUCUGGAGUUAAGGGUGAAAUCCCGGAAUCUGGGUUCGGUCUUCCUCCCUCGCUGUUACCAACACUUUGUGGGAAGUUUGGGCUUGGGCUUCGGCCCAAGCAGUUUACCUGGUAGUCUGGUAACAGGCGAUCCAGUUACCCCCGGACAUUAGUCGGAAAGCAUUCCAAACUCGGAUUAGGCAGUGUGGUAGCCAGUCUACUCUGUAGCACUCUGGUGCGUUCCUACCGAGGCUGACCGGAUCAGCCGAUCGGGUAUAUAAAAAAAAAAAAAAGUAACCAUUAAAAAGAAUACUUAAUUAUAUAUUUUAAAUAUCUUGUGGAUUAAUGUCGAGUUGUUUCAUUUGUUUUAAGGGAUAUAUAAGAACAAAACAAAAACCAACUUUUCCGUUUAAGCAAAAGAAAAUAUCUCUCUUUUUCGUUAAACUGAAUAAAUCUCCAAAUUUUGUUGGCUAAACUAUUGGUGGUCCGACAUUUAAUUAGUCAUAAAGAGUAGGAUAGAACCAAGUGUAAUUAUCAAUAGAUUAGAUCCUUUCCUUAGCAAAUUGGUACGUACGUAGAUAUUUUUAGGUGAUGCCAUUUGAUAAAAAUAAUAUCGUUAGUUAACAAUUUUUUCUUAAUCAAAAAUAUCCUACCAAAUUUCAUUCACUUGCAUAAACAUGCGGGUUCAUGUAUCUAUAGAGUUAAACAAAAAGUGCAAAAUCCAUAUAUAUCGAAAACAAGAAGACGAGAAACAAAUAAAGACCGUGUCGGACCAGCCCGUGGUUAUAGCGGGACUUAUAGUCACGUAGCUUUCAAAUUUAAUUUGGACUGUGGACUGCCAACGACAUUAUAUGCUCUUUUUCCCCAACUUUUUCAAUCAUAUAGUAUAAUUUUAAUAAACAACGUGGAAUGAUUUACACAAUCAUAUGUCUAAUCAACUAGCUAGGUCACAUUAUGUCAAGAUGGUAUAUAGUCAUCAAGUCCUAAGAUAUUAUCAACAAGUUUCCUCAUUGGACUGACGUUCAAAAUUGUCCUUUUUUGGGAUAAUGACUUUUCUAUUGCCUCAUGUUCCUAUGUUUAAUGCCGACUUAUGUUUUUAUUUAAGGUAAUUUGUUGUUAAAAAAAACGAUUAUUGUUGGUACGUGGUGAUUAGAAUGUGUAAAUGUGUAAAUUACCACGUAGCCGUGUUCCUUUUACGUGUUAAAGUUCAUUGUGGAUUUAUUUUCAUUCGAAGAAUGAUCAUGAUUUUUGUAGAAAAAUAUAACUUUUAUCAUAAUAACCAAAAAUCAUUAUCUAGUAUUAUAUCUUCUUAUUUUCUUUUCCCACAAAAAAUAAAUAUAAAUUUUAGUAGGUGCAAUGGAUGAGAUAUAAUUCAAAGAUUCUUAAAAAAGAUAUGUCAAAGUAACCUAUAUCUCCGGAUCAAAAUUUUAAAAUAUUUCAAUUUUAAAAUAGAAGCAGCAUAGGAUAAUUACAAAGAAAAUUGAAAUCAUACGUAUACGGAAUAUGAAAUUGAUUCGUAUACGUUGAUAUGGUUAUGUGUAUCUUGGUUACGUUCAUUGCUUGCAGCCUUGCACAUUGGUUUCACAUAGCUAUGAAAUUGAUUCGGAGAUAUAUGGAAAAUAUCGUACGCAUGUCAUUUGUCAAACACAUGAAUCAAAUGCGUCCCAUCCUAUCACUACAAAAAAAAGGAUGGAUUACAUCAAUUAAAUAGUAUCAGAAAUAUAAAUGAUACUAGUUUAAAUUACUUAUAAGCAAAUGACACAAAAUAAUUAAUUUAACAUCAAUUUUAAUAAGUGAUGUGUUAAUUAACUUGUUUAGCAUCAGUUCAAUCAAAGUGAUACAAAUUUGUAUUAGUUUGCAUCACUUUAAAAAAUUGAUACAAAGAUAUGUAUUUGCAUCAAUUAACAACCGAUGUAGUCACUUAAUUUUAUUAACAUCACUUUUAAAAAUGAUACAAAAUCUAUAUCAAUAAAAAGUGAAGCUAAUAAAUUUUUAAGUAAUUUAAUUAUUAAAAAAAUAACUGGAAAAUUUUGUUAUAGAUGACGUUAAAUUGUUAUUACCAUAAAUAAAUAAUUAUAUUGGUUUUAUCAUAAUAUUAGUUCCUAUUAAUCCUCAAAAUAAGCAAAUUUAUUUAUUUUUAUUCCUUACCCACAAUCCUUCUUUUACGCUCACGAUCUUUUUUUCCUAUUUUAUUUCCAAAAAAAUGUUUUUAGAAUAUCUUCAAGUUAGUUUUCGAAAUCUCAUAACUCGAUCUCAUUCAAUUCUCCACCUUUAAAUACUUUCUUAUUUUCUGUCAUUCUACCUCUCUUUUUUUCUUGACCAUCACUCAGUUUUUUUGUUCUUCUAUUUUCAGAAAUUUGUCAUGAACACUGCACUAAUGAUCAUUAGGACUCUGUGUUUUCCUACACAAUUUGGAGAAACAUAAACUAAAGGUACUCCAUCACUUAAUGUUAAAUACACUUACAAAUAAUUAUUCUAAUUCCGAUCAAAAAUUUCUAUAAAUUUCUAAACAAUUAGUGAAUUGUGUUUGUGUAAAAGAAAAGAAAAAAACAAAUAACUAACACAAUAUGACCAUCAAAUCUUCGAUUGCCUAACAACUACAAUCCAAACUAUCCAACGACAUGUUUACCAGUUUAAGGUACAGACAUCUAAGUGGUUAAGAGAUAGAUCAUUAAUUAUUUUACCGCAGAGUUAUUAUUUGUAGAUCGAUAUAGAUCUCUUCAAUUUUCAAUAUAUUAUUAAUAUGUGAAUGUUUUGCCGUCCAAAAAACAAAAUUCUUUUGAAUAUAUCCUUUUGAUCACGAUUCACAUGUACAUUUCUUAUAUGAUCUAAAUGUAGUACAAAACCGACCACGAUCUACUUUCUAUGCAGAUGCACAAAGCUCAGUACUACUACACAGUAUCACAAAGACGCAAAGUACUGUAUAUAUUUGGAACUGACAUCCCAAUCUUGAUUCAACGUGGAAAAUAUGUAGAAAAGGUAUAGCCCUUUACGUUGUUUGCUUAUUUAUGUUUUUGUUUUAUAACAGAACCUAUGAAGUUUAUAAGGAAUUAAUUUCGUUUUUGGCUUUAAGUUUAUAUUUGAUUCAAAAGAAUAAAGGAUUAUUCGUGGUCGUGGAAACACUAACUAGUUGUCUCUAAUGCUUCCUUAUUUCUUGUAACCGAACAUUUUACUCCUGCCUUGCAAGUUACAACUAAUAAUCUAAUAUAAACAAGAGCUAUAUAGAAGCAUUUUUUUUGUCAAAAACAAAAAAACAAAGAGGCUAAAAAAUAUAGGGAAUAUGGAGAGAAUAGCCAAAUUUUUAAAGAAAAUUAAAAGAAUGAUCAUGAGUGAGGUACUGUAGUACUUUCUCUCUUCCAUUGUAAUUACAAGUAUGCCCAUUUUUUUUUUUUUUCUCAAUUACAAGUAUGCCCAUAUCAUCUCAUAUCUCUUUUUUUUGGAACCACCAUCACCAUCAUAUAUGUUACCUCCAUUAUUUAUCCAUUACUAGAUCAUCACUUGUACUACAGUACGAGUUAAAUUUUAUUUAUUACAAAAUUUAUAUAUUAUAUAUUUUAGAAUAAAGUUGUGAUAUAUUAUAAUAGUAAUUGAAAAAAAAUAAUUAGAUUUUUGUCAGUCCCUAUAUAUAAUAUUAGAAUGAAUAAUUUUUUUUUUAAUUAUACUCAAUUAUGGAUGUAUUUUUUUAAGAUAUGAAAACGGAAAAUAAAAUUAAUUUAAUAAAUUAAUAUGGUCUGAAUAAUGAGUUAAUUUGUAUUAACAACCACAAAAUGAGAUUGCAUAUAAUUCAGUUAGAUCAAAAAUCAAAAUAUUAUAAAUGAAUCGCUUCUAAAACGUAGAUUAUUUUUAAUUAAUUAAGAAAGUUAGCUAUUAUUUUGAAUUAAUUUAAGAAAUUCUUUUUUCAAUUUUUAAUUCUUUGGUUGUUGAAAUAAAAAUUUUUUUGAGGUAACUACGGAAUUUACCAAUUAUUCGCGUAAUUGAAUAUGUUAUGAACAUAUAUUUAGUAUAUAAUAUACCAUAUUCAACUCGUGCGUUGAGUCUAUAUUAUUAUUUUAGAAUCCUAAUGAAAAUAUUGCGUGCACAAUCUAUUAUUCGUUAUUUCCAAAAUUGCUUGCACAAUCUUUUUUUUUGACGUCUAGAUUUAUUAUUUAUUGCAAAUUAUGAGAACUGUUACAUAGAUGAUUCUACAACGGACAAUUCCUUCCGACCCUUAUUAGAUCCACGACAGACGACACUUCCUUCUCCAUGCUCUUGACGGACACCUUCAAUGAUCCACGACCUGACGACACUUCCCUCUCUGCGUAGAAUCCUGGCGAACGGCUAUAAUUGUACUUUGCUGGAGAUCUCCUGCACAGUUGCCUCCUUUAAUCUGCAAAUUUAUUAAUAAAUCGCAAUAUCUGAGACUAAUUAACCCUUAGUCAACCAAUGGGCCAAGGGGGCUUCCACAAUUGCUUGCACAAUCAAAAUUUCAAAUAUUUUGUGGUGUCAACCUAAUUUAAUCUAUCUGAUCAUAUAAUCUUAACAUGCCGUCUAUUAUAAGGAUCAUAAUUUUAUAUCAUAUAAUAUGUUACAUUUAACCCUCCGUCUACUAUAACUAUUUUAAAUAUAUCUCUUUAGAAAAUCAAAUAAAAGUAUUUAUAAUUUUUUUUUAUCUUUUUAAUCUAUUAAAUAUUUAUGAUAUUUAUUAAAAUAUUAAAUUAAAAUAUUUUAAAUGUUCUGAAUUAAAAUAUUUAAAAAUAUUUCUUGUAGUAUAUAAAAUUAUGAAUUUCAAAAAAGAAUUAUAUGAAAUUAAAUAGAAAUAUUCACACAGUUAUAAGGAUCAUAACUCAUUUGUUAAUAUAAUAUAUUAUAUUUAACCCACUAUCUAUAAUAAAUAUUUGUGUUAAAAAAAUCAAAUUAGAGUAUUUAUUGAUGAUAUUCUUUAAAUAUUGAUGAUAUUCUUGAAAAAUCUCAAGUAAAACUAAUUUUAUAUGUUGCAAAUUAAAAUAUUUAAAAAUCUUAUUGUAGUAUAUAAAAUAAUACAUUUCAAAAAAUAAAUGUAUGAAAUUGAAUAUAAAUAUUCAAAUUCUGACCCGUUACUCAGUCGAAAUUUUGUUGAACUUAUUUUUGGUUAAAAGAAAUAUAUUACUCAAAUGUAAAUUUUUGACCCGUUAAAUUUUUUUCUUCAUAGAUUUAACAAUUUAUAUUCGUUUUUAAAAAUUCAAAUAUUGACAUAUGCAGAAAAAAUUUACUUAUAGAUGAUAUGAUGAUUUAUUUGUUUCAUAAAAAUAGAAUCAUAUAAAGAUGAGAGGUGAAGUAUAAUGAUUAAUAACAAAUUAAUAUGGUAGAUAUCAAAUCUUAUAUGUUCAUUUUGAUUGGUCAUUCUUUUUUUUUUAAGUUAAUAAUAUAUUUUCGUUUUUAAUAAUUAAAUUGCAUAAAUUAGUAUUUGACUUGUUUAUCCUUAAUGAGCUGAAUUAAUUUAUUCUUUAAAUUUUUAUCUCUAAUGGCAUUCUAAUGUAAUAACUUACAAAGAGGAAGGUUAUUAAAAGGUAAUUAUAAAUUGUACUCCCCAAAUAAUAGAUACAGCAUUGCGACUGAUCUGGUUACCUCCACGGCUCCACUACGACUUUCUCCACCGUCGGUUCUUCUAGAAACUCCACCGUCGAUGAUAUCAUCAACACCACCAUCACCAUUGUCCUUUAUUCUUUCCCCACACUCCUCACACUAUCUAAUCGAAUUCUAUACUGUAAAUUUCUUUCUCGAGAUAAAUUUGUACCGGCUACCUCUCUGCAAAUUUCUAGGUUCUUGUUGUCUCCAACAGCCAAAGAUCUCUAUUUUUAUCUCGUUGAAUCAAUCUUUCUUGGAAUCUCCGUCGUUAUUUGUUUUUGUUACACGGAACUUUUUUGUAUUACAUGUUAUUGAUUAAGAUUACAUGUGAGUUUUCCCAAAAACAUGAUUUUAAUGUUAAAAAUACAUUGUUUUAUUAAAUGACACACCUUUUCUUUCAAUAUAACAUGAUAUUUUUAUUAAAUGAUAUGAAUUUCACAAAUAACAAUAUGAUGCUGCAUCUUUGCAAAUGUAAGUUAUAAAGUACAACGUUUUAUUAAUAAAUAUCGUGCUAUUUUAACAUAUUUCACGCGAUUUGUUAAAGUAUCUCUAAUUUGUUAUUUUUUCUUCGCAAAAGCUUGCUCUUGGUUUAACUUGUAGGGAUAUUUUUGAUUUUUAUUGUGCCGCAUAUGGUUAGUUACCCAUAAAAAAACUGACAACGGUUAAUUACUUAAUUUUGACUUAAAAUUUGGCUAUUUAGUAAUAUUACCAAAUAAAUUUAAACAAAACAAAAUAAAGAGGCAAUUUGAUAACUAAGAGAAAAAGAAAAGAGAAGGUGUUAUAUGAGCAUAGUAAGUUAUCAAAUGGAGUCAUCGCACCUAUGGUUUAUUAAUACUCUCUGUGUAUGAAGUUUGAAAACAAAAAUGAGGCCUGAAAAGGAUAAUAUAUAAUCCUCACCUUAAUUAAGUUUUCAAAACUUGCCAUGAUAAAUGAAGAGUAGAACUUAUAUCAUCUUAAUUAGUGGGUUUUUAUGGGUCGUCAUGGUUUAGUUUUACUCCAUGGGCUAUGUUACUUUUACAGAUGGUAAACAGAAAAAAAAAAAAAUUAACUUACUGUUAUAAAACUUGUUGUUCUAUUGAUUAAUGAAUGAGGUUUCGAUACAUAUAUAUACAUGAUGAGGGGAGACAAAUCCCCAUUGGGCUAGUAAACCCUAAAGCCCAAAAGCCCACUAAGUAUUAAAUAUAGGCCGUCAUAAGGAGAAUCUUCAAGAACAUGGACAUGGGCCUUCUAGGAUAUGGAUUAGGCCCACGGUUAUGGAGUCCAUCCAAUAUGUGAUUUAUAACACUCCCCCUUGGAUGACAUAACCGUGUAGAUGCCAAAGGAUCUCAGUAAUACGCUUGGGGAUGCUGCCUCAUUAAAACCUUACCAGGAAAACCCAUUGGGACAAAACCAUGGUUAAGGAAAAAGAGUACAGCACGUAUUACUCCCCUUGUUUUGGUCAUCCCUGCAAGUCCUUAAGUCUCCGCAUUCCAAUUUGAUGCGUGAGCUUCCUCAAUGUCGAUGUUGGUAAUGCCUUGGUAAAGAGAUCGGCUGAGUUGUCGUUGGACCGAACUUGUACCACUCGAACUUCUCCAUCCCUUUGCAAGUCAUGCGUGAAGAAGAACUUUGUUAGAAUGUGCUUCGUCCGAUCUCCCUUGAUGUAGCCGUCCUUGAGCUGAGCGAUACAGGCUGUGUUGUCUCCUCAUAUGAUGGUCUUUGAUGUUGUAGUAGCUGCGCCUUGAAGAAGACUGCCUACGUACCCUUGGAAGGGAUCAAGCCACACGUAGUUCCUAUUUAUUGACCAUGCCAUAAUCUGAUCUUACCUGCAUUAGCAAAACAAACUAAACCAAAGCAAACUAGACCUUCUUUGGUUAGAUCAGUAUAGAAUAAAACCCAAAUAAACAAACAUAGGAAGAAUAGAAUUUAAAAUUUAACCAAACCUUCCUUCAAACCUUUCUAGUGCCUUUGGGUUGAUCAUGAACUAAAUUUAGACAAAGGAGGUUCACGGCAAAACAUAUGUCUGGUCUAGUCUGGCUAGCCAAGUACAUUAACGCUCCUACGGCACUGAGGUAUGGCACUUCAGGACCGAGAACUUCUUCCUCGUCCUUCUUUGGACCGAAUGGAUCACUAUCCAAUCUGAGGCUUCUCACCACCAUUGGGCUGCUCAAUGGGUGGGCCUGGUCCAUAUUGAAUCUCUUGAGUACUUUUUCAGUAUAUGCCUUUUGAUGCACAAGGAUUCCAUUAUUCACGUACUCAAGUUGCAAUCCCAAACAGAAUUUUGUCUUGCCUAGGUCUUUCAUCUCGAAUUCUUUCUUUAGAUAUUCGACUGUUUGGGCGAUUUCCCCAGAGGUUCCAAGGAUGUUCAAAUCAUCCACAUAUACUGCUAUUAUCACAAACCCUUUGUUUACAAAUUUCUUUAUGAAGAUACAUGGACUGAUGGGAUCAUUCUUAUAACCUUCUCUGACUAGGUACUCACUUAAUCUAUUGUACCACAUGCGUCCACUUUGUUUCAGUCCAUAAAGCGAUUUGUUCAGUCUUAUGCAGUAUUGGUCCCGAGACCCUUUCUUAUCUUUAUCUUUGAGCUCAAUACCCUCUGGUAAUCUCAUAUAUAUUAUCCAGUGGACUUAUAUAAAUAUGCAGGCAUUACAUCCAUUAGCCGCAAAUCAAGUCUUUUUCUUUAUAUAGCCAGACUUAGCAAAAUUUAAAUGUCUUAGCAUCCACCACAGGGGAGUAUGUAUCUUCAUAAUCUAUCCCCGGUCUUUGUGAGAAUCCUUGUGCUAUAAGCCGUGCCUUAUAUCUCACGCUUUAUUAUUCUCAUUUCUCUUUCUCACAAAGACCCACUUGUGUCAUACUGGUUUUAUCCCUGAACUUAACUCCACGUUUAUGGCUUCUUUCCAUUUUAGCCAAUCUGAUCUUUGAGUGCACUCUAAUAUAGACGUGGGUUCAUGAUCCUCAUUCAUUUCAAGUGCUACCUUAUAUGCAAAUAUUUCAUCGAUGUCGACAUCUUUGCGGUUCCAUUUUAUUCCAGACAUGAUAUAAUUUAUUGAGAUCUCAUUAUUAUCUAUCCCUUCAGGACCAUGAGGAUUGGCGUCCCAAAUCUCUCUAUUCGGUUCCUUAGGGUCUGCCGCGGCCAUGUCUAUUUUUUCCUUCACCUCGUUUCCUACUGCACCUUUCUUUGAUUUUCGAGGAUUUUUAUCUUUGGAACCUAUUGGUCUACCACGUUUCUUUCGUGUGUUAGACUCGGUAGUAAUUUCAUUGAUUCCCUUUUGGAUAUCAAUACGUACUGGUGCAUUACAAGCUGGUAUGUACGUUUUUGUAACUUUCUUUGGGUCAACAAAGGAAUCUGGCAAUUGAUUAGCUAGCUUUUCAAAUGGUAUAAUCUUAUGGACCUCUGAUUCUCAUGCCAGAGUCCGAGGAUCUUGCCAAUUUAAGGAUGUUUGAUUCCAUUAUAUUUCUUUUAUUGCUUUACCCAGCUUGUUCGUCUCUCCACCUAUAGUAGGAAAUUCGGAUUCAUUAAAAUGACAAUCCGCGUAUCUAGCCUUAAAUAGAUCACCCGUAGUUGGCUCUAGAUACUUAAUAAUGGUGGGAGAAUCAAAUCCAACAUAUAUUCCCAUCCUCCUUUGAGGUCCCAUCUUUGUUCUAUGUGGUGGAGCAAUCGGUACAUAUACGGCACACCCGAAAGUCUUUAGAUGGGAUAUGUCUGGCUCAUGACCCAUGAGUAAUUGGGAUGGUGAAUAUCUAUGUUCACUAGAUGGCCUUAUGCGUAUAAGUUCUGAUGCAUGUAAAACAGCGUGUCCCCAAGCGGCUACUGGGAGCUUUGACCUCAUGAGUAAUGGUCGAGCUAUCAAUUGAAUUCGUUUAAUGAAGGAUUCCGCUAAUCCAUUAUGUGUAUGUACAUGUGCUACGGAAUGUUCCACACUUACCCCCAUGGACAUACAGUAGUCAUUAAACGCUUGGGACGUGAAUUCACCGGCAUUGUCUAGACGUAUAGUCUUAAGCGGAAAAUCUGGAAAGUGGGCUCGCAGUCUUAUUAUCUGGGCCAAUAACCUAGCAAACACUUGGUUUCUAGUAGAUAGGAGACAAACAUGCGACCAUCUUGUUGAUGCAUCAAUGAGGACCAUACAUAUAUCUCCUUGUAUCCUUUCCAGAAAAUUUAAGGUCUCUUUAUUUACCUUAGCCGGUGAUGGCCUUAUAAUGAGUUUCCCUUGUGAACAUGCUUCACACGUGAGAUUCUUAGGGAUAACUCUUUUCUCUCUUAGGGUGUGCCCCUUUGAAUUAGUUAUUAGUUUACGCAUCAUACUAUGACCCGGAUGGCCAAGCCGGUCAUGCCAUAAAGUGAAUUUCUCGAUGAACUCUUUGUUCAUUGCCAUAUUAGCUUCGAUCAUAUCGAUUUUAGCAUAGUAGAGACCAGUGGAUAAUGCGGGUAUAGUCUCUAGGACUUUCUUAUGUCCUUGGGUGAUCUCAAUUAUAUUUAGGAAUUCUUUGUUCCCUUCACCCUUUGUUUCAAUAUGGAAACCAUUCAAUCUUAUAUUUUUGAAACUUGACAAGCUCCUCUUCGAGCUGGGUGAAUAUAGGGCAUCGCUUAUUUCAAGAUGCGUGCCCUUUGAUAAAAGUAUAUGGGCUUGACCGUGGCCCUCAAUAAGACUAGCUAUACCUGCUAUGGUGCUAAUAUUGGCAUUUUCAAUGUUAGAUUUAUAAAGUAUCUUUUGUCUUUUUAAAAUUGUGUGGCUCGAUCCACUAUCCACCACAAUUAUGUUCUUGUCCUNNNNNNNNNNNNNNNNNNNNNNNNNNNNNNNNNNNNNNNNNNNNNNNNNNNNNNNNNNNNNNNNNNNNNNNNNNNNNNNNNNNNNNNNNNNNNNNNNNNNAAUAACAAUCAAUGAACACAUAAAAUCCAAAGAAAAACAUAGAGGUUUUGAUGUCGAAGUAAGAUUUAUCAACUUGAUUCUUUUAUGCAAUGAGAAGUUUCAUACUCUAUUAGAUCAUCUUGAUCAUGUUCACCAUCUUUAUAUACCAAAUGGGCUUUAGGAUUCUUCCCUUUUACACUCUCUUGAUAGAGGUCACAACGAUGUUUGGAAGUCCUACAUAUCUUAGCCCAAUGGUUUCCCAUUCCAUAUCUAUGGCAUACUCAUUUGGUCGAGUGUUGUGGUUUGGAAAUACCACAUCGUCCUCGCCCUCGACCACGGCCGGAAUUGGGUCUACAUCCAAGGUUAAAGUGGUUCCCACGGCCGGAUGAGUUAUAGUGGCCACAACCACGUCCUUUCAAUACCACAUCUAUGGCAUACUCAUUUGGUCGAGUGUUGUGGUUUGGAAAUACCACAUCGUCCUCGCCCUUGACCACGGCCGGAAUUGGGUCUACAUCCACGGUUAUAGUGGUUCCCACAGCCGGAUGAGUUAUAUUGGCCACAACCACGUCCUUUCCAUCCACCACGGUCACGGCCGUGUGGUCUAUCACUUUAGACGUGGUUAGAUUCUUUGGAUUCUUUCUUAUCCUCUGCGGCCUUAUUGGCAUUAGGUAAUGGGGUUAAUCUAUGAGGUCGUAAUUCACUGUUUUUAUCUGUAAGUCAUUAUUUUGCUCAUCUAGCAAUAGACUCAUCCACGGACUUAUAGUCCUGGAUUAUGAGACUCUCAAUAAGAUGGUGGCUAAUAUUGCCUUGUAUCUAUCUUUCUCUCUUGGCAUUCUUGCCUUAUUAGAUACAUUCACUAAGUCCUUUUGACUUUAGGAUAAUCUUAGUAUCCAUUGCCCAUUUUAAAAUAAUUAUCUCCUAAGAGAUUUAGGGCAGUAAAGUACAAGUUGUAAUUCAACAUCUACAAGGAAAAGUUUUGAGUCAAAAUCAUGUAAUCGUUAGUGUCAUGCAGUAUUUGAGACCGGACCAUGAAUCGAUUUACUUAGGGAUUUGACUUUCCUCUUUUGCUUAGGAUUAGAUUUCCUCUUUUGCUUAGGAUUAGAUUUCCUCUUUUAAUUAGGAUUAACUUUUCCUUUUCCUUUUAGGAUUUACUUUCCUCUUUACUUUAGGAUUAAUUUUCCUAUUUCACUUAUAAUUUUAGAUUUUUAAGAUUUCCUAUUUAGGAUUUGGAAAUUUUCUAUUUCUUAAGGUUUUCCUAUUUUGAAUAGAAUUUAUGAAUUUCCUAAUUUAAUUAGGAUUUAGGGUUUUAAGAUUUCCUAUUUUAAUGAGGAUUUAGGGUUGUUAAGAUUUCCUAUUAUCCCUAAGAUUUAGGGUUUUAAGAUUUCCUAUUUUAUUUAAGAUUUUAGGUUUUUAGAGUUUCCUAUUUUAUUUAAGAUUUUAGGUUUUUAGAAUUUCCUAUUUUAUUUAAGAGUUUUAAGUUUUAGGGUUUUAAGAUUUCCUAUUAUCCCUAAGAUUUUAGGAUUUUAAUAUUUUCUUUUAGGAUUAUCUUUUCUAAGUUUUUUCUAGGGUUCAUGCGAUUUUAGUUUUAGGGUUUCUAACAACUUAUGCAUGAAAUCAAACAAAGAAACAAUCAAUCUAACAAAACAACCUCAACCAAACGUGAUUUAGAAUUUAGGGUUUUGAUCCGAUUAAAGUGUUUUUAAUUUAGGGUUUAUGUCUUUUAGGGUUUCGGAUUCUAUGUUAAGAUGUUUUCGAUUUGCGAGUUUAGGAUAAGCAAUAACAAGCUUUCUAGCAACCUAAACAAGACAGGCAAACGAGCAAGCGAAAACAAACAAGCAAUCGGAUCAAGCAAGCAAUCGAAUCAUACAAGCAAAGCAAUCACUUAAUCAAUCAUCAUUCGUUUUAGGGUUUCUCUUUGCUUAACUUUCAAGUUCAAUUGUUGGUUCUUUAGCUUUAGGGUUUUGAUGUUACCUUUCACCUUAUGGGGUUGUAUGGACUAGAACCGGGAGCUAAAGACCUCGGUAACUCACGCUGCUGCAACGAACCGCAAACAGUACCACGAUGAUCAGUACCGCGAUGAACAGUGUCGUGAUGAACAGUGUCGCGAUGAACAGUGUCGGCGGUGAACAGUGUCGGCGAUGAACAGUAUCGGCGAUGAACUGUGCCGCGAUGAACUGUGUCGGCGAUGAACUGUGCCGCGAUGAAUAGUGUCGGCGAUGAACAGUGUCGGCGAUGAACUGUGCCGCGAUGAACAGUGUCGGCGAUGAACAGUACCGCGAUUUUUAGGGUUAGGGUUGUUAAGAGCAAACUCGUGCUGAUAACGUGUUAUAAAACUUGUUGUUCUAUUGAUUAAUGAAUGAGGUUUCGAUACAUAUAUAUACAUGAUGAGGGGAGACAAAUCCCCAUUGGGCUAGUAAACCCUAAAGCCCAAAAGCCCACUAAGUAUUAAAUAUAGGCCGUCAUAAGGAGAAUCUUCAAGAACAUGGACAUGGGCCUUCUAGGAUAUGGAUUAGGCCCACGGUUAUGGAGUCCAUCUAAUAUGUGAUUUAUAACACUUACAAGUAUGCAGUCGUAGAAAAUUCAAAAGAAGGCAAAUUGAAUAACCAACUCAGCCACAUGCUUUGGUCUCCCUUACUCACUUCUCCUUCUUAUUUCUUCCUCUUCUUUCUUAUCCUCUUUGUACCAUUCUUACUUAUAUAUACUCCUUCUUACAUGUCUAUAUUCGAACAUAUACUUUUCAAAGAAACCCAAAGCCCCCACAAAAAAAGGAAAAGAUCACUUAAUAUUUUAGCAUGACGAGGCAAAGAAUGAUUACAGUUGAGUCGCCGAAGAAGAAAAUGGGUGGAAUUGUGAAGCUCAAGAAUGUUGUAGAGAGGUUGGUGCAAAUCAAAGGCUUUUCCUCGACCAAGAAACCAUGUUCCGAAGAAUAUAGCCGUGAUUGUGUCCCAAAAGACGUGAAGGAAGGUCAUUUCGCGGUGAUAGCCGUUGAUGGGUAUCAUGAGCCUACACAAAGAUUUGUUGUCCCAUUGAUGUUUCUAGAACACCCUAUGUUCCGGAAGCUUUUGGAACAAGCAGAGGAGGAAUACGGGUUCUAUCACGAUGGAGCUUUGAUGGUACCUUGCCGGCCAAGCCACCUACGAAUGAUAUUGACCGAGCAAUGGUGUUAGAAUUUAUGCUGUAGUUAUAACUGUUCUACUUCAUAUUACAUAAUAAAACCGAAUUAUUCACUAGAUGGACUUAUCUUGUGCUUCCUAGUCACUUGAGAUUUUCACUAUGCUAUUGGUAUCCAAUGAAUAAACUAUUUUCUCUAACCUCAAACUUGCAAAAUGAACGGUUUAAAUUACUUCGGCGAAUUUUAGUCUUAAUUAGAAAAACAAAACUCAAUAAAAUGGUCCAAAACUCGGUGAUUUUAAAUAUUUUCUAUCGUGAAACAAUCCAUUAAAAAUUGUUGUUUCAGUGUUGUUGGACUUGAGUUAUGACUUUUGGCGAAAAGAAAAAAAAUGACUUGAUGAGUUAGGACUCUUUUAUGAAAUGGUGAUUAGUAGUUGAAAAAUCUCAUCAAAAGUGUGUUUAUUAUAGAAACCCUAGGAUGUUAUUGUUCUAAAGCAAGAUGUUGUAGUAAUAAUACACGAAGCCUAGACACAAACAAGCCUCGAUGUCUUAAUGGACCUUCUUAGUCCACUUUACAAACUUCUGUUACCUCAAAUAUUCUUACACAUGAUUAGGAUUGGAAAAGUGAAAGUGGGGGACCGAUAUUUGUUAUAGCUUUGGUUCGAAUAUACUAGUAACUUCACACUGAUGUGGAGAGAUACGAGACGUCUAUUGACAUUAAGUCUUGUAGAUAUUUUAUUGAUGUUUUUAACCAUAUACAUAAAUGUAUGUCACAGUAGGACGAUGCACAUAAAACCAAGAGAAAUGGUAGGACAAUGUACACCAAUCCGUACUUGCAUUUUCUUAAUCAGUGCCCCCUCCAUAUCCCCCUAUAAUGUAUACCCACACAUGACUUGGUAGAAGUUGAUUAGGACGUGUCUAAAUAUGGGCAUUGUAUAAAGUUUUAUCGCUUUUAUAGUUUCUAACAUUUUUUCCUUAGAAAAGUGGUUUCAACAAUUGGGAUUCGAUUGUUUUGGUUUUUAAGUUUAAAUAUCAAAUGAAAAUACAAUCUUUAAUGUUUCAAUCCAAGUUUCUUUUGUAAGUUGUAAAUGCAAAUGAAGAGAGGAAAAUAAAAGGAAUUAAAUCUUAUUUUAUGACGGUUCUUUUGUAUUCUACAAUAAAAAUUUAUGAAAAAUUCAUAGUUGAAAAAAUUGUUUUUUGUUAAAGAAAAAAAUAUCUUAAGAUUUUCUAUUUUUCAAUACCAAUGCCAACAAUAGAAUGUCUUAAGAUUUUUAGAUAUAAAUGCAAAAGAAAAAAAAAUGGGUUUGAAACACUUUAGAUUAUAAUCGAAUGCCCAGUUUGAUGAUUACUUGUUGAUUAAUAUAGCUUUAUAUAUAUAAAUGGAAAAUUUCGAUUAAUGAAAAAUAUAUAAAAUGGAAAUAUGUGUAAACUGAAUGUCAAGUCACUUUUUGGGACAACUCACACUGUUAUAGAAAGAUCAUACGUUGGCUGUUGGCAUUAAUUUGUGAAAGUGAUUUAUAGUUUGGACUGGUUGUGGCAAUGGUGUUUCUCUAAAAUACUUCCGUCAGGAGUUGUCAUCGAAUUUGCUUACAAAUUAAAAAAAACGACAAAUUUCCACACUAUAUGAAUUGUCCUUUUGAUCAUUUCUUCAAAAUUCUCUCCAAUUCCUUUUUUUUUUUAAUCUCUGUAAAAAGUUUUCUACCAAAAAACUUGCACAAAAAACGUCUCAAACGCACCCCUAAUUUCUCGUCUUACUGGAAACUGAUUGUACAAUUUAGGGUUAUUAGAUAAGAGAGUUGAAUAGAAAAUUCUGAUCAUAUUUUUAUAUAAGCAUCGAUUAACCAAACCGUUUUUAUGUGAGUUAAUUCCCAAACCAACAUCAUGUACGAUACGUUCAACACAUGCAUUACGUGUGAAGGUUCACAACCAGAGGUAUUUGUAAACUUAAUAUUUGUUUUAUAUUUGGCAAAAUCAAAGUCAAGGUAUAAGCCGACAUGAUGGUGGGCUGGUGGUUUGGCGGGCUCAGGGUGGUUGGGUGCAAUUCCCUCCUCUCCAUGGUUCGACUCCUCCUGCUGUUAUCAACAUUAUUGUGGGAAGUCUGUCUGUUGGGCUUUGGUCCAAUUGGUUUAUCUGCUAGUCAAAAAUGCAGGCGACCUGACUAUCCUCUGGCACUUAGUUGGAAGACAUUCCAAACUCGGGAUAGGAAGAGUGGUAGCCCGUAAGGGCCUAACGGUUAACACGGUGGACCAGUCCACUAUGUAGCACCUCGGUGCGUUCCUACCGGGGCCGACCGGAUAGCCGAUAGAGUUUAUAAAAAAAAAAGUCAAGGAAUAAACAAAAACUAUCGUAAGGAUAAAGAGAACAACCAAAUGAGUUAGGAGUAUGAAUCUUUACUUUUUGCUAGAGUGUUCCGUAUGGAAACCCAACAAAAAAAAAAAAAAAAAAAAAAAACAGAUUUUUAAACAAAAAUGAGAGCUCAAAUCUGUUGGAUCAGCAAAAAAAAAACACAUCAAAUCUGAUGCAUCUAGAAAAAUAUGUAUGGCUUUUGAAUCUCCUCUAUAAACCCUAGGUGUCGUUAUUUUUUUUUCUUUCUAGGUGUCGUUAUUUACUUGAAAACUGUAUUAGGCCCAAAGAAAAAAAAAAAAACUCGAAUGUUGUUGUUGUAUUAUACCUUACAUUUGUUGUUGUGUAGAACAGUCAAAUGUCAAAUUUAUAUCAUGAAGACGAAAAUAUCAAAGCCAUAAAACACUCCUAUUUUUUAGCCACACAGCCUAACAAAUUCCAAGGAAAUACUAGUGUAAGGAAAUGAAAGAACCUUACUUUAAUUUAAUGUCGAUACAAAAAUAAAUAAAAUUUUGAUGCCUGUUGGUCGUGCCCUGCUGCUCCUCAACAAUGACAAGAGCCAAUAAAUAUGAAACAAUAAAAAUUACUAUGCAUAUAAAUGGGUACUUGUGGCCACUUGGGAAAGUAUGUCGGGAAAACAUGGAGCUUAACCGGCUAGGUUAUUUCAACUUGGAAACAGACUUUCUUCGAUCAAGGAUGAAAGAUUGGCUGGUUCACUUCACUGUUGGUUUGCUUCUAGAAGUUCAUAAGUAGCCCAAUUCUUUUAAUUCUUUAAGACCUUUCGAAACAAAGUUGCACUUAUUGUAAAAAAACGUUUUUUUGGUUUGAAUAAAUUUUGCAUUCAAUUCAAAAAAAAAAAAAAAAACUUGGAGAGAGCGGUCAUAAUAUUCGAGAGAAAAAAAGAAAAGAAAAAAGAUUAUAUUGAAGUUUAACAUCUUAUUGAAGCUUGGAACAUGUUACAUGUGUAACCGAAUCAUGAAGUAGAAUUACAUCAGUUUUUGGAUGGUGGCUUAACUUGAUUUCACUAGACCGGAUUACUAUAUUAAAUUUGAAAUUAUAAACGUAAAUUAAUAAUUUAUAAAUGAGUAGAAUAGUUAUCAUGUGUCAGAUUGUUAAAUAGACGUGACUCCAUCUUGCCUUCUUUCAGUGCUACAAUCAUGUUUGCUUCUCUUGACAUAGCUUCUUGUUGACAUUCGCUAACCUUCUUUACAUUUAGAAGUUAGAUCACUCUUUCUCUCUAAUUCUCUUUAUUUAUUAUGUCUCUUUGAUAAACACAAAAACAGUUUAGUAACUUAGAGAGAUAAUGUAUGAACUACGUUUUGUUAUUGGAUCAAAUGAUGGUUUCUUACAACAACUCACACACAUACGUAUAGUGGUUUCUCUACUUACCACAUACACUUGCAUCCAUACUUCUACUGACUAGCCAUUACUUCUAGACAUAAUUAUCCUACGGUUCACUUAAGCAACCUUAACUACAACAAAUGUUAUACUUAGUCCUCCUUAGCUAUGCUUUAACCUAACAAUAACACUCUUUCUUCUUUGGGCCUAACUUAAGUAAUUGCCCAAUGUUACCAUGUUUACAAAACACAAAGCCCAACUCCUUCUUCUUGUUGACUUGUGUCCUUUCUUCUUGUGUGCUUCUUCUCUUUUCUUCAUCUUCUUCUUAUCAUGAAGCUUUCUUUUUGUUCCAAGGUUUAAUCAAAGGAUACAACUCCAACCCUUCUUUAUUUACAAACAUAUUGCCUUGAUGACUUCCUCCAUUCUAAGAGUGAAACUUGGUAAUUUUUCAAAAAAAUAAGAAUAUGUAUAUAACUCUAUUGAGUAACUAAACAAAUUUUCUAUUUUUUCUAAAAAGCUUUGGAUAUCGUUUUUUUUUUCCAUAUGGUGAAUAAUAUUAAUGGUAAAAUAAGAUCCGUUACAACUCAAACUUGAAAUCAAUCAAGGAGAAAGCAGGUUAGAACAAAGAAUCACUAACCAUCAAGAACCAAAAAUUAGUCACUAAAUUAGACUAACAACAGACACAUCACUACACAAUAGAAGAGAAUCUCUUAUCCUCAAAAACUCUGUGGAGCCAAAAGGGAUGACCUGCUGCCACAAAAUCCUAAAAUCUUGCAUCUGAAUUAACAGUUUGAGCAAUAAAAGAUGCACCUCUAUUAGAGGAUGAAGUUUCCACUUCUAAUUUUCAGUCUGUUAACUUCUCCAAAAAUGCAGAAUUUCUACCACUUCUUGAGUAAAUGAAGGCCAAGCUUGAGGCCUUACCAACACAUCAAAAAGAUCCUUCGCCUCCGCCGCGAAAAUGAUCUUGUUAAGUCUCAGGCUAAGCAGACUUUCAAUAGCCCAAACCAAACAACAAACCAACAAAUCUUUCUCUAUGCAAAAUAACCACUCUUUUCUCAUCUUUGAUAACCCAAGAUCCUCUCCCAAUCUUAUUCUUGUUUGACCAAGACACUCCAAUAUUACACUUGACCCAAAGCUUGGGAGGAUGCUCCCAAUUCCUUACAUUUGGAGAUAAAACUCCAUCCUCAUUAUCCACAUAAUAAAGAGGAGCCUGUUGAGCCAAAAACCAUUCAUCCACAUCCUCAAUAAUCUUCCCUAUCGUUUCUAAGGGACAAAACUGCAGACCUUCAAAGAAAAACUUAUUCCUAUUCUUCCACAACCUCCAAAGGAUCCAGGAAAACAUCCUUUUAGAGUUACAAGACAACCUUGUAUCCAACUUAACUCAAAAAGGAAUUGGAAGUUAGCAUACAGAGAAGAGAAGGAAAACCCCUCCUACGGGUAAGGAAUCCCUGACAGAGCCCAAAUCUGUCUAGCAACAGGACAUGUAGAAAGAACAUGAUUGGCUGACUCUGUUUCUUUACCACAGUUCUAACAUCUUUUAUGUGUCUUCAUUCCUCUACACACAAAUUGAUCCGCUACCGACAAAGCACCACUUAAAGCUUUCCAAAGAAAUUUUUUGAUCCUAGGAGACGUUUUAAGAGACCAAAUAAUUUUUUUAUCUGUCUUCAUUCCUCUACACGACUUUGGAUAUCGUUUUCAUACAAUAAUUUUUUAUUAAUUUUCUUUAUAUUUAAAUUUUUCUUAUAACUGAAAACCCGUUCAUGGAACGGAUUCUAAUCUAGUAAUAUAUAAUCUGAAAAAAAAAAAAAAUCUAGUAAUAUAUAAUAAACCCCAAAAUUUACUCAUUUUCCAUUUCUUCUACAUAAAUGAAUAUAUCAGCCUUUCUCUUUCUCGUUAACAAUUAGGAGAAUAUAAUUUGACAAAUGAACCACUUUGACUAAGCAACUUCAAAACUUUCGCCAUCCUAAUCCAAAUGGUCAUAAGCCUUUAUUGGAACUAGAUUUUCUCCGUGACAUCUUACUGGUUUAGAUAAAAGAUAUUUUUAAGGAACAAAUCAUUAAUUUAUAUUAAAAAUCAAAAGAGAAAAAAAAAUAAUGAGGAAAAUGCAUAGAAAUGCCACUAACCAUCCACUUCUAUGGCUAUUUCCGCGAAUCAAUGCAAAGUCAUUCAUUUAUUCCCAACUUGCCCCAUAUGUUUUCUUUUUCUUAAUCACAGAUUCUUCCUUUUAUUUUUAAUCCGAAAAAAAAAACACAAAACAAACACAAAAAAUAUAACCUUUAAAUUUCUCUCAUUUCUUCAUCUUCCUCUCCACAAAACCCAAGUUUAAUGGCGGACGUUAAAAAACCUAAAAAAAAUCAUCAUGGUCAUCAUCAUCUUCAUGCUCUCUUGAUCCCAUAUCCAUUUCAAGGACAUGUAAACCCAUUUGUACACUUAGCCAUCAAGCUUGCGUCACAGGGGAUCACCGUCACUUUCGUCAACACUCAUUACAUCCACCACCAGAUCACAAACGGCUCCGAUGGAGAUAUUUUCGCCGGAGUUAGGUCAGAGUCUGGCCUUGACAUAAGGUACGCGACGGUUUCCGAUGGUUUACCGGUCGGAUUUGACCGGUCUUUGAACCAUGACACGUACCAAUCGUCGUUGCUUCACGUGUUCUAUGCGCAUGUGGAAGAGCUUGUGGCGAGUCUUGUCGGAGGAGACGGCGGUGUGAAUGUUAUGAUCGCCGACACAUUCUUUGUUUGGCCGUCGGUGGUGGCUAGGAAGUUUGGUUUGGUUUGUGUCUCGUUUUGGACCGAAGCUGCUUUAGUUUUUUCACUUUAUUACCAUAUGGAUCUGCUUCGGAUUCAUGGCCAUUUUGGUGCUCAAGGUAAUUUACUAAUUAUCCUCUUAUUCUUCUUUAAUUUUACAUAUUUUAACUCAUUUAAAUAUUUAAUUGUUUCCUAUUUUAUUUCAAAUUUUUACGAAAACAUCUUUUUUUGGGUCUUGGUCAACGUCUAUAAUUAUUUUGAAAUGCAAGAUAGAUUUGGAGAAAAAUAAUAAUUGGUGAGCAUUUCAUUGCAUGUUUAGUUGUUUACUGAUCCAAUAUUCGAAUAUUCUGUUAGUAUUGGUGGAUUACUUUAUCAUUUAGACAGCUUGGACAUAAGUUUUUUUUUUUUCUGUAUGGUUUAUGUUUCUUAUUGUAUUUUGGAAACAUUUAUUGUUUACAAAAAAAAACAUUUUAUUGUUUACAAAAUAAAAAAAAAUACACAUUAUAUGAUUUUAAAUAUAUAUAUGUUACAUGAAAUCAGAUUAUAUUAUCAGAAAAAAGUAACAUGAUAUCAUAUCACACUAUUUUACCAAAUAUCUUAUUAUAUUAUUAUUUCAUAAAAUUAUAUAAUUUCUCUUCGAAUUCAUAAACGUAUUAAUGAUUCUCUUUUUUUCUUAUUUAUAAUUUUACUACCAUAAUCAUAUACAUUCAAAAAAAAAUUCAAAUGAAAUUAUUUAUUUAAAAUAAUAAGCGUUACAAUUUGCCGUCCAAAAAGGAAAAAAAGUAAACGUAACGAUAUAAAUAUGGGGAAAAUAAUAAUAAUAGAGUAGGGACUUUACUUUUGUCAUGUAAUGAUGCAUGUGAAUAAUGUCAGGGGUCCAAUAAAUUCACUUUCUUUAACUUUUAUUUUAUUCCUUUUUCUAAUUUACAAAACUCAUCCUUCAGUUUCUCUAAUUAUCUAAAUCUCCCCCAUAACUUUAUUUUUUUACUCAGAAACCCGCCGCGAUCUAAUCGACUACAUUCCCGGAGUCGCCGCAAUAAACCCAAAAGACACGGCGUCGUAUCUUCAAGAGACAGACACUUCUUCAGUAGUUCAUCAAAUCAUCUUCAAAGCAUUCGAAGACGUGAAAAAAGUCGAUUUCGUACUCUGCAACACAAUACAACAAUUCGAAGACAAAACAAUCAAAGCCCUUAAUACAAAAAUCCCUUUUUACGCAAUUGGACCAAUCAUACCAUUCAAUAACCAAACCGGUUCUUCUUCUUCUUCAGUCACAACAUCACUUUGGUCUGAAUCAGAUUGUACACAAUGGCUCAACACUAAACCAAAAAGCUCAGUACUUUAUGUCUCCUUUGGUAGUUACGCUCAUGUCACAAAGAAAGAUCUUGUCGAAAUCGCUCACGGGAUUUUGUUGAGUAAAGUAAAUUUCGUUUGGGUGGUGAGACCAGACAUUGUUAGUUCAGACGAAACAAAUCCAUUACCAGAAGGUUUUGAGACAGAAGCUGGAGAUCGUGGGAUUGUAAUACCAUGGUGUUGUCAAAUGACGGUUUUGUCACAUGAGAGUGUUGGUGGGUUUUUGACGCAUUGUGGUUGGAAUUCGAUAUUGGAGACGAUUUGGUGUGAGGUACCAGUUUUGUGUUUUCCAUUGUUGACUGAUCAGGUUACGAAUAGGAAGCUUGUGGUUGAUGAUUGGGAGAUUGGGAUUAAUCUUUGUGAAGAUAAGAGUGAUUUUGGGAGAGAUGAAGUUGGGAGGAAUAUUAACCGUUUGAUGUGUGGUGUUUCGAAGGGGAAGAUCGGACGGGUUAAAAUGAGUUUGGAAGGUGCGGUGAUAAACAGUGGAUCUUCUGAGAUGAAUUUGGGUUUGUUUAUUGAUGGACUUUUGUCUAAGGUUGGUUUAUCAAAUGGGAAAGCUUAAAUUUCAAUAUCAAAAUUGUAUCAAUUUUUGUUUUGGGGAAAGUAUAAUACACUUUUAAAUUUUAAUGUACCUUUUUUUUUUGGAUUAGCGGUUACGUAAUUUUUUUUUAAGUUCUGGACCGAAAUCGAUAUUUUUUCGGUCAAAACUAGCCUUUUACUAGAUUUAAACGUUACAACGAACCGGGGACCGGAUUCAAAGUUUAUUUCACUAAUUCAACUUGUUUAGUUUGGUUUUGGAAUCAAAGAUGUCAAACUGAAAUUAAGCAAAACCAAAAUUUAGUUCAAUUCAAUCAUUUUUGUUUUUCUAGUAGCACUUCUGGUUUCAGUUUCCAAGUUUUGAUUUGAUUCACUAUUUUGUCUACUCUUCUAUUAAAAAAAAAAAAAAACAAAUGUGCAUCAUACCAAUUUUUGAAAAAUCAUUAGUGAUUAUGACCUUUUCUUGGGUCCCAGUUACGCUUUUUUAGAUUAUUUAUUUCUUUGUCCACUACAUAUCUUUCAUACAAUCAUUCAAAUAUUCAAACAUACACGUUCACAUAUCAUCCAAUUUAUAUAGUUUAAAAAUAGAAAUAUAACAACGCAUCUCUAAACAUUUCUAAGCCAUAACAGUCGAAUAGAAGUGCUUUUUUAUUUUAUUUUAUUAAGUAGAAGUUAAAACACUGACCUUUUCACGCAAAUGACUAGGGCUGGGAAUCCGACCCGAUCAGUUAAUUCGGGUUCGGUUUUCCGGUUUUUCGGGUAUUUCGGAAAUUGAAAAUUCUACCGAAACUAACCGACUAACAUUUCGGUUCGGUUCGGUUCGGAACGGGUUUAUUUCGGUUAUUCCAUUCGGUUAUUUCGGUUAAAAUUUUAAUUAAAAAUGUGGCCAAAAUAAACAUUGUUAUAACUAGUAGGGUCUUUUGCCCAAAAAAAAAAGUUGGGCCAAGCCCCCAAAAAAGAAAAAUAAUGCCACAAAUAUGAAACGGUGUGUUCAUGACUAUCUCUUCUCCAACCCUAAUUCUCUCUUCGACGGCGGCUCGACACUGCUUGAUUCAAAUCCGGAGUAAUAGCUUCAGAUCUUCGACAUGGCUUGAUUCUUUCGGUGGUGAUGGCUCUAGGAAGUCUUUAAUUGAUGUGUUUUGGUUUAUCUUGCUUCAGUACAGAUGGAGAAGGAGAAGGAGAAGGAGAAGGAGAAGAAGAAGGAGAAGUAGAAUGAGAAAGUGAAGGAGAAGAAGAAGAGAUUCGACCAAAAAAUUAGAUGAGAUCGACCAAAGAAUAAGAAGAAGCUGAAGAAUAAGAAGAAGAUGAGUCAAAGAAUAAGAAGAAUGAAUGAAAGAAGAGUUAUCAUCGAAGUAGAAGAAGAGUAGGCGGCUAGAAUAUUAGGUUAGGUUAGGGUUUUAAUUCUUUCGGUUAACCGUUCGGUUCUCCCAAACCGAACCGAAAAUCUCGGUUAACCGAACUGAUUUUGAAAUCCUACCGAUCGGUUAUGAUCAAUUAACAUUAACCGAACCGAUUUGCCCAAACCUCGGUUCGGUUCGGUUCGGACAAAUCGGUUCGGUUCAGAACCGAUUUUAAAAGUGUAAUCUACCUAAAUUUCAAGAAAGAAUUUUUAACUGUUUUCAUUUUCAACUACCAAAAAUUACAUAAGAGACUAAAAGUAAUACUCCCUCUGUUCCAAAAUAUAUGAUGUUUUGUUUGAAAUCACACAUUUUAAGAAAAUUUAUUUUGCUCUCUUAAAACUAUCAUUUAAUAUUUUGUUUUAAAAAUUCAACCAAUUAGAGAAAAGACUGCAGAAUACAAACAGUCAUAAAAUAUCAACUAUAUUUAAAACUGCAUAGAAAGUUGCAAAACAUCGUAUAUUUUGAAACAAAAUAAAAACUCUAAAACAUCCUAUAUUCUGGAACAGAGGGAGUAUUAUCUAAAAGUCAUCAUCAUUCAUCUACCUAGAACUGUUAUUUUUCUUAUGACUAAGCAGUAAACAACCAGACACAUUCUUGUUUAGGCCAAAACGUAGUAAAACAUAAACAAGAAGACGGUAGCCAAAAGCCAUAGCCAACAACACAAGCAUGUUCCUCCAUUUGGAGUUUGUGUCUGGAGAUAUCUGGUAAUUUCCUUGGAUUGCCUGGUAUCCCGAUAUACUCCUCACUUCUCCAACCGCAAACACUUCCCCGAGGUACUCGUUCUCCAAAAGACCCUGCAACAUUGAAUGUUCAUGAGUUUUCCGCGGAAGAAGCAGAGAUUGUUUAGAGAUUUUAUUGUGUAACCUCAAUGGAGUAGGUGUGGAACGAGAUGUAAGCAAACGGGUAAGUCCAGACGGGUUUUGGCAGGGCGUUACGGAUUCUGAAGUGACCUGCAGCGAGCAUCAUGAUCACCUGCAAUGAUGCAUAUGAAGAAUGAAAGAUCAAUCCUAAGGCAUGACUAAUCUAUGUCUUAAGGCACUAAUCACUCUCAUAUGUAAUCUAAGUUAUUAGUAAGCAAUCGUUCCAAGUUCUAUAAGCUAAGGGCUAAUAUAAUCACUCUUGACUUCAUCUCUCAUUGACUUAGACUAAAAUUACCAUUCUAGUUCUGGUUGAACGCUGUAGUGCAUAAAUUUCCCUAAGUCGUAAAUCGCGUACUAUCUAGCAUUUAGUAUUACCAAAUCAACAUUCAAUAUCUAUGCCACAUCCUAGCUAGAACAAAUAGAAUGGUAGAAGACAUGAAUCUUAAAUUAGAUUAAUAGUAGAAAAGAUAAAACUCACAUGUACAGAGAUGAGAGUCAAAGUGCUCCAAUAAACAUCUCGCCAAAUGCAAGCAAUGGAAAGCAUCAAUCCCUCGUUCACCAAUAGGCACAUAAAGAAGUUGAGCACAAAGUACAUUAACAAGCUGAAAUCGUCUCUUAAUCCAACCAUGAAGUAGAACACAAGACUUGAAGAAAUGGACAUGAGAAACAAGAACGGUAUGCUUCCCAGAAACUGCCCUAGUAAGAAGACAAAAGCACCCGAAUGCUGGUUCGAUGCUUCACUUCUAUAAAUCUAUUAGAAGUAGAAAGAAAACUUCAGAUCUCAAAAGAAGAUUGUGAUCAAAAAUAAGAAAAAAAUCAAGACGAAGAAAUUAGUUAUACCUUGAUUUCUUUCAAAAGUGAAGGUAUUCCAGCAAUCCCCAAUAGUGAAGCAAACGAGACAAAAACAAAUACCGCAGAAACUCUUGUCUGUAAGAAAUAUAUACAUCGAACAAUAAAUUGCAUGUCUUGGUACUCAAAUGUGCAUGCUGAGAAUGGUUUAGAAAACUUACUGCAACAGAAGACAAAGAGUGACCUAAGCCAGAAUAUAAUGUGCCAAUACUAAGUGUAAGAAUCAUGUAGAGGAUAAGUCGGAGCCAAUAGUAUUUCCAUUCUCUUGACAUAACUAAAAGUGAUCUCCAAGUGAGCACUGCAACACGUGUAGCAGCACCGGCCUUACCCUUGGAUUUAAGCUGUGUGCCCUCCUGCAAAUGAUAUAGGAAACAAAAAGAAAAUAAGAUAUUUACAGUUAUGAAGUUAUGAUCCAAAAAUUAUCAUUAGGCAGUUGUUACCCUUUCGGUAAGUUUUAAUAUCAUAGUCUCAACGGAAUCAGCAUCUGCAGAUGAUUUAUAAGUCGCCUCAAGAGUGCGAAUAGCAACAGCAGUAUCCAUAUUCACUGCUGAAAAGUCCCCAUUAUCGUCCUGUUGUUUAUAUUUAGCUAAUCAGAAAAUUAACGUUUACAAGAAACUAGAAAGAAACAUAAUCAUAUAAACUAUAGUUGUAAAAUGGUGUAUGUACCUGCCAGUUUUUGCACAUUGCAAUAAUCCUAUCGAAAUCUGUGUUUAUAGCCCGCAAAAAAUGAUCUGAUGGACUUUGCAUUAUCGGGCAAGGGAAUCCAGCAUUUGAAAAGUGCUUGAAGGAGACACAUAAGGAGUACACAAAAUUUAGAGAGUGGUCUUUUGGCCUUCAUAUGGGAAAAUUUUCCAUGUUCGAAAUAGUAUAUACCUGUAAGCAAGCCAGUGUCUCCCCAAAGAAGAGCGUGUUUCCAUUUGAUAGAAGGCAGAUUCUAUCGAACAAACCAAAAACUUCGGUACUGCUUUGAUAAAUCGUGAAUACAAGAGUACAACCCAUACUUGCUAGCUUCUUUAGUGUCACCAUCAUAAGCAGAGCCGAAACACUAUUAAGAGAGCAACAAGGCUAAUUUUAGAAUACAAGAUUCUACCUUGUAGUAGAACACAGAUAGUAACAUAAGUCUAUAAAUGGUUAGAACCUGUCAAGGUGAUAAAGAGGCUCAUCGAUGAAUAAAAUAUGUGGUCGCAUCACAAGUUCACGAGCAAUAGAGACACGUCUUCUUUCACCACUUCGGAGACCCUUCAUGUAACAAUGACCACCAAUCAAUUUGUUUGCAUAAUCACUCAGAGACAUCGCCUGGAUCGCAUCUUCGACAACACUCCUUUUCUGAAAGAGAAAACCCGGAAGCUGAAGCAGUGCUGAAUAGUACAGGAAUUCACGAACUGUAAGUGAACCUAUCAAUUGUGUUUCCCUCUCAACAAAUCCCUGCAACGCAGCAAAACAAGAAUCAGAAACACAUUUACAAAACAAAAGAAAAGAUCAAGAAAACUAUAGACAAUAGUGACUCACAUAGGAUCCGUAAGGCAUAUGUGAUUUUGAACCAUUCACAAACACCUCGCCAUACAUUUUUGCUGAAGGAGGCAAUCUUCCUAUAAAAGAUGUGAUCAGACGAAAUGAAAAAGACUUAACUAACAAUGAAUAAACUGAAAAUUGACAUACCAGCAAGAGCCCUCAAGAGAGUAGACUUCCCGGAUUUAGCAGGACCCAUAAUUACAGUCAUAGUCCCGGGGAACGCAUAACCAUUCGAACUCUUUACAACCUUAUCAGAAUAUUUUCUCUUCCCUUUCAUAGUAACAGUCAAAUCUUUCCAAGCAAUAGAAGCACCAGCAAUCUUUCUAACAACACCAGCUCCAGCUCCUCCUUCAGGCACAGGAGGAGAAGCCAUUGAUCCGCUAUUCAUCUUCGACAGCGAAGGAGAAACAGGCGUUGUUGUAGCAUCAUUAAUAGAAUCACCACCGCCAACUUCAUCUUCCAUUCUUAAAUCAACAUUAGGUGUGUCUUCCCACUCAGGAGAAUCCUCAAAAGAUAUAGGUUGUCGAAGAGAACCGGGUUUUCUUACAUAGAAAAAGUGACUAGAUGGAACUCUACUAGUAGGACUACUUGCAGAAGACGAAGACGAACGGUACAAAUCCGGUUGAGACUGUAUCUCCUCCAUUCUUUGACACUCAAGAACACAAAAUGUUCCAAAGAAAACUACAAUUUCACAAUCAGUAAUAUGUUUAGAUUCCAUAAUCAAUGCAACCAAAACAAAAAGACUCAAUAAGUAAAGUGACUACUAUAGUAGGAAUCAGUGAAGCACUAUUAAAAACCUAAACUUUCCCAUAAGCUCACUAAAUUACAGUUUAAUGACUAAUGAGAAGUGAUUCCUAAUUAAGUAACUUAGUAUAAAUCAUAAAAACCCUAACUUUUUUCAAUUUCUGCAUUACCCUGAAGCAGAGUAACUUCAAGUUCAUAGCUUUGCUCAGCAACCAAACGAAGACUAAGCAGAAGAAGAGACCCAGUUCGAGAAAUGAUGAGAACAAGAAAGAGGAAGAGACAAACCUGGAUCUGAAAGAAGUAAGAUCCACAGAGAAUGGAGAAUCUCUUCUUGGGAGUUACUUGAUACUCCUUGCGUUGUUGAAGAGAGAGCAAGAGUGAGAGAGCUCUCAAGUUUCUCUAACCCUUUGGGUUCUGCAAAUAUAGAAAUAAAAAAUGGAUUGGGAAUUGUUUUUUGUUUUGUCUGAAACCAAAUGUUUUAAUUACAAAAAAGUGAGCAAAUUUCCAUUUUUUCACCUUAAAGAAAAUAAAUCAGAUUUUUUUUUAUAAGAAUAUAAACUUAAUUGCAUAAAGAGAAUUGUGAAAAAAUAUUGCAUAAAAAUAAUUAUUUUUAGAAAGUAUUGUGAAAACAGGAUUUCUUAAAAUUUGAAGGCAUUAUGGCAUUUUUCCAAAUAUUAUGUUUUUGAUUUGGAUUUUUUUUUAGUCAAACAAAAUUUUCCUUUGGAUUUAUAAAGUUAUUUUGGGGUUUAGUUGAAGUAAAAUCUAUUGGAAAUUUUAAAUAAUGCCUAUUUUAUAAUACUCUUGUGAAAAAGUGUCAAUAUAAAAGAAUUAAAAAGAAUACUAACUUCAACUUUAAGCGUUUUUUAUUUUUAUUUUUAUUUUCCCUUUAAGCUUUAGAUAUCUGAACAAAGGUUUGGCUUAGUGCUUUUCUUAAUUACAUGCAAAAAAACUGCUGAAAUUUUAAACGAUAUACAUUAGUAAACAAAUUCGAGAUAUCUUGCUCUUUUUGGUAUUAGUAUCAGCUUUUCUUUUUUUAUUUAAGAUAAUAUUAAGGAAUAGCCAAAUUAUACACAAAAAUUAAGAAAAUAGUAGAAGGAAAGAUUUUUGUUGCAAAAUAUCCAUAGACCCACAUUUUUAGAAGAAAUGAAAUAACAAAGCCAUCUUUUAUUUGUUGCAAGUUCAACAAUAGGCGAAACAGUUUCGUAAGAUUUUGCAAAAUAGCAUGUAACAUUUAAAUUUUACAUGUUAUAUUGAACUGAAAGACAUAAGAUUUGCAAAAACGUAAUGAUUUUUUUAAGAAAAACAUUGUUAUGUAGUGUUUUUUUUUAAGAAAAAACAUUGUUAUGGAAAAAUUUAACCUAAAUAGAAUCUUUUUUAAAAUAAAUCACAUGUGAUCUUAAUAGGGAAUAUUGCAAAAUCUACCACAUUUUAACAACUGGUAUUCAAAAUCUACCACAAUCUCAAAAAACUUUCAAAAUCUACCAUUAUCAAUAGCACAUGUGGAAUGCUGGACCAAAAUACCCCUGAUUGGGACAGAGUCUGUGUCAAGGACAUAGUCUGUGUCAGAGACAGAGACAGUUUUGUCUGGCGCUUCCAAAGAAGGAGCAGGUCUACAAUAAAUGCUGUACGGUUAUUUAAAUAAUAUGUUAUAUCAGGGACAAAUUCAGAUCUAAUGAGUAAUAUAAUUAGAUCAUGGACAAAUUCAGAUCGAAUGGGUGAUAUAAUUAGAUCGAGGAAAAGUUCAGAUCGAAUGGGUAAUAGAAUUAGAUCGGGGACAAGUUCAUAUCGAAUGAGUAAUAGAAUUAGAUCGGGGACAAGUUCAUAUCGAAUUCAGAUGGAAUGGGUAAUAGAAUUAGAUCGGAGACAAGUUCAGAUCGAAUGUGUAAGAGAAUCAGAUCGAAUAUGUUAUAUCGGGGACAAGUUCAGAUCGAAUGAGUAAGAGAAUUAGAUCGCAGACAAAUUCAGAUCGAAUGGGUAAUAGAUAUCGAUCGAGGACAAGUUCAGACCGAAUGGGUAAUAGAAUUAGAUCGGGAACAAGUUCAGAUCGAAUGAGUAAUAGAAUUAGAUCGGGGACAAGUUCAGAUCGAAUGAGUAAUAGAAUUAGAUCGGGGACAAGUUCAUAUCGAAUGAGUAAUAGUACUCGGGGACAACUAGAUCUUUUUGUUAUUUUGCAAUUGAAGGAAAAAAAAUUCAAUAAUUAGGGUAGGUAAAGACAAUAAUGCUCAACUAAUCUGUGGACCAAAAUAGAUGGUGAAAAAUCUAAAUAAAAUUCGAAACCCUUAAAUGAGAACAAUUGGUGGACAAGAUGUGGAAUUCAUGAUAAUAGAGCAAGAUGAUGAAAUCGGGGACAAGAUCUAGACGCAACAGAGAAUUUCCAAUCGGGGACAAGAUCUGGAGACAAAAAUGAAAGUUAAUUGUUUAGUCUCAGGAGAUAUAAUGUUUCUUGGUUAAAGUGCACGUGUUUCGAGGGAGAGAGAGAUAAAUAGAGAAGCUAAUGUUAUAGGGAAGAUAAAUAGGGAGGAGAAAUAAUUAUGGAGGAAAGAUAAAAAGGAAGAUAAAAAGGGAGGGCAAAAUGGUAACUCUACAUCAAAAUGUGGUAUGAGUUGAAAGAAAGGAAGGAAUGUGGUAGAUUUUGAAAGAAAUUGGGAAUAAGUGGUAGAUUUUGUAGUUUUUCCAUCUUAAUAAAAGCUACGUAUUACUAAAAAAUAAGAAUUUUUUUAAAGAAAUCACAUGUGAUAUUAAUAAAUAAUUAAACGUGUAUUAUUACAAAAUAACAUGAUAAAAAGAUAUAUUAAACUGAGUAGAAUGUUUUUUCCAAAAGAUACCAUGUGCUCUUUAUUAACAAAAGAUAUAUAAAAACAGUCAAUAAUUGGUCUCUAAAAUUUACUACUAAUUCUGGUUUGAAAAAUAACUAUUUUGCCACUAUAAAUAUCAACUUUUUUGGAUAUCUGACGAUUUAGUCUCACAAUUAUGCGAUUAUUCAUGUAGUCGCAUCUGACAUCGCUGUUUCACAACUACAUAUAUAGUCGCACACUGGUUGGAGAAGUACGACCAAUGUGCGACGAUUGUUUUGUGAGUCUAUGUUAUAUUCUUUAAGCAGUGUCAAAUUCUCAAUUUCUGACUCUACAACCGAUCAAGUUGUCUAAAAAUUGAUGUUUUCUUGUAGUUGGAGGUUCUUUGUACUCUGGCUGAAUAACACUCUAAUGAUCUUUUGCACACAACAUGUUCUAAAAAAAAAAAAUUGUAAUGAUCAUUAAUCUCCAUCAAAUCUUGGCAGAGAAUUAAUAUUGCGUGAAUCAGCGGCCUCAUCUCUCACUUUUAUUUUCGUUGAUCACUUUUUCUACACUAGCUAACUCCCUCAUGUUUCACUAUGUCGGGUCCCGUGUCGAGAGAGUUCUCAUACCAAAAUUGAAAAACAAUACUUGAGAAAUAAUUAUCUUAUAUAUUAAACUAUAAUUGGAUUGGGUUUAUAUAGCCUUACAAGAAAUUCAAUUAGAGAAAAAUAAGGAUAACAAACGUGGCUCAGUUCUUACAACUUCGCCUUAUUCACGAAUUCAACAACAAAACUAACAAAUACGUAGUCUCAAGAGACUAGUAAUUCUUCAAUCAUCCGGAUUACCCCAAUAACACCUACACGAAUGAGAUGGCCCCUUAAAUUCUGGCCUUUUACCACUAUCUUCACAUGUGCAACCCUCCAAGAUUUUUGUUAUUCCGGGAGAAGGGGGAUUUUUUCCAAAAUUCGUCUAAACAUAUAUUACGUCCGUUAGGCUCACAUGUUCCAUAACCCUUCACUUUAUUUAUAGUCACAUGUCCUUAUCAAUCCUCCUGUUUAUAAUAUGAAAAGAUAAGACUUAUUAGAAAAAGUUUAACCUUCAAAGUAAACAUCUAAUACUAUAACAAUAUUAAAGUUUAUGUUUAAAAAACCACCAUUUCUUAAAGAAAUAAUCAACAUUACAUAUCUUAGGAACGAAGUGUUAAAAUCUAUAUAAAAAAAAUAUUACCUUUAACAAGGUUUGUAAGGAGGAAUAUGAGAAAACAUUAAACUAUAAUUGAAGUAGUACGUCUCAUGAUUGAAAAGUGUAAUAAAAAUUUAUGUAUCUUUUGUUUUUUUUGUCAUCUUAUUACAUCAUCACUAAAAAUAUUUAAUCUAAUCUUAUUAUGAUGAUAUUCAACUACCUGCAGUAUAUGCGAUUAUGAUGAACAGUUCCCAUGAACAACGAUUCCACGGCUCUCCCCGCAACACUCGGAUCUUCAACGAUGGUUCUGCAUGUACGACAUCCCUACGAUGGACAUGCUCUCCCCGCACCCAAACCACUACGAACGGCUCUGCAUACGACACUCUGGACCUCCGACAAGCUUUGCACCAUUAAUCUGCAAGAAACUGCGUUCUCUGGGACUCGAACUCCAAACCUAGGUGUAGAAGUAUUAAUGAACCUUUGGUCAACCACUGGACCAAAGGAACUUCCAAAUUUCGGUAUCUUACUUGUAAAAAAUUGUGACUAUAUAUAUUACACUUUUAAUAAAAAAAAAGGAUAGUUUUAGACUUUUUAGUAUAUUGACCAAUGUAACUAUUAUAAAAUCCUUCAUUAUUUUGAUUAGUGUAGUACCAAUAUAUACAAGUUGUGAUAUCUUGCCACUUCAUAUUUGCUUCUCUCUUUUUUUAUACAAUUUCAGAUUUCCUUCCUUCCAUCUUUUCCUUAAACAUCAUUUUUGUUUCUCUUUUCUAAUCCUUAUCUUUUAUAUUAAAUAUUUUUAAUUUCUAAUCAUUCUUUUUUGAAAUUGAUAGGAUUUGACAGAAGAUCCACAUGAUAGAUUAGAAAAAAUAAUACCAAAGUAGUUUGUAAGAGUAUCUCCAAUGCAGGGUUCUCUUCUAUAUUUUGAUUAGUUCUCAUCUGAAAUUGGCAAAAAAAAUAAUUCAGAAUUGAAUAAAGAAGAGAGAAUCGAUUCUCUUCGAAGAGUUUGAGAUUUUGAUAGAGGCGGACACGUGCCAGUGUUCGAUUGGAGGAAGUGUUUUAACAAAAGAAAAAAAAAACACUCAUUUUUUUUAGUUUUCUCUCUCGACCAAAAAAAACACUGACUCUCUCUCUCUCGAUCUCGCGAUUGCGAGAAAAAAACAAACUGAUGAACAAACGCCGAUUUCGUGAGAUUCCUCGUUUGGAAGGUAAAUCUCCGUUGAAACCCUAUAAAUUGAAAUCUAAAAUCCAUGAUUGUUUGUGUUUAGCUUUUGGUGAUGUAAUGUAUCAAGUUUUUCUCCCCAAUUUUGAUUUUUGGUUCUUUGGGUUUGGUUGAAUUUAUCACUGUUUGCAUGUGUGUUUUGGCUCUAGCUUACAUUACAAACCCAUGUAGUCGUGAUUUCUUAAAAGAAUUUGGAAAUUGUGAACCAUAGUUGUUAAUGGUGAGUUCGAUUUGGGAAUCCAUUUUGUUAGUUUCUGAAAUUUCUUGUUAAAUAAUUUUAUAUCAACAAAUGAAGUUAAUGUGGUGGAUUGAGUUCACGAAGCUUAGUGGAAUUACAAUACAAAAGUUUUCUUCUACAUAUCUUGAAAUUAUAUUUGAUUUUAUAGAUUUGUAAGCAGAUAAAUUCGUUGUGUAUAAAGUAUUUGAUGGAAAUAUAUAUAACUUUGUAUAUUUGAUUAUGCGUUAUCUCUUGAUAGUUAAAUUUAUCUUUUUUUUUAUUGCGUAUAGAAGCUCAGUAACUCUUCAAAGUGACAACUACAUCAUUCCAUCAAAGUGAUUAUAUAGCAACCAAAAUUGGUUUGUUGAUUUUUACUCUAGUCUGUUUUCUUUGAAAACUUCUAUUCAUUGACAAAUCAACAUUUGAUAUACAAAAAUCCGAAUCUCAGUUUUGAAACCAUACGAAAACUUAAACCAUGACUUAAACAUGUCUCCAUAUGUAAUUUAAGUUUACAUCAACCACAAAACCAUGACUUGAAUCCAUAUCUUCUUUUUCUCCAUCUUCCAAAAUUUGAUCAAGUGUUUUAAAAACCAAAACACAGAAAUUUGAUUAAAUGUUUGAUAUUUUUAUGAAUUGCAAUAAUUAUUAAGUUUUAAGAAAUUAAAUAUUUAAUAAAAAAUUUUUUUAAGAGAAUCCCAUUAGAGAACCUACCAUUGGACUAUUAAAAAAAAAAAAAAACAAAAGUUCUCAUCUCAUAAAUUUCUAAAAUUUUUAUUAAACAACUAGAGGGUUAGUCCGGGCUACGCCCGGUUUUAUAUUGAUAAUUUUGAUUUAAUUUAUUGGUAUUAUCAAUUUUUCAGUUUUAUCUGUUUAUGUNNNNNNNNNNNNNNNNNNNNNNNNNNNNNNNNNNNNNNNNNNNNNNNNNNNNNNNNNNNNNNNNNNNNNNNNNNNNNNNNNNNNNNNNNNNNNNNNNNNNAAAAAAUUCUCUCUAAAGUUCGGCUCAUGGCAAAGUUGGACUGCGGAGACCCCGACGUAGAUCCGAAACGCCGCGUCGCGUGAUCAAUUUCAACUCAUCAUAAUUAGGUGGUAUAUAUAUAUUGGUCCAAAACAACCAGAAAUAAAAGAAAGAAAUUAUCCAAAAAAAAAAAUUAUAUAAAAAAGAUAUAUAAGAACACAUACUUGCAUUACAUAUAGGUCUUCAUAAUUAUCGACACCCAAAGAAUCAACACAUCAUUCUUAUUUUGUAUAAUUAAACUCUCAAAUAGAAAAGAAAAUUAAUCAAGGUGAUAUCUUGGACCGAAAGGUUACUUUGGAUGAGGAACACUUAACGGAAACAAGAGGCUGAUAAUUUACAAACCGGCUCGGAGCUGAUCUUGGUCGGAACCCUUUAGGCAUACAACUCUUUACGUGUGUCCCAUGGAAAAUCUGAUUCCUCGGAUUCAUUUUGACAGUGUCUUCGACCGAUAAAGGCAUCAUAGACGAGCUUGGAACACUCUCCAGUGGUAUUAAUCGCCCUCCCGCGUACAAGAAUAUAAGGUUUAAAGUGAUGAUGACAAUAUGCAAUCUUCUGUUGAACAUUGGGACGUUUUAUAUAUUGAAGUGAUUAUUUUUGUUUCUUGAGAGAGAGUUUUGGUAUGAUAAUGUGAGGGAUAUAUAAGUGGGAGGAGAUAUACAUUGGAUUAGGGUUAAGGUUCAUAAAUGGGCUCGUGAGUGAUGGCUGGAAACAAAAGAGAGGAGAGUAAGUAGGAGAGGACAGAGGCAAAAUGGCUGGAAAAUUGUAUUAAUCAAAAUACGAUUUUAUAUGUGUGAUAGAGAAACAAAAAAGUGUUGAUGGGGUCGGGAAGAUCAGAAAGAGGUAGGGAAGUCCGUGAGUAUCUGAAAUUACAAUCAAAGAUCAAACAUUUGUCUUCGCAUUUAUGAAUUAUGACACACUCACACGCACUUGUCUAUAUUUCAAACUAUGGUUUCUCUUGUUUUAAAAUGGUUUUAAGAUUGUCCAUGAUUUUAAAAAUUAAGAAUAGAUAUAUUAUUAGAUUGUUGUAAACCACAUUACGGAUGGACUCCAUAACUGUGGCCCAUGUCUAUGUUUUAGAAAGCCCAUGUCCAUGUUCUAGAAGGCCCAUGUCUAUCUUCUAGAAGAUUCGCCCAAUGACGGUUUAUGUUAGUCUUAGUGGGCUUUAGGGUUUCCUAGUCCAAUUGAGAUUUGUCUCCAUUAUUGUGUAUAUAUAUAUAUAUAUAUAUAUAUAAGUUGUAACCUCAUUCAUUAAUAAGAAGAAUACACGAGAUUCAUAACACGUUAUCAACACGACUUGCUCUUAAUGAAAACCCUAAAACCCUAAAUCUAAAGUCGCCGAGCUCGUCCGCCGCCCGAAGGUUCCAACCGCCGACCGCUCGCUUUGCUCCUUGAUCGGCGAUCUCCUCCUAGCACCAUACGCUCGUGACAAGUUGAUAACCGAGGUCUUUAGCUCCCGGUUCUAGUCCAUACAACCCCAAAGGUGAAAGGUAAAACAACAAACCCUAAAGCUAAAGAACCCAACUCGAAUUUGGAUCUAACAAACGGCUAAGACCUAAAACGAACCUUGAUUGUCUAAGCGAUUGCUAUUGCUUGUGAGAUCCGAUUGUUUGACUCGUUUAGGUUACUAGAAAAGUUGAUUAUUGCUUAAGCUAAACUCGCCUAAGUUGUUAGAGAAGUUUAUUACCUAAACCUAAAUCGCAAAAAUCGAAAAUACCUAAGCUAAUGGCCGAAACUUUAAAAGUCUAAAACCUAAAACUAAAUCGGAUCUAAUCCGAAAUUCCCUAAGUAUAAAUCGGCUUGGUUGAGGUUGUUUAGGUUGUUAGAUUGAUUGUUUCUUUGAUUGAUUACAUGCAUAAGUUGUUAGAAACCCUAAAACUAAAAUCGCAUGAACCCUAGAAACCUUAGAAAAGAUAAUCCUAAAGAAAAUAGUAAAACCCUAAAAUCCUAAUUAAAAUAGGAAAUCUGAAAAACCCUAAAUCCUAUUCUAAAUAGGAAAAGCUAAAUCCUAAAGAAAGCAGGAAAACCUAAAUAAAAUCCUAAAUCCUAUUGUAAAUAGGAAAUUCUAAAAUACUCUAAAUCCUAAUUAAAUUAGGAAAUUCAUAAAUCCUAUUCAAGAUAGGAAAACCUUAAGAAAUAAAAAUUUUCCAAAUCCUAAAUAAAAUAGGAAAUCUUAAAUCAUAAGUGAAAUAGGAAAAUUAAUCCUAGAGUAAAGAGGAAAGUAAAUCCUAAAAGGAAAAGGAAUAGUUAACCCUAAUUAAAAGAGAAAAUCUAAUCCUAAGCAAAAGAGGAAAUCUAAUCCUAAGCAAAAGAGGAAAGUCAAAUCCCUAAGUAAAUCGAUUCAUAGUUCGGUCUCAAAUACCGCAUGACACUAACGAUUACAUGAUUUUGACUCAAAACUUUUCUUUAUAGAUGUUGAAUUACAACUUGUAUUUUACUGUCCUAAAUCUCUUAGGAGAUAAUUAUUUAAAAUGGGCAAUAGAUACUAAGAUUAUCCUAAAAGUCAAAAGGACUUGGUGAAUGUAUCUAAUAAGGCAAUAAUGCCAAGAGAGAAGAUAGAUACAAGGCAAUAUUAGCCACCAUCUUAUUGAGAGUCUCAUAAUCCAGGACUAUAAGUCUGUGGAUGAGUCUAUUGCUAGAUGAACAAAAUAAUGACUUACUGAUAAAAACAGUGAAUUACGACCUCAUAGAUUAACCCCAUUACCUGAUGCCAAUAAGGCCGCAGAGGAUAAGGAAGAAUCCAAAGAAUCUAACCACGUCCAUAGAGAUAGACCACACGACCGUAGCCGUAGUGGAUGGAAAGGACGUGGUUGUGGCCACUAUAACUCAUCCGGCCGUGGGAACCACUAUAACCGUGGAUGUAGACCCAAUUCCGGCCGUGGUCGAGGGCGAGGACGAUGUGGUAUUUCCAAACCACAACACUCGACCAAAUUAAAUGAGUAUGCCAUAGAUGUGGAAUGGGGAACCAUUGGGCUAAGAUAUGUAGGACUUCCAAACAUCGUUGUAACCUCUAUCAAGAGAGUGUGAAAAGGAAGAAUCCUAAAGCCCAUUUGGUAUAUAAAGAUGGUGAACAUGAUCAAGAUGAUCUAAUGGAGUAUAAAACUCCUGAUUGCCUAAAAGAAUCAAGUUGAUAAAUCUGACUUCGACAUCAAAACCUCUAUGUUUUUCUUUGCAUUUUAUGUGUUCAUUGAUUGUUAUUUCCUUGAAUUUAUUUUAUAUUACUUUAUGUUUAAAACAUGAUUCUUGUCCAUAUAAGAAAUGGCCGAGGACAAGAACAUACUUGUGGUGGAUAGUGGAGCCACACAAUUUUAAAAGACAAGAGAUAUUUUCCUAAAUCUCAUAAUGAAAAAUGCCAAUAUUAGCACCAUAGCGGGUAUAGCUAGUCUUAUUGAGGGCUACGGCCAAGUCCAUAUCUUAUCACCAAAUGGCACGCAUCUUGAACUAAGCGAUGCCUUAUAUUCACUCAGCUCAAAGAGGAGCUUAUUGAGUUUCAAAGAAAUAAGAUUGAAUGGUUUCCAUAUUGAAACAAAGGGUGAAGGGAACAAAGAAUUCCUAAAUAUAAUUGAGAUCACCAAAGGACAUAAGAAAGUCCUAGAGACUAUACCCGCAUUAUCCACUGGUCUCUUCUAUGCUAAAAUCGAUAUGAUCGAAGCUAAUAUGGCAAUGAAAGAGUCCAACGAAAAGUUCACUUUAUGGCAUGACCGGCUUGGCCAUCCGGGUCAUAGUAUGAUGCGUAAGCUUAUGAUAAAUUCAAAGGGGCACACCCUAAAAGAGAAAAGAGUUAUCCCUAAGAAUCUCACGUGUGAAGCAUGUUCACAAGGAAAACUCAUUAUAAGGCCAUCACUGGCAAAGAUAAAUAAAGAGACAUUAAAUUUUUUGGAAAGGAUAAAAGGGGAUAUAUGUGGACCAAUACACCCACCAUGUGGGACAUUUAGAUAUUUCAUGGUCCUCAUUGAUGCAUAGACAAGAUAGUCGCAUGGUUCGGUCUUAAAUACCGCAUGGACUAGUCUAAAAUCGAUUGCAUGAUUCGGUCUUAAAUACCGCAUGGCCCAGAUCAUAAGACUGAGAGCCCACUUUCCAGAUUUUCCGCUUAAGACUAUACGUCUAGAUAAUGCCGGUGAAUUCAUGUCCCAAGCGUUUAACGACUAAUGUAUGUCCAUGGGGGUAAGUGUGGAACAUCCCGUGGCACAUGUAUAUACUUAGAACGGAUUAGCGGAAUCUUUCAUUAAACGAAUUUAAUUGAUAGCUUGACCAUUACUCAUGAGGUCGAAGCUUCUAGUAGCCGCUUGGGGACAUGCUGUUUUACAUGCAUCAGAGCUUAUACGCAUAAGGCCAUCUAGUGAACAUAAAUAUUCGUCAUCCCAAUUAUUAACGGGUCAUGAGCCAGACAUAUCCCAUCUAAAGACAUUCGGGUGUGCCGUAUAUGUACCGAUUGCUCCACCACAUAAAACAAAGAUGGGAAUAUAUGUUGGAUUUGAUUCUCCCACCAUUAUUAAGUAUCUAAAGCCAACCAUGGGUGAUCUAUUUAAGGCUAGAUACGCAGAUUGUCAUUUUAAUGAAUCCGAAUUUCCUAAUAUAGGUGGAGAGACGAACAAGUUGGUCAAAGAAAUAUCAUGAAAUCAAACAUCCUUAAAUUGGCAAGAUCCUCGGACUCUGAUGUGUGAUUCAGAGGUUCAUAAGAUAAUAAAUUUGCAAAAGCUAGCUAAUGAAUUGCCAGAUUCCUUUGAUGACCCAAAGAGAGUUAUAAAAGCGUACAUACCAGCUUGUAAUACACCAGUACGUAUUGAUGUUCACAAGGAACACAAUCAAGUUGCUACAGAGUCUAGACAGCGUAAGAAACGUGGUAGACCAAUAAGUUCCAAAUGAUAAAAACCCUCGAAAAUUAAAGAAAGGUGCAAUUGGAAUCCGAGGUUACUAAGGAAACCAUCCCAGACAUGGAGAUAAGGCCGGCCGGCUCUAAGGUACAUGUACCAUAUAAUGUAGCUUGGGACGCCAAGCUGCAAAGUAUUAAAGGUCCUGACCAUAAUAAAUCUCAAAUCGAUUAUAUCAUGUCUGAACAUAAUGGAACAUAUAAGAAAUGUCGACAUAAGAUGAUUUUGCAUGCAAGGUAGCACUUGAAUUUAUGAAUAUAAAUGAGGAUCAAGAGCCCACGUCUAUACUAGAGUGCACUCAAAGACUUGAUUGAUUAAAUGGUACAAGCACUACAAGAAUAAUGGGUUUUUAUAGCAGUAUAACAUAACGUUUGUGGGCUAAAUGCUAUGGUUAUGAAACCAUUUUAUUAAAGAUAGCGUUUGUGUAUUUUAAACGCUAUAAUAUAUUGUAAUAUUAAAAACUUUUGUCACGUUUUUUCUAAAACGCUUAUUAAUAGCAGACCGCUAAUUUAAAACGCUAUGAUAUGGUUAGGCGGUAAUUAAGAAACCCGCGAUACUUAGAAAUUUUUUGGCUCCUCAGGUCAAAAGAACAAAAAUCCCUAAAUUUCUAGACCUAAAAUUUCUCCCUCUCGAUUUUGGCUCGAUUUUGCUCGAUUUUCGCCAAAUCUUCAUCAAUCAGACUCGAGCCUCACAAAUAUCAGUCACAUGCCCUAAAAUCUUCUCGUCUCCCACACAAAUCGAUCUCCACUCUGAAAGCUCAAUCGUCUCCUAGAGAAAUCGCGUAUCGUUCUGAAAAUCUUCUCGUCUCCAGCUUCAAUCUCGUGUCUGUAACCAAAUACACGACAAUCCAGCUUUCUCUUUCGCUUGUGGUGGUGUCUCAAUCGAUUUACACAAAUCUCGUCUCUGUAACCGAAAACGCUUCAAAUCCAGCUUCCUCUUUCGCUUGUUUUCGUGUUCUUGCUCGAUUUCUACCAGGUAUCUCACUUGUUCUCUAUUGUUGUUGUCGCUAUCAGAUCUCGUCAUUCUGUUGUUGUGGCUUAACUGCAUGCAAUUGUUUUGUUGUUGAUUGUGUAAACACCUUUGGUCGGAGUUGUUCCCAUGGAUAAAGCUUGGGUCUGGUUACCAAGGUAAUAUCUGUCCUUCUUCUUCUUUGAUUUUUUUGUGAACUAGCUUGGGUCUGUGAUUUCUUUUUUUGAUUUAUUUGAAUUCUUUGAUUGCUAACAGGAAUAGCCUUGAGUAUGAGGAAGGAGCAACUAAGUUUGUGCUUGAUGCAACAAGUUGUUUGGGUAAUGUAUUAGCUAUGUUCUGUCCUUGCGUUGAUUGCCGGAAUGUGGUUCAUCAGUCAAAUGAGACAGUGUUGGAGCAUCUAGUGAUUAGAGGGAUGGAUCUUAAGUACAAGAGAAGCAAAUGUUGGAGUAAACACGGGGAGAUAAGUGAUAAGAUAACAGAUGUUCAUGCGUCUGAAAAUGAGGCUUAUGACUUGUUUAGGACAGCUUUUAUGGAAAGCGAAGGCAAGCAAUCAUCUCAGCAGAAUAAUGUAGAAGAGUCUGAAACAGUAGAGAGUAAAGAAGAAGGGGAGUUUAGGAAGAAGUUAGAGGAUGCAGAAACUCCAUUGUACUCUACAUGUAUGAACUACACAAAGGUUUCUGCAAUCAUGGGACUGUACAGGAUAAAGGUCAAGAGUAAGUGCAAAGCUAAUACAAAUUUAUGUUUAAAAGCUUGAUGAUUAAAGUGUAACAAAGAAUAACUUUAUUGAAAACAGGUUGCAUUUGGAAGAACUGCAAGCUACAGAUGUAAGAUGUGCAAAGAAUGAAACACUCUUGUGGAAAUAUCACACAGAAAGGUUCCCACAAUGGAUCAAAGAUAAGGUUAGAAGAAUGUCAAUUGUGUAGUGUUUUUUAAUUUCAUGUCAUUGACAUUAUGUUUCUCUGUUUCAUGUUAGAUACCAAGUAACUCAAAAGAUCAUUCUAGUAGAUUGAGAUGGCUUGCAUUUGGACCAAGACAUAUUGCUCAAACUUACAAGGGGUAUAUAAUUAAUGGUCAGCGGUUCCACACUGAUGAUGUCAAGAGGAAAACCCAGAAUAGUGGAAUAACUUAUGAAGCAUUUUCUAUGUGUAGAUCAAGUGCUAAAGAUACUAGACAAAUGGCAGAUAUAGUAUCAUUCUAUGGAGUGAUAAAGGAGAUCUUGAUGCUGGACUACCACAUGUUCCAGAUUCCAGUUUUUAGGUGUAUUUGGGCUAACAAAGGGAAUGGAGUGAAAGAGGAAGACGGUUUCACACUUGUCAAUCUCCAUAUGAACCAGUCAGCAUACUUAAAUGAUCCUUUCAUUUUGGCAUCGCAGGCUAAACAAGUUUUUUACUCUAGAGAAGAUGACAGCUCACCUUGGUAUGUUUGUAUGAGGGCGCCACCAAGAGGGUACCAUGAGCUAGAAACAGUAGAGGAGUUUGUUUCUGGACCAUUAUCAGUUCAGCCAAUUGAAGAUUUAGGAGAUCAAUCAUCUGACGACGAGAGUUUUUGUGUUAGGUCUGAUUGUGAAGGUGUUAUAGUAGAGGACUAAUUAAAACUUUAUUUUUGUUUCAGGUAAUCAAAAACAAUGAACCAAGUUACUGCAAUCCGUCGCAGUAAGCGCCAGGCAGGCCUUGAUGUCACUCCUGUAGUGUCAUUGAAGAAGAAGAAGAGAAACAAUAAGUCUAUCAUUGAAGAGAAUGAAAGAGACAAUGAAGAAGAGAGAAUAGAAGUGGCUACUGAAGGAGAUGAUGGUGUAGAGGAAGAAGAUAUUAAUGGAGAAGAAGAUAUUGAAGAACAAGAGAAUGGAGCAGAAGAUAAUGAAGAACAAGAUAAUGGUAUGUCUCAAGAGAAUGAAAGAGAGAAUGAAGUGGAAGAUCCAAUCCCUCCUUCCACAGCAGGUGCCUCUGAAACCCAGACAAACCAGUCAGACAACAAAAAGAGGAAGUCAAGAGGUCCAACUAGAAUGCGUAAAGUGGCAAAGAAUCUUGAGGAUAAGGUAGAAGUGGAGUUUAAUGCUCUUGGUGAGCAUGUUGGUAAGGGAUCAGUGACACUCUCCUCUUUCCUUGGUCCUCUAGUGAGAGAGCAUGUGCCUGUAUUGGUAGAUGAUUGGAGACAGCUUGAUCAAAGGACAAAAGACGUUAUGUGGGAAGAAAUUCAGGUUAUUUUUCACCUUUGCUUGAAUAAAAUUUAUAUGAGAGUGUUGUUUGUGCCUUAACUUGGCAAUGUUUGACAUGGGAGGUUCAAUUUAAAAGAAGAUUGGCAGAAAGAAGCAGUAUUUAGGCAAAUGGGUGGUCUGUGGAGGGAUGCCAAAUCCAAGCUUGUUACCAAAGUGAGAUCUGCUAAAAGCAAAGUUGCUCUACAGAAACUGAAGCCUAGCAACAUCCAAUGUACAUCAGCCUGGACAGUUGGGUUAAGAACAAAUGCACAGCAGCUUUUAAGGUUAUUGUUUACACUCCUUUGAUUAAUUUCCUUAAAAUAGUUAUACUCAUCUGACUCUUUUUGUCUAUAGGAACGAAGUGAGAAAUACAGGCAACUGAGGAAGGGUCAAAUUCCUCAUACUACAAGCCGCAAAGGAAUGACUCGCUUAGCUGAUGAGAUGGUAUAUAUUUUGUUUUGCAUUGGGUACUUUUAUUAGUAAUUUACUCAUGUAUAUGUGCAUGAACUUGUAGAAAAAAAACAGUUCUGAUCCUAGAAAAGUUACUAGAAGUAAGGUGUGGAUAGCAGGACAUACACAUUCUGAUGGGAGACCUGUGAGGGAAGAGUUUGCAGAAACUAUUGUAAGUAGCACUUAAAAUCUUUUUCAAUUGUUAUUCAGGUUACUUUAAAGAUUGUUUCUACAUAUUGUGAUAUAAAAUUUGAUGUCAGGAAAUGAUCAAGACCAUUGAUAGUGAAAUGGACUCCACCACAUCCACGGAUAAUGUUAGGGAAGAUGCUGUGAGUCAGGUACUAGGAAAAGACAGACCAGGAAGAGUUAGGGGGAUGGGCAGAGGCGCAACUGUUACUAAGUUAGCAUUCUUACAGGCAAGAGACUCUCAUGUCAAGAAGCUUGAAGCUUCUCAAGCAAAAUUGCAAAGUAAGCUUGAAAAUUUGCAGAAUGUGGUUAGUAACUUAGNNNNNNNNNNNNNNNNNNNNNNNNNNNNNNNNNNNNNNNNNNNNNNNNNNNNNNNNNNNNNNNNNNNNNNNNNNNNNNNNNNNNNNNNNNNNNNNNNNNNUUUUUGUUUAUCAAUUAUUUUCAUAUUACGGUUAUUAUAACUUGGGAUUAGCUAAUAAUAUGUGGGUUGUGUGUUGGUGUACAUGUGGGAAGAGACACUGUUAAUCGUGUCUUACAUGAGCAUGUAUUUUAAAAGAUACACUGUUAAUCCUAGUAUCCUUACUUUUUUAAAGUGUGUUGGUGUGAUUGACUUCAAAUGAAGUGUUUUAGGGAUGAUCAAGUCAAAUCAGCAAACCAACGUAUUUAUUUGCACGACACAUCAAAUGAAUUUUGCGUUACACUUAUUUUCAUUUAUGCUUAUCAACAACAUUAAUAAGUUGACACAAACCAAAGAAACUUCAGUUACAUCCAUGAUAUUUCCACCACUCCAAGCUUUACAGUCGCUCCUAUUCUAAAACUCUUUAACUUUACAGACACAUAUAUAUUCAAAAUCAGUGGCAAUUAUUUCUAGCGCUUCCAUCUGAAGCACAAUUGAUAUUAACCCAUAUUAGAGAACAAUUGAUCACCGGUCUACCAACCAUUGCAAGUUUGAUCUUAUCUCUAAAAUCAUAGAUAGUUUAGUAAAUUAGUUUUGUCAUACACCAAAUCUUGGCAACAUAUUUGUUCAAUCGUACUGAGCAUAUCUCUUUAAAUAACCAUCUCUCUAUCUCUAUCUCUAUCUCUCUCUAUCUUGGCAUUAACCACUGGUUUGAAAAAUGAUAGAAGGUUAAUAAGAAGUUGAAGGGGCUGUCUACCAUAGAAAGUGAGAGUCAGAUCCGUAAUCUUACCUCACUCAACCACAUCAGAGAAGCAUUUGAAUACCUAAAAGGCCAUCCUUCCUAAUUUCGUCUCCCUUUGAAUAUGGGAGGUAAAUGCUAUCUCAAGAAGCAUGUCGGUGGAAUCUGUAGGUAGAGAGUUAGAGGCCCUUUACCUAGUUUUCACAAACAAUACCAAUCCUUAUCACAACACCAAAAAUUAUAUUUGUAUAGAUCGUGAGUUCAAAUUGUAAACUUAACACAAAUAAAAUCGACGUUCUUACAUUGUUAUUGAAUCAACUUCCUUUUUUAUUGAACGAUGUCGAUUAGAUGGCCUCUGAUGCUCUCUUCCAUCAAUUUAGAUGGUGAUGAAAACAGAUUUGGAUAAUUUUGAAACUGAGUUUUUGUGGAACGAUGACACUGAAAUAAAUUUAAAGAAUUCUAUUGGAAUAUAUAAGAAGGCUAACUAAAGGGGAAGAUUGAUGGUCAAUUAGAAUCUAAGGAAUUCCAAAAGUUCAAUAGUAGAUUUCAGGGAAGACGAUUAGUUAGACCUAAGGACGUUUAGAUUUUACUUUUUUUUUUUAUAAUAUAUAUUCAUGGGCUUAGAAUCAGGUCCAUAAACAAAUAAAUAAACAUUGAAUUGAUUAGUCGGUGGCUUCUUUAUUGACGUGAGAAGUUUGCUGAUGUGGCUUUCUCUAAGAUGUGUUUUAGUUUGCUUAUGUGGAUAGGUUGAGAAGCUUCAAUUAGUCUCUUUUAUUAGUAAGAGAUUUGAGAGAGUCUCAUGGUGAGAGCUCUCCAUUGAAAAUCGAAAUAUAUAUAUAUAUAUAUAUAUAUAUAUAUUUUCUUUAUACUAAAAAGAACAUUGUAUCUCUCGUUACACUCAAUAACCCAAUUUCCAAUGGCAACAUCAAACCACACUGCCACACAUGUUCCAGAGGGCAUAGUUACAGAGAUACUAACGAAGUUACCGUUGAGAACAUCUCCAGGUUCAAAUCGGUGAGUAAAACAUGGAAAUCUAUAUAUUUUCAUCAUCUCUUUGUGCCUGUGCACCAACACACUUCUUCAUGUUGGUCGCUCCUGCACCGACAAAAAGAACCCAUAGACUUCCAUGAUCCAAGCAGGUCAGUUUAUAUGUCUCAUAUUAUCAAGUAAAGUUACACAACAUGGUUUGCAAAGUUAGUAACAAACGUGAUCAUUACACGUGUCAAACCUAUCGAUAUGAGAUUUUACCAUAUGUCAAAUAUAUAUUUUCUUUUUAAUAGCUAGAAAAGAAAAAAUAUAAUAAUAAGGAAAUUAUAAAUUUAAAAAGUUUUAAAUGUCAAUAAAUAAUUAUAAGAAAAUUACAUUUUAUAUUUCCAUAAAAAAAUAAUAUCAUUUAAUAAAAAUAGCAUGUCAUACUAGGAAUAGCAUAUGAUUGUUAUGAAGAUUGUUAUGAAAGUGACGAUGGUGGUGGUUGAUGGUUACGGAGGUGGUGAUAGGGUUAAUUUUUACGGAGGUGGUGAUAGGGUAAUUUUUAAAAUAACAUGAAUCAUGUAAAAAUUAUUUAUCAGAAGUAUAUCAUGUCAUUUAUAAAAAAAAAACUUUGAAUCGUAAUGGUUUUCUGAAAAUGUGAUGUGUUAUUCAGAUUCAAGGAAUAUUUAACGUUGGAGAUAAAUUAAGAAUUAUGAACGGCGAUGGAUAUAGACUAGAGUUGUUGACAGAGAAGCUUGGUCCGAUGUCUGAGAAGAUAAAGAAUGUGGAGAAAUAAGACCAGUUAAGGGAAAAGAAGAAGAGGCGGUAACAGUGGUGUUGGUGUUGACGACGGUGGUUCAAGUUUGGUGGUUGUGGCGAUAAAUGUUGAUGAAGGUGGUGAGUCAGAAUUAGAGUGAUUCGGUAUUGAUGGUGGUGGUUAUUGUGGUACUAGUGAGAUUCUGUUGUGCUGGUGAGUCAGAGUAGUGAGAUUCGGUGGUGAUGCCCGACGAAGGAGAAAAAUGGAGAUAGAGAAAAAAAAAGAUAUGAUGGUGAAAAAUCCGACGAGAGGGAGUAAAAGAGAAAGAAAUAGGAGAUCCAGCAAAAAUAAGAGAAAUCUAACGAGAAAUAGAGAGAUAUUUGAGACUUUCUCGCCGGCGAGAGAACGGAAAGAAGAGAGAAAGAAGAAGAAAUGGGUAUUAUGAACCAAAAACUGACAAAAAACAUAUAGCAAAUAGACAUUGUUUAGUCAAAUGUUACUUUAAUUUCUUAAAUCUUUUUUAGUCUUACGUUUUUUUGCAUAUUCCCUAAUUCCUUAUAAUGUUAUAUCUUUAUUUUGAAGAUGUCUCAUAUUAUCAAGUAAAGCUAAAUGACAUGAAAAUAAACCGUCUCAUGUUUUCUCUUUUCUUAUUGUCACAAUUUUAUUAUGACGCCACGUUUUCUAAAAAAUUCAAAUGUUUACGUAACUCAUACCAUAUGCUUACAUAUUAUGCAUAUAUCAUUCAUAUGUUUACAUAACUAUAUAAGUUUAUUUAUUUUUAUUGUCACAAUUUUGUUUCUAUCUUGCCUAAAUUAAAAUUAUAAGGUGUAACAUACUCUUCUGAUGGGUGUAAGUAAUUAAUUAAAAUUCAAUAAUACAACAUAUGAACAUUUAUCAAUAUCAUAAUUCCUGGUUUAGUUAUUAUACUAAGAGAGAAAUAGAUAAAUUUUGGUAAUUCUGAUUUCUGGUUUAAUUUAAGUGAACCGAAAAUAAACCUAAGUAUAUAUAUACCCUAAAAAUCGCAGAAGCUCUAGUUCUUUCUCAUAAUUUAUGUGUCCACCUUCAAGGAAAGAAAGAGAGAGACUGAUUGUGGCUGAAAGAAAUUUUAUGGAAUUGUACCUAAGCCUUAGACCUAGAUAUACCACUUUGCAGAUUUCGAAUAAGUUAAUAUUCUAAGUGUUAUCCGCUUUUUUGUGAGGUGCUCUAUUUCAGAUGCGAUUUGGACCAACAUGGAUUAAAAAAGAGAUCGCCAGUUCAUCUACGGUCGGAUGAUCAUGAAUCUUUGUGGGUAGAUUCAUGACAUCUAGGGGUUAUGUAUCAACGAUGUAGAUUGAAAGGGGACGGUUAGAUUUAGAUUCGUGUUUGAAUCUUUGAAGCUGUUCAUUUCUGUUAUUUUUGAGUCAUGAAUCUAAAUUUCACCGUCCACUUUCAAUCUGCACCGUUGAAACUGAACCCUAGAUGUCCAGAAGCCACCCUCAUAUUUUCGUGAUGAUCCGACCGUAGAUAAACUCAUAACCUCUCUUUAAAUCUAUAUUGGUCCAAAUCGCGUGUGAAACAGAGCACCUCAUGAGAAAGCGGAUAAAUUUUAGAAUAGUAACUCAAAUCCAAAUCCGCGAAGUGGUACGUCUAGGUCUAAGGCUUAGCUAAAACUCCAUACAAUCUUCUUACCAAAAAAGGUGAUUUGAUAUAUCAAACCUCUGCUCUACCACGACGUAUCUGAUCUGUCUGCAACAAGCUUUUUUCUCUCUUUCAGCCACAAUCAGCCUCUCUCUUUCUUUCCUUAUGGUGGCCACGAAACUUAUGAGAAAGAAAAAAGGCAUAUGCGAUUUUUAGGGUAUAAAUAGACUUAGGUUUAUUUUCGAUCCACUUAAAUUAAAUCAAGAGUUCAAAUUACUAAAAUUAAUUAAUUUUUCCCUUGGUUGAAUAAUAAACCGACCAGCUUAUUAAUCCAACUGAAAUUAAAUCGACUCUUCUCCAAAUUCCGACAUAAAACUCAAAUAUCCGUUUUCCAGAACACGGACGUUACAAUAGUUUUAUUUAGAAGCAGCUUAAGUGACUAAAACUUUUAAGAGAUCCACUGGUGCCGCCAAAAAAGAAGUAACCAUCCAUUUUUUAUUUCUACUGUUAGUUGCUGACUCUUGCCCGCAUGACCAAAAUUUUUGAGGAUUUUAUCUCCCCUUUCCUUUAUAGUUGGUGUCGCCAAUUUGCGGACACCCUAAUUUAUCAUAUUUAGACUAAUAAUGAAACUGAAUUCCCUAAUGCCAACUUGCAUAAAGAUUCGACCACAUUUCUCGUAAAUGCAUGAGAUUAUAAAGGGGCUUAUGAUCCCAACGACAGAAUAUAUGAGAAAAUCCUUAAUUUGUUAUUCUUGGGUUUUCCUAUUAGACAAAUAUCUCGACCAAUCCACGGCUAGUAGCUUGAUUUUUGUAUUGGAGAACUUCAAAAGGAAGAGUUUCUCAAGAUCAAGAGUUCGGAUCUCAGCAGUGGGAACAUGAUUGAUUUAGGCUGUCUUUGUUUCUAGUUCAAAAUACUUAUGUAUCAAAACCCCAAAAAUUUUGGUUUACCAAAACUAAAAUCUGAAUUAUAGAACUGGCACCACAUAAGAACUUGAGGUAACAAACUUAACAUUUUCUUGAUUAGUUAUAACUCAUCAUAAUUAUAACUCAAUUUGAGGUGCCAUUGCCUUUUUCAAUUUCAACUCAUCAUAAUUAGGUGGUAUAUAUAUAUUGGUCCAAAACAACCAGAAAUAAAAGAAAGAAAUUAUCCAAAAAAAAAAUUAUAUAAAAAAGAUAUAUAAUAACACAUACUUGCAUUACAUAUAGGUCUUCAUAAUUAUCGACACCCAAAGAAUCAACACAUCAUUCUUAUUUUGUAUAAUUAAACUCUCAAAUAGAAAAGAAAAUUAAUCAAGGUGAUAUCUUGGACCGAAAGGUUACUUUGGAUGAGGAACACUUAACGGAAACAAGAGGCUGAUAAUUUACAAACCGGCUCGGAGCUGAUCUUGGUCGGAACCCUUUAGGCAUACAACUCUUUACGUGUGUCCCAUGGAAAAUCUGAUUCCUCGGAUUCAUUUUGACAGUGUCUUCGACCGAUAAAGGCAUCAUAGACGAGCUUGGAACACUCUCCAGUGGUAUUAAUCGCCCUCCCGCGUACAAGAAUAUAAGGUUUAAAGUGAUGAUGACAAUAUGCAAUCUUCUGUUGAACAUUGGGACGUUUUAUAUAUUGAAGUGAUUAUUUUUGUUUCUUGAGAGAGAGUUUUGGUAUGAUAAUGUGAGGGAUAUAUAAGUGGGAGGAGAUAUACAUUGGAUUAGGGUUAAGGUUCAUAAAUGGGCUCGUGAGUGAUGGCUGGAAACAAAAGAGAGGAGAGUAAGUAGGAGAGGACAGAGGCAAAAUGGCUGGAAAAUUGUAUUAAUCAAAAUACGAUUUUAUAUGUGUGAUAGAGAAACAAAAAAGUGUUGAUGGGGUCGGGAAGAUCAGAAAGAGGUAGGGAAGUCCGUGAGUAUCUGAAAUUACAAUCAAAGAUCAAACAUUUGUCUUCGCAUUUAUGAAUUAUGACACACUCACACGCACUUGUCUAUAUUUCAAACUAUUGGUUUCUCUUGUUUUAAAAUGGUUUUAAGAUUGGCCAUGAUUUUAAAAAUUAAGAAUAGAUAUAUUAUUAGAUAUAUUAAUAAGAUUGGCCAUUAUAUCCACGGUUGCAUGAUUUCUGGACUAGGUUGAAACUGUUUGGACUAGGUUGAAACUGUUUUGGAUAACGGAAACACGAUGAAUCUGUCUUUAACCAUUUUUUGUUUGACAAUAUAUAUAUAUAUAUAUUCUAGGGAGACUCACAAAAAUGCCCCUUUUUCAAUACCCUUUUCAAAAAUGCCCCCUUUGGCUGUCCAUUUUUAAAAAUACCCCUUUUUAUGUACAAAAUGACUAAAUUACCCUUCUUUUAAUAAAAGAUAUUACAAAUAUAUAAGGAAAUAUAACAAAAUUAGGUUCAUAAAAUACAAAAUAUUUUUGGCGGGAAAAGUGAUCCCACAAUUUUUCCCGCCAAAAACACUUGUAAAAACUUGUAAAACCUUUAAAAUACCUUGUAAAAUUUUCCCGUAAAAUUUUUUCCCGCCAAAAAAUUUUCCCGCCAAAAUUUUUUUUUGCGGGAAAAGUGAUUCCGCAAUUUUUUUGGCGUUAAAUUUUUGGCGGGAAAAAUUUACAAGGAAUUUUAAAGGUUUUUUACAAGGUAUUUAUAAGGUUUUACAAUGUAUUUUAAAAGGUUUUACAACGUAUUUAUAAGGUAUUUAUAAGAUAUUAUAAGAUUUUACAAGCUAUUUUAUAAGGUUUUACAAGUUAUAAGAUUUUACAAGUUUUUUAUAAGGUUUUACAAGUUGUAAAUACUUUAUAAAACCUUAUAAGUACCUUGUAAAACCUUUUAAAAUACAUUGUAAAACUUUACAAAACACUUGUAAAUACUUUGUAAAACCUUUAAAAUACCUUGUAAAUUUUUCCCGCCAAAAAUUUUCCCGCCAAAAAAAUUGCGGAAUAACUUUUCCCGCAAAAAAAAAUUUUUGGCGGGAAAAUUUUUUGGCGGGAAAAAUUUUUACAAGGUAUUUUAAAGGUUUUUACAAGUGUUUUGGCGGGAAAAUUGGGGGAUCACUUUUCCCACCAAAAAAUAUUUUAUAUUUUGUGGACCUAAUUUUGUUUCAAAUAAGGGUAAAAUGGUCAUUAAAAAUUAAAAGAGGGCAAACUUAAAAAUGGACUCUCAAAGGGGGCAUUUUUGAAAAGGGGUAUUGAAAAAGGGGCAUUUUUAACAAUUUCUCUAGAUUCUAUUAUAAUAAAUCACAAGUCACUUCUCUAAAAACUGCAGUUCUCUCCAUCUGACACGUGUCUUAGGUCUCAAAUUCACUCCUUUACUUUUCUAAACAUUUUAUGACGAAAAAAUUCUAUUAUAAUAAAUCACAAGUCACUUCUCUAAAAACUGCAGUUCUCUCCAUCUGACACGUGUCUUAGGUCUCAAAUUCACUCCUUUACUUUUCUAAACAUUUUAUGACGAAAAAAAUAAGAAAAGAAAAAAAAAAAUCACUUAAAUUUAUCAACUGCUCUAUCCACUUCCCACGAUCCCAAUUUUAUAGGAAAACCUCAACAUAUUUUUUUAUAUUCUAUUUUCCUAUAACCACUCUCUCACCGUGCGAAGCACAGGACACAACACUAGUAAAAGAAUAAAAGAAUAAAAAAUAAUACACUGAAAUGAAAACAUAUAUCUAAUUAUGAAUCCAUUCGUGUAGGAUUUAGACUAAAGUUUAUACAUACGUUUUAUCAGAGUGGAUCUUAUUGGUAACCAAAAGUUGUAAUAAGUUUUUUAGUUGUUAGCUGAAGCUGUAAACUUUAUCGGAAUAGUGCAAAACCGUAAGAAAUAGCUGUACAAAAAAAGCUAUUUAAAAAAGUUAAUAACGCUUUUGAUAAAGUUUUGGUGAUUGGUAACAGUCAAAGCUGUACACGAUGUACCGUUUUGAUAAUGGAUUACCAUUCAAAACCAUUAAUAGUUUAUAAAUACUUUCCAUCCUUUAUGUGGUUAAUGAUCUAAAGUACUCAUCUUAUAUUUGGAUAUAAAAAUAAUGAACUUAAUAAUAUAUAUACACACACAUGUGGUCCAGAAGUUUAUAAAAACUCUUCCUCUUUUUUUUUUUCUUUUUUCCGUCUAAGUGAUAUAAUUCAUGAUAAAAGAUAUAAUAACGGCGAUCCAAGAAAUGAUCCCGAAAUCUAAGCACUAGACGAAACUGAGAACUAAGCCGACGGAUAACAAGACAUCUUCGGAAGCUAACGGCCAAAAAAAGAAAACUAUUGAAAUACAAAGAGAGCAACACAAAGAAAAAGUUCAAAACUAAGACAAGAGAAACACAAUAAAUAAAACCAGAACCUAACACAAGCUAUAAAAAGCUAUAAAAAACUCUUCCUAUAUAUAUAUAUUUAUAUGUAUAUAUAUGAUCAACAAUAUAUACACAAGAUUGCCAUUAUGUAUUAAAGCAUAAACAAUCCACAAACUAUAAUUUAAAACAUAUAAGAUCGAUCAAGCCUUAGUUAUAUCAGUCAUAAAUAAAAUUUUAAGCGUCUAUUUUGAGAGUUUUCUCGCACAUCAUUAAGAAAUAUCACGAUAAAGAAAAAAUUUAAUCAGCCAAUGAACUCAUACAUUUUUCUCUUUAGUAGAAGAAAAUUAUAAUACACAUAAAAAAUUUGAAAUGAAUAUUAAUGAAAUACUAUAAAUUGUAACAUAUGAAAAAUAUAAAAUAUACCAAAAACAUUAGAAAAAUAUUCAUCGAGUAUCUAGGUUCUAGUGCUUAAAUAAUGUUAAGUUAGCCAGUCUUUGAUCGCAAUGUCCAAACUUGAGAAAGAAUAGUAUAACCGAAAAAAAGAAAAAAAGAAUCUCUAGCCAAGAAAAAGAUAAAGGAAAGAAGAGCAUGAGAGUAUAAAAGAAAACUCGACCUAGAACUAGUUAUGUGUCGGUUGAGGUCUUACACAUUCUUCCAAAUACUCUCGGACGAAAAAACUAACAAAUAAAAUCAAUGGCAAAAAUUAUGCUUGAAAAUGACCAACAAUCUUGCCACACAGCACGACGUCAAAGUUCUCUUGACUCAGAGCAGAGAACGACUCUCGCUUUUUAAGAAAAAUCGUUAUCUUAUAUUUUCGGCAAUCUGAGAGAGAUGACUUAUCAUUGUCACCACCGUCAUCAUUCAUAGAAUCCCCAAAAAUAGCUACAUGUUGUAACAAAAAUGCAACCGGUGUUGCGACUAUUGAGAUACCAAGGAUAAGAAGAUGAAGCUGGAAGAAACCAAACCCUCAACUACCACAUAAAGGUAGCCGAGAAAAACAUGCAUAUAUCAUUUGAAACUUGAUAUUAUGGAUUUAAUAAAUUAAUACAGAAUUUAAGAGAUAUCUUUCCCUAAAACAAAUAUUAAAAAUGAAUUUCCAAAAAUACUUAAAGAGAUAUAUUUCCCUAAAACAAAUAUUAAAAAUGAAUUUCCAAAAAUACUUAAAAUGUUUUAGGUUAUUUUAAAUUAGUAUUAAGAAUUAAAUAUUUUAGUGAUAUAUCAAUAUAUUAAAUUCAUAAAGUAAAUUUUCAAGUAAGAACAAAAAAUCAUACAGAAUUAAUUUUUACAAAUUUAUUUUAUUUAAAUGUUACAUAAUUGUUACCACAAUUAUCUCGUAUAUUGGAAUUAAGAAAAAUGAAAAGAAGGUUUCACAAAAAAAAAAAAAAAGAAAAAAAAGGUAGUAGUACAAAACUGAAACUCUUAUUGGGAAUCAAAUAUUUUAUUGGGAAAAAAAAGAAAGUAAAAGAGUAAAAUAGUUUCCGUAAGAAGAAAAAAUGUUUUCAGAGGAAAGAAAAUAUUUUCUCAGGAUAGCAAAAUUUGAUGAGCCAAUAAGCAAAACAAAAGCUGAUGCUUGUCGCAACUGUGUUCGUCAAGAAUCUCAGCACGAACCCAAUCUUCUUCUCUCCAAGCUGUAUUAAUCAAUCAAUCAUUCAUUCUAGGUUAAGUAAAAACAGAGUAAACCCUUUUUUCUCUCUUUCUCAAUUUCGUUUCGUCUCCUUCCUUGUUCCAAUUCCUCUGUUUGAUUCUAUACGAAAUUUCCGUUGAUAUCGAAUACCCAUGAUUCAAAAUUUCAUCUUUUAGGCGAAUGAUUCCUCAAUUUUGAUUUUCCGGUGAUUUCUAGGGUUUUUUUUUUGUGAGGUGGGUGUUUUUGUAUUAUCUUCUUUUGAGUCUUCUUCAUUAAUGAUUUCGCAGAUUUGUGUAGACUUUCAUUGCUGCUACGUUUUUGAAAGGGUGAUUUGAAGGGCUUAGCUUCAAAAAGGUGAGAAUUUUAACUCCAGAUUCUGAUAUUUUGUUCAUUGUUAUGUAUCUUUAAGCUUCGUAGUUGUGUUUUAAGUUUGUUCAAUUUGGUUGCUAAGUGUAUGUUUUUCAUCAGAUUGGGUCAUUAUAGUUCUUUCAUUCUCUAUUGAUUGAUAUCUCCACUUGAUUUGUUGGGAUUUUAUUCUCUGGGUUUAGGAUUUAGGGUUCUCAAAUUUUGGAUUCUCUUUAAGCAUUGAGUGCCUGUUUUCUUCAACAUCACUUGAUAGGAAGAACAUGGAAUAUGGUAAGCUGAAUAACUUCUUGGGGCUUAGUUUCUCGUGCAAGGAAAUUCUUCAUGGUUCUGUCUUGGAAAUGUAUGGAACCUUGAAGCUUGAUAGAUGGGGUUUUCUUAUAGGUUUAAAGGGUCUUUAGCUGAGAUAUCAUUCCUAUGAUGUGUGUUGGUACAUUAGUAAGAUAAAACCGUGCAAUGAGUUCAUUAAUGGUUAAAUCCUAUAUAUUUUGUGUUUACACAGAGAAGAAUUAGCUGUGGAAUUGGAAUGUGUUCCAACUUGUCUCUGUUGUGAUAAUGAUCAAUAUGUUUUCAAUUCUAAGUUUCUAACUCUUGUGGUCCAUUGAUUCUUGAAUCCUUUGUCCAGGUUAGUACUUUCUUCGAAGAAGGGACGGUUAGAAUAUGCCAAAUACAUUCUCUGGUUCAACUUUCUUAAAACUGUCUGCAUCUUUGGAUCCUUAGAUUUGUCUUCCGGUUCCGGAAUUAUUUGACUAUAGAUACCGAUUUGACAGAAGUCUUACAUUUCACACAAAUAAGAGUUUGCCUUAUAACAUUGUUUCCACAUCAUUUCUGCUUCAGUGAUUUUUUUUUAAUCUAGCUUCAAGAUUCAAACAUAGUUUUUGAUCUAUCACUGGUUUGAAUGGCACUUAAGCUGUGCGUGACGUACAUUAGUUUUGAUGGGUUUUUUCGCAUGCUAUGGCGGUUAAGUUAUGUUUAUAUUAUGUUUCAGGUACUAAGGUUGCAAUCUUAUCCAAGAUGAAUAGUCAAAAUCCUGAUGAUCAUGUAAGCCAGCUAAAACAACUCUUCGUCUUGAACCAACAAACCAAGUAAUUUCCAGUCUCCCUCGCUUGAAUUUUCAUCUUUUAUCUUCUUCUUAAACUUAGGAGGACACAACGGUUGUGGGAUUUGAAGUACCUGUAUCGCCAGUUUCAAGUUACAACAAUGUGUAUUCCGCAACUGAAGAUGAGACAAGAGAUCCUCCAGCAGUACCGCCACACCUUCAACACUCUCUAUUAGGCAAUCCGGGUAGCAUGGAACUGGCUUAUGCGCCACAAAAUGUCGUCCUGAACCACCUCUAUAUCGAAAACCGAGACGCCCCAAGAUCCGUUGUAGCACUCGGUUUUUCGCAUCGGUUCAGGUCUAAGUUUGUCACAGUGGUGAUAUACAAGCCUGUCCAAAGAAGAGGGAACGCCAAUGUUUGAAUGAUGAUGCCUCUUUUUAAGUAGUGUUGGGAACUUGCUUCUUUAUGGAUUGAACUUGGUAUACAAAACCAUCUACUCCAGACUGAAUUUUCUUCUUCUCUUACCGAUUCGGUUUAGACGGUUUCUAGGUAAUUCGAUUGAAAUCAAAUCAUCAUCUUGUUCGAAGGUUAUAUAAAAUCUACAUGCAUUUUUAGGGCCAAGAAAGCUGAUAGACUUGGGCAUUGUUUGUUUGUUUGUAAUAACUCCCUUUGGUUUAACGAGCCCAAAUAUCAGUAUUGAAGUUCUGUACUUGCUCAUAUUUAAAUGUUCCAUAAAUUAUUUAAAUCUUUCAAAACUUCUAUGUACGAUAAGUAACAAAUGUCUCUAAAAUUGGGAUUGAAAUGGUUUUUGUUGGUCAUUGGAUCAUUGCAACUAUGUUUGAAUGUAACUAAUGAGUUAUGGAUAUUAAAAGCUAUGCUUGUGAUAAGAUAGUCUUACUCUUUAAACCAUUCCGCCGGUAUUGGAAAAAUUAUUUGUUUUUUGUUUUUUUGUUUUUUUUUUAUAUAUCUUACAACAAUCAUAAAAUAUUUUAAGUUGACGAUAUUAUAUAUAUGAAACUAACACUAAUAUUCUAAAAAGUUAUCAACCAUAUAUUAUGAAUUAUAUCAUUUAGAAACAAAACAAAAUAAUAAAUAAAGAAUUAAAUGCAAGCCUUUCGGUUUUACAUCUGUUAUUUGCAGAUGAUAGUUUAUUUUUUUGCAAGUCUAACAAGGAACAAUGUUGGGUAAUUUUGGAGAUUUUGAAGAAGUAUAAAGCGGUCUCGGAACAACAAAUUAAUUUUUUAAAAUCUUCGAUUCAGUUUGGACAUAAGGUAGAUAAUGAUAUCAAGGAAGAAAUCAAAUCUACCUUGGGUAUCACUAAUAUUAGUGGUAUGGGUUCUUAUCUCUUUUGUUAGAGAUAGAUUACAAACAAUAAUUAACGGAUGGUCGGCAAAAUUUUUAUCGAAAGAUGGGAAAUAAGUGAUGAUUAAAUCGGUAGCUGCAGCAUUACCAACUUAUGUUAUGUCAUGCUUCAGACUGCCAAAAACAAUCACUUCUAAACUUACUAGUGCGGUUUCUAAUUUCUGGUGGAGUUCAAAUGGUGAUUUCAGAGGUAUGCACUGGAUGGCAUGAAAUAAAUUGUGUAAUAGUAAAUCAGAAGGAGGAAUAGGAUUUCAGAAUGUAGACGAUUUUAAUUCAGCCUUAUUAGCAAAACAAUUAUGGCGGUUGAUUAAGGUUUUUAAAGGACGGUAUUUUCGAAAAUCCAAUCCUUUGGAAAAUAUAAAAUCAUACUCCCCAUCAUAUAGAUGGCGGAGUAUAUUUUCAGCUAGAUCUUUGGUUAAUAAAUGAUUUAUUAAAAGAGUCGGAUCUGGGACAUCCAUCUCAGUUUGGGAGGAUCCCUGGAUUCCAGCUCAAUUCCCGAGACCAGCAAAAAGUAAUGGUUCAGUUGUUGACCCAUCUUUAAAAGUUCACAAUCUUAUAGAUAGUCGGUCAAACUUUUGGAAUAUUGAUCUCUUACAGACGAUCUUUGAUCCAGAAGAUGUCGCGCUAAUAAGUGCCCUACCUGUGGGUGCGCCAACUAAAGAAGAUACUCUAGGUUGACAUUUUAUAAAAUCCGGAAAAUAUACAGUCAAAUCGGGAUAUCAUACCACACGGAUAGAAAAAUCGGAGACCAAUUUAUCUUUUAUUGGCCCAGACAUCAAACCGCUAUAAGCAUACUCUUGGGAAGUGCAGUGUCCACCUAAGGUACGCCAUUUCUUGUAGCAAAUCUUAACGGGUUGUGUACCGGUUACGGAGAAUUUGCGAAAAAAAGAAUUGAUUGUAACACAGGAUGUGCCAGAUAUGGCGCAUCAGAAGAAACGAUCAAUCAUACACUCUUUCAAUGUCAUCCGACAAGACAAAGCGCUUUCACAGAUUCCAACGGCUAUGGAGAAUUUUCCACAGAAUCUAUUUUGCGAAUUUGGAUCACUUAUUUUGGAAGAUACCUUCGGAGUUCGAUUCUUCAGCUUUUCCAUGGAUCAUCUGGUAUAUUUGGAAAAUAAGAAAUGAAAAAAUCUUUGAAAAUAUAGACAAAGACCCGUUAGAGAUAUUACGGUUCAAGAAAAAAGAGCCACAAUUUUGGCAGUCAGCUGAAAUCGAGCUUCAUAAUAAAAAUCAUGGUUUUGUGGAUUUGGUAACUCGAUCUCGAGUGAGGGAUGUUUCACUUGAUUCGAAUUAUUCUGGAUAUCAUUGUUUUGUGGAUGGAUCGUGGAAAGAAAGUGAUAAGUUCUCCGGUACUGGGUAGUUCUGUACAUCAUCAAAUGGAGAGUCGCCAACCAUGAGAGCUGCCAACCUCCGUAGAAGUCUCUCUCCACUACAUAGAGAAGUCGAGGCCCUUCUCUGGGUGAUGAAGUGUAUGAUUGGUGCAUUUAACCAAGAGAUGGCGUUCUUUACAAAUUGUUCUGAUAUGGUGAAGAUGGUGUCUUCUCCAACCGAAUGGCCGACGUUUUCAGUAUAUUUGGAGGAAUUUCAUAGCGACAAUGAACAAUUCUCAACUUUCUCUUUAUCUUUAAUUUCUCGUAGUGCUAAUGUUAAAACGGAUAAUCUGGCAUGAAAAAUUUGUACAGAACCGCUUCAUAUCACAUAUGUAAACAACAUUCCCCAAAAAUGGUUCUUUUGAGCUCUAAGUAGUUUCAGAUGACAAAAAAAAUAAAUAAAAAAAAUUGUAUUUGGAUUGGACAUUGCUUAGCUAAUAUUUUUUUAACCAUAUUUUAACUUAAAUAAAAAAACUGAGUUUAUAGAAACCAUAACUAAAACCAAAUUCGAAUAUAUAAGAAAAACUCAAAAUUUAACAAAUAAAUUAUAAUGGAAAAACCAAAUAUGGGAAAAGAGCUUAUGGUCUAGUGGCGAACCUAAAUCCCAUCCAAAGGAUUGUGUGACCUAAGUGACUAAGUCUCCUUGUUCAAUACAUUGGAGAGGGGAGGAGAUUAAUUUAUCCGUUUUGAUCCACGGCACACGAAGAUAUACGGAUUUCAACCCCGAAAUUCGCGAAUCUCGAUAUAUAUAUAUAUAUAAUCUGAUUACGUUGUCCGUUUUUAAAUUUUGUAAAGUUAUUCGUAUUUGUCUAGUUUUACUAGGUUUAGAUAGAUAAAUAAAAAUAUGGUUUGAAAGGUAUACUUGCAUUGGAUUAUUGUCUGGGUUUUGGGUACACCGGUCAAAACUUAACAACACAUCCAAUAAAGAUUUUGACCUUAAAACAACUUCUUUUUUUUGAACUGUCUGGCUGGUAAAAGUUAUUAUGCGAAUGUCUAAAUCUAUUUUUGAAUGCGGUUUAAAAUCUUAUAGAACUAGAUUGUAACUUCAAAAUGAUUCUUGAACACGAGUGUGACUCGCCAAGUGCAUACCAAAUUUCAGAUCAUGUCAUAUAUAUGUGAUAUGUCCAACUCCAAACUUGAAAUUUAAGCCACACUUAUUUUCUCAAAAUUUGUACAAAACUAUGAUUUACUAAAAUUGGAUUCUCUGGCUAUUUUUGGUAUAGCUAUGCUACGGUUAGUACAAUGUUAUUAUGCAUUCUCUGCUAAAAGUAAAAAACAGCUAUCUUGUCAAAACAAAAAUGAAAAAAUUUCUUAACCAACACACGAAAUAGAUAAAUGCUAUCAAAUCAACAUAUAUCGCUAUUAAAUCAUAUAUCGUAGGUCCAUAAUCUUUCUUUUCUUAACUCAUAUGAGUCUUUUUUAAUUCAAUAAUUUUGUCGUGUUCAUUGUCUUUUUCCACUAAAUCCUAGUUUUUGUAGUCUUCUCUUCUGCAAUAUUUUUUAAAAACAAGUUAUAGUUUUGGAAAUUUGAACUCUAAAAUAUAGAAUAAGUCUUAAAAAGUGGCAUAUAUCUUGUGCACCUUAAAAACUGACACUAAAUUACUCGAUCUAGUGUAACUUUUUCAUAUGAGAUUUGGAUUGGAUCACUGUUUGAGUUAUGGGUACACGGGUCAAAAUUUAACAACACAUCCAAUAAAGAUUUCAUCCCGAAAAAACUUCUUUUUUUGAACUGUGUGGCCGGUAGAAGUUGUUAUGCGAAUGUCUAAAUCAUUUUUUGAAAUACGGUUUAAAAUCUCGGAGAUCGUGGUUGGUUUUUUGAAGACAGGUAGAAGUGAUUCUCAUCCGCUGUCAUUCCUAGUACGUUUGUGCUAUGACUUCAUUUCGAGGGACUGGAUAGUCCGAAUAUCUCACAUAUAUAGAGAGGCUAAUCGUUUUGCUGACGGAUUAGCGAACUAUGUUUUCUCUCAACCCCUAGGAUCUCAUUUAUUGGAAGUUAGGUUGGAUUUCGUUAAUCAUAUUGUUUUAGAGGAUUUUAGUGGAACUGCGUUUCCAUGGGAUGUUCGUUUGUAGUUUUGUAAAUUUUUUUUAAUAAAUUGGGAGAGACAUUUGUUUCUCCUUUUCCUACCAAAAAAAAAGAAUGUAACUCAAAAAUGAUUCUUGAACACGAGUGUGACUCGCCAAGCGCAUACCAAAUUUCAGAUCAUAUCAUAUGUCCAAACUACAAACUUGAAAGCCACACUUAUUUUCUCAAAAUUUGUUCAAAAGUAUGAUUUACUAAAUUGGAUUCUCUGCCUAUUUUUGGUAUAGCUAUGCUAGGGUUAGUACAAUGUUAUUAUGCGUUCUCUGCUAAAAGUAAAAAACAGCUAUCUUGUCAAAACAAAUGACUGUUUUGGUGAUAGGUUAAAUCGAAUAUCCGGAGACGAAAAAGCAAUAAUUUAUUCCAUUAUUAUUAUAUAUUUCAAUUUCACAUCGAAUUGGAAAACUUAAAGAAAGUGAAGAAGAGGGGACCAGACAGGAACUGGGGUGAUAGAGUUUGGUCCAUGGCUCUGUCCUUGAGCCCAUUGGUCACGUGGCGAGGAGUGUCUUACUGGUGCACUUUUAUGAAACAAUCAUGAGUAUCACGUGACGUACCACUGGGGCUAUUGGUCCACCUCAACCAAAGGAGUGUCCGCAUUUUUCUCUGUCUAGUUUUCAGUGCCGGCUCAAGCAUAUAAUAGGUCCUAGGAAAAAAACAAAAACUAGACCCCUAUUAUAUAUAUAUAAAAAAUAUGUACAAAAAUAAAACAACAAAAAAAUAUCUUAUUUUGGAAAUACAUUUGUUAGUGAAUAAGUUGAAUUAUGAUCCGAUAAAUUUGGUAUUCGACUCGGAUAUUAUAUAUUUAACUUGGAUCGGAUUAUAAAUAACCAAACACUUUCAUCAGAUAUUCCAUAUAUAACAAUAUAGAUUUGGUUAAGAUUUAAAAAUUCUGAUUUUCAUAUCAUAUUUGUUUGAUAUUUUAACUGUUUUGAAUACGGGUUAAAUCCUUAAUUUAUUAUUUUUUAACACCACCAAUAUUAGACAUAUCAAAUCAGUCUGAUUUUAAAAAAAUUCUAUAAAAACCAAAAAUGUCAUAUGGUAUUACUGUUACUUAAUACCAAUUUUAAACUAUAAAAUAUAAAUGUCUUAUAAAUUGGUAUAAUUUGCAAACUUUUAUAUAUAAUAAACAAUCAUUAAAUUUUAAAAUUUAUAAUUUUUUAGAAAAUAAAUCGUCAUGCAGUGUACCGCAGAUUAAAAAAAAGCAUCGUUUACAAAAGAUGAAGCAACAAGAUCAAUUAUGAUGUAAAACCUUUAUUUGCAAUAGAAAGCAAAAGAGAUUUGGCCCAAUAAAUCAAUAAAUUUUUUGCAUUGUUGGGUAAAAUAAAUCAACAUCUAAUUUUGGCCCUGUAAAUCAAAAUAUAAAAAGAAUUUCGUUAUGCUUUGUAAUGUCAACUAGAUCAUCACCCGUACUACAAUACGUGUUAAAUUUUAUUUAUUACAAAUUUUAUAUAUUAUAUAUUUUAGAAUAAAGUUGUGAUAUAUUAUAAUAGUAAUUGAAAAAAUAUAAUUAGAUUUUUGUCAGUCCCUAUAUAUAAUAUUAGAAUGAAUAUAUUUUCUUUUUUAAUUAUACUCAAUUAUGGAUAUAUAUUUUUAAGAUAUGAAAACGGAAAAUAAAAUUAUUUUAAUAAAUUAAUAUGGUCUGAAGAAUGAGUUAAUUUAUAUUAACAACCACAAAAUGAGAUUGCAUAUAAUUCAGUUAGAUCUAAAAUCAAAAUAUUAUAAAUGAAUCGCUUCUAAAACGUAGAUUUUUUUUUUGUCAUCCACAAUUAAUUAAAACUCAAAAGAGCCAUUCCUGAGGAAUGUUGUUUACAUAGGUGAUAUGAUGCGGUUCUGUACGAACAUUUCGUGCCAUUAUUUUUAAUUAAUUAAGAAAGUUAGCUAUUAUUUGGAAUUAAUUUAGGAAAUUCUUUUUUCAAUUUCUAAUUCUUUGGUUGUUGAAAUAGAGAUUUGUUUGAGCUAACUACGGAAUUUACCAAUUAUUCGCGUAAUCGAAUAUGUUAUGAACAUAUAUUUAGUAUAAUAUACCAAAUUCAACCCGUGCGUGGAGUCUAUAUUUUUAUAUUAGAAUCUUAAUGAAAAUAUUGCGUGCACCAUAUAUUAUUCGUUAUUUCCAAAAUUGCUUGCACAAUCAAAUUUUCAAAUAUUUUGUGGUGUCAACCUUAUUUAAUCUAUCUGAUCAUAUAAUCUUAACAUGUCGUCUAUUAUAAGGAUCAUAAUUUUAUAUCAAAUAAUAUAUUACAUUUAACCAUCCGCCUACUAUAACUAUUUUAAAUAUAUCUUUUUAGAAAAUCAAAUUAAAGUAUUUAUAAUUUUUUUUAUCUUUUUAAUCUAUUAAAUAUUUAUGCUAUUCAUUAAAAUAUUAAAUUAAACUAUUUUUAAAUGUUCCAAAUUAAAAUCUUUAUAAAUAUUUCUUGUAGUAUAUAAAAUUAUGAAUUUCAAAAAAGAAUUACAUGAAAUUAAAUAGAAAUAUUCAAACAGUUAUAAGGAUCAUAACUCAUUUGUUAAUAUAAUAUAUUAUAUUUAACCCACUGCCUAUUAUAAAUAUUUGUUUUUAAAAAAUCAAAUUAGAGUAUUUAUUGAUGAUAUUCUUUUAAUAUUGAUGAUAUUCUUGAAAAAUAUCAAGUAAACUAAUUUUAUAUGUUGCAAAUUAAAAUAUUUAAAAAUCUUAUUGUAGUAUAUAAAACAAUGCAUUUCAAAAAAUAAAUGUAUGAAAUUGAAUAUAAAUAUUCAAAUUCUGACAUGUUACUCAGACGAAAUAUUUGUUUAACUUAUUUUUGGUUAAAAGAAAUAUAUUACUCAAAUGUAAAUUUUUGACCCGUUAAUUUUUUUUUUCAUAGAUUUAACAAUUUAUAUUCGUUUUUAAAAAUUCAAAUCUUGGCAUAUGCAGAAAAAAAAUUACUUUUUUUUUGUUAUAUGGAUGAUAUGAUGAUUUAUUUGUUUCAUAAAAAUAGAAUCAUAUAAAGAUGAGAGGUGAAGUAUAAUGAUUAAUAAAAAAUUAAUAUGGUAAGUUAGAUAUCAAAUAUUAUAUUUUCAUUUUGAUUGGUCAUUCUUUUUUAAAAGUUAAUAAUAUAUUUUCGUUUUUAAUAAUUAAAUUAAUUAAAUUUUAUAAAUUAGUAUUUGACUUGUUUAUCCUUAAUGAGCUAAAUUAAUUUACUCUUUAUAUUUUUAUCUCUAAUGACAUUCUAAUGUAAUAACUUACAAAGGGGAAAGUUAUUAAAGGGUAAUUAUAAAUUGUACUCCUCAAAUAAUAGUAUAGGAUAUUCAUGGGUCCUUUUUUAUAAUAUAAUUUAUUCUUUGUAAUGUCAAUAUUUAUGAGUCACUUUUUAUAAUAUAAUUUUUUUGAUUUGAAAAAACAUAAAAGAAUUAGCUUAUAAAAUCAAAGAAAAACCAUCUAAUUUUUUCUUAGAUUGACUCGAACCAGAUUUAUCUGUACGUGAAUAUUCUAGAAUAUGCAGAAUAUGCUUUUGUAUAUAUUCUUUACCUCAGAAGUAUGGCGUCUGUUUGAGGUCUUCUUGAUUACCAAAUCAAGAGAUCUCGGUGGAUAUGGAAAGCUAGAAGAGUCAAGAUUUUCCUCGAAGUGGAAUCAAAGCAUUUCAUUAAGCCUUUCGGAUGUUAUGCCCUGAGGAGUGAAGACAUGUCCCAGACCAGCCAGACAGUCUUACGCCCGGUCCAGAGCCUUCUGACGCCCCCGGUCGUGGAGACCUCACCCCGGUCAUACCUAGUCGUGCCUUGUCCAGAACCUCGAGCCUCACUUAACUUAAUUUGUGGAAAAUGACGGUUUUUUCCUUUGACCUAAUCGAAGCCUAUAAAUACCGAGACAAGUUGAAAAAACCCAACGGCCUCUUCACAGCUCCUUCACCGCCUUCUAACCCUAGAUCUCGAAGCCUCCAUCGACGAGACUCUCAGCUCUCCUAGCUCCACCUCGUCGAAGCUCUUGCCAUCAAAGAAGUCGUCCUUCGAAGCUCUCUCCUUUGUUCUUAAUUGUUUUCUCUUCUACUCUUUCUUUCAAGACUUUUGGGGAGACAAGUAUCUUCUAUGACACUAGAGAAGUCUUUUUGAACCCCCUUUGUUUUAUUGAAUUCGAUUAUUAUGCUUUUCUACUUCAUCUCCAUGUCGUUUCUUAGCAUCAUGAGCGAGUAGUUUUCCUUGUUGGGUUUUAUUGGGUGAUUCAAAGGGGAUUCAUGGUUCAAAUCAUAUUAGGUUUAUAGAUCUAUUAUUUCGUUCAUACUUAGAUUCUUUUGGGACAUCUUUUACUUAAUGCAUGUGUUUAGAUUGAUCACCAAACGCUGAUCCAAGAGGUUAGGAGCUCUAAUCGGGUAAACCUAAUAUCGGACAUAGUGUUACAAAUCCUUUGUGUUGUUGCCUGCGUAAGUUGAGUAACAUGACUUGGAGUACUUAGCGAAUCUAACCCUAACGCGUCGAACUAUGUGUUGUUGCCUGCGUAAUUUGUGUAACGGAGUAUAGGGAGAUUUGCCGGCUUAUUCUAUAACUUAGGAUAACUCGUUCAUUCGCCUUUCGUAGUUAUGAACUAGAACAAAAACAUAAAAACCCUGAAGAUCUAAAUCCUAGUUAGUCGAGAACCAUGACCCCCAGAGAAACCCUAGAACGCCCAACGCCUUACUCUCAUUAGUUAAAACCGUAAAUCAUCUUAGCUAUCAUUAGUUCAUUUAGCCUUCAUUUAUUUGCUUUCUUAUUUCAUUGCAUUAGUCAUUAGGAAACUCAAAACCAAACACCCAAAGUUUAGUUUUGUCUUAGCUAAAUAUUCUUGUUUGAAUUCAAUAACUCGUAGCUACACUCUCUGUGGGAUCGAUCCUUAAAUACUACUCUGAUUACUGUGCACUGGUAGUUUAACGUGUAGUCUUUCAAGUAAAAUUUUUGAAGUGAAAUUCUACUCGCUAUCACUACUAAACUUUUGCUUGUAAUUUCUUAGUCAAAUUCGCAUUACCAGACAAGUUCAUUAAGUUCACAAUGCGUCCUAACGUCAACUUUCAUUGGCUAAGCAUACAUUGCUCAAUUCACAUUGGUUCAGGGCAUUCUAUCAAACACUCCUAGUGCAUAGAAAAAACUAGAAUCUACACCAUGGCGACCAAUCCUAUUCUAGCAUUACGAACAUGUGAAUCAAAGAACCUAAAGAAUAAGAACUCCUAAUAACAAUCAAUCCAUUAAUCCAUUGAAUCUCCUACUAAUAACCCUAAAACCAAAUUGGAGAACUACUCACACAUAGCAAAAGAGAUAACAAAAAUCAGUGAAAAUAACAUGAUGAAAUUGUAGAAAAUAACAAGAAAGGGUUUAGAAAUCUUCUCCAAGUGUCAAGAGGAUGGAUUCUUUUCCCCAAAGUUGCUUAGAAACCAAAAAAACAAAUUUAGAACUGAAAAAUAUCAAAGAUAAUGUCUCAAAAGUCGAGCAUAGGGUUUUAAAACAAUAGGAGACGAGCCGGAUCGGAUCUGGAGAGAAUCGGGUCAAAUCUGAGCCAAAAGUACGUCUGGAAAGGGAUCGAUCGAUCUACAAAAGAAUCGAUCGAUCUGGAGCUUCUAGUUUCUAAUUCUGCAACUGCUUCAAAUGCUCGCCAGAAUGGCUUGUCUUCAAUAAUUUGGGUAUAACUCCUAAAUGCACCGUUAGAUUUCCUUCAAAUCACUUGAAAACUCAAGCUAACAUCUUCAUUUAGCUUGUGUCACAAAAUUCAGAAAGAUCUAACGGUGGAAAGUUUUUCAUCUGAGGUCAAACGUCUGACACUUCUAAACGACUGCAUUUCCAAAAGUGUGUUUAGAUCCCAAAACAGUUCGUUUUUCUCUGAAGCAACCUAAAACCUGUAAAGACUCGAUAAAGGACUAAAAGACUCUAAAAACAAACUUUGAUUCUAUAAGAAAACAAAGACUCAAAAAUACAACAUAUCAACUCCCCCCCGACUUAGAUCUUUGCUUGUCCUCAAGGAAAACAAAAAUCUUUAUCAAGAAAAGAGGUUUGAAAAUACGAAAAUUACUCAUAUUUUCUUUGGGAUCAUGCUCUUAUCAAUUGCCUAGAAAGCACCAUCACAAAACUCAUUAAACCGUACUACACUGUACUUCGCCAUAACCGUAGCAACAAAAUUAAGUCUCGGGAUCUAAAAGAACUUUCAAAGUCAGAUAACUUAACCUUUUAACAUUUAUUAGCAGAGGCGUGUACUCUUACAAAGGGGGUAUCAAACACGUUAUGUGCUAAGUGAAAAGGCUAUUAUUUGGUGGCUCAAGUGUUUCGGGUUCUCAAACAGUGUAAAACGGAUGCAUGUCAUUAUGCGAAAUCACAGUGAGACACAGACCAACUAGAAGGUACAUAGUUUCCCUUAAGCUCGUAUAAAACUAGCCAACACACUACCACAAUCAAAUCAAUGAGUACUCUCGAUGAUUAUCAAUGUAACUAUUAUCAACUCGAUAUUUCCGGUUCCAUUCAUUCUCCGUUUCCGUUUCUUCUUUUCAUUUUUGUUUUUUUUUUCUAACGGGGUAGUGGAACCGGUGUCUUACAAAUAUCUGCAUCAAUAGAAACUUAUGAACUCAGUACAUACCCAUGAAUAUAACCUCUCAACCAUAAAGGCUCAAUCUCAUCAUAUAUCAACAACCAGUAAACUGCAAAUCUCUAUCCUAACAGAAGGAAAGCUAUGUUGGUCUGUAUACUCAGUAGUUUUCGCACAUAGAUGCAUAUCAUGAUGAUUAUAUAAGAAUGCAUGAGGUUUCAAACAAUGGGUGGGGAAACAGGUGCGAUAAUAGAUUAAAAAUGAGUGUAGCCAUUCAGAGUUAGCAAAGAGUGGUAAAAAUAUUGCAAACAAAACUCUGAAUGUAUGAUCCAUUACAUGAUUUUCAAUCCCCUAAGUGAGAUAAAUUAAGUCCAGAUUAAGUUCAAGUAUAUAAGAUUAAGCUCAAUUCAUCUGAAUUUCAAAGAGAUAGGGACUACUAUUAAGCGAUCUAGUGAUGGAUUUUCCUGAACUUCCAAGUUAUCAGUGAGUAAUGCUAAAAUAGUCCCAAGGCAAUGAAAUCAACAUAGUGCAAUUCCCUAAGAAAAUAUCAUAGUUCUCAAACAAAUUUUGACUCAAUAAAUGAAAUAUUUUUUUUUCUUUUUUUUUACUCGAAAAAACGAAAUCGACGACUCAAGAGAAAACAUCAAAAGAAACAACCAAAGCAAACUCGAUUGAUAAGUAGAAAAAUGACAUCCUCCCCCCGACUUGCAUCACACCGACUCGGUGUGAGGACAAUUCGAAAGGAAGAUGUCGGACACACUCAAAAGAAAAAAAAACAAAUGAUUAUGUGAAAAGGAAAAAGAGAAAACUUACUUGGGAUACCUGGUGGGUUGCGUCACACAAAGCGCUUAUUUUAGGUCAUAAGCUUGACCGCUCAACACAAAAUAUUAAUCAUAAGAGUCAAAAGGUUGAGCCAAUGGACCUUUGAUCCUUCUCCUGCUACCGCACAAAACAAUAUGCACAAAGUAACACACAACUAAUCUUGAUAAAAAGACAAAAUAACCAUCAACCAAAUUUACUACAAAUGUAGCAUGUAUCUGGAAAUAUUCUAAAAUGGUUGAAUGCUCAUGAAGAUCAAAUGCAUUUGGAGGAAAAAUAAAGUCAAUUUCAGGUUUAAACAAGGUUUUAACAAAAUUAUCAACUUCAUCUCCAUUAAUCUCAUAUAGCACAAUAUUCUCGUACAUAUAAACCUCAUGGUCCUCAAUCUUAUGCAAAAUCUUAUCAAUAUCAAGAACAAUCCCUAGGUAAGAUUCUUCAAGAAGGGACCUAGAUAGCUUAGGCAUUGAAAACUUAAACUCGAGAUCAUGAACAUUCAAAGCAGAAUGAUAUUCAAUAUCAAAAUAUAUUUCAUGGUAAUCCCUAGCAAGUUUUGCUGCUCUUAAAAUAUCUACUCGUUGAGAUUCACAUACCAAAUCAUAACAUACAUCAAUGAUCAUGGAAUUAUGCAAACUAGAAGUCACAUCUUCAAUGCAUGGCAUAUGAAUAUCCCCAACAUCGUGAAUUUCAAGGGAUGGAACGCUUGUACUUUUUAGUUCGCUUGGUGGAACCCAAUAUAUUACCUUUUCAAGCGUAUGGGCUUCUUGUUCUUUUACGAAUGUAAGUUCCCUUCCUUCACAUGCUGUCCGAUGUUAUAACAGGUUCAACCGGAUCAAAAUCGCUAAAGUACUCCUUACCAAUGUCGGAUGUUCGUUUUGAAGUUUAUCCAAUAUCACUCUUUGUUCCGGCGUAAGAACGUUCUCAUCAAAUGGUAGCUCCACAUAUGGCUCAGGAUUUUCUUCUUGUAGCCAAUCAUUAUAUUCCAUGGCCAACACCAAAAAAAAAAAACGAAAGGGAUAGUUAGCAAUAAAAAAAUGCUUUACACUAAAAACUACUCCUAAAUCCUUAGGUAACACAAUUGGUCUCCGGCAACGGCGCCAACUUGAUUGCUUGAAUAAUUAUCUGAUACACUUAACCGCAAGGUAGUAUAUACGGGUUCGAUCCACAAGAACCAAUGGUACACUGAAGAUUUCUGAGACUCGUUCUUUGCUAAAGCGGAAAGGUUGUUUUUUUGGUUUUCAGAUUGUAAAAUGAAAAUGUGAUGUAGACAUCCAAAUCAUACGAAAACGGGAGCAUACUAAACCAACCGGUACAUGUAUCAAACCGGUUGAUAUGGAGCAUUUUGGAGGAUUUUUUCCCAAAUGGAGUCCUAAUCAAGCACAAGGCCUAGAGUUAAUUAUUCACCAGCAAAUUAACCCUAAGAAAACUAAUGAUGGUUCAAGAGGAAUCAAAGAACGACGAGCCGAAUCACCAUAUUGUGGGAAUUUGACUCUUUUUCCCUUAUCGAGGGUUUGUCCAAAUGGGUUUACCUAAAAAGGUUUUUAACGAGGCAACAUCAAGUCGUCAAGGAAUCAUUUACCAAGAAAUUGAUUCGAAGAUGUUACAACUACAUAUAGCUCAUGUACUUGCUGACAGACCGACUGAACUACUCGCUAAACUACUUGCUGAACUACCCUCUGAAGUACUGCGCCAAAUGAAGCCAAACAAGGAAAUCUUCCUUAUUCAGAUGUUACAAGUACAUAUAGGAAAUCUCCACUUGGACGCACCUCAAAGCUAAACAUGGAAACCAUGAGAACAUCUAGGCCACAUAAGACAUGUACCACAAGAAAUUUGGUACAUCUUACCACAUAAGAACCCGCGGAGUUACUACUUGCCAUAUAUGGAGCCGAAGGAGAUCAACUUGCAAUAGUUCUUUCCUUCUUUAUUUGUGCGCUUGUGUGAGACUCUUGAGACCUUCUAGAAGCUUCCAAGAUGUCACAACUUCCUCCCCUACUUGACAAGAUACAAGGCCCACCUCACUUGCCUUAUUUGGACAGAUUCUACAAUUAAUGUCCAAUGGCCAUAUAUUUUCAUUUUUGUUUGUGAUUUGUUUCUUUCUUUGUAGUUUUAGAACGUUGUACUCAGCUCUAUAUAAGCUGAUCUCUUAUCUCAUUGUAAAGCACCCUUGAUCAUUUUAAAGUAAUAGACACGUUUCUUCUUGUCAAAGUUUAAGUCUUUGUCAUUUGUUCUUUAGUUCUUUGUGAGUGAGUCACUUAGUACUUAAGAAACCUGCGGAUUGAGUUUGUUGAGUGAUCAACUUCCUUUAUUCGUUCAUUGAUCGAGUGAGUCGAUUAUCCCACUGAUUGAGCGAGUCAAUCACCACACCUAUCCAUCGUACCACCCCUUGAUUCACGAGAGAGUGCAUCAGAGCCAGCUCGUGAAUUCCACCCUUCCACGUGAAAAGCUUGGAAUCUCUUGAUCAUCAAGUGAUCUAAAGUUGAAGUGAUUCCAAUCUUGUAUCAAAAUGCAAGUAAUUUAAACGAUUAAACUUAUGAAUUUAUAGACAUUGGGCCAUACGAUAUUUUAGAGAUCAAUAAAUAAUGGAAACAUGAACAUGAACACAUUUUGACUAAUUCUCUUUCAAAACAUUAAUCACUAAAUUUGACUACUAAACUUUAGCUUGUACUUUUCUAGUCAAAUUCGAUUACCAAACAAGUUCAUUAAGUUCACAAUGCGUCCUAACGUCAACUUUCAUUGGCUAAGCAUACAUUGCUCAAUUCACACUGGUUAAUGCAUUCUAUCGAACACUUUUGAUGCAUAGAAAAAUUCAAAAAUCUACAACAGGAUGAAUAAUCCUAUUCGAGCAUUAAGAACAUAUGAAUCAAAGAACCUAAUAGCAAUCAAUCCAUUGAAUCUCCUACUAAGAAUCCUAAAACCCAAUUGGAGAACUACUCACACAUAACAAAAGAGAUAACAAAAAUCAGUGAAGAAAACAUGAUGAAAUUGUAGAAAUAACAAGAAAGAGUUUGAGCAAGUGUCAAGAGGAUGGAUUCCUUUGCCCAAAGUUGCUUACAAACCAAAGAACCAAGUUUAGAACUGAAAAAUAUCAAAGAUAAUGUCUCAAAAGUCAAGCAGAGAGUUUUAAAACAAUAGGAGACGAGCCGGGUCGGAUCUGGAGUAAAUUGGGUCAAAUCUGGGCAAAAGUACGUCUGGGAAGGGAUCGAUCGAUCCAAGAGAGGAUCGAUCAAUCCAGCAUGUCUGGAACUGAUUCUUGUCCGUCAGAGGUGUGGAUCGAUCGAUCUACAAAGAAAUCGAUCGAUCUGGAACUUCUGGUGUCUAAUUCUGCAACUACUUCAUAUUCUCGUCAGAAUGACUUGUCUUCACUAAUUCGAAUAUAACUCCUAAAUGAACCGUUAGAUUUCCUUCAAAUCACUUGAAAACUCAAGGUAAUAUCUUCAUCUAGCAUGUUUCCAAAAUUCAGAAAGAUGUAACGGUGGAAAGUGUUCCAUCUGAGGCCAACCGUCUGGUACUUCUAAACGAAACUGCAUUUCCAAAAGUGUGUUUAGAUCUCAAAACAGCUCGAUUUUCUCCGAAGCAACCAAAAACCUGUAAAGACUCGAUAAAGGACUAAAAAACGCUAAAAACGCAAUUUGACUCUAUAAAAUAUAUAAUUUAGAAAAGAAAACAAAGAUUCAAAACCGAUAAAACACAACAUAUCAAAGAACUCCAUGAAAAGCUUUUUCGUCUAGAAAACGCACUACUCAUCACCGCCCCUCUUAUGCCACAGUCUCUCCCAGUCACAACAAAUACAAAUCAUUACCAACUAUAGCCAUCAAUGCUUGGUAAUUAUCGUGGCUCUUCUUCUGCUUGUGGCAACUAUCGUAGUGGUCGUGGUUACCAAGGCAAGGGUCAACUAUGCGGUACUUUUGGCCACAUCGCCAGACGCUGCUCUCAACUUGCCUCCUUGAUGGUGACUCACCAAUCAACUGCACCUCCAAGUACGCCACACUACCGCAGUUCACCUCCACCAUCACAAUGGAAUCCACAAGCUCAUUACACCACAUCAACUCCAGCGGACUCAGCUCCAUAACUACUCGAUAGCGCUGCAUCUCACCACAUUGCCUCUGAUUUGAGUUCUCUCUCCUUACACUCGCCUUACACUGGCAGUGAUGAAGUCUUGAUUGGUGAUGGGAAUGGUCUUGGCAUCACACACACUAUUUCCACUAAUCUCUCCUCCGGUUCUCGAUAUUUACACCUCACUAAUGUGCUUUGUGUCCCUUCUAUGAAGAAAAAUCUUAUCUCAGCCAAUAAACUAUGCAAGAUUAACAAUGUUAUGGUCCAAUUAUGUCCUAAUGAUUUUCAAGUGAGGGAUCUCAACACGGGCGCAAAUACUAAGCGGCAAAGCUAAACAAGGUGUCUAUGAGUGGCCGUCAAAUUCCUCUCCAUCAUCUCUCAUUUCAGCUUAUUCCGCGGUUACUAAAUCAACUUUGGAUUGGCAUGCUCGUCUAGGCCAUCCGUCUUCUAAAAUUCUUAAUUUUAUUUUAUCAAAGUUUUCACUUUCUAGCUAUUCUUUUUCUCCUCAUUCUGUUUGCAACUCUUUCUCUAGUAAUAAAAGUCAUAAGCUAUAUUUUUCUACCUCAACUAUUUUUUCUCGUUUUCCACUUGACGUCAUUUAUUCCGAUGUUUGGACAUCACCACUUUAUUCCAUUGAUGGGGUUAAAUAUUAUGUUGUCUUUGUGGAUCAUUUCACACGGUAUAUAGGGCUGUAUCCGUUUAAACAAAAGUCACUGGUAGCACAAAUAUUUCCAAGGUUCAAAGCAUUGGUGGAAAAUCAAUUCAAAACUCGGAUCACUACAUUCUACUCCAACAAUGGUGGUGAAUACAUUGCACUAGCUACGCUAUUACGCACCUAACCACUCCUCCUCAUACUCUGGAACAUAAUGGGAUGGCUGAAUGUCAACACCGUCACAUUGUGGAGACCGGACUUGCACUUCUUACACAUGUUGACAUUCCUCAAACUUACUGGACGUAUUCAUUCAUGCCUGCGGUCUAUCUUAUAAACAGGCUUUCCACACCGACGCUUGCUAAUUUAUCACCGUUCCAGCUUCUUUUUCCAGCCGAUCCCAAUUAUCAGAAACUUCGAACCUUUGGAUGUUUGUGCUACCCGUGGCUUUGACCUUAUGGCCAGAACAAAUUCAGUCCUAAAUCCACUCCAUGUGUUUUCUUGGGUACUCUCUUACUCAAAAUGCCUAUAUUUUUCUUGAUAUGUCUACCUCACGUAUCUACAUCUCACGACAUGUGGAGUUUUUCGAGCAUGUUUUUCUCUUUUCACAGCUAGCACGUAACACUCUUACCUCUUAUUCGGAGUCUUCUUCACCAUCUCAUCCUAUAGCUUCCGUUUCUCCUACAUUUUGUCGGCAAUUCACUACAUCUUCAGCCCCGGUAUUCGAUCCCUCACCUGCAGCUCCAAUAACUGCCCCAUUAUCAAGUCAUGGACUCGACACGGACACUCACAUUGUACCAAAUCAUGAUCAAAAGGAGCCUCCAACAAACAUUCACCCAAUGAAAGCAAGAGCAAAGAACAAAAUUUACAAGCCAAAUCCUGAAUACGGUCUCAUUGUUCAACUUGGUGAGAUUGAACCAGUUUCUCACACACAAGCUCUUAAAGAUGAGAAGUGGCGUCAUACAAUGAGUGAUGAAAUUGACUAACAACUUCGAAACCAUACAUGGGAUCUUGUUCCACCAGACGCUAGUUCCGCAUUAAAAGAUUAACAGAUGGUUCUAUUGAGCGUUAUAAAUCACGAUUGGUGGCGAAAGGAUUUCAUCAAACACCGGGCAUCGAUUUCUCGGAUACUUUCAGCCAUGUCAUCAAGCAUGCAACCAUUUGUCUUGUUCUAAGCAUUGCCAUAGCUCGUGGUUGGCCAUUGCGUCAACUUGUCGUCCACAAUGCCUUCCUCCAAAAGACGAAGUUUAUAUGAAGCAACCCUUGGGCUUUGAAGAUCGUGACUAUUCUCAUUAUAUGUGUCAUCUUCGGAAAGCCAUUUAUGGUUUAAAACAAACUCUCCGGGUAUGGUAAAUGAGCUUCGAUUGUUUCUUCUCCAACUCGGCUUCACCAAUUCUCUUGGCGACACAUCCCUCUUUGUUUUUCACAAGGAAUCCGUCCUAAUAUACAUCUUAGGGGGGUGUAUUGAAAUAAAUAUUUGGAGGGGUUUGGUGGAAUUUCUAUAUUUUAGGUUUUGGAGAAAUUUGAGUAAAAUUUUAGGAUGGUUGGGUUGAUUUGUUUAAUUUCUAUUUUUUUUAAAAGAAAAAUCAUUAGUGAUUUGGUGAGAUUUAUUGAAAGGAUUUUGGAGAAUUUAGUAUAAAAAAAAAAAGAAGUCAACGAUAUUCCUUUUUUUUUUUAAUAACUAUGCUUUUCUCUUUUGUUAUCCUCUCCUUUGCCAAACGUACGGUGAGUCACAUGACUCACAUUUUUUUGGACGUAACUCUACCUUUGGAUUCAAUUUAAUGAUCAAUCAAUAAGCAAUAGUCUCAAGUCUCAACAAGUCAAUAGAAAUAAUAAAAAACAAUCUAAAGAUAUAGCAUAAAACAUAUAGCAUCAUGAUUCCAUAUUCAUAGCAUCUGUUCACAUAUUCUCUGCUAUUGUUUCUCUCCAAUUAUUAGCAAGUACUCUUUGUUGUUACAAGUGGAUUCGAUUGGAUACUUGAGAAUGCUUGAUAUGAGAGAGUGAUAGAGAACUUGAAAGUAAAAUCGAGAUCGGAGAGAUAGAAAGACAAGAAGGAAGAGAGAAAAUUGAAAGAGAUAGAAAGACGAGAAGGAAGAGAAAAAAUUGAACCAGUCAUUGGCAUGCUUUUUUGGACUUUUUUUUUUAACCAAAUACCACCUUUAGAGGUGGUAUUGUUUUGUUAUUAUUUUUGCACUAAAAAAGUGUCCAAAGUCUCUCCAAAUCUAUUUUCAGUAUUUUUCGUAAAAAAAUUGUGAAGUUUGAAUAACAGUGGAUUUGCUUUGAUUUUUCUAAAUUCAUAAUUGAAUAACAAGAGAUUUGGGAUUAUUUGAAGUGAUUUUAUAUAAAUUCCAGUUUUAAUAACAUGGAAUUUGGGAAGAGAUUUUAAAAUUACUAAUUGAAUAACAGGUGAUUUUAACAAAAAACCAAAAAAUUUAAAAAUCACUGUUUGAGUACACCCCCCUUAGUGUAUGUCGAUGAUAUUGUUGUUACAAGAAGUGGUGUUGAAGAAGUUAAUAGCACCAUCAAAGCACUCUCCGAUCGUUUCUCUCUUAAAGACCAUGGCGAGCUAUCAUAUUUUCUUAGCAUGGAAGCUACAAGAACAUCAGCUGGUUUGUCUCUCACUUAAACAAAAUACAUCACUGAUUUGUUAGUUCGAACCAAGAUGGCAGAUGCAAAACCAGUCACCACUCCAAUGUCCUCGAUAAUUUCUCUCACUGCCACUCACGGACUCAAACUGUGUAACGCCCCGACCGCCACAGCUCUCUUAAUGGGCCCCACAUCUCCUCUGGGGCUCAUGGACCCACCCGUGUCCGACGGUCGGUCCCCUACGUCCGGAAGGCUUUAAAGACUUGUUUACCGACCCUACAAAUCACCACAUGAUCUUUCCCUGUGUUUUGUCCUCACUCACACAGUUCCGACAAUCACUUCCCGGAAGGUCACCUAUUCUGAAACUAUUCCAACCCAAGCAUGCUUAACUGUGGAGUUCUCUCAGGAUAUUUGACCAAAAAGAUAAGUGCACUUUAGUGACAUAGGUGGCCAAAUCAAUUUUUUUAAACUUCUCUGCAAGCACCACCAUAUUCUUGAAACUGGGGUGCUACAAUUCACCCCCAAUAACAUAUCACAACGUCCUCGUUGUGCACCAAGACCGUAACCCCCGACGGUGUCAGCCCUCUUGACUCCACACUCGACAGUGUUCGGCUCUAAUACCACUUAUAACACCCCGACCGCCACACCUCUCAUAAUAUGCCCCACGUCUCCUCUCGGGCCCAUGGUCCCAGCCGUGUCCGACGGUCGGUCCGCUAUGUCCGAGAGGCUUUAUAUACUUGUUUACCGACCCUACAAAUCACCACAUGAUCUUUCCUUGUGUUUUGUCCUCACUCACACAGUUCCGACAAUCACUUUCCGGAAGGUCAUUCAUCCUGAAACUACCCCAGUCCAAGCACGCUUAACUGUGGAGUUCUCUCAGGACAUUUGAACGAAAAGAUAAGUGCAUUUUAGUGACAUAGGUGGUCAAAUCAAUUCUUUUAAACCUCUCUGCAUGCACCACCAUAUUUCUGAAACCGGGGUGUUACAAACUGUAUGAUCCGACGAGUUAUUGAGCCACUGUUGGUAGCCUUCAAUAUCUCUCUCUUACUUGUUCGGACAUCUCUUUUGUCGUCAAUCGCUUCUCGCAAUUUAUGCAUGCUCCAACCUCCGUUCAUAAAGAAGCAAUGAAACGAGUUCUCAGGUAUCUUGUAGGCACUGUUACCAAAGGAAUCUUCUUCUCUGCCUCAACGCCUCUCAAUCUCCAUGCCUAUUCUAACGUCGAUUGGGCUGGAGACCACGAUGAUUACUCAUCAACAGAAGUAUACAUUGUGUAUCUUGGCAAACAAUCUAUUUCGUGGACGUCCCACAAACUCAAAGAAGUUUCUCGAUCAUCAACUGAGGCGGAGUAUCGAGCUCUAACCGCAGCGGCGUCUGAGGUAAAGUGGCUUUCUUUACUUCUGGUUGAGCUUGGCAUACAAUCGAUCACCACACCUACGAUCUUCUGUGAUAAUAUUGGUGACACUUAUCUCUCGGCGAAUCCGGUCUUUCAUUCUCGGAUGAAGCAUCUUGCUCUUGACUAUCAUUUUGUUCGUGAACAAGUACAAGCUGAAACUCUUUGCGUCUCUCACAUAUGCUCUGCAGAUCAGCUGGCUGAUACACUUACUAAGCCAUUACCUCGAGCUCGCUUCACUAACCUUGCUGUCAAGAUUGGCAUUCGUGGACGUAGUCCAUCUUGAGGGGGCAUGUUAGGAAAAGACUUGAAAAUUCUAGAAUAUGCUUUUGUAUAUAUUCCAUAUCUCACAAAUGGAAAUUAUGUAUGUAUAAAUACCUUGCUUAAUUAUUAUUGAAUAGAAAUCAUUCAUUCUCAAACCCUAUACUAUCAAGUAUAAAAUCAUAAAUACUGGCAUGCAUUGGUGGUAUGUUUAGGAUUUUAAUAUUGGAACUUCAGAGUAAUUCACAGUAAUUUCUAAACAUAUAUAAUUUUAUAUAUAAUAACGUACCUAGUAUUUUGUUCUCUCCUUCUAUUAUGUUCUUUGGAUUACUCUAUCCAUGUUCAUGUUUUGGUAUAUGUGGAAUGUUUCAAAAGGGUUUUCUUGUAUAAAAAUGUCUCAAUUAGGUGCAAAUAAGGGCAUAUUUGUGGUUAUUCGUACAACCAGUAAGAAUCUCUUAUUAAAAGAAGGUUAUAAAAAUUUAAGAAAGAUUCAUGGUUCCACAAAACGAAGAAAGACGAGAAAUCAUAUAACAUGUUUAAUGAACUUUGAUUAAAUAUGGGAAUAUAUGUACAAAGGGUUCGAUACUAUUUCCACCAGAUAUCUCCAAAAUCUAUUUUCUUCUACAAUUCUUGAGGGUUUUUGAAGGUCCUACAUAAACUCCGAUAGGUGUCCACACAGUUGUGGUCCAGUAGUAGUUGAAAAUUGGGGAAAAGUUGGAAAGAACUAACCCAAGUUCGAUCCACGCUGGAAACAAAAAACACAUUUGUGUGGAAAGUCUGGGUUUGGACCAAAAUGCUAAAGCAAGUCCAGUAGCAAGCAGUCUGGCUACCCCCUGGCAUUAGUCGGAAAGCAUUUCAAACUCGGAACAGACAGUGUGCUAGCCCUUCGAAGAGUAGUUCACUCUGAAGCACUUCGGUGCAUUUCUAUCGGGACUAACCGUAUCAGCCGAUAGAAUUUAUCAAAAAAAAAAAAAAAACUUCGAUAGGUUCGUAUCGGAGAAAUGAUUACAACUUUAACUAAAGAUAAUUGCAAAGCUAAGUUUAUCAAAAAAAUCUCUUUUUCAUAAUACAUCAAUUUGUUUUUAUUUUAUUUUAUCGAUUUCACGACAGUAAUACGUCAAGGCUAAUUUUUUAACCGAAACCAAUAUUGAUGAUAUUAUUUUGGUUGAAAUUUUGUUUCUUCGAAUUAAACAACAACUAAAAAAAAUUUGUGGUUAAAAAGAAAAAUAAUAGUUGUAAAAUUGUGUAAUAAAGGGGAAAAGUGGUGGCUACGAAAUCAUGAGGGUUCGAUGAGAACACGUAAUAAAGAUAGCCAACUUGUCAAAAAAAUCUGCACCUAUCCACUUCAGACUGUACGGACUUGGGGUCCCUUUCAGGUGGCCUGAUACGAAUCUCACCUUUAGAUACUUUUUAAUAUUUUGGACAAUAAAAUCAAAUUUAAUGGAAAGAUAGGAAAUGUCGACUAGAUAAGAUAUGUAUUCCCUUAAAUUAUUUUUAUAGUCUGCUAAACUAUGAACUAAGAGCAUCGGCAGUGGCAAAACGAUGAGGAUAGAUGUUAAUAAUAGAUUUAUUAUAAAAUUUAUUGAAGAGAGAGGAGGAAAAUUGGCAGACGGACAAAGAGAGACGAGAGAUAUAGAGAGAGAUUUAUUUUUCUAAUUUUUCCAUCCACUCAAAUCUUGCCACGCGGGCUUUACACCCGAUGCAUACAACUUGCAACUUAACACCCGUUUCUCAUUUCUACACACUCAAUUCUAAUAUUUUAGGUUUUUUUAUUACUCACACUCAGGCAAAUGUAUUGCCAUUGCGCAUGGUCUAACAGUUCAUAUCAUUUUUGUAUAGAGGUGUUGUUUGGGGUUGGGGAUAUGAUAUAAACCGCUCAUGGCAUUGGUUAGGAUUACAAUUUUAAAUGCGCUAAACUUAUGCUGAGAACUGGCUGGCCAGUGUCAAAUGUUUUUCAUUCGAAAUUGUUUUGAUUUACAAAUCUUAUAACCAAACAACCAAUAUAGGAACAUAAAUAUGAAUGAAAUACCAAAGUUUGUUAUUAAUAAUCCGAGACAAAAAACAGAUUUAUAUCUAAAAGCGACAAUACGGUUUUAUUUAAAUACCUUAAAGAUUAUCCGAGUCUAAAUUACCAAAAUCUCUUGUAGCCUCAUGAGUCUUGCGCACACAAUUUUAAACAGGUACUUCUCUUCACCUAAACCCGAAAGAGAGGCGUGAGUAAUGAUUUACUAACUAUUUAAAAUGAUCAUUCUAGCAUGUAUGCUAACACGAUAACAACGAACAAUCCAAUGCAAUCAAUAUAACCAAUAUUAGCAUAAUAAACCAUUUUCAUGUAAUUCAAUUUCCCUUUUUCAUUUUCCAUCAGUUUUAACUUUCUAAAGAUCCCACACUCCGCAUGCUAUCUAAUGAUCCCAAAAAUUACAUACCUGCUUUAGUGGUUUGUAAGUUAUAACAACUAUACCAAAGAUAUCCACGAUUCUGAAUACCACAUACCGGCUCGGAAGUAGUCUCUGUAACAUUCUUUCAUUGAGUUUAAUGUUUAGAAAGAAGCUCAACUAAUUUUCAUACAUAGUUGGGGGGAUCUAGACCACUAAGUGAUCAACAUGUCAAGAUCGAAAUGAUAUAUACGCGUUAGUUUUUGGAAGGAUAUGCAGAUCCUAUCGCGAUUAUGGGAUGGAUUUAUUUAAAGUUUGAUCACGCAAAAAGCUUGUAGGUACAAAAGUCAAAUGACGCGCUUAUUUACUUUUGGAGCCAACAAUUUUAGUAUCUCAACUUUGAGAUAAAUUGUUCUACGUACGUUAAUCAAGAAGAUGCAGUACUUUGCCAAAUAAUUCACUUUCUUAUACUGAAUGAGUUUUCUAUACUUCGAGAAAAAUUUAUCGGAAGCUUUUAUAUUGUUCAUCAUUUAAAUUGUAGGGUUGAUUAACUAGUUCGAUUAGCUAGAACAAGAUUUAUGGAUGUUGUUUUUAUAAAUCUUCUCUUUUUGAUUGAGUCUCUAAUUAGGAUGUAUAUUGUUUUCAUUUAAAUGUGAGCGUGACAAAUAGUUUUACAUUUUCUUUUUGUUAAAUUAGUACUGUUUUUCUAUAUUAAAAUCUAGUUUAAACACAAUGACAUAACUUGGCAAGUGCGUAUUGGUAAUGACAAAAAAAUUCCCAUGAUAUUAUAGUUUAGUGUAAGUAGUCUAAUAAUAAUUGCGAUAAUCCUUUUUCCAAGAGUUUUUAAAUACUAUCUUUACCCUAAACCAAGUAAGCUUUAUCGGAUAGAUAGUGGACGAUUAUUUUAUAAAAGAAGUACUUCAACGAUAGAAUCCAGAGACCAGAUCCUCGUAAUAGCAUCAGAGAGUUCCUUGGGUUCAACCAAGUACUUCAAACCACCUGAAUAGUGAAUAGUGAAUAGUGAAUAGUGAAUAGUGAAUAGUGAAUACUGAAGACCAUACUUUCGAAUUUUCUAUAUUAUCAGUAAACAUAUACAAUACAAUAAUAUUAAUCUGGCUAUAGUUACUAGUUGAUUUUUCAAAAAAUUAGUAUAUAUAUGGAUUUGCUUUGCCUGCUAAUUGAAUAUAUAUAUAUAUAUAUAUAUAUAUAUAUACAUAUGUGUGUGUGUGUGAUUAGUGGGUAGGUUUAUAUAUCUACAUGCCAUUUGGAUCAAUAAAGAUAAACCUUUUACUUUCUUUACAUAAAACUCGAUUUAAUCCACUUUAUUUAUAUACUACCUCUGUUUCAAUUUAUUUGAUGUUAAACCACAAAGAGUAAUAAAUCAUUUAAUUCUUGUUUUAGUCUAAUUUAAACAUUAUUUUUAUCUGACUAAAAAUUAUUCUACCAAUAUUAAACAAUCAUCAGAAUUAAUGAUCAAAACAAAUAAAACAAUUGUAUUCACUAAAAAGUGUUUUGAACAAAAAAAAAGUUGAUUAACUAUCUCUCUUCAUUUCUCCAUAAUUAUAUAAUUAUAGUUUUGAAAAUUUUUAUUAUGUUUAUAUAACAUACAGUAUUAACUUUUAUUUUAAAUGCAUUUUUUUCCUUUUUUUUUUAAUUAUAAGUCGUGAGAGAGACAAAUUAAUAUGCAAAGCGCCAAUAUUUAAAUCCCCAACUUCGAGAGAGACACGUCCCGAAUCAAACACCACACCCCCAUUUUGUUGUUUUCUCUUCAACUCUUACACAUCUUAUGACAAACAUUAUAAUAACUAACCAAUGAAAAUGGUUUUUUACAUGACAUUUGACAGGUAAAGGAGGGUCCGUCUGCUAGUACUUUCUUUGGUAGAACGAUUAUGUUCUAUAAACUAAAAUUUCUACACAUGGUAGAGGUAAAUGCCAUUGAGAUUAUAUGUUUAGUUUCAAGCAUAACUAUAAAUGUUAUUAUUAAUUAAUGUGUUAUAUAUGAAGCUAAUACAUAUAUAUAUAUAUAUGUAUAUUUGGAAAUGUAGUUAUCCAACUUUGCGUGAUGACAAUAAUUUUCUAGAGUGAAUUUGUGCAGAGACGUUAUUUUUGAUAAUAAUUAGGAAAUCGGUAUAAGUGAGGAGCGUCAGAGACAACGUUGAAAAAAAAGUUGGAAUAAGGCUUGUAAUUGACAAUAAUUACAAGAAUAUCAGGCUGGAUUUACGUCGUGCACGUGGAGAGGAGAAUAUGGAUUUAUGAAUAAACGAAGGAACAUACUGACACAAAUUAAAUGUUCAAAUUAAAUGGGAAGUGAUUGCUAAUAAAUGCAAUAGAUCUUAACUCGAGCUAACUCAAAUUUGAAUAUAGACAACUAUUGUAGUUGCAUGAACACUCAAUAAAUACUUACUUUGAAAUUUUUAAACAACUAAGCUAGUUGCAUGGACACCCAAUAAAUAUUUUACACGAUUUUAACAUUUGUAUUCAGAUAAACACAUACAUAGAUCUGCAUCUAUACUUUGUAGAUCUAUUUGUGAAGAUCCAAAAAAUAUUUUAGAUCCUUAUUUGUAUCGUGAAAGUUAUCUUCUCCGAUGAAUAAACAAUGGCGGUGUGAAUAAUAAACAAGACGUUGUUUUCUUAUCGGUUGAAUAAAUUAUAACAGAAUGAAGAGAGAGAUGAACAUGAGAUAUGCAUCUAUAGUUUGUAAAUCUAUUUGUGAAGAUCAAAAAAAUGUUUUAGACUCUUAUUUGUAUUAGAAUAAUUAUAUUUUCCGAUGAAUAAACAAUGACGGUGUGAAUAAUAAACACGACACUGCUUUUUUUAUCGGUUUGAAUGAAUUAGAGCAGAGUGGAGAGAGAUGAACAAGAGAAAAAAAUAGGAAAUUGGCCAAUUUCCCAGAGAAGACAAGCUUCGAGUAGAGAUCGAGCAAUUUCCCAAAAACACGGCCGAAUCAAUUCAAGCUCCGUCGGUUCUAAAGUCUUCAAGACAGCUUGAAAUAAUCGUGUGUAGCUUGAAAUACUGGUUAACACGCUCUCCCACAUGUUCUUCACGAUCGGCGAAUAACCUAGCAGGAAGGUUUAGAUCCAACAUGUUCCUGAAGAAAAAAGAAAAGAUUUUCAUUAGUUAUUAGACUACCCGGAAAAAUUAUGAACAUGCAAACACGAAAUUAUAGAUCUAUGAUGAUUUGUGAAUAUCUAAACCAGAUCUAAAAAAUAGGUAAAGAAGUAAGUGGAUAUGGAAAGAAGAAACGACAAAUAUAGAUAGUUAGGAUUUUGUUGCAAACGACGGAGAAACAAUAGAUUUAAAACCAACGCCGGUGAGUAGAAGCACAAAACAACAUAAAUCGACCAAAGAUUUCAUUAGACUCAAGAAAACUCCGAGAGAACAGGCGAAAGAGGCGAGAUGUUGCAGAAAAGAAAGGUUGGACCGAUUAUUUUCAAAAAGGAGAGAGGCGAGUGAGGUUAAAAUCGGAAAAAAUGAUGGCUAAUUAUUAUCAAUGUCUUGGGUUAUAUGGUCUAACACCGAAAAUUUAAAUACUUCAAAAAGUAGCGUCUCUCACCCAAUUAUCUCAAUAUUCUAUGCGUGAUGCACCAAUCAUUUCAUUUUGUAGACCGACAUUUUCCAUUGACCACUUUUUGACACGUGAACUCUUCUCUCUUUUUUUUUUUCCUUUCUUUAGUUUCAUUCGAAAUAAAAAUGUUUGGACCAUUUUAUUCUGUUUGUAAAAUUUUUGUCUUGUAGAUCUUUUGGUUUAAAGUGACUGUACAUUUGUGUUUAUAUAGUAUCUAUAUAUACAAGAGUAUUAAACUGUACAUGUAUAUUAUAUUAUAUACAAGUAUAUAAGUUUGUGUGCAUGUUUCGGCAGGUUUUGCUAACCUGCAGUUGUUAGAGAAACUAUUGUUUCUACUUUCUACUAACUCGAUAGAUUGAAUUAACAUCUUUUGCUCCAGCUUUUCUUGAUCAUGUAUAUAAAAGAAACUUGUACAAAAGAGUUAGAAGGUCCCCUGUGUCCCAGGUUAAAUUCUCUUUGAGAGAUGAUUAAUUACAUUGUGUCAUGGUAUUAUAUGUGUAACUUCACUUUUUUUAAUGGACAUUUAACAAAACAGAACAUGCUGCUAGUUUUGUUAAAGAAAAAGCAAAACUUGAACAAAUGAUCUUUAAACCAGAUCAAAAACAUAUCUACAUAGAUGCCUCACCGAACUAUAAGACCCUAGAAAUUUGGAACUACACAACCGUUUGGACUACUUAAAAUGUUGGCAAAUUCUAAAAUGAAAGUGAAAAUAAAAUAAUAUUAUAUGUCAACAAUCAAAUAUUUUUUAUAUUAAAACAUUCAACUGAAUUCUUGAACCGAUAUUUGCAUAUAUAUAUAUAUAUAUAUAUAUAUAUAUAUAUAUAUAUAUAUUUUAUUUGUCUUAAUGAUAUGGGGGUCAACUUGUUUUGCAAAGACCAUGCUAACACAGCAUUCCUGAAUCACAUAAAAAUCUAAUUUUAAAGUGAAUUGGCUUAGCAAAAAAUACAGUGCAUCAAAAUAUUGGGGUGAAUUUCAGUCUGGCUUACCAAAGAUACUAUAACUUUGUUUGGGGUGAAUUUCAGUCUGGCUAAAACGUAUACACUCUUUUCCCAAGACAAGUUGGCAAUGUUUUACUUCUUAACCUAAAUAGAUUCAACUGAUUAUUACUAAUUACUAAAAUUGCUACUCUUUGUUUUGCUACUCUUUUUUUUUUCUUUACUCUUAAUCUUUAAUUUACUUAUCUAAUUUAAUCGUAGUCUUUUAAUUUUAACCACUAAAGUAUUAUCACUACACAGACAAAGCUUUAUAUUCGUAUUUCAUAGUACUUAGCUUUCCACCAAAUCUUGUUUAAUUUCACUCAACUGUUAAAACGUUGGUUAAACUAACCGAAUCCGGUGUUUUUCAGUUUUUCAAGACUAAAACUUUAGCUACUUUGGUAAAGUCUGGUAGCUCAGCCUUUUCGAACUAAGAUCUAACGGACUAAAAGGUUUUUGGGGCUUAGCCCAACCGAGUUUGAUUUUUAUACUUAGUUGGAUGGAAUUAUAUAUUAUAAUGUUAUUCAUAUUUAUUUAAUAUUUUUGAAAAACUUCAACAAACUUUUAAAUUUUAUUUAUUUAUUUAUAUGUAGAACUUGAUGACAAGAAAAAAUUUAGAAUGCAUUAAAGCAAAGGAAUAACUAGAAUGCAUUGAAGCGGAUUCAAAUCUUGGUUCUACAACAUAAUGUAGUUUGAAAUAUUUUGUUUUAUGUUUUAUUUGGUAUUUUAAUAAUUUAUUUAGUUUUUUGAGCUUUUAAUUUUAAAUUAAGUUGUGUUUAAUAAACAUUAGUUGUGUCAUUGGUUCAUUUUAUACUUAUAUUCAUUAUUUUUUCAAGAGAUGUUAAGAUGUUAUUAUUUUUUUUGCCUUUCAAGAAAUAUUAUAAACUUAUAAGUUUGUUUUUUUUCUCUCGAAGAGAAACCCGAAAAAACCCAAAAUCUUGUUAGAACCGGACAGAACUUUUAAAAUAUAGGUUAGAAAAUUUUCUGGACCAAACUAAAUCGAAGUCAAAUAUAUGUGGUUAAUAUACAGAUUUCGGGCUACGCCAGACUAGUCCGACUGAUUUGUCUACUUUGAAUUGCUACUCUUUUCCGUUAUUUUUACUGUUAUUUUUUUUUUAACCGCUUAACCAAUAUUGUUUGUUUUUCCUUUUUGAUUAUAAAAGGCAUAGAUCCAAUCCUUGUUUGAAAAAUCGCUAGGCGCUAGUCGGGCGCUCGGCAUGGGCCUAGCGAUUAAUUGGAAAAUCGGAUUAAAAUCGGGGAUUAGUUUUAGGGUUAUUUUAAUAUUUUUAAAACAUAUUAAUCCAAUAUUGUUUUCAAAAUUGCAGUAAACACAUAAAAAAUGUAUUUUUGAGAAUAAUUUUUAUGAUUUUGUUACAAAUUUAUGAUUUUUAUUGAAAUUUGAAUAUAAGUUAUUGUAAAACAUCACAAACUCCCAAUUCAAAGGAUUGAAUAACAAAAAUAAAAAAAAAUUUAUACUUGCAAUCUAAAAAUAAUCAGGGUAUGUAAGAUUAGGCCGGAAAUAAUCGGAUUAGGCGGGAAGUAAUCGGAUUAGGCGGAGAGUAAUUGGAUAACUGAUUUCUUUAGGAGAUUAAUCAUUAAUCGAAGCGGAUAGGAUGGACCUAGCGAUUAAUCGGAUAGUAAUCGGGAUAGGCGGAGAUUUUAGAACUAAUAGUUGCACAAAUAAGAACAUGUGAAAUGGGAAAGUGAGAUAUUCCUUCACGAGGUGGACUCCGACGUGGCAGCUCCUAACUCCAUUUGGCCCAACUCUCUUUACCAUAUAACUCAGCUUCUGCCAAUCAAACUCUCUAUCAGAAAAUAUUUAUGCAUAUAUUAACAUUCAAUAACAAAAAAUCAGCAUAUAUACACACACAUCUCUUACUGUGCAUAUAUAUUACAUAUCUCUCUAUCCCCCCUCUCUCUCUCUCUCUCUCUCUCUCUCUCUCCCUCUCCCUCUCUCUCUCCCUCCCUCCCUUCCUCUGUCUCUCUCUCUCUCUCUCAUCUGUGUUGUAGAUCUCACCAGGUCUUCUCUGGUUAAUAUGUGGCUUCCAAGAUCUGGUAACAUGUUAUAAAUACGUCAUACAUGUUUUUGCAAAUCAAAAAAUAGAAAUUGUGGGUUUGUCUCUCAUUUUACUAUUUUAGCAGUAUAUAUUUAGAAGUUCAGAUGUUAUUUGAUCAGCAUCUUUUUCUUCCCCUCUGCCAUCUCUAUCUGUUAGGGUUUCACUUCUUCUGCUCUAACACUUUUUUUUUUUCUGGUUUGGAUCCAACUAAGUAUAUAUAAGAGAGUAAAUUUGACAAUUAGUUACUUUAAAAUUCCUCCAAUCACAACAAGUUAUCUCGACUAUUCUGCCAUGUUUAUCCCUCCCAUAUAUGUGUAUAUACAUAAAUAUAUAUAAUAGAUAUGAAGGUACGAGUUUCUAGUGUCUAUAAAUUAAGAAGGCUAAGUCUACACCAUUUAGAUGAUAUAUGUUAAGUCGUGAGUUUGAGUUUGAGUUUGAGAGACAAAAGAUCACCACAUGAAGAUGGAAGACUAAUUUCCGGAGCCACGGUCGCUGUUUGCUGCUGUGGCAUCAUCAAGAUUCACAUCUGUUGAUGGACGGUGGUGAUUCGCUCUCCCCAAAGUUCUCUAUGAAAAUGAGAAUCUUGAUGAUGCUGCAUCGGCAAUCAACGGCUAUUCUUUUUCUCUCCCUCUCUAUAUAGAUUCUUUGGAUUCUAUCCAGAUCUUCAGGUAGGUUUGUUUCUACUUGAUUUUUUUUUUCAUUUUUUUUUUACCUUUAUAUUAACCUAUACUCCCGUUUAUUUUUAUUUUUAUUUGUUAAUAUAAAUAAAGAUCUGACAAAGAACUUUUGUGGGUAUCUUGUCUCAUGUGAUAACAUUGAGCAUUUGAUCUAGGAUCUCAGGUUUUUUGCAGUCUUUAUCAAGACAUUAAUGGAUCCACAAGCUUUUCUUUCAAUAAGUGAACAAGAGUCACAGCAUCAAGAUUAGUAAGGUGAGAGAGACAACAACAACAUCAUCAAAGGAUCUACUUAAGGUAAUUAAUAUAUGUGCCUUAUUUCUUAUGUUGCCAAUCCCAGCUUGCAUUUCCAAAACAACACAAUAAUAUUCUUUUGUUUUGUUGGAAAUUAAAAAAAACGGAUAUUGUAUAUGGAAGUUGAGAUAAUAUAAUGGGUCUAUAUGGAACUAUUGAUAUCUAGCAAAGAAAACGUUUUCAAGACACACUGUCAGUUCUUUUUUCUUUGUUGGUUGUUGUUGGCUAUUACAUUCAAAUUGAGAAUCAAUCAAGAACUUGUUGGUGGACCUUACACAUUGUAGACUCUGCAUAUUUAGUCCCACCUAUUUGUGUCCCCUCUAUUUACAUAUUUAGAUGUCCUUAUAACUAAUGGAACAAUGAAGCAAAUGUACUCUCUUUUUCUCUUAUUCUGUAAAAAGGUAAGAAAAAUUCUAUAUCAUCAUAUAUACCAGAUUGUGAACAAAACCAAUCCAUAGUUCUGAGUUUCUUGUUUUGUUUGUCAGCACAACAUACCAUAUAUGUUUCCAAAUCAAAUUUUAAAUAUAUUUUUUGGUUAUGUCUUGUAGUACAUCUUAUUAUAUGUGUUUAGAAAUGUCUUGUUUGUUAUGGAGAUGUGUGUGUGUGUGUGUCUAAAUUACUUUCCAUCCACUGAUCCACAUAUAAUUUAGUUAUUCUAGAAAUAAAUCAUAUCUUUUGAUCAUAGCUUCCACUAUAAAUCGAAUGGUUUUGAGCAAUGCCUUGGAUGACCUAAACUUCGUCUAUAAGUGGAAACCAAAUCAUUCUAUCAGUACCAAUAUAGCAAGUUGGCAACUAUUUUCAUAUCAUGAUGAUGUUUUGAUAAUCCCGUGAAUCACGAUUUUGCAUAUAUUUUCCAGUAUUUGUCAAACGGAAUUGUUGUUUUACAGAUAUCUUCAAUCCAGCUUCUUGACUCUAGAAAGCUAGAAGAUGGGCUACAUAUUCGCUUUGAUUCUAGAUAUUAUUUUUUCUAGUUCUUUUUUUUUUGCUAAAGAUAUAUAUAUUUCUUUUCUAGUUCCUCUCUUAAAUUACUUUCAAAACAAACUUUAAUUUAAAGAUGCAUCUAAUGUACAAAGAUUUUUUGAUUGAAUAAAUUUUACAUUCACCAAAAAAAAAAUUGUUGUGUUACGAAAAUUAGUACCUCAAUUAAUAUAUUGCUUAAUCACGGAAGCGGUACCAUUAUUUAUCUUUCUUAUCUCUUAUCUCUAAAUAUUCUACUAUUGCUUAUUGCUCUAUCUUUUUCACUAAAUGUUUUACCGAUUUGUGUCACCAAAUGAACUCUUUAUGUUCUAAUCGGAAGAAUUUAAUAUGUGCAUAGUUUGUGUUCUGAUUAUCUCUGUAUUUAUCGAAAUAGCUAGUGUGCUGUUUCAUCACUUUUAUAUAUAAAUGCAAAACAAAACAAAACAAAAAAGCAUUAGAAUCUUUGCGUAUAAUGGAUCUGACAAAAUGAGAUGGUAAUAUUAGCUUGAGGGGAUGAAUAUGUGUGUGUGGUCCAUUUACAUUGAAAUCAGACGCAACGCUGAGUAUGUAUGUAAGGACCAUUUCUUUAUAGUUGUAUCUAUUAUUCCCAAUUUUCUCAAACUAUAAGCUUUUAAUGUGUUUGUAUUACUAAUAUGACUCAGUUUACUAUUUAUAGGUUUAGACGAUAUCUUCUUUCAAGUAUUAAUAAACCAGCUGAAAAUGCUGAAUAUUAAUAAGUUGAAUAAAAAUGAGUUGAAAAAUAAAAGAAAAAUGAAGCUGAACAAUAACAAGUUGAAUACUCGUUCAGUUCAUUCAUCUCAUAGUUUAAGACUGAACAAAUUUCAGUUGAAAAUGCUAAUUUUCCAACUUUUUUGUAGACCCCACAAAUUUAUGGCUGGAAACUAUUUUAAUAUAAAUGGUGAUUUUUUGGCUGAACACAGUUAAAAGGUAUAUUCAGCUCUUUCAACUUCGAAAUAGUGUCAUCCAUUUUCACCAUUUGUAUGGCGAAGUGAUAUUUACAUUUUUUUUUUUAUCAAAUUUCAAACAGUUUGCUACAAAUAUAGAAUUCAGUGUCACAUUUUUACCCCUAUCAAUAGAAUUGAUGAGACAGUUUAUCUUUCAUAUAGAAAAAUAUAUUUCCCUGACUACAAACUCUUUUUAUUUUGUCUUUCUCACUCAGAAUUUUCUAAAUAUAGUUUCUCUUUCUAUUUAUAGCUCUCACACCAAUGCAUUUGGAUAAUAGAUAUGCUCGACCCAAAUUCAGAAGUAGAGUUACAAAAAAGUUAUGAAAGAUAAGAAGAAAUUAUCAUCCACUUUUAAAAUUUAUUUCACGCAUAUGCCUUAUCAAUAUUUUAGUAGCACCAACUAGCCGAAGUCAAUGAGUGAGCAUUACAAAAAGUGUAUAUAUAUAUUUUUCCUCUAUAACAAAAAGUAUUAUUUUUUUGUUGAAACAUUGUAAAAUUGUUGCAUAUUCAAUAAUUAUUCCAUAAUAUUAAAUUUAUACACUUUCUCGGCUAAACUGAAAUAUAAAACGUUAAACUAAUAAUUUCAAUAUAACAUGACAUUCAGUUUUAUCAACAAAAAAAAAAACAAGACACUAAGGUGUAUUAUGUCUAUGAACUAACAAUAAUAAGAAAAGGUGUGUAUAUAUAUUAUUAACAUGUGUGUAUGAAUAUAUGUUUUAUAUGACAUAACAUAAUGUUAACAUACGAACCAAAAACGUUUUCAGCAAGCAGUUAGUUACAAGGUGUGCCCAUCAAGCACUGUGUGAAGAUCAUUGGGAUGCUGCAUUACACAUUGUUUGAUAUCUCGAAGAUAGCCCUGGUCAACAAUGUAUUCUUCUACAUGCUAAUACUAAUUUCCGAAUCUUUGGUUGGUGUAAUAGCGAAUGGGCAAAUUGCUCAAUCACUCGGAAAUGAGUCACUGAUUAUUUUUUCAACUUGGUGAGUCGUGGAAAAGGAGAAAACAGUCCAUAAUAAUCAUGUUUUCCGCAGAAGAAUAGCGUGCAAUAUCGUUUCUAACUAAAGAUACGAGAUGGAUUAAGAAAGUUCUCUUUGAUUUUGGUGUCUCUCAUGAUCUUCCAAUGUUGGUUCAUUGUGAUAGUAAAUAUACAAUUCAUAUUGCCACGGGCCCUGUUUUUCAUAAGAAACCAAAACACAUCGAAAACGAUUGUCACUUCAUAUGAGAUGAGAUACAAGAUGAAAACAUUGAAACAGUACAUUUUGACAGUCGUUCAUAACUUGUAGACAUAUUUACCAACAACUUGGAAAACAAGCAUUUGAGGACUUUCAAGUUAAGCUGGCAUUUCCGAUCUCCAUGCUCCAACUUGAGGGAGAGUCUUGAAAUAUCAAACCCAAUGAACUUCACCGCAGCAGCACAACGUAUUAAGCCACAUGAUUCAUCGUAUCAAUCUCAUCAAAUCCCUCUUUACUCUUUCCAAUUCAUCUCCUUCUUUCUUGUAAUUAUACGAUCUUGCAUAUCUCCUCAUAUAAUUAGGUAUCUUCUCUAGUUAAUGUUGAUUGAUUGUGCUCUUCUCCUCCAAUCUAGAUGAUUAUAUAUAAUCGUUGGCCUUGUGCCCAUGAAUAUGAUCGAGAAAUUCUAAGCGCUUCUUUUUACAUUAACAAAUUUCAUAAAAUUUACAAAACACAAAAUCAAUUUAGUGGUGAAUUUUACAUAUAAAUCUACUAAACGCUGCAAAUAAAUCUUUGAAAACUAACAUACAUAGUCACUUUAAAAUGAUUUAAAAAAAAAAAUUAUCUAGGAAAACAUGAAUUUUAAAUAAACGUAGUUUUUUCAAAGUUUGCAAUUUAGGGGGAAUUUUUUUUUUUUUUUUUUGAAACCAUAUGACAAUCGAAUUUUAUGUUCUCUUCACAUUAAUUGCAUCUUCUGAUCUCAAAUAUAUAUUUAUGCUUUAAAUGAAAAUAACUUUGUCUCUACUUGUAAAGGUAUUUAAAUAAUUUGGAGUUAAAUCAGUUUUGAGAUAUAGAGGGUUUCAACUUUCAAUAUAUUUUUGUGCGAUUUAAGGUUUCAGUAGUUUAACGUGUCAAUGAAAAUUUCUUUGAAAAUUCGUCGAUAAUUCAAAAAAUUAGAUGCAUAUGUGUGAUUUUCUAACCAUGGAUAGGGUCCAAUGAUAUUUUUUAUUCUCUCUAGAAUAUUGAUUUUUUUUGUCAUUUUUGUUCGUUAUUUUUGCUUUUAGGAGUCUUGCAUGUUUUGUAGAGUCUUUGAAUCAAUUUCAGGUACAACACAAGAAUGAACGGAGAUUAGAUGACAUUUGAGCUUUAGACAGGCGAAACAGAGCAUGAGCAGAAGAGAGAUGGAGAAGACAUGUUUUUAAAGCUCACAAAAUCUUUGACAAAAAAUAAAAAAUAAAGCUCACAGAAAUUGCAUCGACUUUAUGCAUUGAGCUCAAAUAGGUCAAUGUAGGAAAAUUCAGAAUUUUCAGAAGCUACAUUAACGUCAUGAUUCAUUGAUCUCAAAUAUCUCAAUGCAGAGCAAUUUUCUUACAAGUUUAACCUUAAAAAGUAUAUAUAAUACAUGUUAUUAUGUUAACUUCUUUUUCAAAGACAAUUUAUUUUGUUUGCAAAAUUUAAGAAUUAAAGUUGGUGUUUGUUAUGUAAAAUUAGAAUGGUUAAAAUUUAUUUGAAUCCCGAGAUAUCAAAACCAAGUUCUGUAGGAGUAGGUGCACUAAAAUAUUUUAAUUAUAAAUAAUGCUAUAUAUAUCUCUGCAAUAACACAACCGUUUAAUGUACAAAUAAAACUGCAAAUUAAAUUUUAAAUAUUUUAAUGAAUUAUAUUGUACAAAUAAAGUAGCAAUUAUGUUAUUCAUAAGUUAUAGAUUUUCGGUUUCAAAUUAAAGUUUUAUAAUAUAUGAAAGAAUUUGUUGGUGUUGAAAUGAAUAUAUUAUAUGAUUAUAUUGUUUAAUUUUCAAUUGAAAAACACAAUGCAUUUAAUAUAAUUUUUUUUUUUUAUAGACGCUUUCUUGUUUAAAUAUUUGAGAUAUUUAAUUUUGGUAAUAUUAGUUAACAAGAAUAAAUAGUAUAUAGAAUUAAAAAUAUUUGAAAAGAUAUAUAGUAAAAUUAAAUAAUAAUAAUAAAAAAAUUGUGAACUUUUUUUUUUUUGGUAAGGAGAGGGGAGACAAUGUCUCCCCAAAUUUAUUCAAACUAAAAAUAAAAAUUACAACCGUAUAUUUCGCGGUUUUGUAGACCCGCUAACAUCCUCUAACAUAGUAGAAUUCACACAAUCCGGCGGUAAGUCGAACAUAUGAAAGCCCAAUGGUAGAGAGACCGCAUAGUUCGCUAAUCCAUCCGCCAGACGAUUAGCCUCCCUAUACACAUGGUUGACACGGACUGUUCAGUCCUUUGAUAAAAAGCCAUAGCACAAACGUACUAGGAACGAUAUGUGAAUCGACCUCCAACUCUACACGCGUUGCCCGACGCUCCCACGCAAUAUAAAGUCCGUAAUAGACUCCCCAUAAUUCGGCUACCGGUGCUGAACAAUAUCCAAGAUUUACUGCAAAACCGCCACACCAAUUCCCCAAAUUAUCUCUCAAAAAACCACCCGCUGAUGCUAAACCGGGAUUUCCACGUGAGGCUCCAUCCGUAUUUAGUUUCAGCCACCCAUCACUAGGCAUGACCCAGCCAAUAAGUCUCUCAACCCGCCUCCCACUGCUCGUCUCUCCGCUUAGAUUUGAGUGAGAUUGUGUCACCUCCUGCGCCAAGUCUUUAAUGAACUUCACCUUAUCCCGACAUCUCCCAUUUGUCCCAAAAAUGUUUCUACAACGCCACUUCCAACUCCACCAUACCGCCAUCGCGAAAACAGUAGCCCAUUGACUCUCAACCAUUAUAUUCUCAUCGCAUAGAUUCCCAUACAACCACUCAAGUAGUGAUUGUGAAAGGAACCCUCUCAGCCGCCGCGCAGGGACUAUUCUCCUCCAAAUCCCUUCCAUUGCGGGACAAUCCUGUAGAAUAUGAAUGAUAGACUCGUCUCCUCCUCUACAUAUUUGACAAAUGGUGCUGUCCCCAAGAUGUCUACGGUGCCUCUCCAUAUUUGUCAUCACAGCUUGGUUUGCUACUAACCAUAAAAACAGUCUGACUCUCUCCGGUGCUACCACUUGCCACACUUUUUUGAAAAAACAGUCCAUCCUCUGUUUUGGAGCCUCAUCGCAAGUCAAGAAGGCAUGAGCUGACUUAACGGUGAAUUCUCCAUCUGCACUACCCCACGACAGUCUACUUUUGCUCUAGUAACAUCAUCUAACACAACAGCUGCUAGUUUUAGUCUUGUAAUUCCCGUAACAUAUGGUACAAUCUGUGACAAGUUCCAUCCCAUCCCAUUAGUCCAGAGAUCUCUAGCCCGCAACUCUGUGAAUUCCCCAGGCAGAUCCAUGAUUAGAAAGUCUAGAAACGGCUUGUUAUGUAACCAUUUAUCAAUCCAAAAGCGAAUUGUUCUCCCAUCCCCGAGAACCCAAUUCACUCCUGGUGCUACCACCUCUCGCAGGCCAACACUAACACUCCUCCAAGUUGCUGAACAAUUUCCUUUUGCCAACAUCCACUUAUGAUCAUGGAUAUCCCCAACCUUGUAUUUUCUCCUUAGUACUUGUGCCCAAAGGCUCGUACCAUCCUUGAUUAAUCUCCAACCAACUUAGAAACUAGAGCUUUAUUCAUGUCUUUUGCGGCUCUAAUUCCUAAUCCACCCUCCGGUUUCGGUUUGCAAAUUCUCUUCCAAGCAAUCAAGUGUUGUUUCCUUUUUUCUUCGUGCUGCCCCAUAAAAAGUCCCUUGAUACCCUGUCUAACCGAUCCAAACUACUCUUUGGUAAGGAAAUGACACUCAUUGUGUGAACCGGGAUAGAAGAGAGUACUGAUUUUGUGAGUGUAAGUCUUCCAGCCAUACUCAGAAAUCUUCCCUUCCAACCCGCUAAGCGUGAUGUAACCCUCUCUAUUACUUCACUAAACAACAACUGGAGCAGCUAGCUAUCAAUUAUUAUCAGCGACUGUACUCUAUGCAGGAUGUUGAUGAGGUUGUGGAGAAGCUGCCCGUUAAUGGUUUUGUGAGACUGAUUCAGGAAGAGGAAGCGGGUUUGAACAAAGCUUUCACGGCCCAAGAGGUUGAGGCUUCAAUAAGGAGCAUGGGAAAAUACAAAGCCCCGGGGCCAGAUGGUUUACAACCGGUGUUCUACCAGCAUUGUUGGGACGUUGUGGGGAAUUCAGUUGUCAGCUUUGUAUUGGAUUUUUUUGAAACAGGGACAUUGCCACCGGAUAUGAACGCUGCAUUGGUUUUUCUCAUCGCCAAAGUGGCAAAGCCAGAAAGGAUAAUACAAUUCAGGCCAAUUAGUCUUUGUAAUGUAUUAUUUAAAAUCAUUACGAAGACUAUGGUAACUCGGCUUAAAGGAGUGAUAUCUAAGUUGAUAGGUCCAGCCCAGGCCAGUUUUAUACCAGGAAGAUUAAGCACGGAUAACAUCGUGGUUGUGCAAGAAGCGGUCCACUCUAUGUGGAAGAAGAAAGGUAGAAAAGGGUGGAUGUUACUGAAGCUUGAUUUGGAAAAAGCUUACGACCGAAUAAGAUGGGACUUUUUAGAAGAUACUCUCACGGCUGCGGGUCUUCCGAAUAAGUGGGUGAGUUGGAUAAUGACUUGUGUCACGGGCCCUUCAAUGCAAAUUCUAUGGAAUGGAGAAAAGACAGAACAAUUUACGCCAUCACGCGGGAUCCGACAAGAGAACCCGCUAUCGCCAUACUUGUUUGUACUUUGUCUUGUGAGAUUGUGUCAUCUCAUCGAUGUCUCAGUUACUGGGAAAAAUUGGAAGCCGAUAUCUAUAUCGCAAGGAGGGCCGAAGUUGUCACAUAUCUGUUUUGCAGAUGUUCUCCUCUUCGCAGAGGCUUCUGUGGCCCAAAUACGAGUGAUAAGGAGAGUACUUGAAAGGUUUUGUGUCGCUUCAGGGCAAAAAGUGAGCUUGGAAAAGUCAAAAAUAUUUUUCUCGGAGAACGUUCACAGGGACUUGGCCGAGCAGAUCAGUGAUGAGAGCGGGAUCAAAUCGACGAAAGAGUUGGGAAAAUACUCCACAAACGGAUUAACAAAAAUUGUGAACUUGACACAUAAACAUCAAUGACUUUCUUUAAUAUAUCACUUUUACAAUCAAACUUUUGUGAUCAAAUUUUUAAAAAAGUCAUCUCGUGUAUGCAUGGUACCAAUUACCAAAUAGAACCUAGUAAAAAUAAAAAAAUAAAAAGUUAAGAUAUGUUUAAUAUUAUUGAAUAGCCAAAUAAAACACUGAAAUUAAAAAAAUAGCAGAGAAAAAGUUUUUUGUUGCAAAAUAGUCAUGGUCCCACGUUGUCAGAUGAAGUGAAAUACCAAAACUAUCCUUUGUUUGUUGCGAGAUCAACGAUAUGCGAGACAGUUUCGUGAGAUUUUUUAAAAUAGCAUGUAACAUUUAAAUUUCACAUGUUAUAUUUAACUAAAAGACAUGAUAUUUCAAAAAACAUAGUGAAUUUUUAAGAAAAAACAUUGUUACGUAGUGUUUUUUAAGAAAAAACAUUGUUCUGGAAAAUUUAAUCUGAAUAGAAUAUUUUUAAAAAGAAAUCACAUGUAAUCUUAAAAAAAAUCGUGUAUUACUAAAAAAUAAUCAUCUUUUUUAAAAAGAAAUCAUGUGAUCUUAAUAAAACUCGUAUAUUAUUUCAAAAUAACAUGAUAAAGAGAGAUAUUAAACUGAAUAGAAUGUUUUUUUCAAAAAAUACCGUGUGUUCUUUAUAAAUAACGUGUAUUACAAGAAAGAUACAUGAUAAAAAAAGAUAUAUUAUGCUAUCACAUGUAAUUCGAAAAAAAAAAACGUGUUACAAAUGACAUUUACGUAACUACACAUGUAUUCCGACAUAUUACCGAUAUGUUACUGUAGUUCAUGGUUUGUUUGUAUAUUCUCUUUGAAUCUAUGGUUAAUUUGUAUAAAUUCCCUUUAAUAUAUAUUUUUUAAGAUAUGUUAAUUCUUUGUUAUCGCUCUCAACAGGACUGGGAUGGAUUGAGAUUUUUUAGAAACAGAAAUAUCUUUUAGUUGAAAAGUCGAAACCAAUUCUAAACUAGAAAUUUCAACUUAUAUCUGUAUAUUAAUUUAGUAAGGUAGAUUUUCUAACAGAAUUUUUUAAUAGAUAGAUAGAAUUAUAAAUUGUGACAGGUCAACCUUGUUUGUCACUCGAAAUUGCCAAAAAAAUGGGACCAAUAACAUCAACAUUUUGCACACUUACAAAAUUACAAUCCAUUAACACAUCCCUAUUUUAUUGUUGAAAAGCAAGCAACAAACCAAUCAUUUUUCGUUUUUUUCCAGUUGAAAAGUAGAAACCAAAUUUCCAAAUCAGAAAGUUCAACAGUCAAAUUUUUUUAUUUUAUUGUUUGAUAACUUCAGCAGUCAAAUUUUGAAUGGCAAUUUCGAGGAAACUAUCGUACAUUUAAAAAAAAAAAAAACAAUCGUACAUGCUCCAUGAUAAUAUGUUAUUUAAUGUUAUAUCUGGAACAAAACAAAACACAAAACAAAAGCAAAUAAUAAAAAUGAAAUAUUCUCCUGCGUGCAAGCUCCUGUUCUUGAUUCUAACUAUAACUUGUAAGAUCGAAACACAAGUGAAGUGCAUGAAGUUCAAUUUCUCUAAGUUUAACGGUGAUUCGAACUUGUAUCUAAACUACUCCGACAUUGCUUUUGAAGCACUCCAAGUGACUCCUGAAGCUCGUGGUGCUCCUAUCACGAACCUCUCGGGACGCACGGUCUACAAGGACCGUUUCAGGCUAUGGAGAAAAGGCAAGAAAUCUACUUUUAACACCACUUUCGUUAUUAACAUCAAGAACCAAACCGAAUUUGGAGGCGAAGGCUUAGCCUUUGUUCUCACACCUGAGAAGAACGUCCCUCAAAACAGCUCGGGUAUGUGGCUCGGCUUGAUGAACGAAAGGACAAAUGGGACUCGCGAGUCGAGGAUUGUUGCGGUUGAGUUCGACACAAGGAAGAACCAUCCUGAUGAUCUUGAUGGAAACCAUGUGGCUCUAAAUGUGAACAACAUAAAUUCGGUUGUUCAAGAAUCGUUGAGCAGUCGAGGGAUCACGAUCAAUUCCAGUAUUGAUUUUACCGCACAUGUACGGUAUGAUGGUAAGAAUCUUUCGGUAUAUGUCUCAAGAAACCCGGAGGUACAUGAUCAGCGAAACUUGGUGUUUUCUUGGCCUAUAGAUCUAUCAGCCUAUCUUCCAGAGAAUGUUUACAUUGGAUUUACGGCUUCAACAAGCGAUUUUACGCAACUGAAUUGUGUGAAAUCAUGGAGUUUUGAAGGUUUAGAGGUCGAUGGAGAUAGAAAUAUAUGGUUGUGGUCCUUGUGGAUCAUUACCCCUACUGUGUGUGCUGUUGUAAUAGGAGCUUUCUUAUGUGGACUAUACUUAAGAUCUAGGUCAAAGGCUGGGGAAACAAAUCCGGAUAUAGAAGCUGAGCUAGAUAAUUGCGGUGCACACCCGCAGAAGUUCAAGCUAAGAGAGCUGAAGAGAGCAACGGGAAACUUCAGCGGGGAGAACAAACUCGGGCAAGGCGGGUUUGGGAUGGUGUUUAAGGGGAAGUGGGAGGGUAGAGAUAUAGCUGUGAAACGAGUUUCCGAGAAAUCGCGUCAAGGGAAGCAAGAGUUCAUAUCCGAGAUCAAAACGAUCGGUAAUCUGAAUCAUAGGAACUUGGUGAAGUUAUUGGGAUGGUGCUACGAGAGAAAGGAGUUUCUUCUGGUUUACGAGUACAUGCCGAACGGAAGCUUGGACAGAUAUGUUUUCGUGGAAGACAAGUCAAGUUCAAACCUAAAAUGGGAGACAAGGAAACACAUUAUAAGAGGGAUAUCUCAAGCUUUGGAGUAUCUUCACAAUGGAUGUGAGAAGAGGAUACUUCAUAGAGACAUAAAAGCAAGCAACGUAAUGCUGGACUCGGAUUUCAACGCAAAGCUUGGCGAUUUCGGGCUUGCGAGGAUGAUUCAGCAAAGCGAAAUGACACACCAUUCGACAAACGAGAUUGCUGGAACACCGGGAUACAUGGCUCCCGAGACUUUUCUCAACGGGAGAGCUACGGUUGAAACGGAUGUGUAUGCAUUCGGAGUUCUAAUGCUCGAAGUAGUCUCCGGGAAGAAACCGAGUUAUGUCUUGGUUAAGGAGAACGAGAGCAAUUACAAGAAUAGCAUUGUGAAUUGGCUAUGGGAGCUAUACAGAAAUGGAACCAUAAUGGAUGCUGCGGAUCCAAGAAUGGGAAGUUUGUUUGAUGAAGAAGAGAUGAAAAGCGUUUUGCUCUUAGGACUCGCUUGUUGCCACCCAAAUCCGAACCUAAGACCUUCCAUGAAAACUGUUUUGAAGGUCUUGACGGGUGAAACUAGCCCACCCAAUGUGCCUACAGAGAGACCGGCUUUCGUAUGGCCAGUAAUGCCUCCAUCUUUUGGUGUUGUUGACUACUCUCUUACAGGGAGCCAGGACAUUACCGAGCUUACUGGCCGAUAAUAUCAAUAUGUGUGUUCUCCAAGAAAUACUUUGAGAUUUGGGGUUGCUUCGAUAUAUGCUACUUAUAUUUUCUCUAUGUACAUAGAAAUAGAAGGAUAUGAAUGUUAGGUUAUAUCUAUUGGCCCUUGUUUGUAUAAUAUUUCUUAAGUUUUAGCCCAUACGUAUACUUUAAUAUUUGUGUAAAUGUUUAAGAAAGAAUAAGAAAGAAAGCAUCUUCUUUUUUUUUACAUCUUUGGAUCGACAAGACCCGAUCCAUAGCCAAUCCCUAUUACGCGGGGUAACCCGAAUUAGUGGAAUCGAACUCCGGUGGGGAAGACGAAGUCAAAUGGACUUAACCACUUGACUAAAGGCACAUCCCCCAUCUUCUAUAAGUAUCAUCAUUUGUUAUUAUUAAACCUAAGAGUGUGUUUUCUCUUCUUGUUACAACUUUUGGUCAUUCGCUUUAAAUACAAUUGGAUUAUGGUUAAAUAAUAUUUCGGUUCAAUUAUAUUUAUUCAACCGGUUUGUUCCGGGUUAAUAGGUCCAUAAUAGAAAUAUUAUUUAACCAUAAUCUAAUAUCCAACUAAAUAUGUAUAUUUCUCAGUGUUCAAGAAAGCGCUAGGCGUUAAGCGAGCGGUGACCCAAUGCCUAGCGCCUAGAACGCCUAAUCGGAGCCUAGGCGAUUUUUUAGGCGGUUUAGACGUUUAUAACAUAAAACAUAAUAAAUAUGAUAUCAUAUAUAAAAGUUAUAUAAAAUAUCUAAUAAAACUAAAAAUUAUGAAAUUAUAAACAAAAACUAGAUAAAAAAUUUAAUUAUAUUUAUAUUCAAACAAUAUAUGAAUAUUUAUAACUAUAUAUAUAAUUAAAACUCUAAUUAAAAUUGAAAAAAUACAUUAAACAAGAUCUAUGUAAUUUUAGGCGGUCAAGGCGGUUAUCUAGGCGUCGCAUGAGAGCCUAGCGCCUAGUCGGGGCCUAGGCGACCGCCUAGACCGCUUUUUAGAACACUGAUAUUUCUACAAUUCUUUUGAAAUCACAAAAUUGAGUCAACAUUUACUUUUUAUGAACUUAUCUUUUCCACCCCACCCCAAAAGUAAAAUUGAAUGGUUUACUAUCCAUAACUUUUGUAAUCUCUUUAAUUUAACGACAGCAAUAUUUUUAAAACUAGAAAAUAUAUAUAUAUAUAUAUAUAUAUAUAUAUAUAUAUUAUUUUUUCGCCAAACACCAUUUUAUUAAGUUAUCGGACGGUGGAAGCUUUCCUCAAUUAGGAACCUAUUCGGAGCAGAUGUGUUUACAUCGAAAAACAUAUUUUCUUAUAUAAUAAAUCACAAGUCAAUUCACAAAAAACUGCAACCCUCUCCAUUUGACACGUGGCGUAAAUCUCAAAUUUUAGUCUUUCACUUUUUUAAACAUAAACCUAAUUAUUGGAGAAGAAAAAAAAAUCAAUUAAAAAAAAGAUGAAUAAAAAAAAAAAUAGUUUCUUCAACUGCUCCACGAUCUCUUCGCCCAUGAUCUCUUCUUCCUGCAACUAAUAUAAUUCUCACUUCAUAAAAAAUCAAACUAAAUCCUCUAUUUGUUUCGUCUUCCCAUCAAAAGCCAAAAAUUCAAUAAUCUAGAUCCACAGAGAAAACGAAAGAGGCGAGAUUGAAUCGAAAGAAAAGGAAAGAAAUGAAAUUGUUGGCGAAAAUGUAUGAUUCUUCACUUUAGAGGAACCUAAAUUAUGAUCCAGAUAACGUGGGUGUUGGUGUCGGAUCCCGCACCAGAAGUACGAGACCAACCAAAGAUUGCCACGUGAUCAAGAUAAUGGCCCAUAAAGGAUGAAGCCCAUUGGACCCGUGAGCCGAAGGGACGGUCGAAGUGGUUGUCACCAUUUCGAGAAUCCGAAGUGACUACACUGUGACACGAAUUCGGUGUAGAAGACACGGGUAAGUCGGUUCACGAACACUUGGGCCGAAAGAGGCGAGGCCCAUGAAGAUCAGAGUCAACUCAAAUUCAAACAUUGAGCAUUAAAGCCGAAGAAUCAAAACGGACACAUUUAAGAAGAAAUAAUUGUGCUUAAUUACUCAUUUUAAUGUCGUUUAUCGGUGUAUAAAUAUAGAGGCCGAUGGCCAUGUAAAGGGGAUCUUCCUCUGGAGAGAAAAAUAAUAUAGCAAUUUUCGUAUCAAUUUAUAAGUUUUCAUAUAUUCAUUUUUGUCCCCCAAGAAUAAACUUUCCCACCUAACAAAAAUACUUGAGUGUGUGAAUCCGACAUCCACAUUUUGGCGCCGUCUGUGGGGAUAUUUGGAUUCUUGGGUGGUUAGAUUUCUUCUUUUCUACAUUUCCGAGAUAAACAACAAUGUCCGGAGGAGACGCCGUUGAGACAUCAUUGGCCGAAACCCUCAAAGCUAUGCAGCAAACCAUGUCGGACAUAUCACAAAAGUUCUCGGAUGUGGAGAGGGCCGUCGAUACAUUGCAAACAUCCCAGGUAUCUCUUAGUCAAAACGUCAAUAAUAUACAAACUCGUGUUCGCUCUUUAAGUGCAGGAAACCCGGUGGGAACCCGAAGAGGGAUAUUCAACUCGCCAAGUUCCGCUGCACGAAAUGAAACCAGCGGGCAAACAACUCCCGGUGCUACUAAUAAUGUAGCUCAGACGUCGGAAGAAGAGACGCAGCUCGAGGAUGAAGAACAACUUGCAGCUCAGUACGAGCAGGAGAACCUCAACCAGUUCGAGACCAUGAGGAAGGUUAGCCAGGAAUUAAAGGAAAUGAAAUCAAAAUUUCAUCAGGCUACAAGUUCGGAGCCAGACAUCAAUCGAGUCAUUGAAGAAGCUAGGCGAACCCCUUUUAUCCCGCGAAUUGCAAGUUUGAGGAUCAAAGAUUCCCGGAAGCUCAAGUUGGACCCUUACAGCGGAUUGGAGGAUCCAAAAAGCUAUCUUGCAGCCUUUCUGAUCGCUGCAGGAAGAGUCGAGUUGGAUGAAGCUGAUGAGGACGCAGGCUAUUGCAAGCUGUUUUCGGAAAAUCUAUGUGGCCAAGCUCUAAUGUGGUUCACCCAAUUAGAGCCGAGUUCGAUCAGCAAUUUCGACGAACUAUCAGCCGUAUUCUUAAAGCAAUACUCUAUCCUUAUGGAUAAAAGCAUCUCGGAUGCCGAUCUUUGGAACUUAACGCAAGGAUCUAAUGAGUCACUUCGAGUUUUCAUCACCAAAUUCAAAGGAGUGCUGUCAAAACUCCCAAGAAUCUCCCAGCAAUCGGCUUUAUCCGCCCUACGAAAAGGAUUGCGACAUGAUUCAAGGUUUAAAGAAGACUUAAUACUUCAUAAACCAGACACAAUUCAGGAUGCACUCUUCCGCGCAAACAAUUGGAUGGAGGUAGAAGACAAAAAAGAAAGUUUUGCCAAACGGAAUAAACAAGAAAAGACGGCAAUCACCGUCCCUACCAAGAAGUUCGAGCCUAAAGAGAGCAAAGGACCAAGGAAGUUUGGGUCGCAACCCUUCAACAAUUCCGUCGGGAAGCAAUUCCAAGGGAAAGGAAGAUCAAACACUUGGGUCCGUGAUGAAAGUCUAUAUUGCGACAUUCAUAAAGUAACCGGACAUUUAACCAAGGAUUGCAGCGUUCUUAAAAAGCACCUCGCAGAGCUUUGGGCUAGUGGCGAUCUUUCUAAAUUCGAUAUAAAAGACUUUGUGAAGGAAUACCAUGAAGCAAAGGAAAACUCCAAAGAUCAAGAUUCCAAAAGACCAAGGUUAUCCAACGAGGAAGAACCAAGGAGUUCGAAGGGGAAGAUCAAUGUGAUUCUAGGAGGUUCCAGAUUUUGCGGAGAUUCAAUAAGUUCCAUCAAAAAACAUAGACGAAAUGUCUUACUCAAAGCAAGUUUGAGCGAAGAAGUUGAUUUUCAAGGUGCUUCAAUAUCAUUUAACGAAGAAGAAACGCGGCAUCUCGAAAGACCGCAUGACGAUGCUCUAGUCAUUACUCUUGAUGUCGCAAACUUCGAAGUAUCAAGGAUCCUUAUAGAUACAGGCAGUUCGGUCGACUUGAUCUUUUUAAGUACUCUAGAAAAAAUAGGAAUCAGCCGAGGAGACAUAGUAGGACCUCCGACUCCAUUAGUUGCAUUCACUAGCGAAUCAGCCAUGUCUCUCGGGACAAUCAAGCUACCGGUCCUUGCCAAAAAAGUAUCGAAAAUUGUGGACAUCGUCGUCUUCGAUAAGCCCGCAGCUUACAACAUCAUCCUUGGGACUCCUUGGAUUUAUCGAAUGAAAGCAGUUCCCUCUACAUACCAUCAAUGUAUCAAAUUUCCAACAUCAAAUGGGGUGGAAACAAUUCGGGGAGACCAAGAAGCUUCGCGAACAUGCUACUUAGCUAGCCACCGUAUGAAGAUUCAAUAGCAAUUAACGAAGCCCGCGAAAGAAGGGCAAAAAACAAAGUUUCCUAGUGGGCAGAAGAAAGAGGAUGUAGUAGUCGAAGUGGAACUGGAAGAAGACAAGCCGGACCGGAAAAUUAGAAUUGGAGCAACUUUGACUGGCCAAAUAAAGGAAGCCUUGAUCGAACUCUUAAGGAAAAACAAAGCAUCAUUUGCAUGGUCAGCAGCGGACAUGCCGGGCAUAAAUCCGAGUAUAAUCUGUCAUAAACUGAACGUAGAUCCAAGCUUCAAACCGGUGAAACAAAAAAGAAGAAAGCUUGGAGUGGAGCGGGCAAAAAUAGUAAACGACGAAGUGGAUAAACUUUUGAAGAUAGGGUCCAUAAGAGAAGUGCAAUAUCCGGAGUGGGUAGCAAACACUGUCGUUGUCAAGAAAAAGAAUGGGAAAGAUAGGGUCUGCAUCGACUUUACAGACCUAAAUAAAGCAUGUCCCAAAGAUAGUUUCCCGCUCCCGCAUAUAGAUCGACUUGUAGAAUCCACCGCUGGAAAUGAGCUGUUAACAUUCAUGGACGCCUUCUCGGGUUAUAAUCAGAUAAUGAUGGACCCCGACGAUCAAGAAAAGACGUCAUUUAUCACAGAUAGAGGUAUCUACUGUUACAAGGUAAUGCCUUUUGGUUUGAAAAAUGCAGGAGCGACUUACCAACGGUUGGUGAACAAAAUGUUUCACAAUCACCUCGGGAAGACUAUGGAAGUCUACAUAGAUGAUAUGUUGGUUAAAUCGUUGAAGAAAGAAGAUCAUGUUAAACAUUUGGAAGAAUGUUUUGAUAUUCUCAAUAAAUAUCAAAUGAAGCUGAACCCGGCGAAGUGCACAUUUGGAGUCCCAUCCGGAGAAUUCCUUGGCUAUAUCGUGACAGAAAGAGGGAUUGAAGCCAAUCCAAAUCAAAUUAACGCCUUUCUAAACAUGCCAUCUCCGAGAAACUUCAAAGAAGUACAACGUUUGACUGGGCGGAUUGCGGCCUUGAAUCGUUUUAUCUCGAGGUCAACAGAUAAGUCGUUGCCUUUCUACCAAAUUCUAAAAGGGAACAAAGGAUUUCUUUGGGAUGAGAAGUGUGAAGAAGCUUUUGGGCAGCUUAAGGCAUACUUGACCACUCCACCUAUACUGUCCAAACCGGAAGUGGAUGAAAAACUCUACUUGUACGUUUCAGUUUCAAACCACGCGGUUAGUGGAGUCUUGGUUCGGGAAGACCGUGGGGAGCAGAAACCAAUUUACUACGUGAGCAAGUCAAUGACGGAUCCGGAAACCAGAUACACAAUGAUGGAAAAACUUGCACUCGCAGUAGUAACUUUGGCCCGGAAGCUGCGUCCAUAUUUUCAAUCCCAUCCGGUUGAAGUAUUAACUAACCAACCACUCAGAACAAUACUUCAUAGUCCAAGUCAAUCCGGACGUUUGGCGAAAUGGGCGGUGGAAUUAAGCGAGUACGACAUAGAGUUCAAAAGCCGGAGCAGUAUGAAGGCUCAGGUCUUAGCAGAUUUCCUGACCGAACUACCAAUACCUGGAACGAUGGAUCAACCGGAGAAUCAAACUUGGAAGUUACACGUAGAUGGGUCUUCAACAAAGCAAGGAUCCGGAGUGGGAAUUAGGUUGGAAUCUCCGACUUCAGAAAUUCUAGAACAAUCAUUCCGAUUGUUAUUCAAUGCCUCCAACAACGAGGCAGAAUACGAAGCCCUUAUUGCCGGACUUCGACUAGCACAAGGAGUUGGAGCUAAGGAAAUAUUGGCUUAUUGCGAUUCGCAAUUGGUAGUUAACCAAUUUAAUGGAGACUAUGAAGCCAAAGAUUCAAGAAUGGAAGCAUACCUCGAAGUGGCGAAGGAUCUAUCUAAAAAUUUCUCGAAAUUUGAAUUAAUCCGUAUACCUCGGGGAGAGAAUACAACUGCAGAUGCACUUGCCGCAUUGGCAUCAACAUCAGACCCUGAGUUGAAGAGAGUUAUUCCAGUAGAAUGUAUCUCGGAGCGAAGCAUUCAGGACAGCAAAGAAACCCUCGUUGUUACAAGGUCUCGAGCAGCGGCGCGCGACCGUGGCGAACUAGAGACCGAACCGCCACCCAACAAACGAAGAAAGUCAAAGGGGUCAAACAUAUCUAACAAGGAACCCGUUGUCUUAGCUGAGGAUGUGAUUCCAGAAACAAUAUUGGAAACCGAACCAUUAAUCGAGGAGGAUAUUCUUGAACCAAAUGAACAUCCCGAACCAGAGCCAAGAAUAUUUCACAAAGUUGACCAAAUUCCGGCUAAAGACUGGGGGGCUGACUGGAGGGAGCCAAUAAAGCAUUACAUCACUACAGGCGAGCUCCCAAAGAAUAAAUGGCAGGCCAGGAAAAUGAAAGUCGUUAGCGCAAAAUUUUGUCUGUCAAGGGAUGCGUUAUAUAGACGAGGUGUCAGUGACCCUUACCUAUUGUGCAUUUUUGGGCCCGAAGUCGAGAUCGUCAUGAGCGAAGUGCAUGAAGGAUUAUGUGGGAGUCAUUCAUCAGGAAGAGCUAUGGCUUUUAAAGUUAAAAGAAUGGGUUAUUUUUGGCCCACUAUGAUCACAGAUUGUGUUAAGUUCGCCCAAAGAUGCAAGCGCUGUCAACUCCAUGCACCAUUGAUUCACCAACCGUCGGAAUUGUUUUCCUCCAUUUCCGCCCCAUACCCGUUUAUGAGGUGGUCAAUGGACAUCAUUGGACCAUUGCACAAAUCAACUCGAGGUGUACAGUACCUUCUAGUCCUUACGGACUACUUUUCAAAAUGGAUUGAAGCUGAGGCGUAUGUUGGUAUCAAGGAUUCGGCCGUGAAGACCUUUAUUUGGAAAAACGUUAUAUGUCGGCAUGGAGUUCCAUACGAAAUAGUUACUGAUAAUGGACCAUAAUUCAUUUCACACGAGUUUGAUGCCUUUUGUGCGGACUGGGGAAUCAAAGUUAGUUAUUCUACUCCACGAUAUCCGCAAGGAAACGGACAAGCUGAAGCCGCGAACAAGACAAUAUUAAGCAAUCUCAAGAAACGCUUAAGUCAUCUAAAGGGAGGAUGGUAUGAAGAACUCCAGCCCGUCCUGUGGGCCUAUCGUACAACCCCUAGGCGACCUACAGGAGAAACUCCAUUCUCUUUGGUUUACGGCAUGGAAGCGGUAGUACCAGCCGAACUCAAUGUGCCCGGACUUCGCCGAACAGAAGCACCGUUAAAUGAGGAAGAAAAUUCAGCAAUGCUUAAAGAUUCACUAGAUACCAUAAAUGAGAGGCGUGAUCAAGCUCUAAUUCGGAUCCAGAAUUACCAACAAGCAGCAGCCCGAUAUUACAAUUCUAAAGUUAAAAGUAGGCCGUUCUUUGUGGGAGAUUAUGUAUUAAGGCGCGUCUUUGACAACAAAAAAGAAGAAGGUGCCGGUAAACUCGGUAUUAAUUGGGAAGGACCUUACAUUAUUACCGAGGUGGUUCGAAACGGCGUUUAUAGGUUAAAAGACCUAGAAGACAAUCCAGUCAAGCGACCUUGGAAUGUGAUCAACUUAAAGAAGUUUUAUGUUUAAAAGCUACAUGCAUUGUUUAUGUACAUGAACUACGAUUUGGCUUGAUCCCGAAAUGGGUACGUAGGCAGCUCAAAAACGAGUUCAGCUAUUAAUAAAAUGGUUGUUUUAUUUCUUUAUUAAUAAAAGGUUCGGCUAUGCGAACAUACAAGAGAUUGGAAAUAAAGCGUUUAUUCAAAAAAAGAAGAAACGAAGUGUCCCUCAUCGUACACUUCGAACUACGAAAUCCUCGUUGACGAGCAGAACACUUCAACUCCUUGACCAGCAAGAUCGAGGAUCGGCAUCAUGCAGUCCGGAAUUCGAGCAAAGUCAGAAAUCCCAAGCUCAAUCCACUCUCCGGGGUGAGAUUCAAGGAUGUGAAGACUUCUUGACACUGUAGUAAGCCUGCGUUGCAUCCGGUUAAUCCUCUUCCGAAGUCUCCUCUUUUCUGACGUAAGCUUCCAGUGUUGAAGCUCGAGCGCCUCUAUGAACGCCAUCGCCGUUCCUUGAUCUCUGGUUGGGAGAUCCCUGAUCAAUUCACAGGGGGCUCGGAUCUGAGAUCUCAAGAAGCCGCGAAGUGGAGGAGGAUACCUGUUUGGCUCAUUUGGAACAUCUUCAUUCAUUAUUCCGAUUCUGGAGAAGUCGGGCAUAGACUCCGAACAGCGAAGAUUGAACUCCAUACCUGCUAAAAUGAAAAGAAGGGUGAGAAGUAAAGGGGAAUUGAACCUGUAAUUUAUGGGAACCCCAUAUCCUUAGCAAGCUGCGGAUUCUAUCCAAGGGAUGGAGUGAUUCGCGGAGAGAUUCAUGCCCUCAAACAGAUCCUGCAUUAAAAGGUGCAUCUCCGAGAAUAUUUUAAAAGAGAGGAAAGUUGCAAAUAUUUCCAUAAAUAAAAAGGGCCGAAGCCCAUCACGAGUUUUUUUUUUUUUUUUUAAAAAAAAAAAGAAGAAAGUGAAGAAAUUAAAAAACAUUUAUGGGAGAGGCUCAGGAACAGGCUCCUUCAUCGCCGAUUUAGUUCCCGAAGUGGACGCCUUGUUCGUGACAUCCACUUCGGAACGAUCCCGAACGCGUUUCCGGCAGUUGUUGGCCUCCUCCUCCAAGUCCUCUUCCUCUUCACUGUCGGACGAAACGGCGCAGACAGGGGCGUUCACGGGACCCGGGACUCCUCUAGCGCGGAGAUACAUCCGAAGCAUCUUCGGGAUCUCAGCAACGGAGUCAAAGUUCCGCCACUCCCAUUGAAAGGGAUCACUCUCCAGGGCCCGUAUCUUCCUUUCCACCCGGGCGAUGCGAGCCUCGAGCGUCUGCCUUUUGAGUCCCAGCCGCUGCCUCUCUUCACACAAGCGACGGUGCUUGUCGGCGAUCUAGCAUAAAAAUGGGUGAAUAAGGCAAAACAAAAAGUUUUUAAGUCAAAAAACUUUAAAUAUUUACCUUGUCGAUGAAGUCGCAAGCCUCUUUCUUCUCCUUUGAAGGGAAGUGAAAGACGGCGUGAGGAAAGAGAACGCCAGCCGGUUCAAAUCCGUCGCCGGACAAGAAAAGUGGGCUGCCGGGAGCGAUGGGAGCUACUUCUUCGUUUUCCAUUCUUAAAAUAUUUCUCAAGUGAGAUUCUAUAGUCAUGUUUAAUAAAGCCUAGAGGUAGGUAAGCCUUUAUUUAUAAUGAUUUAGGGUUUGUCUUGGAACCAUAAAUCCAUUAAUGGUAGCGUUUCCGAGUGGGUUAAGCCACUUUUGGAAAAUCGAGAAAAGGCAAUUAUUACAUUAAAAGACGAGCCGUUCUCUUUAAGAAGGGAAAGAGCAACCGUCACAUUAAUUGCAAAAAGUUUCUAAGGCCCAAGCCUGACAAGUUUACCGAGUUGACUAAACCCGAAGCGGGGAACUCGUUUUAAGCCGAGCUCAGCUCUCGCAUUCUAAAGAGAAAGGUCUGAUCAGCCUAAAAAUCUCGAAAGCAUUGCCACAAGGCCACAAAAGGUUAAAAGCGGACUUUGCAAACCCGCAUAUAAUUUUAACCAGACCCCCUUGGGCCACAGCCUAAGAAAGGUUUAAAAGCCUCCUCAGGCAAAUAUUUUGUUCAAAAGAAAAUAAUAAAGCCUCCUUAGGCAAAGACAAGUUUGAAAUUAAGUCUUAAAAAUAAAGGGACAGUCCCCAAUUUAAAGUGGACACAGCCACUACGGAGCAGCAGCCACCUCGGAAUCCGGCUCAACAGUCGAAGCUUCAUUCGCGUCCUUGGCAGCUGCUUGAUCAGAUGAAGCUCCUUGACCACCCUCCGCGGUACAACCAACCUCCGGAGUGACCUCUGGUACCAUUGGAGCUGCGGGCGGGACAACGUUUUCCGUCUCACUUGAACCUAGAAAUAAUGAUUCCAGUCAAUCAAAGGUACAAGGUAAGAAAAAGGUAAGCCACAGGAACCAAGCGUUACCUGCCCAGUCUAAACCCGAUUCACUGAUAGGAGGUGAUUCAGUAAAGAAAGCCUCGAAGUCAAGCGGGUUGAAGAUCGAAGUGGGAAGAGCUGCUAAGCGACUCCGUUUCUCAGAAAGGUUAGUCGACAGCUCGGUCCUUUCUUGCUCCUCGGAGAAAUCAGCUUCAUGGAUUUGGUCCAGCAGAAUCAAGUUGCUUUCGUGCUCCUUGAUGUCUGACUCCAAGUCCGACCUAGCUUUCUCGGUUUGCAUGAAGCGAAUGGCCCCUUGGAUCAAUUCCAUCCCGCGUCCCUUAACCUCCUUUCUGGCCUUCGAUGCCGACCUUGCCAACUCAGAAUCACGCAAUUUGGCUAGCGCCUUGUACUUCGCGUCGAGCUCGAUAAGUUGGUUGUUCAGGGUGUCGGCGGCUGAUUCGGAUUCGUGAAGUCUACCCUGAACACCAGACAGUUCGUCCUGGAGUUUGUAAUUCCGGUCAUAGUAGUCUUGCAGUUCCCCCUUUACCUGCGCCAACUCCGACGUUAACCUAUCGACCUUAUCCUCCAAAUCGUGCUUAGAGCCAGCAGAAGAGUUGAGGUCAGCCUCAAGCGCUGAGAAUUUCUUCUUCCACAUGUCGAUCUCCUUCUCCCGUCCAAUGACCAACCCUUCGUAAUGUUCGAUCAUGUCGUUAAAUUCGCUUUGAGCCUGGCGUUAUACAUGAACCCGGGAUGACGAGUCAGUUCGCAGAAUGGCAAUACAAUAAAAAAUAUACGCAAAAGAAAGCGGAACAAACCCGAGAAGAGUGAUGCGCGUGAAGCAAAUAACGUUCACGAAUCGCAGGGCGCCAUUUGUCAAAAUCUGGCAAGAUCGAACCCGAUCGGGUCUUGAAGCAUCGGAAGACGCUGCCUUCUUUCUCCAUAGCUGCGAAGAAGGAAGGGUUGUAAAAAUUGGAAUUUUAAUAAAGACAAAAAAUUUAAGUGUGUGUAAGUCACCGAACCUGAAAGCGAUUUGACUUGAGGUACAAGAGCAGGCUUCAGCCUCGAGGGAGCAUCUCGAGAUUCAGAAUCUCCCUUUUUCGGAGACGCACUCCGAGCAGUCUUUCCACUAUCAGGCUGGGAGGAGGAAGACAUAUCAACCGGACGUGGAGGACCCAUUGGUUCAGGAGGAGGAGAUGAUCGAGGUGAGCGGUCAGUCCGGGCCCUCGACUUUUCCCUCUGCGGAGAAGAAUCGCUGCGAGAAGACUUGUCUCUCUUCCGGCGAACCAAGUUCUUAAUCGGCUCGUUACUAAAAUCAUCUCGGGGAGGACGAGGUGAAUCACGGCGAGGAGAUUGAACCCUCCGAGGAGAACGCGAGUCGCGACGAUCGCGACGAGGAGUUAAUCUGAAGGAAGCGACAGAUCGAGCUCCCUCGGUGCUGCCGUCAUCAACUAGCAAGGUUCUACUGUAGUCCUUCUUGUCUAUGGAAGUCGCGAGGAACUUCUUCUUCUCCUCGCAAGCCUCAGCCAUCGGCUUGGAAAGCAACUUACGCUUGGCCGCAAGGGCCCGAGAUGACAUUCCUUGAGUUGAGGGAGGGGGAGGAAUUUGGUGAAGAUGACCAGGCGGACUCAUCCUGAGUCUGUGGUUAGCUUCCAGGAAUCGUUCAAGAGUGAAGGAAUUCCAAAGGGUUUCCCCUUCAAGAAUUAUUUUGAAGAAUUCGAUGAACUCUUCAGAUGGGAGGUUGGAAGCGAUGAAAGCUGCGAAAUGAAACAACGGUGUUAGUCAAUAAAGAUAAAGAAACAACCGGGAAAGAUACGGGCAACCUAAUCACUACCGGGUUUCGCAGACCACUUCGAAGGGAGAAAAUCAGCGAGAUUUCCAAUCGAAGCGGGGGUUUUCUUAAUUAGAAACCAAGGAUGAUGCCAAUUUUCAUCCUUGUUCGGAAGAUGUGAAAUGAUGUUCCUGUUGGCAUUAGGAUAUGCUGAGAAAUAUCCCGUUUUCUUCGAUGAACUUCUCACGCUCAGAAGCUCAUUCAGUUCAGCAACUCCGAUAACAUAACCGGCCUCCGCCGCGAUUAUUAUAAUUCCAAGAAUUGUACGGAGAAGAUUGGGGGUUAAUUGAGGAAGAGCGAUUUCAAGAGCCGCUAGGUAUAAAAUUAGGGCUUCGGGAAGAGGAAAGGUAAGCCCGCAACCCUUGAAAUAAAUCUCAUACACACAGAAGUAACCAUCGCGAUGGUUCUCCGGAGAUUCUGUGGGAGAAGCUAUUUGUGCUUCCGCCAUAAUUUCCGGCGGAAUCCGGCAAAGCUCUCUCAAUCGCUCGAGGGAUUGAAGAGUACAAGUGGACCUGUAGUGCGGACCGGCAAUGUCACCAGGGCGGGUGCACUCGUCGUUACUAGAACGCCUCUCGUCAAAAGACGGAGACUCGGGUCUAUCGGAAUCAGAAGUCAUUGGGAAGAAAGAAAAAUUCAAGAUCCGGCGAAGAAGGAUUUUGGUGAAGGAACGAAGAGAGAGGUUUUGAUUAAAGUACAAAAGUAAAAGAAGAGAGUAAUGGUGAAAAGAAGUUACCUCAAGCUAAUGAUGAAACCGCCUCGGAAGUCGUGUGGGAAGUGGGAAGGUUUUUCCCGUUUUAAUAGUAAUUAAUCAAUAUACGGUCAUAAUGAUGACAGAUGUCACUCGGUUAAAAAUGGAUAGUGCCAAAAUUAAAGGAGUGAUGAGAUUUUCGGCGGGAAAUCAGAAAGAUUCUCGAGCGCAAUCUUUGGCCACUUGAGCAUUUAAAGUCCUCCGAACUGGAAUAGCACUUCGAAGAACUUGGGGGGCUAAUUGUUGGUGUCGGAUCCCGCACCAGAAGUACGAGACCAACCAAAGAUUGCCACGUGAUCAAGAUAAUGGCCCAUAAAGGAUGAAGCCCAUUGGACCCGUGAGCCGAAGGGACGGUCGAAGUGGUUGUCACCAUUUCGAGAAUCCGAAGUGACUACACUGUGACACGAAUUCGGUGUAGAAGACACGGGUAAGUCGGUUCACGAACACUUGGGCCGAAAGAGGCGAGGCCCAUGAAGAUCAGAGUCAACUCAAAUUCAAACGUUGAGCAUUAAAGCCGAAGAAUCAAAACGGACACAUUUAAGAAGAAAUAAUUGUGCUUAAUUACUCAUUUUAAUGUCGUUUAUCGGUGUAUAAAUAUAGAGGCCGAUGGCCAUGUAAAGGGGAUCUUCCUCUGGAGAGAAAAAUAAUAUAGCAAUUUUCGUAUCAAUUUAUAAGUUUUCAUAUAUUCAUUUUUGUCCCCCAAGAAUAAACUUUCCCACCUAACAAAAAUACUUGAGUGUGUGAAUCCGACAUCCACAGUGGGCGUUAGUUUUGUCUAUCAACUGUUUGUCAAAAUGCAUGACAGAAAACUUUAAUUUGUUAUGUUUCUAAUAUAGAACACUUAGUUGACGAACUAAAUUAGAUCUAUUUGUUUUUGUAACCAGCUUUUUUUAUUUUUUCUGAUGCUUUUUGUUUUUUGUGGCCAAAAUUUUGCAGAGAGGAUUUAGAGGGUGACAUUGAAAUCAACAAAAAGUCUCAGCAUUCAAAUAUAAAACAAGAGGAAGUCUUAGCUUUAAAGUAGAUUGUUUGUGGCGAUAUUCUGUUAUAACACCAAAAUUUGAUUCCUUUGAACUCUUUUCUUUCCAGGUUUUCCAAUAAUGUUUUAUGUGUGUAUACUACAAAAAAUGCAGGGUUCUCAUUAAUAAAUCAUUUUUGCAUAUUGUAGCAAAUUCUAGAGUUAAAAGGCAUGCCUAAUUCUCCAAAGUUUGUUUUUAUGAAUCAAUCUUAACAGUUUUUAUUCCAUUUCUCCCAUGGACUUAGAUCUUUAGUAAGAAUGUUAUUCGGAUGUAUUCAUCUUUCAUACCUAAUUCUUAUUGUAAAAUUGUUUACCUUACGAUUACAAAAUUUAACAUUAAAAGUUUUUAAUAUUUACUAAUGAAGGCUUUGAUUUCAACCUUCACAAACAAGAGCAUCAAGAUUAUGAUUGUUUUCGAAAAAUUAUUCAAAACAUUAUUGUGCUAUCGUUGUUUGACCCGUACGAACUUAACACUAGUAGUUCAGAUAAAUGUUUGGAGGCACGAAGGUGAUAAGAAAUCGUGCCAUUUUCAUAUUGGAAAACCGAACAUCAAGCCACUUUUUGCCGGCCGGUCCAAAUUUGAAAUUUCCAGUUCUGACGGAGUGGUGAGUGAGCCGUAGCCGCCGACGAGACGAGACGAUUAGAUGACUCUGCAAAGCUUCUUAAAAACCCUAAAGACAGCUAAACAGACUUAUCCAUUCUCAAUCUACAAGCUCCUCCUUAAUUCUUCCUCUAUAAACCAAACUCUUGAUUCAUCGGAAAACCCACUCUCCGAUCUCAAUCUCUCCACCUUUCGCCGUAUUUUAUCCGACCCAGAUAUCAAAUCAUGGAAAUGCAUCUCCCUCUUCAAUUUCAUCCUCGAAAACCCAUCUCUUUUCUCAUUCCAACCUGAUCUCAGAACUCACUUGUCUCUCACUUCCCGUGUUUUGUCGGAGAGGAGAUUCUCAGAUGCGAAAGAACUCUUGAAACUUGUGGCUAUUGACGACAUUCUCAGGUACCCUUUUAAAGUAAUCGUCUCUAGCUUUGUUGAUGAGUGUGGUUGUGAGACGAGAGUUGUUGCUAGGUUCUUUAAUUCGAUGCUUAUGGUUUAUUCAGACAAUGGAAAGUUUGAUGAAGUUGUUGAGGUUUUUGAGUAUAUGAAGAACAAUGAGGUUAAGAUUGAUGAAAAGGCAUGUACUUUGCAUCUGUUGAAUCUCAAGAAAUGUGAUCAGAUGGAAUUAGCUAGAGAUUUCUUUCGUUUAAUGGUUGAGUCAGGGCUAGAUGUUGUAUCUGUGUACUCUUUGACGGUUGUUGUUACCGCGUUGUGUUGCAAUGGAGAGAUCACGAGAGGAAGAGAAUUGGUGGAGGAGAUGGUUUUGGUUAAAGGGAUCAAGCCUAAUAUUGUUACGUUUAAGUCGAUGAUAGAUUGUUGUGUCAAAAGAUGGGAUUUUGAAGAGUUGGAUUUGAUUUUAAAGUUAAUGGAGAAGGAAAGUGUGACGCUUGAUCUCGAUAGUUACAAGGUUUUGAUUGAUGGGUUUACUAGUUAUGGUAAGCUUGAAGAAGCAGAGAGGUUGGUUUCGACUAUGCAUGAUAAGAAGCUGAGAGUAGAGACUUAUCUGUAUAAUUUGAUCAUGAAUGGGUAUUGUCGGUUCGGACUAGUGGAGAAAGCGUUUGAACUACACAGCGAAAUGAGUUCUCGAGGUGUUACUCCCAAUAAGGAUACGUAUUGGGUGUUGAUGAAUGGACUUUGUAAAGCUGGGAAAGUGUGUGAAGCGAUUAGUUUGUUGAACGAGUUGCGAGUAAAUGAGUUUGAGAUUGAUAAAGAAAUGUAUAUUGCAUUGACUGAAGGGUGUUACAGAGUAGGAAUGAUAGAUAAAUCUUUAGAAGUGGUGGCUGAGAUGAUUAGGGAAGGGUUCAUUCCCGACGCUACGAUAUGUGAAAGAUUAGCUGAUGCAUUGUUUGAAGUAAACCGGAAAGAGGCACAAAUGAUGGUUACUUUGUGGUUAAGAGUGGCGUCAAACCAAAAUCUUGUUCUGAAUUUGGUCCGAAAUGAAGAUGACACACAUGUGCCCUACCAAGUCUCCAACUACAAAAACUUGGUGUCGAAGAUAUGGUAAUCUAGCUCAACUAAUACUCAAAUAUGCAAAUGAAGUAUAGUGAUGUGCACAAAGUUGGUUCUAUACCUCCAAAAGAUGCAUAUGUAAUAUACAUUCUUUGAAAGAUUAGUGGUUCCAGAUGAAGAUGAAAGCGAAUGGUGAUGAUCAAAAACAAGGUGGAGAAGGAUUGAUGAGGACAAUGAACAUGAAUUUGAUUAGGUCCAUGUUGCUGAAUCUUCCAUGACAACCGAAAUAAGAUCGAGAUUUCUUGAAGAUUGAAGGUAAAUCAAAAUUUUUGAAUCUCAUAACCUUUUUUCCUUUUUAAUUCUAGAACUAGAGAACCCAAUAUUAGCCUAUUCUAUUUACUUUUUGUUCGAAUUUGUUCAAACUUUUCAAGUUUGGAAUUUAAAAUGGGUCAAAAUUAUUAACAUAUUUUUUUCUAAACUUGUGGGAUCCGAACCAAAUAAAAUUUAUCAACCUAAAUUCAUAUUCGGCUCGGUAUAAAAUUUUCUAUAGCGCUCUUACUAUUACAAAAUUAGUUUGGUUUCACGUUGAUGAAUUUUUGUAACUCAACCGAAUUAAUCUUGAUUAAUUGUUAUUUUCAAUUAUUAUAUAAAAUUAAGAAAAAAAUAUCAUAUUUAUCAUAAAAUAAUCAUUUUUAUCCAAAAUUGUAUCAAAAUUAAACUCGACCCAAAAGAAAUUUUGGAUAUAGUUUGGAUAAUAAUAAAUAUUAAAAUCGAUUGUCCGAGCUUGUAAAUUGAAAUUGUUUACAUAAAAAAACUAUAAUCGUAACGAAACCGUUUUAUUAUAUCUCAACUAGAUUUAAAAUAACAAUUUUAUAUAAUUUUUUACAAGGAAACUAAAAAAUUCAAUUUGGAAAAAAAUUAUAAAAUAGAGUUUAGGAAAUAAGAAUGUUAAACCAAAUUUUAUUUAUUUAUUUAAAUUUUAGUAUAAUGGUUUGUUUGAUUUUAAAUUGAUUUUAUUGAUAUUAGGUGUUAUUUUACCUUUUACUAAAAGGCCAGGGUUUAAAAAUUCAUAAAAAAAAGUGAGGUUUUUUUUACCCAUUUUUCCCUCUAUUUCCUUAAAACAUUCACACAUAUCUUUUUUUAGUGGUUCACAUUUAAUUUUUAUAAAUCAUAACAUAAAACUAUCUAUAUAUCAAUUAAAUAGUUUAUAUGUUGUUAUUUCUAUUUCUUUAUAUUUUUUAGAAAUUAUAAUAUAAUUAUUUUUAUUAAUAUUAGUUUUAAUUGAUAUUCAUUGGGAUUGAUACAAAAUAAUAAACUAAUAUUUUUUAGUUAAUACAAUAAUAUAAUAUUUUUGUUUAAAAUGAAAUUUUAAAAAUUCAAAAUUAUGUUAUGACCAUUUUUAUAUUUUUAGUCAACAUUUUGAUAAAAUUAUAAUAGUUUUGAUAUAUUUUUAGUCAACAUUUUGAUAAAAUCUUGUAUAGUUAUUAUUAUUUUCCCUUAUAUAUAGAUUUCAUAUCUUCAUUAUUUUCCUUAAUAACAUUUCUUAUAUUAUCUUAAUUGUGAUAUUUAAGAAAACAUAGCUCUUUGAUUGUAUUAUUCAUUAUAGAUUGCAUUGCGUCUGAAAAACCAAAAAUAUUAUUUGAUAUCAAUGUCUCUUGCAACCACAAUGAUCGCUAUCUUUCUUCAAAUCAUUACAUAUUUUCUCUUUACCACCACAGCCUCAUCACCUCACGGCUUCACUAUUGACUUGAUCCACCGUCGUUCUAAUGCAUCUUCUUCUCGAGUCUCUAAUACUCAGGCCGGAUCACCUUAUGCUGAUACAGUCUUUGAUACGUAUGAGUACCUGAUGAAACUACAAAUCGGUACUCCUCCUUUCGAGGUCGAAGCGGUCUUAGACACAGGAAGCGAGCUCAUAUGGACACAAUGUUUGCCUUGUCUUCACUGCUACGACCAAAAGGCUCCCAUAUUCGACCCUUCGAAAUCCUCAACCUUCAAAGAGACAAGAUGCAACACACCUGACCACUCUUGUCCUUACAAGCUUGUCUACGACGACAAAAGCUACACCCAGGGAACCUUAGCGACCGAGACAGUCACAAUCCAUUCCACUUCAGGAGUUCCCUUUGUGAUGCCUGAAACAAUUAUUGGUUGUAGCCGCAACAACUCAGGGUCAGGGUUUAGACCGAGUUCUUCGGGCAUUGUUGGUCUAAGCAGGGGUUCUUUAUCCCUCAUCAGUCAGAUGGGCGGGGCAUACCCAGGUUUUAUCUCUUACUGUUUUGCUGGUAAGGGAACUAGUAAGAUCAAUUUUGGAGCGAAUGCUAUUGUGGCAGGAGAUGGGGUUGUAUCAACUACUAUGUUUGCCAAGACCGCGAAACGAGGUCAAUAUUACCUAAACCUAGAUGCGGUCAGCGUUGGGGACACCCGCAUUGAGACAGUGGGAACACCCUUUCAUGCCUUAAAUGGGAACAUAGUGAUAGACUCUGGAACCCCUCUCACAUACUUUCCUGUGAGCUACUGCAACCUAGUAAGAAAGGCAGUGGAACGUGUUGUGACAGCGGAUCGAGUAGUUGACCCGAGCCGCAAUGACAUGCUUUGCUACUAUUCAAACACCAUAGAGAUCUUUCCGGUGAUCACAGUGCAUUUUUCUGGCGGUGCGGAUCUUGUCUUGGAUAAGUACAAUAUGUAUAUGGAACUGAAUAGAGGAGGAGUUUUCUGUCUGGCUAUUAUAUGUAAUAAUCCAACACAAGUAGCUAUCUUUGGGAACAGAGCACAGAACAAUUUCUUGGUGGGUUAUGAUUCUUCUUCACUGCUGGUUUCUUUCAAGCCCACCGAUUGUUCUGCAUUGUGGAAUUGAAGAAACAAACCAAGAGAGUCUCUUUUCGAUCUUUAUUAUUAUUUUCAACUUCAGUUUGUUUGGUUUUUUUUUCCGGUUAACUUCAGUUUGUUAUUUAUAUUUUUCCUAACAAUAAAAGCAUAGAACAUGGAUAUGUUUUAAUGAAAAAUAUGCAAAGUUACUUAUAGGCGCUUGUGUUUAAAUUUAUAUUUCUAGGCAUGGAUUGGAUGUUUUGCUUAAAGAUUAGCACCUUCCAGUACAUGUUUCUAGGAAGUGUGAAGUUUGAAUGUGCAAGAGAUUCAAACUUGUCUAGCCUUCUUAAGAAUUAUUUUUAUGUUUCCAAUCUUUGCAAGUUGAUUAAAACAUAUAUUAGCAGAUAAAAAAUGUUUGGUCGCAUACAUUAGAGUCAAUAGCAUAAAUAAUUUCUUGGCUCCGAACUGGUGAAAACUGAAACGGGUAAAAGUCUCAUGUAUAAAUUUUACAUAUUAUAGAAUAAUUAAAAUUUUGAUUGUUAACGUGACCAAAUGUUUAGUUAGUAUAGCUUUGAUUAUUUGGUUGACUUUGUCUCUAUCACUCUUGGGAAAAAAAAGAUCAAACUGUUGUUUGAGAAUGGAAAAUACUCUUUGGGUAUCUUACCAAUGAAUAUAUUAAGUAGUGAAAUUCUUCACUUAAAUUAAAUUAAAUAUAUUAAUAUUAUAUAUUAUAUUGGUGAGAUAGCCACAGGUAUCUCAUAAAUGGAGAUGAUUUUAUGGCAAGAAAAUUAGGUUAUCCAAAAACCAUAUCUAUCUAAAAAAGUUUAUUUUGCAUUUUGGGUUCAUUAACAAUAACUUUAAACUAAAAAUUCCAAGAUAUUCUACAUUUUUGUAGGUGAUCAUCGAAUUUCCGUUAAUACAAAGUAAAUAAAAGGAACAAUGUAAAACCCGAAAACAAAAGUAAAACUUAGUUGUAACAAAAUGUAAAAUUCCCACAAGUUAGAGUGUUAGACGUAAUGGAAAUAACAAAAUUGGACGAAGUUGACAAAAUUGGAAAAUUAACAAUAACCACAAAAGCUCUAACAUGUAUAAAUAUGUGCAUGAAUGAAGAACAUUUCAUUGUGCCUAAAAAACCAAAAAUAUUAUUCGAUAUCAUAACAUGUUUUCUCUUGCAAACACAAUGAUCGUUCUCUUUCUUCAAAUCAUAACAUGUUUUCUCUUUACCACCACAGCCUCACCACCUCACGGCUUCACCAUGGACUUGAUCCACCGUCGCUCCAAUGCAUCUUCUUCUCGACUCUCUAAUACUCAACUCGGAUCAUCACCUUAUGCGGAUACCGUCUUUGAUAACUCCGUGUAUCUAAUGAAACUACAAGUCGGUACUCCUCCUUUCGAGAUCGAAGCUGUCAUAGACACCGGAAGUGAGAUCACAUGGACACAAUGUUUGCCUUGUGUUCACUGCUACAAACAAAACGCUCCCAUAUUCGACCCUUCGAAAUCCUCGACCUUCAAGGAGAAAAGAUGCCAUGACCACUCUUGUCCUUACGAGGUUGAUUACUUCGACAAAACCUACACCAAGGGAACCUUAGCGACCGACACAGUCACAAUCCAUUCCACUUCAGGGGAACCCUUUGUGAUGGCUGAAACUAUUAUUGGUUGUGGCCGCAACAACUCAUGGUUUAGACCUAGUUUUGAGGGCUUUGUUGGUCUAAAUUGGGGACCUUUAUCGCUCAUCACUCAGAUGGGCGGUGAGUACCCAGGUUUGAUGUCUUACUGUUUUGCUGGUAACGGAACUAGUAAGAUCAAUUUUGGAACAAACGCUAUUGUCGGAGGAGGUGGGGUUGUAUCAACCACUAUGUUUGUCACGACGGCGAGACCAGGUUUCUAUUACCUAAACCUAGACGCGGUCAGCGUUGGGGACACCCGCAUUGAGACACUGGGGACACCGUUUCAUGCCUUAGAAGGGAACAUAGUGAUAGACUCUGGAACCACUCUCACGUACUUUCCUGAGAGCUACUGCAAUCUAGUAAGACAGGCAGUGGAACAUGUUGUGCCAGCGGUUCCAGCAGCAGACCCGACCGGCAAUGACCUGCUUUGCUACUAUUCAAACACCACCGAGAUCUUUCCGGUGAUCACAAUGCAUUUUUCUGGCGGUGCGGAUCUUGUCUUGGAUAAGUACAAUAUGUUUAUGGAAUCAUAUAGCGGAGGACUUUUUUGUCUGGCUAUUAUAUGUAAUAACCCAACACAAGAAGCUAUCUUUGGGAACAGAGCACAGAACAAUUUCUUGGUGGGUUAUGAUUCUUCUUCACUGCUGGUUUCUUUCAAGCCCACCAAUUGUUCUGCAUUGUGGAAUUGAAGAAACAAACCAAGAGAGCCUCUUUUCUUUUCGACCUUUUCUAUUAUUUUUCAACUUCAGUUUGUUAGUUAUUACUCCCAAAGAGUGUCAUUUUAGAGUUUUGCACACAGAUUAAGAAAACAUUAAAUUUUUUGUUUUUUUCUAAACAAAAACAUCAUUAACUAUGUACCUAAACAUAAUCUGCCAAAUAGUAAAACAAUAUGCAGAAUACUAAUAGUCAUAAAACAUAAAAAAUCAUUAAAUUUUGCAUUGAAAACCUAAAACGACACUCUUUGUGAAACAAAAAUAAAACCUUAAAACGACACUCUUUAUGAAACGGAAGGAGUAUAUUUUUCCUAUCAAUAAAAGCAUUGAACAUUCAUGGAUAUGUUUUAAUGAAUAAUAUGCAAAAGUUGCUUACUCGCUUCUGUUGAAAUUUAUAUUUCUAGGCAUGGUGGGUUGCUUAAAGAUUCUAACUAAUGUUGUAUUGGCAAAUAUUACCACCUUCCAAAUGAUAAUUAAGUUUGUAGAAAAACAGAAUAAAACGUAAAAUAUCAUAUCCAAACCUCUUUAGAUCCCUAGCUAGGAGCCACAGAAUUCAAACUUUUUAUUCCUUGUUUUAGCCAUCUUCAUUAUUUUCAUGUUUCUAAUCUUUGCAAUUUGAUUAAAACAUAUCUAAUAGAAUUGCAGCCUUGCACAUUCACUGAGCUUCCAUAGAAUUUUCAUUUGAACAAAAGGUUAGAUGUUGUCGAAACCCUAGGAAUAUCUUUUAACUCUUCGAUGAUCACCUCUUGAUCUUCAAGAUCGAACGGCGGAGAGAUCGUUCUGGUCUUUACACGCUUAGAGUUGGCUAAAAUGUAUGUCAAGAAUUCUUAGCGUUACAAGAAAAACAUCGAUUUCCUACGGCUAAAAACAUCGAUUUCUUACCAAAGAGUAUUUGUAGGAAAUUUACUUCGAAUUUCCUAGUAACAAUUUCGUAAGAAUUUGGUAGGAAAUUUCUUCUACCAAAAUUUUGGUAGGAAAAAUCCUAUGUCUUCUUCUACUCUAUCUCCAUAUCCUCUCCACUCGAAUAUCUCUAGCUGUAAUGACAAGCAUCCGGGAACAAGACUCGGUUGGUUCCAUGAAAAUGGAAGAUCUUCGGGUUUAUAGAUAUAUUGCUGAGAAGCAAUGAUGGGUAUAUAUUGAGCAAAAUUUUAACUAGUAUUUUAGUCCAUCAAAGCUAGGACAAGAAGAGGAGAAAGAUACGUACAUAAUCACCUACCAAAAAUUAUUUUAGUUUUGGAGCAUUUCCAAGUAAAAGUAGGAGUGGUUCCAACCAGUAUGAUCCACAUGGCCAUAUGCUUAAAUUUUUAAGGCGAGAGAAGUUGAUAGAAGUUUAUGGUGGUCCAACGCAUAACCUGGAACGAAACAAACACAACUUAAGUAGGUAGAUGCAACAAUGAACAAGAAAGAGAUAUAAAUUAUAGAGGUACGUACCAUUGCAUCAGACAAAUACAUAUGAAGAGACAAGGCCAAAUAAAAGGAAGUUAGAAAGCUAUCAUCAGGAUACUCAACAUCAAAUGUGCAUCCUCCAUACAGGGCAUAUCCUCAACCGUUGGUCAUUGCAGGAGCAUCUACAACCAAACAGUUAUGAGUAUGAUCUACUACAUCAUCGCUACUAGACCAGUAAUUAAUAUACCACAAGUCACAUAAAGAAGGCACGUUAAUAGUAAACUUUUUCACAUUGUCAUCUUCUUGUCAUCUUCUUUCCGUAUCACAAACAAGAUCUCGUGAACAUGGCAGCUUGACCAGAGGAGCUUGAUUUUUAGGUUAAUCACCAAACAAUCAACAGCUUUUGCAACAAACUUUCCGAUAUCAACAUCAUCAGUAGUAGGGCAUUUUGGACCAAGUGCCAUACAUGUACAAGCUAUCUAUUAUAGUGCCUUGUGGAGAUGCAAUGAGUUGUUAAGAAACAACCAAACACUCAGAGUGUAGUUACUAGUUACCGACAGGCCCGGCCCAAAUGGGGUAUGCAGAGGGGCAGUGGCCCAUGGAACAAUAGACUUUUGUAAAAGUUUAAUAUGAAAAAGGCUUAUAUCUAAAAAUAACAAAUUAUAAAUUGGCAUGAACUUUCUAAUAAAUGGGCACAAAAUUUACAAAAUUAUAUUCCUUUUACAUAUAAAGGCCUAUAUAUUUUAAAUUUUUUUUAAAAAUAAAGCAAAAGUUAUUUACAAAAUAGUCCCGAUUUUAACCAAAAAUUUGAAAAAAUCUUUCAAAACAAAUUAAGUAAAAAAAUCCAAAAUUUAUUUUUUGCCCAAGGAUCCAAAUAUAUGUUGGGCCGGGGCUGGUUACCAUCGUCCAAAUAUUGAGCCAUCGUUUCGACAGAAACAUGGUGGUCGUUACUGCCUCUUUCGUCGGGAUAAGAUCCAAUAUCAUUACGAGCCACUCUUCUGGUAAAAACACUGAUUAUGUCUUCAUAAACGGUCUCUUCAAUUUUGUCAGCCAUCUCCACGCCGUAAAACACAAGGAACAAUUUGUUUUAGGUUUUAUUACAUGUAAAAGUAGCACUAAAUAUUUCAGCUGUGCCUACAAGGAAAAUAUUAAGAACGCUUCUGUCAAAAUAAGAAGAUGAAGUUGUAGAAUAGAUUUCUUAUUAUUCACGUAGAUGGAGGCAAUGCCUUAUAUACACAUACAUAGUUAACCUAAUCGAUCAUAUUUGAGUUAUAUGGGCUUAGGGGCUUUAUCACAGCCCAACACCCUCCCGCAAACUGGAGUGUGGAGAUUACAAACACCCAGUUUGACAAGAAAUUCUUCAAACUCUCGUCGUCCUAAAGCCUUGAUCAUGAUAUCCGCGAGCUACGACGAUGUGGAAACAUGCUUUGUAGCUAUGGUGCCGUUGAUGAUCUCGUCACGAACAAAAUGGACAUCACGACCCACAUGUUUGGUGCGAGCAUGAUAGACGGGAUUGGCAGCGAGACUAAUUGCAGAGAGACUGUCCGAAUACAACAUGAUGGGAGCGUUGACUUGAAUGCCAAGGGCAGGAAGUAAAGCACGGAUCCAUAGAAGUUCACUUACCGUGUCAGCCAUGGCACGAUAUUCUGCUUCAGCGGAGGAGCGAGAGACUACAUCAUGUUUCUUUGUUUUCCAAGAUAAAGGAGAGCCUCCCAAUUGAAUGAACCAACCGGUUAAGGAACGUUUUGUAAGAGAACAUUUGCUAAAGUCAGAAUCACACCAACCCGUAAGAACCAAAGACGUAUUUGAGCGGAGUAGAAUACCUUGCCCUGGAUUCGAUUUAAGGUAGCAAACAACGCGAAGAGCUGCUUCCAAAUGGGCCGGUUUGGGAUCAUUCAUAAAUUGGGAAAGAAUGUGAAUGGAAUAGGAGAGCUCAGGUCUAGUUGUUCCAAGGUAAAUGAGUCUACCAACAAGACGGCGGUACCGAGAUGGAUCAGAAAUAGUAUCACCCGAAGUUAAAGCCAGUUUAUGAUUCUGUUCUAGCGGAUGUGAUACGGGUUUCACGCCAAGCCAACCAGAUUCGGUAAUAAUGUCAAUGGUAUACUUGCGUUGACACAAGUAAAUACCCGCAAGACUUCUAGCAACCUCAAUACCCAAGAAGUAACGAAGAACUCCAAGAUCCUUCAUAUAGAAACAGGAACUCAAAUACUCUUUAAACUCAUUGAUGACAGCAACCGACGAACCCGUAAUGAUCAGAUCGUCUACAUAGACAAGAACAUGAAGUCUGAUUCCUUGUCUUUCCAUAGUAAAUAAAGAGUAAUCAGAGAUAUCCUGGAUAAAACCAUAGUCUUUGAGAGCUGAAGUAAGCUUAGCGAACCAACAACGCGGAGCUUGUUUUAAACCGUACAAAGAUUUCCUCAAGCGACAAACUUUUGUUUUGUCAUUUGUUCGAAAACCCGGAGGAAACUUCAUAUAGACCUCUUCGUCAAGAUCGCCGUGUAAGAACGCAUUAUGGACGUCCAUUUGAUGAACUUCCCAAUCAAGUGAGGUGACUUGCUGAAGAAAGGCGCGGAUAGUAACCAUUUUUGCAACAGGAGCGAAAGUUUCCGAGUAAUCAAUACCUUCAGUUUGAUUGUUACCAAGAACAACUAGUCUUGCUUUGUGACGUUCAAGAGUUCCAUCAGAUUUGCAUUUGAGACGAAAUACCCAUUUACAACCUAGAGCUUUCUUUCCAGGAGGUAAAUCUUCUACUGUCCAAGUGCCAAGAUUUUCAAGAGAAACAAUUUCGUCAGAAACAGCACAUCUCCAAUUCUCAUCAAGAACAGCUUCUUGAUAACUAUGAGGCUCAUUUCCAGAAGUGAUGGCGAGAAGAUAAGCUUGAUAGUUUUCCGAGAAUUGGGAACUAGAGAUAUAGUUAUCCAAGGGAUAUGGAGUAGCAGAUGGGUAUGGCUCAUGAAGAAGAGUAGUGACAUAAUCAGCGAGUUUAACCGGAGGAUUUUUUGGACGUUUCCCUUUGCCAAGAAGCUCAGGCUCAACCGUAGGAAUAAUCGGAGUCGACGAAGGAGAAGAAGAAUCCGCAGCAUUGGAGGAUUUUGACUUGUUAACUUCUGUUGUGUUCUCAACUUGACUGAAAUCAUGAUCAGAAUCGUUGUCGGAAAUGGCAUCAUCAACACUGUCAAUAAGUACCGACGGAGCCGGAGAAGACAAGGAUGGGACCGGAACAAUAGCUAACGGGAGCGACGGUGAUUCUGUAGGGAGAGGAGCCGGAGUAGAUGCAGCGGGCUGCAAAUCAUCAAAAUCAACGGAUGGCGACGAAACAGAGGAAGGCAGAGUCGGAAUGUCAUUUGCAGUGAUAGGAAAAUGAAAUUCAGUUUCUGUGAAAACGACGUCACGCGAAAUAGAGACAACGCCGGUUUCGAUGUUGUAAACUCUCCAUCCUUUCUUUGCAAAAGGAUACCCAAGAAAAAUAGAUUUGUUACUGCGGCUUUCAAAUUUGUCUCCACCAUGUUUUUGGUUAUGUGCAUAACAAAUGCAACCAAAUACUCGGAUAUGAUUCAUGGGAGGAGGACGGUUAUAGAUUAGCUCAAACGGUGUCUUGCCUAGAAGAAGUUGUGUAGGCGUGCGAUUGAUGAGGUAUGCUGCAGUGAGAGCGCAGUAACUCCAAAACUCAACAGGAAGUCUUGCUUGGAAGAGAAGCGCACGGGCGACGUUAAGAAUGUGUCUAUGCUUGCGUCCAACACGACCGUUUUGUUGAGGAAUACCAACGCAGGAUGUUUCAUGUAUAAUCCCGUGUUGAGCAAAGAAGGAAGACAAGCAAAUAAACUCCGAACCGUUAUCACUUCGAAUCGUUUUGAUUUUGGUAGAGAAUUGCCUUUCUACAAGUGAGACGAAGUUCUUAAAGUGCGUAGGAGCUGCUUGUUUGGAGGGUAAGAGAUACACCCAUACAGCCCGUGAGUAAUCGUCGACAAGUGUAAGAAAAUAGCUAGAGCCGCAGAUAGAAGGAGUCCGAUAAGGGCCCCAAAGGUCACAGUGUACCAUUUCAAAAGCAAAACUUGUCUUAUUACUGCUCAAAGGAAAGGGAUCCCUUGUAUGUUUAGCACGAAUACAUAUUUCGCAUGUCUUUGAAUCACAAACUGUUGGGCUGUUGCGCAGCUUCUCUUCAAGCCAUGGAGGGUAGCCGGUUAGUUUGAAACAAUUUUCAGCAAGGUGACCUAAACGACCGCAAUUAGAGCACACUCUGUUAUCGGAAGUGUCUCUGUUUUCAUUGAAGCUUCUGGUCCGUGAUGUGGUUUGAACAACGAAGCUUACACCAUCAUUCCUUUCUUCAUUCAAACGACUCAAUGCCUUUGAUUCUUCGUCUUGAGUCAAGACAUUGUAAGCUUCCUCGAGAGAAGGAAGUGGCACUCGAGAAAGAAGAGCUGACUUAAUUGCUCCAUAAACAUAAUCAUCAAGCCCCAUGAGAAACUGAUGCAAUUUGUCUUCUUCACGCUCUUUGCGCACUUCCUCCAUGGUUUUAGCUUGUUGAUAAUCUGCCAAACUUCUCCAUAAUUGAGAGAGCUUGCCGUAGUAAGUUUCAAUAAGCAAACCUUUUUGACGACAAGUUGCUAGCUCUGUUUUAAGGCGUUGAACACGCUGCCCGUUUUUAACACCAAAACGUUUUUGAAUAUGAGUCCAAAGUUCGUAAGAAUCAUCAAGAUGAGACAUCAAAGUUGAGAUGCUCUCAUCAAGUGUGAGUUUCAUCCACGAGACUACCAAGGCGUUAUUUGCAGUCCAAUCUUCAAAAUCCGGGUUCGUUGCUUCUGGUUGUGGUAUGGAUCCAUCGGCAAACCCAAAUUUCUUUCUAGCUUUCAAUGCUAACCGGAAGUUAGUAGCCCAUUCGUCGUAGUUGGGACCUCGUAGCAAUGGUUUGGAGAUCAAAGUGCCUGGAUUGUCGUUGGAUGUCAGAUCAUAAGGUGAGAUUGUACGUCUGGUUUCAGCCCUAGCUUGUGAAGUGGUGCUAGCAAGAGCUAAUUCCGUACUCAUGACGAACAGAAGAUUUGAUAUAAGUGUUUAGAGAAAGAAUAAGAAACGAUCUCUUGUAGCGGAAGGAGAGAUCACAGAAUCGAUUACAAAACCCUUUAGAAGUUAGGUUUUGUGCUCUGAUACCAUGUCAAAAUAAGAAGAUGAAGUUGUAGAAUAGAUUUCUUAUUAUUCACGUAGAUGGAGGCAAUGCCUUAUAUACACAUACAUAGUUAACCUAAUCGAUCAUAUUUGAGUUAUAUGGGCUUAGGGGCUUUAUCACAGCCCAACAGCUUCGGCUAAGAGCAACUGAAAACCCAUUUAAUAGGUUUCGGUUGGAAUUUACAGAGGUUGGACAAACGGGAAUUCGGGACGCAAUUUUACGGGAAUAGCCGAAUAGGAAAACAUGUCCCAUUUAAUCUUUGAGACGGGAACGAGACAGGAUGGAAACGGGAUAUAUUUAAAGAUUCUAAUGUUGUAUUUACAAAAUAUUAGCACCUUCCAAAUGACAAAAUUCUGUUAGUAGCCUUUAAUUAACCUUGGAAGAAGAGAAAGAAAUCUAUUACUCUCUCCGUUUUGUUUUAGUUGUUGUUUAAAGUUUUUUCACACAAAUUAAGAAAAGCAUUAAAUUUUCUGUUUUACCCUUUAUUAAUAUAUCUUAUAAAAUUUUUCAUUGGCCAAAACAUUAAAACAAUAGGGAUAAUACUAGAAUUUUUACCAAACAUUUGCAUUGAAAACCUAAAACGACAACUAUUACGAAACAAAAUUUAAGUCCUAAAACGACAACUAAAACAAAAUGGAGGGAGUAUAAAAGUAAAAUCUCACCUUCUAAAUCUCUUUAGAAAUCUUAGGCAUGACUGAUCCUGAAAUAUAGGAGGCCCAAUAAAAAAAAUUUGGAGAGGGGAAGGGGGUUUAAUGAGAUCAAAUUUUCAAACUUCAAAAAAAUUAGGAGCCUAAUUUGCAAUUAAAACUUAAUUUGGCGACCGAUUUAUACAUAUGAUGGGGCUACAAUAUUUUGUCGGCCUUAGACCCAAGCUUCACCCUUUAGAACCCUAGGAUCCACAAGUUGUGAUUAUUUCACCGAACGAGCCGUUUGAGCCCUUCUCAUACGGUCAACUAUAGACUUUCUAGCACGGUGUGAAUCGUUUCCUCUACCUUAGCGUCUGAAGCAAGUAACUUACCUUUUCUCUUCAAAUCUUCAUGUUUUAGGGUUUUUUUUUUUCUGGUUUAGGUUUUUAAAUAGAUUUUCUAUCUCUUAAGUUUGGUUAAAAUUUAUGUCUCUCACACAGUUUUUUUUUUCAGAUUUUGCUGUGUGGUGAUUAUCUACUUUGGCGGUUGAUGCUUGUUACCUAAUCGCUGAAAACUCUAUUCAGAUUAAUCAGCCUGUUUAGGGUUUCGUAAAAAGAUGGAUAGGAUCAACGGUCUAUCAGAUGACAUUAUAUGCCACAUAUUAUCUUUCCUUCCGAUUAAAGAGUCUGCUUUAACAUCUGUUCUCUCGAAGCGUUGGCGUAAAUUGUUUGCCUUCACACCAAAUCUUCUUAUAGAUCAUGACCUUGAAGUGAGUAGUGGACAAAGUUUCGGCGAUUUUAUGGAUAGAGUAUUGGCUGUGUCAGAAAAUUUUCCCAUAAGGAAAAUCUCAAUAAAAUGUCGAAACUAUAGUAACUACUUGUGUCAUGUCACCCGCUGGAUGUUUGAUGCGCUGGAACGUGGUGUUGUUUAUCUUGAUAUAGACAUAACCGGUCAUAAACCAGGUUUGAUUUUAUGUCCUCUUGAGAUCUUCACUUGCAAGACAAUGGUUGAGCUGAAACUAGCAAAAGGAUUUCAUGCUAUGAUUCCUGAUGAUGUUUCUCUUCCAUCACUUAAGAGUCUCUUUCUUGAUUCGAUUUAUUCCUAUAAUAGUAAGUAUUAUGUUUUGGGAAAGCUUAUUUCUGCUUUGCCUGUUCUUGAGGAAUUAACCAUUCAUGGUGGGAGCUGGGAGAGGGAUAAAUGCGGUCCCACCGUGUCCUCUUCAACCCUUAAGAAACUUACUAUCAAGUGUCCUAAGUUUAAUAUGUCAAGCAAUAGUUGGGACGUGAUUUUCGAUACUCCGAGUCUUGCCUACUUAGAAUACACUGAUGUAGUUCCAAGAGAGUAUCCAAUUGUGAAUCUUGAAUCCCUUGUCGAAGCUAAGCUUGAUCUUCGUUGUCAUCUUGGUAUUUGCAAUCCAACAAAUCUGAUUAAGGGUUUAAGAAAUGUGGAGGUCUUGGAUUUAUCAUCUAUUGAUACUUCAACGGUAAAGAAUGAUCUCUUCUCUUUUUCUUUCCCUAUAUGUAUGAGCUCUAAAUCUUGUUACAUAUAAAAACGUUCUUGUUAAUUACUAUUGACUAGUUGAUGUUUUUUUGUUUUUUUCAGAUGUUACAUUAUUUCCGUGAAGCAAUCCCAAUGUUCAGCAACCUGAUUCGUUUAUCUAUUACAACUAAUUUAAGUUUCUACGAUUCGGAAUAUUUUCCAAUACUUCUAAAAAAUUCUCCAAAUCUACAGACUCUCAUCAUCAAGGUAUAUAUAACCGAAACCCCGAAAGAUUUUUGGACAAACUCAAAUCUCUAAUAUUUCAUCUUGUUUCAGAGUUCAUUAUUGCACGUUAAUAAAUGUGAAGAAGGAUAUGGAUUGUCAUGUCCUGUGAAAGUAUUGAAGAUAUCUGAAUAUGGAGGAAUCGAUGUGGAGCUAGAGCAAAUGAAACAUUUCCUAGAGAAAUUGUCAUGUCUUGAGCUUGUCAAAGUUCAUGCUUGUGCAAUAAGCGACAAGGAAAAGUUUCGAAUCACCAACGAUCUGCUAAUGGUUCCUAGAUCGUCCAAGUGCAAUAUCCAGAUCAAGUUUUAUGAGAAAACUAAGUAAAUGCAUGAAAAAACAUUGUUCCCUCCUGGUUUUAUAGUUUAGUAUGUUGGAACAUUAUUCAGUUUGUAUGCAUAUUUGGUGAUUACUCUGCUAAUCAAUAACGUUACCAUUUUUUAGCCAACUCGAAACAUAUUAUUAUUGAUUUUUCCAAGUAAGAGGUGAGGUGAAACGCACAAUGCGGGAUUAGGACUCCAUCACCUGGUGCAACGGGUCAAAGUCUCAUGUCUAAAUUUUACAUAUUAUAAAUUUUUUGAUAGUUAAUCAAGUGACCAAGCUUGAGUUUGUCAUUUGUGAAAUUGGAGAUUAGGGCCUCAAGUAUUCAUCAGUUUACCGCCUUACCGGGGAAAAGACCGUGUUCAUUAGUUACCGGUGAAGAGACCUCAAUGUGAAUGUGUUCAACGACAACAUUCUGACUUGUCUAAGUUUUAUUUUUGCAAUUUCUCUUGUAGCAACAAUCAUAAUGAUCCUUGGACAAAAAGAAGAUUAUUAUUUCUCGUUAUUGUUGUUAACAAACUACUCAUAUUCCCCCAAAAAAGAAAAACAUUGCAGAUAAAAUGGGGGAUGACAAAUGUGCAAAAAGACAAAAUAUGCCAUUGUGAUGAUAAGAUGUUGUGUUUUGAUUAUACCAUGAGACCCUCAGGAGCAGCAGCAGCAGCAGGAGCCUUGGGUUUCGGCUUGUCGACAACAAUGGCCUGAGUGGUCAGUACCAUUCCUGCAACGGAAGCAGCGUUCUGUAGCGCACAUCUCGUCACUUUUGCGGGAUCAAUCACUCCAGCUUCCAACAGAUUCUCAUACGUAUCAGUCAUCGCGUUGUACCCUUGCUCCCAUUCGCUGAACAUAAUCUUUUCCACAACAACUUCUCCUUCAACUCCAGCGUUCUGGGCAAUAAGUGCAGCUGGUGACAGCAAUGCCUGAGCUCAAAACAAAAACUCAUGUAAGAUCAAAUAGUCACAAUUGAUUACAGAACAAACACUGAACCGAAAAACCAAAUGCUCUAACUUAGGAAUCUUACCUUUUGUACUAUAUCAGCUCCCAAACGUUCAUCAGCAUCCUCGAAAGUCUCCUUAAUGGCGGGAAUAACAGUAGAGAGAUGCACCAAAGCAGCACCACCACCUGGAACUAUGCCUUCCUCGAUAGCAGCAAAUGUUGCAUUCUUUGCAUCCUCGAUACGGAGCUUACGGUCCUCAAGCUCCGUUUCAGUUGCUGCUCCGACUUUAAUGACAGCAACACCUCCAGAUAGCUUAGCGAUUCUCUCAGCGAGCUUCUCUGAGUCAUACACAGAAUCAGUCUCGGAUAGUUCUUUCUUUAGCUGAGCAAUCCGAGCUUGUAAUUCGUCCUUGGAAGCUGCAUCUGCAAUAAGGGUAGUCGAAUCUUUGCUAAUCGUGACUUUUCGGGCAAUACCCAAUUGAUCUAUGGUUGCGUUUUCAACCAGCAAGCUCAUGUCCAUGGCUAGGUACUCAGCUCCUGAAGAACAUACGAAAAGAUAGAAAGUUUAGACCACAACAGAGAGAAGGUAAAAAUACUAAACCCAAGCAAAGUCUUGCAUAUACCUGUCAAGAUUGCAAUAUCUUGAAGCAUGGCUUUUCUUCUUUCUCCAAAUCCUGGAGCUUUAACUGCAACGACAUUGAGGACACCACGGAGCUUGUUCACGACAAGGGUAGCUAAGGCUUCACCCGUAACAUCCUCUGCAAUAAUCAACAAUGGAGCACGAAGCUGAGUGGUCUUCUCCAAAAUAGGGAUGAUGUCUUUGAUUGCAGUGAUCUUCUGAUCAGUGAUCAAAACCCUAGCAUUCUCAAACUCAGCUAGUAGUUUCUCAGGGUUUGUAACAAACUGAGGCGAGAUGUAACCUCUGUCAAUCUGUAAUUCAAGGUAAAUAAUCAAGUUGGUCAUUGGUAAUUAAUGGUAAAUCAAAUUAGAGUUGAAGAGAAUCAAGACUAAAACUCAUACCUCCAUCCCUUCUUCAACUUCGACCGUGGUCUCAAAAGAGGAUGAAGAUUCGAUGGACAAAACACCAUCAGGUCCAACUUUGUCAAUGGCAUCAGCAAUCAUUGACCCUAUAAGGUCAUCAUUUCCAGCAGAGAUAGAAGCCACAGCUGGAAAAAAUAAAACAGAUUGAUUAGUAAAGCAAUCAACAUUGCUGCAUCACAAGGAAGGUCAUUGCAAGGUUAGUACCUCUGAUGUCAUCACGACCUUUCACAGGCCUAGCUUUCUUCUGAAGCUCUUCAAUCAGACCUUGCACGGUCUUAUCAAUUCCCCUCUUGAGAGAAACGGGAUUUGCACCAGAAGUGACACUCAACAAUCCAUGUUUGAUUAUCUCCCGAGCAAGGAUAGACGCAGUGGUUGUCCCAUCACCAGCCGAGUCAUUAGUCUUACUCGCAACCUACCACAUAACCACACCGUAUAAAUAACAUUAACAGAAACAAUAAGAAAGCUGCAUGCUCUCUCACACCAACCUCACGAAUAAGCGCAGCACCAGCAUUUUCCAUGGCAUUAGGUAACUCAAUAGCCCUUGCAAUGGUGACACCAUCAUUCACCACCUUAGGACUUCCAAAUUCAUCCAACACAACAUUCCUCCCUUAAGAAUAACAAAUGAAAACACCAAGAUAAGUCGAUAACACAGAUGAAGAUAGUGAAUGUAAAAGAGCUACUAAUAAUAAAUACCUCUAGGACCAAGAGUGAGACCAACACAAUCAGCAAGCUUAUCAAUACCAGCUUGAAGAGCAGCUCUAGAGUGCUGGUCAAAAGCUAUUUCUUUUACAUUUGCUCUAACGCUAAAACGUCUGUUUGUCCUCUUGUUGUAGCUAACUCUCUGACCUUGCUGCUGAUUUCCUCCUCCCAACUUACUCUGUGUACCCACAAAAUGAAUAAAGCAGAUUCAUUUACAUCAUUAUCGAUCAAUUUCUUCUAUUUCCCAAAUAAAUCAACCAUUUUUACACCAACCCAGAAACCAAAUAGAUAAAAGCAAUCGAAACAGAACAAAGUAAAGGGUCAAAUUCAAUUUCUUCAAAAACCCAGAAACCAAAUAGAGAAAGGUAAUUGAAAACAGAACAAAGUAAAGGGUCAAAUCCAAUCAAAACAAAGUAAUGUAAGAUGAUUCAUUUUCUUCUUCAGUAAGUAGCUAGAGAAGAUAAAAAGGAACAAACUUUGCUACCUGACGGGAAGAGCAGAGGACGGAGGCGGAAGAGAGAGCGUUAGCGGACGCCAUUUUGAGAGAAAAGGAGCGAGCUUUUUGAGGAACGUUCUGGAUUGGUGUGGAUAAGGAAGUGGUUAGUGAAAACGAAUAGUGAGAGGGUUAGGGUUUAGAUAAAUGGAGUAGCUGAAGAAAGGAUCCAGAAGAUUCUUUGCAUUUCGUAACGAGAGAACCGUUGAUUUUAAUAAGGCUUUUUCACCUACUUUGAUUUUUUUCUAUGGGCCUGUUUGGCUCACUGUUUGUGGCCCAAAACGAAAAACAGUACUCAAGAAACUUGUAUAGAUCAUUUUGUCUAAACUUGUAUAGAAGCCCUUUUGGACAUUUGGAGAAAAAGAAAAAAAAACAAAGACAAAAUUAGAUCUGGGCAAAACAAUCAAAUACUUUAAAUAAUCAACAUAUCCAAAUGGUGUUAGUUUAUUUGCCAAAGAAAAAUACUCUUUAACGAAAUUGAACCAAAUUUUAAUUUUCUUUCUUUUUUCCUUUUUUGUAUUUUUUUCGAUUAAUUUUGGUUAAUUUCGGUUAUAUUCGGUUAAUUUUGGUUAUUUUGGAUCCGAACAUUCGAACAGAACCGAAUCGAUCCGAACCAAAAUUACUAAAAUAUCUGAAUGGUUAUUAUAUUAUCAUAUCCGAAUUAUUCGAAACCAAAGACAGCCGAACCGAAACAAAAUGGUUAACCGAAUGUCCAGGCCUAAACAAAAUGAUCUAUACAAGUUUCUUGAGUACGGUUUUAUGAUGCUAUAAAGUAUAAACCAUUUUAAGCUAAAAUCCAGACAAAGGCAGACAUAUAUGUUGCGAUACGAGGGAGAUUUAGACUGUGUCCGGUGAUGUGAGUUGUGAGAAAACAGAGAAGAAUUUAAAUAUAAACAAGAGAUCACACACAGGACUUAUUUAUUGUGCUUCUUUGAGUUUGUGAUUUGGAGACAAAUAGGUAUGUUUGUUUCUAAUUUCUAUUUAUGAAUACUACAUGUUGUUUUAUGUCAACGACAACACCUAAUGGAAUUUUGUUUUUCUGGUUUAUCCAAUUGAUAGUUUGGGUAUUCCAAACUCGUUUUAAUCCAUUCUCUUACUCGUUUGAAUGUAAUAUAAUCAUAAAAUUAUAAAAUCUAUGUUAAGGCUUUGAGUAGAUUUACCCGCUAAAGUAAAAAAGAAACCUUAAAGACAACACUUGCUAAUUUUCCAAAGAGAGAAUAGACUCCAAAUCACCUAACUACUACAUGAUUGAUAUAGUUAGCCAAGACAAUUUGUUUCUAAUUUUUUUCCUAAACAAAUGAAAGGAACCUUUCAUAUAAUUAUAGUUUAUAGCUUGUUUGUUGUAUGCAUCAUAUACUACAUGCAUUAAAUUAGUCUCCCAUGAAUAUAAUAAAUUCACUAGUUACGGGGGUCUUGUCCUCGCAAAAGCAAAGUUGGGAAGUGAGAUAAUAAAUCUGACAAUAGUGGCAGUUUCAACUCUGAAGCGUCAAUCACAUAAAUAGUUUCAGUUUGGCGUUGGAUUUGAUUUGAUUUGAUUUGAGUGAAUUGACCAAAUAAACACACUUAACUAGUUGACAAAAAAAAAAAAAAACACACACUUAACUAAUAACAAAAAAUAUGUUACGUAACACAAAAAUUACAAAUAGAGAGAGAGAAGUGUACAUGUAAUGUAUUUAUUCCUCAAAAGAUGCAGCUUACCAUAAGAUGACGUCCAUAUCUUAAUGGAAACCGUGCCGUAAAUUUGACUGCCAAUAUUGUACUAUGUAGCAAACAUGAGUAAACUAACAGUUGUCCGAUGAAAAGAAAGAGACUCGUGUAAUUUAAAGCAUUACGACAAAAUAAAAAGGAGUGAAUAAAUAACACUCUUGUUCUAGUAAAACUCUCAUGUAAUGAUUUUCUUGAGUCGUUAUGAUUCAAAAGAAACAAUUCAGUGGACAACUAAGCAAAAAUAAUUACGAUAAGCAGCUAGAACAAGCAACAAAUCAUAUUAAAGAUGCAAAAACAUAAUUUGGUUUGAUGUUUGCAUAUGCGUCUAUAGUUUUCUAAAAGAGUCCAAUGAGAAAAGUUAAAAAAAAGUUGGAAGUGUAAGAAAAAUGUGAAAUUAUUAUGUUCUAUUCUAUAUAAGUAAAAAUAAAAAUAAACCACCAUGAAAUUUGGUUAAAUACUUCAUAGAUUUAUAUUUAUAUAUUUACUUAAGGAUACUUACCAAAAAAUAUAUAUAUUUAUUUAAGGAUUUGGGAUUAGUUAAAAUAUAAAUCGGAAAAGAUAAUGUGUUUCAUUUUGGAUAUGCAUGGUUGAUACAUGUGGUAUCAUUUUAAACGACAAAGUAUUAUUACUCAUGUCAUUUUAAAAUAAGUACAAUACCGUGUAAUAAAAAGACUGAUAAAACCCACCUUAACAGAAUUUACAGCUUUACGCAAUCAUUAUUCUCUCUCUCUCUCCCACGGUCGGUUUACAUCCAUAUCUAAACCCACCGGAGCUCCGACGAGUUUCCCGGCCACUUUUCGAUCGGUAAUAAUCCCUUUUGUCUUCUGAGAUCGGUAAUAUAAAAUGAUCUGUCUUUAUCACUUCCACUUAUAUUUUUUCAUUUUGUUUUCUCCUCGCCAAUAAUAUAUUGAUAGUGAUUGUUUCGAUUAUGGUCCUACUUAUAAUUCCAAAUUGAAAUCUUGACGAUUAUGAUAUUUGUAAGUUAUAACCAUCUAAGUCCGAGUAUUAGUUAUAUAUAUUCUCAGAUCUUUUUUGUUUUUCUUGUUCUUCUUCAUUUGUUGUUCUUGAAGUUUCUUAGGGUUUUGUUCUUAUAUAAAAAAAUAUAUUAUUUUCUGGGUGUUUUACUUCGUCUAUCUCUGAUUUCAUAUUUUUCCCUGUUUUUUUUUUUUUUGUAGUUUUGCAAAUUUAAUGAAGGUUCUUUUCCUUUGUUGUCGUUGGUUAUAUAUAAAUUAAUGCAUAUAUUAUGUAGCUAAAAGGUCCCUGUCACAUGAAUCUCUAUCUUCAUUUAAACUGGGUUCGGUGAUCUUUAUGUUCAUCAGUUCAUGUAACAUGAAUCAUGUUGGUAAGAACUGAGAAUUUCAUUUCUUAAAUUGCUUUUUUGAGCAUCUAGUGAUGAUUUCAUUCUCAUAACUAACAUUCGUAGGGUGUUCCAAUUAAAAAAAAAAAAAAUAAUUCUAUGAUCACCAAAAAAACGUCUUCAGAUUUAUAGAUGUUUAUUAAUUAAUUAAAUGGAACUCAUGCAUGUUUGUUGUUAUGACAGAAUAUCGAAGGUACAAAGAGAUGGAUAUGAUAAAACCAGAGUUGCAUGUAGUUCAACAAAUCCAAAGAGAUAAGUUUAGAGUUGAGCAAAUGAAUGAUUUUCCCAACACUUGGAAUCAUCAUCAUCAGCAGCAGCAGCAGCAUCAGAACAUCAGAAUUCCCAACAACCUUGAUUUGAUUGGUAUUUUGCAGAACCAGAUUUCUGUACCGGUUCAGACCGAUUUGUAUCAAGAUUCUACCGCAACCUUUAUGAACAUGCCUCAGUCGAUACAUAGAGACCCACAAGGCUCUAGUAAUUGGAGAACUAGUGAUUUGUCACAACAGAGUACCGUGAAUUGUUCGGUGGUGAAUUACGGGUAUGAUGAGGCUGGUAUUAGGCCAAGCAACGUUGGAGAUUUGUUCUCAAAUCAUUUCAAUUCUCGGAACCAAAUAUUGGACCGUCCUCUUUAUGUUGGCCGGGAAAUUAUUGCUCAGUCUAGCAUGACAAGGAGAAGUGAAGUUUCUUGUCUAGAUGAUAACCAGAAGGGUUGUGUAACGGUGGCUUGUUCGGGUACUGGUAAUGAGAUUCUAAAGAGCAGUUAUGAUCAAGGUUCUUCUUCUGGAAGUUACCGAGGAGAACUUGAGUUUCUCCCACGUUUGGAGAAUCAAUUAGUUGCGCACAAUGCAAGCCAGUGGAACCACGAACAGCUGAAUUUUACUGCCACUUCUCAUACUAAUAGGAAAGGCUUUCCACUCUCACUUUUUUCUGGAAUACCUUCAUCUAGAGACGUUGGAAAUGCCGCUGUUUCGUCUACGAUGAAUAUCCACGGACAUUUGGGCCCGCUCGGGCCUUUUACGGGAUAUGCAUCGAUACUGAAGAGCUCGAGGUUCUUAGAGCCGGCUCAACAAAUGUUAGAAGAGUUCUGUAUCUCUUAUGCAUCAAAGAUUAUUAGUAGAAGCGAAUCUACUUCCAUGGAUGAUGAUGAUGAUGAUGAUGAUGAUAACUCGUCAGUGUUUAGUAGUUCUUAUGAGCCAGUAGAGCCCAAGAAUAGACUAAAGAGGGCAAAACUUCUUUUUCUACAAGAAGAGGUUUGUGAAACUAUAUUCUUAUACAGUUAUGUUUAUAAUGUUUAUGUUUGUAGACAUAACUAACAUGUUAUAAAUUGUGACAUUGAAAAGGUUUGCAAGUGGUACAAAUUAUACAAUCACCAUUUGCAAACAGUUAUGUCUUCCUUCAAUACAGUGGCUGGUCUAAGAACCGCAACACCGUAUAUCUCGUUGGCUCUCAAACGGACUUCGAGAAGUUUUAAGGCCCUUAGAACCGCAAUAUCUGAACAUGUGAAGCAAAUCUCAAGUCACCUAUCAAGCGGUGACAACACCGUAUUCCAAAAGAAACAAAGAUCUUUGAUUGGUCACAAUGUCGGGUUUGAAUCUCAACAACAACAUAUGUGGAGGCCUCAAAGGGGAUUGCCCGAACCCGCGGUGGCUGUUCUCCGAGCAUGGCUCUUUGACCAUUUUCUUCAUCCGUUAAGUCUCAUAAUGUUUUGAUGUGAUUUGAUUUUAUUUGAUUUGAUGUUUUGAGAUGAUUUCUCAUAUCCUUUAUUGAUAAUACUGUUAUUAGGUACCCCACUGAUUCUGAUAAGCAGAUGCUAGCCACUCAAACCGGUCUCUCUCGUAACCAGGUAACUCAAUUAUGUAAUUCUUUGUUAGGUGAAAUUUAAAUAUGCUUGUCUCUUGAAUUAUUGCUCUUGGCCGGUCUUGUUUUCUUCUAUUGGUUAAAGCAUAUUUGAUGGGACAAUAACCUAAUGUUUUUAGGAUUUCUUACUCUCAAAUAACAUCAAUCUUACAUGUUAAAGUAAAGCAUAUAUAAUCAUAUAGACGUAGUCUAGAUUAAUAGAAGACAAGUUCAUGUGUAAAAAACUGAAAUUGUUCAACGUGUGAAUAGAAAAUUAACUAUUUGCAAACAUUUUCCACAAUGAACUAUAUGUCUGGACAAAGCUAGGUUCAUUAUCUACAAAUAAAAUUCUUAGUAGACUUUGCUUAAUUUUAGGUUUGGUUUUUGACAAGAUUUAUUGACUUGGUUUCCUGUUUUUUUUGUAAAGGUAUCAAAUUGGUUCAUAAACGCCCGUGUUCGAUUAUGGAAACCAAUGGUGGAAGAAAUACACACACUUGAGACCAAAGCCAUUAAAAAUCCAGAUACUAGUCACAACAUGGAGCCAUCAAAUAGACCGAAUACUGUUAGUAGUACUCCGAGCCAUGAACAAACGUUAACGGACCUCUCUGGGACAAAACGGUCGAGGUUAGAGUACAUGGACAUGAUGGGGUUCAAUAGAGGGAACGUGUCACUCACUUUAGAGCUUAGGCGUGGUGUGGACAAUGUAAUCCAAACGCAGACGCAGACACAGGAUCAUCAGUUUGGAACUGGAGACCAUAUGUUUCAUGACUUUGUGGGUUGAAACCCGUUUGCUUUUGUUUCACUUAAAUGUAUUUUGGGUACUCCGAUCCAUAGUUUAACGGAGAGAGAGAGAGCAAGAAAGACAAAGUUGUCUUGAAUUGGUUACUCUUAAGUCUUAACUUAGGGCGACAAAGUUAUCUGGUCACCUUUAUGUCCUUGAUAAUAUAUAAUGAUGUGAUGUCGAUAAAACCAAACCAUUCAGUGUUCCAUUCAUCGUGAUAACCAAUACAAUUCAUAUACCUCUUUUGCCGACUUUUUUUUUUUGGGUAAGACACAUUUACCGGCUUUGCAUAAUUGCAUAUAUAUUUAUUUGUGAAUUUCACAAACUUAGUAUUAGAUUUUAGCGUAAAAAACUGAUAACAUUAUUUUAACAGAUCUUGUUUACUAGUAUAUAAAUUAUCAUAUGAUUAUGGGAUAUUUUUCGUCAAAUUAUGGUUUUCUGGUAGUUUUUUUACCAACACGUAAUUCACCUAUUUCAAUGGAACAAUCAUGUACGAUUUAACAAUUUCACGUUUAAUACAAAACUAGGUACACCGGGAAAAUAAUUCGUAAACUUUUCAUUUUUUCAUUUAAUAUAUUUUAUUCAGAUUUAAUGACAAAAUUUAAUAUUAGAAUUUAAAAAAUGGUUGUUUUUAGCAAGUUUGAGAAUAUUUUUGGCAAUUUGAAUUAGAAUAAUCAAAAUAUAUAAAAAGUAAUAUUUGAAAAUAAAUGUGUGUGACCAUGUUAUAUUAGAAUUUAAAAUAUGAAAAUAAAAUAGGUGAGAAAAAUAUGGACUUGAGUACUUGACACAUCAGCAAAAUGAUUCUAAAAUCUUUGGUUUGCGGUUUUAGAUUGAACUCUUAUCUUUAGUUUUUAAAACAAUUAUUUGUGUAGGCACAAAGCUAUUGACAAAUACCGAGAUAUGCAAAAUACCGGUAUCUAACUUAUCUCGAACAUAGACACCUAGACGAAGACGGCUCGUAUGCCAAGCAUGAUAUUACGAUGGAUCAACUUUUCUUUAAACUAGGUUGUAAGAGUUUGAAGAAGUCGGAUUCGGCAUGAAAUCCAAAUCAAUUUUGAUUAUAUCCCUUUCCAUACUCACUGAUUUUUUUUUUUUACAGCAAAAUAAGAUCAUCCAUUUAAGCUAGAAACAGACGGUUUUCUAAGGAAGAAAAUCAGUUCGGUGUUGAGGAGCUUACAUGGGAAAAUAUAGAAUCACGUGGCUUGCUUUUUUAGCGAGACAAUCGGCAUGGACAUUGUUUAAACGUGGAAUAAAAUCAAAGGAAAAGCGAGAAAAAACAAGUUUUAAAACAUUAAAAUCUUCUAAGGUCCUGUUCGUUUCUCCAUUCAGAUGGAUCAUCUGGAUGGAGAUGAAGAAUGAUGUUCGUUUUUGACAAUUUAACAGAGCAUUUGGAUGAAUCAGCUGGAUCGAUCAUCUGAAUGAGUUUGUAAUUUUAGACAAAUUUGUCAAACUCAUCUCGAUGAACAUGAUUGGAGCAUUUGGAUAGAGAUGGUCCAGUCAAAAAUAACAAAUGACAAAUAUACCCACAUUUACAAUCAUAUAUCAAAUAAUAUUUAUUUUACAUAGAUUUCUCAUUUUAUAUUCUAAAAAUCAUAUUUUCCGGUUGAAACCGCAAAAUCAUGUUUUCCCUCAAAACCGUAAAAUCAUAUUUUCUCACCAAAACUAUAAAAUCACAAUUUUGGCGGAAAAUUACGAAAUUCUAUUUUCCCGCCAAAACCAAAAAAAUUGAAGAAUUGUGUGUUUCCACUAAAACCAUAAAAUCCUAUUUUCCCGCCAAAAGCACAAAACUUAAUUUUCCUGUAAAAUCAAAUUUUCUCGCUAAAUCAAAAUUUCCCGCCAAAACCGUAAAAUCAUAUUUUCCAGCAAAUCAUAUUUUUCCGUCAAAACAGUAAAAUUAAUUUUUUUAUGUUAAAAUCAUAUUUUGAAAUUAUUUAUUUGUAAAUAUAUUUUAGAGCAAUAAUUAAAUUAAUAUUGCUUAGAUUAAAAUUAAAAUAUAAUUAGAUUAAAAUUAUGGGUAUUUGUUAAAGUCAUCUAGAUGCAUAUUGUUUGAUUUGUUUGGCAUAUUGUUUUAUUAGGAAUUAAGAAUUCUAAUUCUAAGGGAUCUUAUUUCAAUUAUGUUUGAUUUGUUUGGCAUAUUGUUUUAUUAGGAAAAUCUUGAUAAAGUGGAAAUUUGGCUUUCCAUCUAAAUGAUAUAUUAUUCUCUAACGUUAAUUGUAUUAAGUGGUGAUUGAUUUCUUUUUAUAUAGAAAAAAAAAAAACGUCAGUGUCGUAAAAAAUUUCUCUAUAAAGAAGAAGAUGUAUUGUGUCUUCUAUAAAACAGAGUUUGUGAUAGCUUGUCUGAGGCUUGUGUUGCUGUUGAGUUUAGAGAGAAAUCACCUUGGGAAGAGAUUGUUCUUGGUGCGACUGUGCGAAGAGCACAAAGCAAAGACUUCUCAAAGAAAAAUUCAUACAUGAUUGAGGAGAGUAAAAUGAGUUUACUUGUUAACCUUAGUUCAUGUCCUUAGAUAGAUAUAUUAGAAUCUUAUUAUAUAAAGUAUGGUUUUCAAAGUUAGUAACUCAUAGGAUCGUGACACGUGGCAAAUCUAUCGAUCUUAGAUUUUGACACAUGUAAAACAAAAAUUUCCUUUUUAAAAUUAAAAAAAGAUCAUUGUAAGUAAUUAUAAAUUUAAAUAAUUUUAAAAAUGUAAAAAAUAAUUAUAAGAAUAAUUUUAAACAUUUAAUAUUUCUAUAAACAAUUUAAAAAUGUCAAAAGAUAAUAAUAAUAAGUAAAUUAUACGUUUUUUAUAAUUAAAAAUAUAUAUUUCAAUUAAACAAAAAAUAAAUCAAGCAAAUUUAUUACAAUGGAAACAUAUGUUAUCAUAUAACUAAUAUGAUAUAUUUUUUUCUUCUCAAAGUUAGUAAUUAAUAGUAUCAGGAACCGUCAAAGAUUUUAUCAUGUGUCAUGAUUUAAUUUAAAAUUUAAUAUUAUUUAUCUCAAUUUCCUUUCCAGUUAGAAAUAUGUGAUGAUUUAAUUAAGCUAAUCCUUAUAUUAUUUAUUUGAGUUUUUUUUUUGCAAUUAGAAAUAUGAAAGAGCAAUUUGUUUUUCUCUUUUGUAAUAUUUUUUUACUUAACUGUAUUUUUUGUUUGUCCUCGAUUAUGAUUGUAGUAUUGUUAGAUUGUUUAUUUUAAUUUCUCUUUUCAUAUUUUAAUUAUUAGAGAUUCAUAUCUCAUCGUGUUUAUAAUUUAUUAUUUUGAGUUUAACUGUUGUAUCUUUAAAUUAUUUAUUUUGAUUUCUACGUUAAAUUUAAAUGAUAUAAGAUUUUUAAUAUAUCAUAGUCCUAAUGACUUUAGAUAGCGACAUGUGUCAUGAUUUAAAUUACAAAUUUACAUUAUUUAUAUCAAUUUUAUUUUUUAAUUAGAAAUAUGUAAUGAUUUUAAAUAAAGUUUUAUAUUGUUUAUUUGAUAUUUUGAAUUUAAUUAUACUAUUUCAAAAAAUUUAUUUAAAUUUCUAUGUUCAUAUUUGAAUUAGAUAAGAUUCAUAUAUCAUCGUACUUAUAAUUUUUUUGGAUUUAUCAAUUUUUAUUUAUUUAUCAUAAAGUAAUUGCAAUAAAGUCUAUAGAAAUCGAACCCGCAACGUUAGAUUGGAAGACUAAAGAAUUUAUUCGAUUUAACAUCUUUAUAUUUUUAACGUGUCUAAUUAAAUACUACUUUGGUUUCACUCGCCAACUUUAUAAUGAAUAUUUUUAAUUUUAGUUCUUCAUAUAAGUAUAAUAUGAGUUAUUGCUAUGUGAUAUAUCUUUCAUUCGAAAUAAUUUGAAAUUAAUAAUUUUAGUGGUUAAAGAUACAAUGCAACGGUGAAAAAGUAAAUAUUUUUUUUUACUUUUGAAAUUUUUUUUUUACUUACGACGUUGUUAAUUAAUUUUUAGUUAAAUUUGAUUUUAAUUUUUAAAAAAUUAAACCCGUCCAUUGGACGGGUCCUUAUCUAGUUUAUGUAUAAAAUCUAGUUUAUCUUGUAUUUCUUAAAGUGAUCUAAUAAACUCUUGUUGCAGCCAAAGUUUAGUGGUUGGUUUGAAAGAACCAAUCGAUAUCUCGAUAAGUUUCGUGUCAUUUCUUUAUUACUUUAUUGUUAAAAUCGUUUCCGUUAUUUAAUUAUUAUAUCUAGUAUAGAAACUCUAACAUCCUAUUGUGGGAAGAAAAAUAAAACAUUUUGCCAGAGUAUUUUUAAAUUUCUACAAAGCUAUGCAAGUAAGUAUGCAUGAAAGUUAAGACAGAACAAAAAAAAAAACAUCCCAAAUUUUUGACAAGACACAUUCAAAUCCUAUAAACAGUUUCAUCGCAAGAAAAAAAGGAUUCCAAACUACACAAUAUACUUCUAUAGGGUUAAAUCAUUAAACAAUUAAAGUAAAGACGCAACUAAGAAAUAACUCAAAACUAUCGGAAAAAAAAAACAAAAAAAUCAGAUAAAAAUUUCAAAAAAUAAAAUAAAAAUAAGUCUUCUUCCGAAGAUCUAUAUUUUCUCUCUUGCCAGAAAAUCAAAACAGCUUUUUUCUCAACAUCUUUAUCUCCUCUCCCUUCUCUUCUGGUGAUAACUUCGAAACCCUAAUUUCUUCUCCUUCUUCUUUGUUUAGGAUAAGCGAAACCCUAGAAAAUUGAACCUGUAAUCGUACUCGUACAUGGAUAUGAAUCCAUAACUAUAUCGAUGCGUUUUCUAGGUUUUUCUUGAGAUUCGACAUUUAUAGGAAGUGAAGGGAUUUUACAAGUUUUUGCUUAAAUCGAUGGCGAAAGGUACGGCGACUGGCGAAUUUGUGGUUCGUACUGGGUGUAAAAGAGAGUUGCAAUUUGUUUUGAAAUCUCAGUCUGAGAUCUGUGGUGGUGAGUCAUUAGGUCGGACUCGGGGAAGCAGAAACUUGAAUGGUGAGUCUAGAAGUGUGGAGGUUAAGAAAUCGGUACGUGGGUCUGGUUUGAAAAGUGGGAUUAAGAAGAUGCGUUUUAGUAAAGAUGAGGAAGUUUUAAUGUCUGAUACUGUUGGUGUUGGUUUGGAAGAAGAUGAAGGUAAGAGUGAUGUUGUUGAUGUUGAAGAGACAAAGGGUUUUGUUAAGGACGAGGGACAAGAAGAGAAUGUGGAGAUUGGGAAUGGGGAUGAUAAUGUGGUGACGAAUGAGGAUCACUUACUGGAGCAACCUGAGAAGGGUUCACUGGAAGUUACGGAGGCUGAGAAGGUGUGUUCGAUUGGGGGAGACAGUGUGAUUGACAGAGAGAUAGUUGUGGCAUGUCCUGCAGGUCUUAGUGUGUUAGAGAAAAUGGCUUCUAGAUCUUGCAAGGUUAAGUUGGAAAGAGGUUUGGUUUAUGCGAAACCCUGUAAAAGGUUGACACGGUCGAUGUUGAAGGUUGAGGGUAUUAAGUCUGAGGUUAAUGUUGAUGAAGAUCAUGUAAAUCCAGAAAAGGAUGCUAUAGAUAGUGAAGAUAAUUGUGUUGGUGUUUCUGGUUCAGUGGCAUGUGAGAUGGAGGAGGAACUUCAUGAGCAAAAUCAUGCGGAGAUAUGCCUCGGGCUUCCAAGUAGAUCAUCCCAGAUGAGUGGUCAUUCUCUAUGCCUUGGGCUUCCAAGUAGAUCAUUCCAGAUGAGUGGUCUUUCUCAACGUGUUGAUAAGAAGGCAGUGAAUGAUGUGGUAGCUAAGCCGUUGAGGAGGUUUACUAGGUCAUUGGUCAAACAAGAAAGUGAUUCAGACAAUCCUAAUUUGGGAAAUAAUACUGAACUAGCAGACUUGGGCGAGGUAGAUAUGCAUGCCAAUGAUGUUGAAAUGGAUGAUUUUCAUAGUCCUUCAGUUACUACUCACAACAGGCGUGGUAGGCCCAAGAAAUUUCUAAGGAAUUUCCCAGCAAAGCUGAAAGAAAUUUUUAAUUGUGGAAUACUUGAGGGACUAACUGUGUACUAUCUUCGAGGAGCAAAGGUAUAUGAUGACUUCUUAUUCUAUUCAUGUAAAACAAAUAUUAUUUAGCUGAUACGUAUGUCACCAUCUUCUUGUAGGUGAGAGAGGCGGGGACUAGAGGGCUUAAAGGAGUGAUAAAGGGAUCAGGCGUUUUGUGCUUUUGUUGUGCCUGCAAAGGAAUACAAGUUAGUGAUCUCUAUUGUUCUUAAAAGUCUUGUAAUUGGUCCUGCCAAAUGCUAGCUGGUUGAGGUAACUUUUUAAAUUUCAUUUCACAGGUGGUGAGCACUGCCAUGUACGAGGUGCAUGCUUCUAGCGCAAACAAGCGCCCUCCUGAAUAUAUCUUACUGGAGUCUGGAUUCACACUUCGUGAUGUCAUGAAUGCAUGCAAGGAAACUCCCUCAGCUACGCUAGAAGAAAAACUUCGUGUGGUAGUUGGACCAAAUUUAAAGAAAUCUAGCCUGUGUUUGAAUUGCCAAGGUAGUUGGACCAAAUUUAAAGAAAUCUAGCCUGUGUUUGAAUUGCCAAGGUUACUGAUUGGUUCAUUGGUUUGUGCAACAUUAUACAGACUGUUUUCACUUGUUUUUUUCCUCUUUAUAAAGAAUUCAGACUGGUUACAUCCAAUUGAUUGCAGGUCCAAUGAUUGAACCUUGUGAUACAAAAUCAUUAGUUGUGUGCAAAUCGUGUUUGGAGAGUAAGGAGCCAGAAUUCCAUAACAGUCCUUCUAAAGGAAAUGGUGCUCUUAACGGGUAUGGCUCAUCUGUCUUUAUUUAUCGCUACAAUCUUUUCUUUGCAGUUGAAUCAUGUGAAAGUAAGAUGAGCAUACAAUUAUCCUGUUCAGUUAGUUUUUCAGACUGGGUGGAAGGUAAAACAAAAAAGCCGCCGAUCUUACCCCGGAAAAUGAUUUUCUAAUUAUGUAAUGUGGAUUACGAGCUGUAUGUUCCUCUAUUAUAUGGUUGCUUAUGUAGAAUUCUGCAAGUACUAACAUGCAUGACUUUAUUUUUGGAUAUAUCUAAUACACCACGAAAUAUGUUGACCUUUAUCUAAUUGAUUGAUUCUAAAUCUGUCCCAAUUUUCAACAGUUCGUCUAGGCCAAGUGUGGAUCCAAAAUCUAUCCUUAGUAGGUCAAAAUCCAGUCCUCGCCAAAGUAACAGGCAAGAACAACCAACCAGAAAGUGAGUAUUGUUGUUAUAUUGAUGGUGCCAACUGUUUGAUGGUGUGCUUUCUAGUUUUGUGUUUUUGCUGCCUUUUUAUAUUAUAAUUAGUUCACAAUCUGCCGUUCAUCAUUCUGGAAAAUGAGUAAAUGAGAAUAUAAUAUUGGAAAUGUGGCAUAUAUUCUUUAGUUAUACAUUGGGGUUAUUGGCUAAGCUAAACUUAUCUUGGGGUUCUACAGGUCCACUGAGCCAGGUGUGGUUCCAGGAACUAUUCUGAGCGAGUCAAAAUCCAGCUCAAUCAAAAGCAACAGCCAAGGGAAACUAACCAGAAAGUGAGUAGUGUUGUUAUAAGUGUGACAGCACUGAUCCGAUGUAUAUAUGGUCUAGUGCUAGUCUGCUAGAUUGUCGCCUUCCUUGCCGUCUGUCAAACUUAUAUUAGUUCUGAGUCUAUCUUUUGUCAUUUUGAAAGGGAUGUGCGGCUGCAUAAACUUGUUUUUGAGGAUGAUAUACUGCCAGAUGGGACUGAAGUGGGUUAUUUCGUUGCUGGAGAGGUUAGAUCUGCAUGAAAAUUGGCUUUUCUCCAGCCCUUUUUUGAAACUUUUUUUCUCCAACCAUUUUGUUCCUUGUGCAGAAAAUGCUUGUCGGCUAUAAGAAGGGAUUUGGGAUACAUUGUUCUUGUUGCAACAAAGUGGUAAGCUCUCUUUAAUGUCAAUUAGUUUUACUGGCAUUAAAGUAUAUAGGGGGUCUGAAUCAGCCUUUAUAAUGUUUAUGGGACCAGGUCAGUCCUUCUUCGUUUGAGGCCCAUGCUGGCUGUGCAAGUCGUCGGAAGCCGUAAGUUCCUUGCAACUGUUUCCAUAUAUAUGCUCUAGUAGUAAUGGGUCUAUACCUGUUCUACUACUUUUUUUCUUUUUUUUUUACCGGUUCUGAUAUAAUUAAACUGUAGUAACGUAAUAAAAUAGUUUGCUGAAAUAUCAGAGAUUGAGGAUUAUAAUGAAGCUACUCACAUUCUCCUGGGAAACCUGAUAACCAGAACCAUUAUUUCUUCGCUCGGCCAUGUAUUGUCAAAGAGUAAACAUAAACAUUUUUACCCAUGGUUACAAAAAGUAAACAUAAAACUUGGAUAAUUAGUGUAAAAGUCGUGGAUCCUUAAGAUCAUUGAUUGUACGAUUCACAGAGAAACUGUUGAAACAACUCAUUUAUUUUCUGUUGAUGAUCAGGUUUCAGCACAUUUAUACAACCAAUGGGGUUUCUCUUCAUGAGCUAUCAGUAGCACUAUCAAUGGACCAGAGGUUUUCCAUCCAUGAAAAUGAUGACCUUUGCAGUAUUUGUAGGGAUGGGGGUGAGCUCUUGUGUUGUGAUACCUGUCCAAGAUCAUAUCAUAAAGGUUUGGUAUUUGCAAUUUUCCAUGUUUGUUUAUUAGAAUUCUUGUAUUGCUACUUUGAAAAAGUUUUUGGAGCUUACCUUUGAUAGAGCUUAUCUGUCUGUUUUGGUUUUAUCUAGUAUGUGCUUCUCUAUCAAGCCUUCCGAGUGAGAGGUGGUCCUGCAAAUAUUGUGUGAAUAUGGUUGAGAGAGAGAAGUUCGUGGAUAGCAAUCUCAACGCCAUUGCAGCUGGGAGAGUUCAGGGAGUUGAUGCAAUUGCUGAGAUAACCAAUAGAUGUAUUCGAGUUGUCAGCUCCUUUGGGACCGAGCUCCCAAGUGUAUGCGUGUUAUGCAGGUGAAUAUCAAGCUUUUCUAUUAUUUCAAGUAUCUUGGUGGUUUCCUUUAUAGUGUCUCAUUGAUGCAUUACCUAAUUUUCUGUAACAACCUUAUAAAAAUUGGUCGUUGUAGUUUAAUGAGUUCUUAUUUGGCUAAAAUUUUGUUCUAUUUUUUUUUUCAUAUUUCUAAUCCAUAUGACUUUAAUGUUUUUUUUUCUAACUAAAGGAACUUGAAAAUGUUUGGUUGAGAAGAUGUGUAUACAUUGGCUAAUUGAAACCAUUUCCUUAUGAGCCUGACCUUUGCUUAAUUUUCUUUGCUGUUGCAGAGGUCAUAGUUUUUGCAGGUUGGGCUUUAAUUCUCGCACUGUGAUUAUCUGUGAUCAGGUACUUUGUUGGUCAUUGCUGUAUAGGGGUCCAUGCCUCUUAAAUCUGCUUCUGGUUUUCACCAUUUUUGGUUUUGUUGUUGUCUCCUCAGUGUGAAAAGGAAUUCCAUGUUGGCUGUUUGAAAGAACAUAACAUUGCUGAUCUCAAGGUGAUCUACCUAUUUUGCUCUUUCAUUCUCUCGGGCGAAAACUCAGUAUCUAUCUAUCUCAUUCUUGUUUAUGUCUUAACAGGAGCUACCUGAAGAAAAAUGGUUCUGUUCCGUCGACUGUGAAAAGAUCAACACUACAUUGGGCAAUCUGAUAAUUCGCGGAGAAGAGAAGCUUACUAACAACAUUCUGAAUUUUAUAAGGACGAAGGAAAAACCUAAUGAAGAAAGCUGUCCAGAUGACAACACCACUCCCGACAUAAGAUGGAGGGUCCUUAGUGGGAAGUUGACCUCUUCGGAUGAAACAAAAAUAUUGCUUGCAAAGGCAGUUUCCAUUCUUCAUGUAAGUCAAGACCAUAUUUCAAACGCUUCUGUUCUUUAUGAAGGCCUAACUUUGUUUGUCCCUUGUAACCAUGGUAUGCUAUAGGAGCGGUUUGAUCCUAUCAGUGAAACUGGGACCAGGGGAGAUUUGAUACCUGCCAUGGUGUACGGGUAAGCAAUUUUGUAGUAUCUUCAGUAAGUCGAGUGGAUUAUUCUUUAUGCUUGUGAAACCUAUUAGCUGAUGAACAUCUUUGUGUGUGGAACAGAAGGCAAGCAAAGGGCCAAGAUUUUAGUGGCAUGUACUGCACCAUGUUGGCUGUGGAGUAUGAGUCUUCUUCUUUUCACUCUAAUUUAUUCUCUGUGACGCUUGUUUCAUCCUUUUUAUGUUGUCUUUUUUUCUUUUGCUUGUGCAGUGAAGUGAUCGUUUCAGUGGGAAUCUUUAGGGUUUUCGGGUCAGAACUUGCAGAACUCCCUCUGGUUGCUACCAGCAAAGAUUGUCAAGGGCAGGUAAUUAGUUUAUAUUUGGAACCUUACAUUUUUUUUUUCUUUACAAGAGGUGCUUACUCCUAGUCUCCUAUAGAAUGGUCAAUAAACUACUAGCUCUUACUGUCAAGCCCAUACACUGCUAAUAAUAGAGUGAUACAUCUACGCACACAUGUUUUUGUCUCUGUUUUUUUUUUUGUUUCGAAUAGCUUAAGAGUGGAACAAUGUGUAGCAUAGAAAUUGCAGAAGGAAUUCUUGUGCCAUAUUUUACCAGCCAUCCCACACAAUAUAAAUCUGAUUUCUUUUUCUUUUUGCUGUAGGGUUACUUCCAAUGCCUGUUUGCUUGCAUCGAGAGGCUACUUGGGUUCCUAAACGUAAAACAUAUCGUGCUACCAGCAGCAGAUGAAGCCAAAUCCAUAUGGACUGACAAAUUUGGUUUCACCAAGAUGACCGACGAGGAGGUAUAUAUCUAGAAAAGCUAGUCAAGAAACUUAUAUACACUCCCAAUGAAUCACAUCUCUGAUACACAGUGUUUGUUGGUGUUAUUAGGUGAAAGAAUACAGAAAAGACUACUCAGUGAUGAUCUUUCAUGGAACAUCUAUGUUGAGAAAGAGCGUGCCUGCACCGAGUGCCCCAAGUAAAACCGAGGGCAGUAAGGAGGAGUAAGCUCAAGGUUGUCUUUAUUUUUUGGUUAGUCGAUGAAACGAUUGGAUGCUCUUUUUUAAUCUAAUUUCGGGUAGUAGCCACGUUCGUGUACAGGUUUUUCCCCUAAUGCGUCUCUCUUUAUAACGGAAAGAGAGAGGAAAAUACACAAAAGGGUAGAGAAUUUGGUUUUGGUAGAGAAGAGUAGAGAGAUGGAAGUAAACAUGGGGCAUUCUUUUGGUGGUUCAAUUGAUUAUGUAUGAAGCUAAUUUUUUGUAUUAUAGUGCCCAGAAAUGAAAUUUAAUUUUCUGAAAUCUAUAUCCAAGUUAUAAUUAAAACUGAAAAUAAUAUUUUGAAUUAGUGUUAAUUGGGCUCUAUAUGUAGGCCCACAGGGCCAGUUAAUUUUCUCGGUAAGUAGAAUUGAUCCGCUAAACCGGGAAAUUGUACCGGUUUAGUUAACGUCGAAACGUAAUCAAAAUUUAGGGCACCACUAAGCGGGAAGGAGCGCCUCUAAGAAAUUUCAAACUCAAAAAAAUCGAAAACAACCGUUGAGAAAAUGCCCCUAUACAUCCACAUAAUUACAUCUCUACCCCACAAUUCCUUUUUUUAAUUCCCUUUAGCUUUCCCUCUUCUCCGUCCCCAAAAUCCAUUUUUCGUUUCCGAUCGCAUUUCUUCUUCUCAAGGUUUGCUUCUCUUCCUGAUUCUUCGAUUAGGGUUCGAUUUCUGAUUUCUUUACUUUCUCUUCGGUGUUUAGGUUUAGAUUACUGAUGGAUUACCCUAUUUUUUUUUUGUAAGCUUGAUAGACUUUUUCUGGGUGAUAUAAGAAGAUGGGUCAGAUCCAGUACUCCGACAAAUAUUUCGAUGAUACUUUUGAAUACAGGUGAUUCUCAGUUUUAUUUUAUCUCUCCCAAUUGAGUUUCAGUUUAUGAUUCUCUAAUCGCGUUUUUUUUUUCUCUCUUAGGCACGUCGUACUUCCUCCGGAAGUUGCUAAGCUUUUACCGAAGAAUCGCAUUCUCUCCGAAGUAAGUUAAAUUAGGGUUUUUCCUCUAAUUCUUUCGUGUACUGUUAUUGAAUUGUAAUUUUGAUAUAAUUCUUGAAUCAUCGAAGGCUAUGAGAUUUACAUGUAUGCGAAUGUCAGUUUAGGAGAAUCAUCAUGCCUUUCUGGGUUUCAUUUUCCCUGUGCAAUGCCAACUUUUUUUACUGAUCAGAUUUUUCAUGAUUUGUAAUUUUGUAGGUUAUUUUAUAGUCUCUUGUGAGAGUCUGGAUCAUGUUUUUUCUUACAAGAUUGUUUGAUUGAGAUCAUAAACUUGUUUAUAAACGUUUAAUUAUGUAACUGUCAGCAGUGAUGAAGAUAGUUUAGACAUUCUUUUGUGUUAUCAGUCACUUCUCAAUUUCCUGAUUUUGAAGUUAACAGUUGUAUUGUUGUUUUACAAUCUGGUUUUGUAGAGUGAAUGGAGAGCUAUAGGAGUGCAACAAAGUCGUGGAUGGGUUCAUUAUGCGAUUCAUCGUCCUGAGCCACAUAUCAUGCUCUUUAGGAGGCCUCUUAACUACCAGCAGGAGCACCAAGCUCAGAUUGCUAAGUAGAAUUAUGCAAAAUUCUCCCUAAUCUCUGUUUAUGUUUCUCGUAAACGAGUUUUUAAAACACUACUCUGAUGAUAUAUUCCUUUUUCUAUUGUGUUUAGGAAUUCUCUUCAGUGGAGAGAAUCAUGUGAGUUUGGUAGAACAACUUUUUAUGUUAUGUUAAGUCUGGUUCUUUGCUAGACUUUGUUUGGAUCCACGUUUGAAUUUCUUCAUGUUUAAGCUGUUAUUUCUCAUGCUUAUUUGCUUGUUUCAUCAUUUCACAACUCUUUUUAUUGCUCCUCUCAGAUGCUUUUGUUUAGUUGUUGAGCAUCUUAAUCUGUGAGUAAAUCAAUCAAAUGGAACUCAAAUUGGAUGUGCUAGGUUAUGUUUGAUAACUAUUUAGGCUAACUGAAUAAUCAAACGGCUGAUUUUGUUCAAAGAGCAAUGUUGAUACUAUGUGGUUAGGCAAUGUGAAACUUAAUUUUGUGUGGUUCUUCUGUGAAGAGAAUUUUGUGUCGUCUAGAAGUUAUGAAUUGAAACUUUGGGGGUUGUUGUUUGAGCUUCAUUGUGAAAGUUAGGGCUAUAGAUCGAAGCUCCCAAAUAAAACUUCAAUGAAGAAACAUUAGUUGAUGUUCUUACACACUUGACUCUUCUUUUGUUGGCUCACUGAUUUGAAAAUACCACAGUAAAGAAAAACUCAAAGCCUAAAACGAUAAACUUGUAAUCAAAUCAGAGAAACUGGUGUCGUCUUGCUCACCGCUACAAUCCAUUAUGAGCGGACACAUGACCCGCUUUCUCUAGUGUUGGAGCCGCAAUGCAUGAUCGCCAUCAAUUGGCAACGAUGCCAUAUAGCCAUAUCGGCCAAUUUUUUUUACUGUGGGGCUUUAAAACCAGAAUUUUAGCCAUUUUUAGAGUUUAACCAGUGUGCUACAACAUAUUUUUGUACGAUUGUGAAUUCAUACACUAUUAAGUAUUAACUUCUGUGAACGUUUUAUUACAUAAUAAAGAUUUUGUUACAAAUUUUAGGCCUUUUUUUUUUUUGUGCAAAGAAAACUUUCAUUCAUCUAAAUCCUCACAAGAGAUGGAAGGUGUGAGCUGCAAUGCUUCUGUUUUCUCUAAUGCUAUCAACCUUUCUGCCUUUUAUGCUCACAACAGAAGGCACUGCUCCAAGAACCUGGAACUGAUUGAACCGUAUGGCCUCCUUGUGUGGACUUAGUCUUGAUCUCUGCAGAAUCAGUGUCUUGUCGAAAUUCCCUAUCUCCUACCUGAAACAGAAAGAAUAUAAUGUUAAUUGUCAAGUUCAUGUAAACAAGAACCUGCAGGAAUCCUACGUUGAUAGCUUGAUCCACAUAAGCUUCUAACGCUUAGGUUCUAUGGCUAAGGCAAUCUACAUUCUAACCAGUAUCAAUUCUCUAACACCACUCUCCAAACUCAGUUUCAUAGUUGUCCAAUUUCCUGCUGCUGCUAUCCUCAGCUUCCUCUGUCAUGAUCUGUACACCACACUCUAUAAUCUUGUCACCGAUGUACUUGUGGUUGAACUCAAAUGUAAUCUCGCUCAUAGUCACAUCAACUUCAUAGCAAUUGCUUCGUUGGCGAAACAAGUCACCAUGAACUAUAAACAGAUGUUUUGACCGAAAACUCAAAUCAUGAUAUGGAAGCUUGCAGCUCUGAACCUUAACACCUCCUUUGCUUCUUAUACUACAGCUUAUACCUUCAUAUCCGUAGUCAUUAACUGGGAAAAUGACAAGGCAAGCCUUAAACCUUGAGGAAGCAGAGAGUGUACCCGGAGCCAGAGGGAUGGUUAUGGAUCUCCCUGUAGCUUUGUGAGUGAACUCUGCAGGGAUUUUUUUACCUGGUAAGCAUACAUAAUCGUAAAUUGAUUUUUGUAUGAUUCCUCUUCUUGCUUCUUCAUCCAGUUUAAAACAGUUUCUGAAACUGAGUCUCUUGGUUGGGUUAUGGAAAGAGAAGCUUUUGAGUGAUACACAAUUGUCUGCUUCUAGGAGACGGAGGGAGGGGGGAAGACCCGGAAUUGACUCGAGUUUUGUGCAGCUUUCGACAGAAAGCCAUUCUAGACGAGUGAGACAUAUGACGCAAUCUGGAAUCGUCUCUAUAUCACUGCCAUCAAGAACAAGGUUAGUUAUAAAAAGUGGUACAUGUGUCAAUCUCUUGAGGCUUGUGCUGCAAAUGUUGAGGUGAUCAAGACGAGACAAACAUCCAGCAGCUGAUGGAGGGACAUCUUCUAUAUCUGUAUCUCCGAGAUUGAGAAACUCGAUGUUACUGGAGAUAUCUGGAAAAGUUGUCAACCGUGAGCAACCACCCAUGUCGAGUCUCUCAAGAGAUGCUAAGUUGAUGUUGGUGGGAAUAACUUGUAGCAUAGAGCAAUAAUCAACAUUUAGAAUCUUUAGUUUUUGUAGAUUCUUAAUAGAAGAGGGAAGCUCCACCAAACUUGUGCAGUACUCAAGUGUCAAUUCCUCGAGAUUAGUAGAUUUUGAAAGAUUUGGGAUUUCUUUCAAUUCACUUGAUAGCUUCAGAUCUAUGAUCUUGAGAUUAGGAAGGGACUGCAUGUUAAACACAACAAAUGAGAAACAUUUCUUAUUUUCAUUAGAAGCACUAGAAAGACUAUCAAAUACCAAACCUGGAUUCCUCCCCAGAGCUUCUCGAGAUUGCUGUGUCGCAUACGGAGUUUCACGAGGCGUUCCGGCUGAAAUCUUAAAGGCAGACUUUUUCUUGGGUAAUAUUUCCAAUGUAGUAACCUAAGAAGAGGUAAAUAAUCCAAAUCUUCUGGUAUUUGCAAACUCCUAUAGAUUGUUAGGAAUCGGAGAUUACGCAUUCCUUCAAAAGCCCCUUUACCUACAGAAACCUCUCCGAUAUUGGAUGUAUCAAAUGAUAUCCCUAGGACUGAUCCAGUACCCUACAAAAUAAUAUUGCCAAAGAAGACUGAUGAAAUUGUUAUCACUAAAAAUAGGCAAUAUACAUAUGUAAGAACUUAAACUUACUGUUUCGGUUGUCAGUACAUCACAAAUCUCAUCGGCCUCAGUUAAAAAUUGAUGUUUCCCGGGCUCGUCAGACUGUUCAUGAACUAUCUGUCUACCCAAUUGUUGUAGUAGAUGGUGCAUCACUAUAUGGCCAUAAGUAGAUUUAUGCACGAGAGACUUAUCGGCUAGGGUCUUCAAACCAUUUCUGACAUCCAAGUUACUGUCAGCUAGCAUGGUUGUCACAUAAUCAACCUUUUCAUAGUUGAAGAAGCAUGCAAUGUGAAGGAAUAGAGAUUGAUUUUUCUUCGUUAAUCUGUCAUAACCCACUUUUAAAAUGUCUUCAAUUCCUCGAUCAAGACUAGCUUCGAUGCUAGAUAAUUGAAGUUCCCACUCUUGCUUGCUCUCCCCACACAAAGAUUUACCCACGACACAAAGGCCUAAUGGAAGAUUGCCGCAAAGCUCUGCUACUUUAUUGGCAACCUCUUCAAAGCCAUCUGGUACAGAGCUUUGUUUGAAAGCAGAGAGACAUAAGAUCUCAAGAGCUUCUUCCUCGGAUGGAAAAUCCACAUGGUAGAUAUCCUUGAUCCCAUGUGCCUCCAAAAUCUUCUUAUCUUCUGUGGUAACGAUGAUCCGGCUUCCAAAACCAAACCAAGAACGUUCUUCAGCCAAAACCUCUAAUUUCUUUAGAUCAUCUACAUCAUCAAGAAUGAUAAGCACUCUUUGGUCGUGUAGCCUUUCUUUGAUUGCACCUAAAUGAUGUAUCUUCAUAUUCUCUUGGUUCAAAAUCUUAGACAGAAGAUGGUUUUGCAACCACAACUUGGAAUCAUGCUCAUCAACACCCAUUCUGCUCUUAAGACUUCCCUUGAGGUUCCCCAUAAUUUAAGUUGAAAACUGCUAGAGAGUUGGUUGUUUAAAGCUCUAGCAAUGGUGGACUUACCAAUCCCUGCAGGACCCCAAAUCCCAAUCAUCUUGACUUCAUCACUUUCCAAGCAUAACAAAGAGUUCAAUUUUGCCAAGUGAGCUUCAAGUCCCACCAUCCCGUCAAAAUCCUUGGACGGUGUAAGAUUAAGUUUGUUUAAAACAUCUGUAGCAAUCUUUUGGAUCAUCUCUGCUUCAUAAGGCCUAGCAAAAGCAAAACAAAUUCAAUUUGGUUGAGAAAAAAAUUGCUUGAGAAAGAUAAAAAGCACUAAAAAUACCAAUUAAGAGAGUGUUCCCCAGCAAUGGUUGCGACAUGUGCCAAAGCUUUGCUCCAUCUCUGCUUCAAUUCCUCAGUUUUCCCUUGACAAGUCUUCUCGAAAGCUUUCCCGAACUCUCCCCUCUGUUUUUUAACAUGAGAAGGAUUAACGUCGUAAAAAAUGGUCAUCAAAAUCUGCCCAUCAUCUUCUUUGCACUUCAAGAUUUCAAGCAGUUCAUCUAAACACCAGCUUGAAGAAGCGUACUUCUUCGAGAGCAACACAAUCGAGACUCUAGAUUCUCUAAUAGCUUGUACGAGCUCAGGUCCGAUCGGCUGGCCUCUAUCGAUCUUCUCAUCAUUGAAAGUCGUGAUACCUUUGCUUGCAAAGAGAUUGUGUAAAUGACUGAGAAACCCUCUACGGACAUCUGGACCAUGGAAGCUCGAAAAGACAUGGUAUCUCUUGAUGCAAGACAAAGAAGAAGAAGCCAUGAAAGAUCACAAAUGCUUGAAGUUGAAGAAAGUAUUUUUAGAAUGGUAUUGGAAAAGCAUGCUCCUUUGGUUUAUGUAGUGAAGCAAAAAAACGCGUAAAGAGAAGAGAAAUUUCGAAGAAGCGUGUUUCUUUAUAGUCGUCGAGGACCCAUCAUGACUCAUUAAAGCUUUGCCAUGUUCCGGUGAAAUGAGCACAGAGUUAUUAAGUAUCCGAUAGUCAAGUUGGUAGAGACGACGAAUCACCAAGUUUCGAAUGAGCUCUACCACAUAUCACUUUCUAAAUUUGGUUUGAAAAGUAAACCGGGUCUUUUAUUUGUUUUAAAUUCAAUAACAGUAAUAUCGAAUUAAUUUCUGCUUUUGGGAAUGAUGAUUUUGGAUGUUUAAUUUAGGUUUAUUCCUGCCAUUGUUUUUGUGUGUGUAGUGGAUGUAUUGAAAUAACGUGUGGCUUCUAUUUUAACAGCUUCUGUUUCAUUGGUGUGGAGGACACUCAGUUUCAUAAGUAAAACAAAAGUUAUCACACAAAUUAGACAUGGGCAAAUAAACCGAUCUGAAUGUACCAAAACGACACCAAAAUAAAAAGAAUUGAACCGAACUGAACCGAUAAUUUGAAAAUAACCAAAUGGAUACUAAAUUCUAUAACCGUAAAAAUCGUAACCGAAUCGGUAACGAACUGAACUAUUUCGGGUAACCAAAAAUACUCGAAAUACAAUUAUAUUUUCAAAAAUAUUAGUUAUUUAUACACCAAAUAAUCAAAAAUACUUGAAAAAUAUAUAUAAAUAGUAAAAUUACUCGAAAAUAACCAAAAAUAUCAGAAGAUACUCAAAAAUAACUGAAAUAUCUUAAAAUAUACAAAGCAAAAUAACCGAAUGGAUACUAAGGCCUUGAAUGUUUACUAGUUUUUGUAAUGGUUUUUGGUUUUUGUUUUUGAAAAACUCAGUUUCACCCAUUCAAGAUUUUGUGAAAAUGGUUUUCCUAAAAAAUAGAGAAUCUAGUUUUUGCAAGAUUUUGAUAAUUUUCAUUGACAAUCCAAAAUCCAUCUUAUUUGAGUUUUUCACUUUUUCUAAACAAAUUCUCAACGUAACAUUCUUUUUUUUUUCAUUUUUCUAAACAAAUUCUCAACGUAACAUUCUUUUUCAUUUUUCUAUUUUUUUAUUUCUUUUAUUUUUCCAAAAUCCAAAAACCAAAAACCAAAAUCUAUAAUCUAAAAACUAUUUAAAACCUCACAACCAUUUAUGGCCUAAACUUUAAAACCGAAACCGAAUCAAAAUUUCAAAAUGCCCUAAUGGGUACUAAAUUUUAGAAUCGAAAUAGCCGAAACCGAAUAAAAGUUUGCUGUUUAUUCUAAGGUUUAUUCUUCUUCUAUCCCUAAUAGUUUGCUGUAAAUGUUUGAGAGAAAGACUAUGCAAAAUUAUAGGAAAAUCAGACUUGGAUAUGGGCCACAAGGGAGUUAUUGGGCCACAACAUAAUUUUUUUUGUAGGCCUAAAAUAUGUUCUUCUUGUUCAUUUGUAUUAUAUUUCUUACUGUAUGUUAGUGUAUUGUAACCAGAAAUUGAAAGCCAUUUUUACAAUUAACCAUAUAUAUAUAUAAAAAAUAUAAUGUAUCUUAUAGUGUUAUGCACUGAUUUUUGGAAUCAAAUGAAAUUUCUAGAAAAUCAACUAGGAAUUCGUAGUUUAAUGAUAAAAAUAACAUUAGUAACCAAACAAAUUUUUGAAUGAAACCAAACCAAACCACCCAAUUUCCAAUCAAAAUUGGUUCAACUUUACCGGUUAAUAACCAUCCCGUCUUCUUCUAAACAAUUUCAAAAAACACUAAAAAGUUAAUUAAACACCCCUCCAUUUUCCUCAUAAUUACAUCUCUACCCCAACCACUUUAUUCCCUUUCACUAUCUUCCCCAAUUUCAAAUGAUCAGAUUACAGAUUCUUCAUUUUCCUCUUUACCUUCUCCAAUUUUUGAUUAGGGUUUCACAUUACAGAGAGAAAUGGGUCAGAUCCAAUACUCUGAGAAAUACUUCGAUGACACUUUCGAAUACAGGUAAGCUUCACAAUUUCGCUUCUUCUUCUUCCUCCAAUUUUUACUCUCAAUUCUCUAACCGUGAUCGAUCGAUACAGGCACGUUGUUCUUCCCCCUGAAGUCGCUAAGCUUCUUCCAAAGAAUCGUCUUCUCUCCGAAGUAAGUUUUGUCGCAUUGUUCUCUGAUUUCUGAUUGAUCAUCGAAGACUGUGAAAAUUUGUUGCUCUUACGAAUCUAAGUUUCGAUAAUCGAAAGAGACGAGAUAAUUUCUGGCUCAGGAUUUGAAUAUUUGCUCUGAAUCUGGGUUACAAUGUUGUUCUCUCUUCUUAGAUUUUGGAUUCUUUUGGGAGAUGUUGUUGAUAGAAGAUUAUGAAAUGGAGAUUAUAAGCUUGUUUGUGAGUUUUGUAGUUGUUAGUGAUGAUGAUAUUGUAGAGAUUAUUAUGUGCAAUCUCUUCGAUGUUGUAUUGGAGUAUUGUAUUGAUUAGUGAUGGUAAAAUGGUUGGGAUUUGUAGAACGAAUGGCGAGCGAUAGGAGUGCAGCAAAGCCGUGGAUGGGUACAUUACGCGAUUCAUAGGCCUGAGCCGCAUAUAAUGCUAUUCAGGAGGCCUCUUAACUACCAGCAGCAGCAGGAGAAUCAGGCUCAAAACAUGCUCGUUAAGUGAAUCGUCGAGUGCGUGUUUACAGUAAGUAAGAAUAUUAUGCAACAAUUCUAUGAAUAUCGAUUUAUGUUUCUUGUAAACAUGGUUUGAACCUUUGUGGUCAUGGAUGAAUAUGUGACUUGGUGGUGGAACAACUUCUAUGUUAUGUUAGUCUGGUUCUAGUGGCAUCUCCUGCUUCUCUGCUUUGUAUUUACUUAUUUCUCACACAUUUCAUGGUUGUUUACUCUUAUCCAAACAUGUGUUUGGUUUUAGAUAUUUUGUUAAAUGGUCACUGGAUAGUCAUGAGAACAAUGUGCCCUAUGUUUCUACUCAAUCAAAAAUCUAGAUGAAAAGAGAAAAAGAAAGUAGUUGCUAACGUUUUCGAUUCUUUUAAGCUCUAGUUUUUCAGUUUUGAGGUCUAUUGGUUUGUAAAUAACCAUUGUUUUUAUUGAUUAAUACAUUUUACAUUUCAACAAAAGAAAAGAGAAACUAGUUGCUGUAUAUAUUAUCAAAUUAGAUCUGAUUGUGUAUAUACUAUGGUUUUAUUCCAUUUUUUGGGGGGUCUUAUAAGGGUUAAUUAAAAUAGAUAGCCCAAAUCUGGAACUUAUUUCCAACAUAGUUUGACUAGCAAAAUUGUAAAGUAGAAAAUAGGGGUUUCCACUGUUUGUUGAUAAUUUUCGGAACUUUUUGUAUAUAGUGUGACAACACUAUUUUACACGAUGAUAGCAAUAUAAUUUAAUUAAUAAGGUUAUUAUUUUAUUGAUUAAAUCCUAUUAAUUAAAAUUUUUGUAUAUAAUGUAUCAUCGUAUAAAAUAGUGUCAUAAUGUAAAAUAGCACUCGUCAAAUAAUCUAUAUUAUUAAUUGGAAAGCAUUGGAUAAUAAAUAACCUUAUAAAGGGUAAAUAAUUACAAAAAAUGUCAUAGGUUUUUAGUGUUUUUAAAUAACUUCAUUAAGGGUACAAUAGUAAUCACAAAAUUAAUAUAUUUAAAUAAAAAAUAGUUUAAUUUUUUUAAAUAAUUAUUAAUUUCCAAAAAAAAUAAACUAAUUUUCUCUCUUAUUAAUUAUAAACGAAAAUUUGAAAUUAAUUUUUUAAAAAUUGUUAACCAAUAGGAAUUGAAAAACUAAGAUUUGAUAUCCAACUAAGAUUUUAAUUCAAAAAUAAAACAAAUUUCAAUAUACUAUUCUAUAUCAAAAAUACAACAGAACAAUAAUAUCAUUUUAAUUCAAAAUUAAAAACACUAUCAUUUAAAAGAUUUACCAAUGGAGGACUUUAAAAUUAUAUUUAAAAUUUUGUAAGAAAAUUAAAUACAAAUAUUUUAAGAUUCAGUUUUGUUAUAAUAUUUUCACAAAUUUUAAAAUAAUUUCACAAUUUCUAAAAUACAAUAUUAGGUAUUAACAACUCUUUAUAUUUAUAACGAAAUAAACUCAAAUAAUAAUAAAUUUAAAGUAAUUAUCAUUUUAGCCUUCGUUUAAAGCAAGUUUGAUAAAUAUCUAACAAUAGAUUGUAUAUAUUAAUUUCUAAAUUAUUUUGCGUUUUAUUUUUUGUUUUUCAACCGGAUCUUCCUUAAAUAAAUUUCUAAUAUAUUGCACACAGUUUUCAAAUAAUGUAAACUAAUUAUAUAUUUUGAAUUCAAAACAAAUUAUGCAGCAAUAGCAUAUCUCUUUUAAAAAUGUAUCUCAAAUUUUUAUUUUUAGUCCAAAAAUCAAAUUAAUUAUGAUUAAACAAUAAAAAGAAGAAUAUGCAAAAUUUAGCUAAGGAAAGAAACAUUAAUAAAUUUGUUAAAAUAUAUUUGUAACUUUAGCAGCAUAUAUAUUAAUCUACAAAACUCACAGUAUGUAUAUGGUAUUUAAAAGUACGCAAAUAAGAAUUUGGAACAUGAUUUUAAUGGAAUGAAAUGAGAAUAUGAAUUACGAGACGGAAUGAGAGGAGAACAUAAAUUAAAAAUCAAACUAAAUACCCAAUUGGUAUGAGUUCAGGUUAUGAGCACUAUAUAAAAUAAAUUUGUUUACAUACAUAACCCUGUACGUACGUUUUCAGUUACACAUAUUCUAUUUAUGCCGGAUACUGGACUGUCAUAUUUUUAUUUCACGUAUACAAGACGGGUUAUGGGACCAAGAAUUUAUGACAGAUAUAGGACGGAAUAUGUUUCCCGUUCUAAAAUAGUUACGCCUAGCUAAUAUACAUGAAAUAACCAAACUCAAACCGAAUCUAUAUCCUAUUUAACACAUGUAAUCAAACUAUUAGAAAUGUUUUGAUUAGUUUAGAAAAUAAAAAAAGUAACAUCAUUUAACUUUUGCAACUAAAUUAUAUCUUAGUUUUAUCUUAAAUAUAAUUUCGCACGUACUUGUAGGUCCGGAUCUUAAAAUAUAACUAUGCACUAACGCAACUGAAUUUUAUUUAUUACUCUAAUUUUAUAUUAUUUGUACUAUUAUAAAGUUCACUAACACAACAAAAUAUUUUAUAUUUUUAAAAUCUAUAUAACAAUUUCUAUAAAAAUAUCUCUACACGUACGUGUGAAUCCAAAUCUAAUACACUAAAAUAUAUAUCAUAAAAACAACAAAAUAAUUUAUAUUGAAUUAAAAUUUGUUAGAACUUUUUAAAAAAUAUGAAACCCCGCACGUACGUGCGGGUCAUGAUCUAGUGUUUAUAUAUAAAAGAGCAACAAUUACUAUGUAAAAACAAGGUGUCAUCAGAUUAAAUAUAGUGUGAUAUGUUUAUACAUUGCCAAAAAAAAACUAUAAUGUUACUCUUAAAAAAAACUAUAAUAAUAAAUAAAUAAAUAAAACAAGUGCAAAAAACUGUAAUGUUCUCUAUGAUUAUUUUACAUAAGAAAAUAUUUAAUCACUUUGCAAAGUGAAAAGUCGAACUUGUACCAAUCCAAUCUAUAAUAGAUUUGGUUUUAUUAAGGUUAGUAGUUUUUAAAACAAAAAAUAAAAACACAGAAAGAACUAAAUCUAGGUUGUACAUUCCCCCUACUUCAAACUGAUAUGAUUGGAUAUUUGGAUUGGAAUAUAAUAUAUAACCAAAUGAUAUCAAAUCGACGAAAGAUAUUGAUAAGAUUCAUAAUUUUGCCCUACAAAAAAAAAAAGUAAGAUAAGAGAGUUCAAACACAUGGAGAAAAAGAAAAGUACAUGUUCCAAUAAAAGACAAAUCAAAGUUAUACGAACAAACCUCUAGUUGAUGUUCGUAUUCACUUGACGCUUAUGUUUGCUCUUUGAUGUGAUAAGACUCAAAAAGACCACACCAAACAAAGACAGCUCAAUGUCUCCUUAAAGCCUUUAACCUAACACAUGCACAAUCUUUCUUCCUUCUUUGUUUUGAUGAGGUAAACAUUUGCUUUCUUGUUCAUUUGUUUUGUGUUUUCUUUAGUAAUUGUAUUGUGCCCAUCAAUCUUUUUAACCCUAUCAAUUUUUUUAUAUCACUCGUAUUUACAUCUAUUUUAACUAUAGUUCACAUAUACAUUUUUUUUUACUGAGACCUUUUAAACCCUAUGUUAGGGGAACAAGACAUCUUAGAAGAAUUUGUGAUAACUGUUGUCUAAAUCACUAAUUCAUAAUUUACAAAAGAUAAGACUUAAUAUGAUCAAAAGGGUGGUGGCUUGGGGGUAGUACAAGGGGGUUGGAUUUUUUUGUACCCCGAUUCUUUUGGUACAAAAGGUUAUUCUUUAAAUUGUAAUAUCUAAAGACUGACUUAAGAUACAAGAACUCACACAGUUCAUUUAAAAAAAAAAACUUAGUAUGAAUUGGCAUGAUGAAUUAAAUUUAAGAUCACUAGGUAUGUAGGUUAGCUAAUUUAAUUAGAUUUUUUUUUUUUUUUUUUUUGUAUUGGGGUUAUAUUUGAUUUGGUUAUAUUGCUUGCUUUAGAUUAACCACUUGAGACAUAAGUAUUGAACGUUGCUUCUAUCUAUACUAUUAAUUGGGAAUCACUCAAACAUAAGUAACCUUAUUUUGGUAGAUUAAUUACAAAGAAUGCCAUUGGUAUUUUUAAAUUUGAAAAAGAAUAAAAAUAUAAUAUCCAUUUGAUAUUUGUUUUCUUAUAUAAAACAAAAUCCAAAAUUAAAUCAACAAAUUAAUAACUACCCAAUAUUUAUGGAAAUUGUUUGAAGUAGUUCCCAUAAAAUAAACAAAUUAAUAACUACCCAAAAUUUAUAGAAAUCUUUUAAAUUAGUUUCCAUAAAAAAUCUAACUAUUAAUUUCAAAAUUGUAUAUAUGUAAACUUAUUUAAUUUCGUAAUAUAUUUUGAAAUAUUUCCGGAAAACAAAAAAAUCAAUUUAAUAUCAUCAUAUAUUUUCGAUUUUAAUUUAUUUCUUUAAGAAAAUAUAAAAAUAAAUUAUGAUUAAUGGUUUGACCAAAAAAAAAAAAUUAUGAUUAAUGGAAGAAUUUUUUUUUGAAAUUGUAGAUAUGUUAACUUAUUUAAUUAGGCGAGGUAAUGUUAGAUAUUUCCGGAAACGACAGUCCAAUUUAAUAUAAUUGAAAAAUAACAAACAAUAGUUUAUUUUUGAUUUUUAAAAUUUCCAUAAUAAAACUAUACUAAUUAAUUUUGAUUAGUUUAGAUGGAAGAAAUAAAAAAGCAAAUUUGAUUAUUCCAAUGUUUUAAGAAACAGUUAUUAUAUUUCCCAAAUAUAAUAUAAACUAGAUAUUUUGUAUUUUGAAAUAUAGAAUAUUCCUCGAAUAAAUUAGAGAUUUUAGAUUCGUCAAAAUCUCGAAAUAUUUUCUGAUUUGAAUGCAAUUCAUAAGCUCUAGACAAUCCAAACUUUCAUCUCAUGUUUUGAUUUAUUUAAUUAAAUAUAAUAAUUUAAAAAAAUCAGUAAAUAUAUAUUAGGCUAAUAAGACUUUAUUAGUAACCUAUAAAAUGUUGCCCACUACAUAUAAAAUAACAUAUGUAACACAUGUAUCACUACAUUAAAAUUGUCGGACCAUAUAAUAAUAUAAUCAGUUUAAAGAUUAAUUUAGAAAAUUAUUAUUACAACAAUUAAAAAAUUAUCAUGUGUUUUCCCAUGGUUAACACACUAUUGUUUUAAAACAUCUACACACAACUCUUCACUAACCAUAAAUUUUCCAUUUACACCAAACUAUUAAUACACUACAUAAAAUAAAAUUGUUUUUGUAACACUACUGUAUAUCAAUCAAAACUAUAAUAUUUUCACAUUUUAUAUAAUUUUUAACUAUUUUUAAAAAAAUUUAAGAUUUAAAAUUUUUUAUAAUUUACCCCGCACGAACGUGCGGGUCCAGAUCUAGUACUUAUUAAAUUAGCCAUCCACAUAAAAAAAUACUCUCUUUGUUUCACAUUAUAAGAUUUUCUACUUAAACACACACAAAGUUUAAGAAACUAUAUAUGUAUUGUUACUUUUACAUAAAUAUAUAACUUUUUUUUAAUCAAUAGAAAAAAAAAGAUAAUACAAAUGGUCAUAAUAUACUAAAUAAUAAACAUAAAUUAUGCAUAUAUAUUUGAGAAAAUCUAAUAAAAUGAAACAGAAGAAAAGUCUAAAACAUCUAAUAUAUUACCACAUACAGAGUAUUUGUUACCACCUCAUUACCAUUUAUUUAAUUUGUCUAAUAUAUCACCUCAUCUAUACUAGUAUAAUCGCAGCACUUUUUGUGACAGGUGGGUAAAAAAGCUUUCGGGUAUAUCGGAUAUCCGACCCAUUUUAAAAAUUCCUUCACAAAAAAUUUGUUGGGUCGGGUUAUAUUUAACCCAAUUCAUACACCGGAUAUUCCAUAUUUAAUAAUUUAGAUUUUUAGAAGAUUUGAUUAAGAUUUAUAAUUAUGAUUCUCCUAUCAUUUUUGUUUGAUUUGUUUUUAACUGUUUUGAAUCAUCAUAUAAUACAUAAAGUAAAAAAAAAAAAAUCAAUUUUUUUUCUGCAUAUACUGUGAUUCGAAAUUUUAAAAACGGACAUAUAUUAUCCAAUUGACGAAAAUGUGUGUUCAACGUUCUACAUCGAUUAAAAUAUUUAGACAAUGAUUCAGAAUCAUAUCAUAAAUAAGAACAUUAAUAAAAUAAAUGAGUUUUUUGGCGGGAUGGGUUUGGCGGGACGGGUUUUUGAAUCAACAAUAAUAAAAAGAUUAAAAUAUCAUUAAUCCGCCGCUUCAAUACGGAUUUAAUCCUUAUUUUUUUUAAUACAAAUCACAGGACGAGUUAAGAAAUUACGGAACGGGUUAUAUUUCGGAAAUGAUUUAUAUGGCGGACGAAUUUGAAUCAAUAUUUAUAUACCGCUUUAAUACGGGUUAAAUCCUCAGUUUAUUAAUAAUUAUCUCAUGGACUCGUGGUAUACCGUUACUUAAUAACAAUUGUAAACUAUAAUAUAAAUAAAUAUGUUAUAAGGAGAUACAAUUUACAAAAUAUUUUUAUACUAACUUUAAAAUUAAAUCAUCCCACGAUGUACCGCGGGUUAAAAUCUAGUUAUCAUUUAUUUAAUUUGUCUCAAACAAAACUUCAUCUCACGUAAUUACUUGUUUUAGAUAAGCGAAUUAUAUAUGCUUCCUCCAAAUUAGUUGUAACUGAUUAUUAGUUUUAACUUUGAACAUUAAAUGCAUGUAUAUUUGAAGUUAAUGAAUAAAUACAUAUACGUAACUCAUUCACCGCACGGUCCGCACCCUCCUUUAGGCCCCUCCAGUAUGUGGUUGAGUGGUGCUACGAUGAUUAACACGCUCAUCUUAAAUAUGACUUUUAAAAAGGCUUUAUAGAAAAUUUAAAGUGUUCAUGAUUAUCAAUCUAUCCAACAUUAAAACAAAAAAUUAUGAAUAUGGACGGCGAUAAGGUGAGAGAGAGGACUUUGCAAAACAUACCUACAAAAUGCGAACGACCAAAGUAAAAACUUUAUGAGAUAUAUAUAGUGGUCACAAAUUCAUAAAAUCUAUACAAAUUAAAAUUUCGUGAAUAUGGGGUCAAGUUCAGCUCUUUGUUUACUGUAUUACUACUACACCGCACGUAUUUGCAUCAAAAUCAUGGAGAAAAAAAUUCAGAAACUGAGGUAUUUAGAUACUAGUCUCAUUUUUAUUUUACUUUUUCCAUAUAAAUUGGAGAAAUUAUUAGUUUCUGAAAAUAAAUUGUUAUGAAUUCAGUCAAGAUUUAGUUUUACUUAAGAAAAUUUUAAUAGAAUAACAUAAACAAUAUUAAUUCACAUCAAUACUCUAAAAAUGCAUCAACUAAUAAAUAAUAAAAUGCUUUUGAAAAAGGUAUUUGGAAUCCAGAGAAACACUUUAGAUAUCUUAUUAAUUAUCCCUUUUAUAUUUUGAAUGAGAAAAGAAGCUCUAAAAUAUUCUAAGGCAUGGGCCCAUGAUUUAGCCAAUGUGCCUAAUGAUAUCUAAGGUUCUAUUAACAUUGGCCAUAUUAGCGAAUGGUCGGGCUAUUAAGCAACAUUGAAACUUUAACUAAAGAAUAAUAUGAUUGAGUCUAUAUUGAACCAAUGUGGUUCAUGAAAAUAGUCUUAUUUAGACUAUGAUUGAGGCCACUAACAAAUUCCGGCGGCAGAUCAAAAAGUCAUUCAAACUAGUUAACAUGUUUUCUUAAAUUUUCAGGGAAAUUGGAACCAAGCUUUAGCUUUUCUUUUCUUUUAAUACUUUGUUUUCAAAAUCAUAUGGUAUUAUAGAUUUAUGUAUCGUUAGUGGUCUUCCCUUUUCUGUUGUAAUUAAUCAUUGUUUUGAAUCUUUCAUUCUAUAUGGUCACGCCAUAUCACAUCUUUUCACUUUGUUCUUCUUCUUUUCUUGAUGGAGAAAUAUAAGAAAUUAAAGAAGAUAAGUUAUAUAUACUCAUUUAAAUUAAUAUAUAAAACUUUCGAUUUUUCAGAGCGAGAUGCAUGCACUUCUUAUUUCGUUUUUUUUCUUAAAGGAAAAGUAAUUGGGUUUUGUUGAACUUGUAGGUGCAUGUAAGUAGUUUCAUUUACAUACAUUAAUUAGAAAGUAACAAGAUUUUGUAAGGUAUGAGUAGCUAGGAUUUAUGAAAAAACAAAACAUUUAUUUUAGACUAUACUCAGAAAUAUAUAGCUUUGGUGUAAUUAAAUUUCGAAAAGUCUGUCUUUUUAUUGAAUACAUGCAUGCAUUCGUUUGUUUGAUCGACGUCACAUGAAUUUUUCUCUUCUUUUCUCAACCAACCAUUUUUUUUCCAUUAAAAAAAAUUCCAUAAUAUAGGCAUAUAGCUUGAGAGAAAUUUAGCAAAAUUUAUGAUGGAUUUUUGACAAUAUAACAACAGAAUAAUAUAGAUUUUUUAAUAGAUUAUUAUAAAAAAUCUAAUACGGGAUAUUGACUAUUGGUCUUCAAAGUUUUCUUCUAUUCAGUUUAUGUUCGUUAGACGUUCGGGCAACAGUGUCGCUCAUAAUCUAGCAAAGUUCAGUUCUUUCCAUGGUGAUUUCUUUUCUAGUUCUGUAGAUUAGCCUUUGUGGCUUAAACGAUUGGUUUGUAAAGAUUAUUUCAUUACUUAAUAAAGUAUAACAGUUUGCAGGGGAAAAAAAAAAAAAAACAGAAUAAUAUUAAUAUUGUGAAAAUUUGGGUGAACGACCUGUGUCCCCCCACGAAAUUUCAUAUAGUACCAUAACAACACAGAUUUCGGGUCUCGUCUCCAGUUCACAUAAAACGAAAGUUAAACUCCAGUUUCCCCCUAAAUUGAAAGUUCGAGACCUCAGUCUCCAUAAAUUUAAUUUUCGUGGUUUAUCAUUGGUUUACUGUGCCGAACUCGAUGCCAAACCAAAACCCAGAAUAAUAAACUGAUUUGAAACCCAAUUUGAGUUAUCCCAACCCGAAAUAAAUAAACCACUCUUAAAUCAUCUCUCUCGCCGAAAUAAAUACUUGGUCGGUUCAGUCACCGGCGGCGACCGACGAAGCUGUCGGGUUUGGGUUCGUCGUCGCCUUCAACCCAACGAGAUUAAACCAACGAAUCAUCAAAAUUUCCUAGUAAUGAAGAAAAUUUAUGCAAAUCAUGUAAGACUAACAAGAAAAAAGGAAGACUUUGUUAAACUCAAAUCUGUUUACAAGAGAAAAAAUACUAUCUUUUUGAAGACGAGAUGAUUAAUAAACCUUAGCACAGCUCUCAAUCUUAAACUCAAUUGUUUGUCUCACAAUGUAAUAGUUUGGUUGAUUUUGGUCAACGAUGUUAUCAAUCUCGUUUAGAAAAGCAAAUCGGCUUCUUGGCGUUGACCAUAUUCCUUUCUCUUUCUUUAGCUAUGGUUGCUCUGCGUUUCUUCUUCUCCUCGUCUCUUCUUAUUCUUCUUCUUCUUAUCAGGCUUACCUCGACGUUUGCUAUCCAAGAAGCCACCAUUGAAGACAUCAGACUUGCUUUUAAGGAGAAACGACUAACAUCAAAGCAGCUUGUUGAGUUGUAUCUCGAAGCAAUCUCCAAACUUAAUCCAAUACUCCACGCAGUCAUCGAGACGAAUCCUGAUGCGUUGAUUCUAAAUACUUAUUUCAAGAAUCCCCAAAUUGAGAACUCACUGAUAAUUUCUUCUCCGGUGAACUUCCGACAACGAUCCGUCGAUGUUCUCGAUCAGAUUUACCUCUCAAACAACUGGUUUUCUGGCGAGAUUCCACCUGCGAUCGGUAAUUUCCCCAAUUUACAGACUCUGUUCUUAGAUCGGAACCGAUUUCGCGGGAAUUUACCGAGGGAAAUCUUCGAAUUGAAGCAUUUAUCGAAGAUCAACACAAGUGCGAACAAUAUCACCGGUUCAAUCCCUACCAGAAUCGGAAACAUGACGAGUUUAACAACUCUCGAUCUCUCUUUCAAAGAUCUCUCCGGAAGAGUACCACUCGGUGGUCAAUUCAUGGUUUCACGAUUUGUGGGAAUAUCGGGGUUAAUGGGUCAACUAAUUGGGUUGGUUUCUGGGUAAAUCCGGUUUACUUUCGAUGUGAAGCGGUUAAUUGGGUUUUCGGCACAGUAAACCGAAGAUAAACCACGAAAUUUGAAAUUAUGGAGACUGAGGUCUCAAACUUUCAAUUUAGGGGGAAACUGGAGUUUAACUUUCGUUUUGUGUGGACCGGAGACGAGACCCGAAAUCUGUGUUGUUAUGGUACUAUAUGAAACUUCGUAGGGGGACACAGGUCGUUCACCCUGAAAAUUUCGAUGGUUGGAAUGUGAUUGUGAAAGACCAGUCACGAACAUUGUAACACACUACUCAUUUCUUAAUAUAAAUUGUGGUCCAUAAGGAGAAGCUUUUAAAAAUUGAAUACAUUACGUCAUUACCUAUAUCACUUAUACACAUUUAACUUUUUAGUAGUCUAACAGAACUUAUAACACUAAAAUACAUUUAAAUUUUUGGUAGCCAUUAAAUAAAAAUUAUUUAUUUAAACGUAUUUAAGUUGAAACAAUUUAUUCUAUUUAAAAAUCAUUUUUAAUACCAUAUAUACAUGUCCGAAACUACACUGAAAAUGUCUCAUGGUGUUUGCAAGCCAAACUUUCUUUCAAAUUCUCAAAAAUAGAGAAUGAAAAUGAAACCCACAUACCCAAAAUAAACUGAGAUACAUGGGAUCCACAUAAAUGACAUUGUAGGUGUUACAAAUAAUAUGCUGCAUAUAUAUCUCCUUUCUCAUACUUUUUGUAGGUGUUACAAAGAAUAUGGUAUAACUCGGUCUAAUAUUUCUCUUUGUUUUUAAUUUUUCUCGGUUUUACAAUAAGUAACAUGAUCUUCUUUAAUAACUUGAAUUAACGUUUAGAGUAUUCGAGAAGGGAAACAAAAACAGCCCAAAUGGAUUAAACAAACAUUGAAUCGGUUAAAUUGGUAAAUUUUAAGAGAAAUUGUUAAUAAUGUCCUGUUUCACGCACCCUUUUUUAACAUUGCCCCUUUUUGCUUGCCAUUUUUAAAAAUACCCCUUAAUUAAUUCAAAUAUGACCAAAGUACCCUUGCUUUCAUAACCUAAGAUCUGCACGGUUCUCUCAACCAUUCUCUCUCUUUCUCUCAUUUCGAUCGGCGACGAUUUUCCGAUCUCGAUUCCGAUAUCUCGAUUCCGAUAUCAAAUCGGCGUCUCCUUUCGAUUUCGCUUUCUAUCGGUGGUAAAAUCUCGUUGUUCGUUUUCGAUUUGAUCUGUUCGAUUUCGAUCGGCGUUAACAUCUUUUUGUUCGAUUUUGAUUUCUCAGCGUCUCCGUCUCCGUCUGUGUUUUAUUUCGAUCUGUCCCACAUCGAUUCCAGGUUAGAUUCCUCACUAUGUUUUAGAAGCUUUUUUGAAAGGUUUGUCUUUUGGAAGUUAGAUUCUGUGGUUAGAUUCUGUGUUUCUGUGAAAGUUUGGUCUUCUUGAAGCUUUUUUGAUCUCAUUAUUGACUGAUAACGCUUGAUUUGACUGCUUGAUUUUGAACUGUAGAUUUUACAACAUUUUUAAAGGUUCGUUCUUAACUUGUAAAUGCUUCUUAAUGCUUGAUUUAGGGUAUAUCCUCUCUGAUUUAUUCCAUUUCUUGAUUUUAUAACCGUUAACUGUGGAUUUUACAACAUUUUUUAAAGGUUCGUUCUUAAUGCUGAAUUAUUCAUUUGCUGUAAUUUACAACCGUUUUAAAAAGGUCUUAAAUGCUGAAUUAUUCCUUUGCUGUAUUUUACAACCGUUUUAAAUGUUUUACAUUCUUGAUAUGGUUUUUAUGCUUGGUAUGUGAAUAAUUUUCUUAAAUCCUUUUCAAUCAAAAUUCGGAUAGCUUUUUACAAGUAUUCAGAAUGUUUUUAAAAAGUUUUUAUAACUCAUCUUAAAUAAUUUACAAGGUUUUUUAAAAAGUUCUUACAAAGGUAUUCAAACUUUUUUUGAUCCGUUAAGUAUUAUUAUUAUUAUAGGAUCCAUAGCUGGGCAACACUCUCUUGAACCAAAGUUUUUAAAAAGUUCUUAACUGUUCACACACACACCUCUUGAACCAAACUUUUUUGUUACAUAUUGUUUUUUGUUUACUGAAUAUGAUUGUUUUGAUUCUGUAGCAGUCUGACAAAGCUUGUCCCAAUAUAGAUGGUGAUAUUGGUGUUGAUGGUGAUAGCAGAGAAGGUGAUGAAUGUGGUCCAAGUAGAGAUGGUGAAAUUGAUGUCGAUGGUGAUAACAAAGAAGAUGAUGAAUGUGGUCCUAGUACAUUUGAAGAUUCCAUUCGUGAGCCUAACACAGAGGACGGGAGCUAUGCUGGAGAUGAUGAAAACAGCCAGAAGAUUCGUUCUGAAGAUGAUACAGCUGAACCUACAGCAAAGGUAUAUUGAUCUACUUUUGUUUAAAAAGUCCUUGAUAUCUGAGUAUCAUUUUUGGUACUAAUCCUAUGGUUUUACAAGAGGUUUUAAAGUGUUUUAAACGGUUUUACAAGGGUUAAUAUGUUUUACAAGGGUUUUAUAAGGAUUUUACAAGGGGUUUUAAAGUGUUUUAAAUGGUUUUACAAGGGUUUUAAAAAGAUUUUAUAUAGAUCUUACAAGUGUAACAACUUUUUGAAAACCCCUACCCUAAAUUUCUCUACUCCAAAUUUCAUUAUUAUCUGAUAAUCAUUUUUGGUACUAAUCCUAUGGUUUUAAACACUUUUAUAGGAUAAAACCCCUACCCCAAAUUUCUCUACUCCAAAUUUCAAUAUUAUCUCUGAAGAUAGUCAGGAUAAGGAGAAGGAAGGAAUUUCAGUUUCUGAAACAAACAAUGAGGCAUGUAAGAAAAGUUCUGAAAGUAAGAAGUACUGUAGAAAGAAGAGAUAUGUCAGAGAAAGAAAAGAGGUUAGUAUUCAAUAUUAUAAAAGAAGAUUUCUUACAAAAUGAAGGUCAAUUUAGAGAUAUGUUUUAAAUGUUUAUAAUGAAAUAUAUUCAAAGUACUUACAGGGGACUUUUUUUUACUUUUUUCACCUGCAGACAAAUAAGCGUAAACAAGGGGAUAAUUCUUAUAAUGAUAUUCCUACAAGAAAACAGGUAAGAAUUCAAUUUUGUAAAACAAUCUGUUCGUUUUUAUAAACUAAUUUCACAAGGAAUGCAUUGUUGCAUUUCUUUUGUACAUAUAUAAGCAAAGACAUUACAAGUUUUACAAAUUGUAAUGUCUUUUAUUACUUCACAAGGAAUGCAUUGUUUUAAACUGAGUAUUCGUGGCAUUGUUUGAAAUUUUUACAAGUUGUUUUUAUAAGUGUUAUUUUGUUUUUUUUGUUUGCAGCCUCAGAGAAAAAAAUGCAAAAAUACUGACAAAGUUGCUGCUGAUCUUGGAACAAGAACAUGUGAUCAAGAAUUAGGGGAUAAAGCUGAUAAUGAUGUUCCACUAAAAACUAGUCAACAAGAUGUAGAUAAUAAAUCAAAAGCUGAUGGUCCAUCAAGAAGAAGCCAGCGAAGUCAAGUGCCUUCCAUUUAUUCUCAGCCACCUUACACGGCAGAGAAGAAGAAGCACCCAACACUUCACCCCUUUGCAAAAGUUGACACAAAAAGGUUUGAAAGUUUAUGUGAAUGGAAGAAGUCGACAAAAAACAAGUGAGUUUUAAGUUUGUAAAACUCAAAAUAAUAUUCAUAACGUAUUUUAAAGGUUUUACAUCAUCUCUGACUUUUACAAUGUAUUUUAAAAUGAUUUUACAACGUAUUUUAAAGAUUUUACAUUGCCUCAUUGGAUGUUACAUUGACUCAUUGGAUGUUCUUAUAAUUAUAUAUAUAUAUAUAUAUAUAUAUAUAUAUAUAUAUAUAUAUAUUUGUUGUAGGGUGCUAACAGUUGGGGGAAUCAAAGUAGAUUCCAAAUGGUUCACAACACUAGAAACGCAGGGGAAACCAAUAUCAGGAUCGGUAUGUAUGAUUUUCUUUCAAGUAUUCUAAUCUUGUAAAACUUUAAAAAACCAUUGUAAAUUUUAAAGUUCAUAUAGACUAGCAAACAUGAGUAAUUUGUUUUCCUUUUUGUGUGUGUUUUUCUUAGCAUGUUGAUGCAGCUUUACACUUGAUCAAAACUAGAAGGGAAAAUCAUCCAGAAAUGUACCUUAACAAAACUGUUGUUUUUGUUGGAUCAUCUUUCUUAAAUGCGAUUGACGAUGAGUAUGCUGAGUUUGUAGUCGCAAAAGAUGAUUUUCAGUUUAGUUCUGAAGAGAUAAGUAAGCUGGAGAUUGGAAGCAAGACAAAUUACAUAUAUGCUCCUAUGUGCUUGAAAGGAAAAUGUUGGGUUCCAGUAGUGAUCAAUAUCGAGAGAAGGUCUUUGAUCAUUCUCGAUUACGCGACAUCAUUUGUUUCAGAAAAUGUUAAAAGGAUGCAUGUGGUUGCAUAUUCUGUUGCGAUGCCGUACAUUUUGCGCAAGCUCCUCAACAAAACAGAUAUGGAUGUUUCAGCAUUCAAAAUAUCUGUAGUGGACAAUAUAUCACAGGUAAAUUUUGUGAUAAGUGAGAUUGUAGAUUGUAUUCAUUAAAACCUUUUUUAUAUGUCUUUUUUUGUUUUUGAUGCUAGGCUGAAAAGAUUGAAGAUACUGGGAUGUACAUGAUGAAGAUGAUGGAAUGCUAUGCUAUGCAUAUUAAUGCAAAUGAGAAACUUUCAGAAGGAAAAAUUGGAGACAUGAGAAAGAAACUUGCGGUUGACAUCUUUACAGAAAUAACAGAUUUCUAGGUAAGACUUCUCUCAGGUUUUAACAUGUAAAUUAGAAACCUACAACUAAGCUUAUAUUUCUUGAUUUAUUACUUUGAUCAGGGGCUAAUUGUAAGAGCUGGGAAGAAAAGAUUGCUGGGGGAAAAAUGAUCUGUUCUUUUUGAAGAAAACGUUGCUGUUUUACAAAUUUUUAAUUUUUGCUGAGAAUAUCUGUAGUGAUUUUCGCAUGAAUUUUACUUUGUAUAACUCUCUAGUUGUGAAUUUAAGUUUUUUUUUUCUAUGUACCUGCAUCUAUAACAUCCAAUCUUCAUUUAUACCAUUUUAUCUUUUGAUGUUAAUUUUUAAAAGCUAUCUAAACAUUUUACAAUGUUAAGUCUUCAUCUAUACCAUUUUAAUGUUUUUACAAUGUAUAUGAUUAUAUAUAGAAAGAACUUUUAAGGUUUUACAAUGUUUAUAAGCUUAUGAAAAUAAAACCAUCUUAUUUAUAUUUUUAUCAAAUUUUUCAUGAUUCUUUAAAUUUACAAUUGUUUUACAAAGUAUUUUCAAGUUUUUAAAAGAUUUUUCAAAAUUUUGCAAGGUAAUUUUAGUUUUAUAAUAUAUUUUUCAAAGAUUUACAGUGUGUUUUAAAAGUUUAUAACGUGUUUUAAAAUGGUUUUACAACCUGUUUUUAAUCGAACUAAGAAUAAGAUAGUUGUAAAUAGUUGGGCCGAAAUAAAAAAGAAAAAACCUUUAAAACACUUUAAAACCCAUUUGAUAGAGAAAAAAAAAAAUAGAAGGGGAAAAAAACCGAUUCUCUCAGUCUCCUUCUCCGUUGAGUACAAGAAGAAUAAAUUAAGGGUUUUCGCUUAGCUUCACGGCUUUAGAUUCUACAGUUUUGGUUCCAUCUCGGCUUCUCCGUUUUCAUAAGGUUCAAUCUCGUCUUCUCCGUUUUCAUAAGGUUCAAUCUCGACUUUUCGGCUUCUUCGAUUUCAUCUGCCUAGGGUUUUGGGUUCCGUCACAUCAGUCGAUUUUACGGUUAAAUUACUUUAAAACUUCGUUACUUUUUUGAUUCAUAUGCCAAAUUAGGUUAUUUCCCCUUCAAAAUCGAGUUUUUGUGACAUUGGAUGAUUUUUGAAAUUUUGUGAUUUUAUAAGGGUUUUACAAGGGUUUUUAUAGGUUAAUAGGACUUAAAAGGACUCUAGAAAUUCAAUUAAUUUUACCUUUGUUUUAAAAUCUUUUACAAUCGAUUUUACAAGCAAUUUAAAUGGUUUUCAAAAGGGAUCUAAAUGGUUUGAUUCUUUGAGAAUGUGUUUUGAGUAUUGAUGAGACUUUUCACUUUUCACAAAGCUUCCAAGUAGGUAAUGAUGUUUGCAAUGUACUACUCUAUUUGCAUUUCUAGAGUUGUUCGUUUACAUGAUUUAAUUUUACAUGCGUUUUAAAGCUUCUUAAAGCUGUUUUACAAGCAGUUUAAAAGCUUACAAAGGGGUUGUAAAUGGUUUGAUUUUUUUGAGAAUGCUUUUUGAUGGAGAUGUUUUAAUUGUUUUUCUAUCUUUCCUGCAACAGAGUGAAAAAUGAGUCAACCUACAAAGAGGCUGUUUCUCCCAAAAAGAUUGAUUGACCCAGGGAAUGAGGUGGAUAAUUUGAAAAGAAUAUCAAAGUAUUCUUCAGAGAAACUUGUAUUGAAUGUUGUCAAGGAUUCACUUAGUCCCACUGAGUUCAAUCGGAUUCAGAAUUCUUUCUUGGGACCAAUCAUAGAUUUUGCGGAACGUGAAGGGAUCUGUUUCUCAUCACAGCUGGUCCAUCACUUUCUUCAGAGAAGAAUAAUGGUUAACAAUGAGGAGUUGUGGUUUGUCUUCUCAGAACAACCCCUCAGAUUUUCUCUGAGGGAGUUUGUUAUUACUACAGGGCUGCCUUUGGGUGAUGAUGCAUCACAAAGCCAGUCAAUACGAAAAAAGAGAAAGAAAGAAGAUACAUGGAUGAAGGAUGGUUUAAGUUUGAAAGAUCUCCUUAAUACCUCGUCUACAAAACGCAAUGCGAUGGAUGCUGAUGAGAGGGUUAGGUUAGGUGCUCUGAUUCUAGUGGAGGGCAUCUUAAUUGCUUCAAACCCUGUAAACAAUAUAGAGAAAGAACAUCUGGUAAGAGCUAGUAGUUUCACAGAGUUCUGCAAGUAUCCGUGGGCUCGCAUUGUUUACGGGUCUUUGGUGGAUUGCUUGAAGAAGAUAACUCCGACUCAAUUGUUUAGAAACCAAUGUGGGCUUCCUGGGUUUGUUUUUGCAAUCCAGAUUUGGGCUUUAACCGCAGUUGCAGAGUUGGGACAGAAUUUUGGCAGUCGGGUCCUAGAACCCAACGACAAUCGUCCACUGAUUUCGCAAUGGAUGACAACAAAAUGCCCAACUAAGAAAGAUAUAGCAAAAGUUACAAAGGUUGCAACGGUAUGACAGUUUUUCUCUACUACUUUUUUCCAACUAAUAAGGUUUACAAUUGUUUUACUUUGUUAUACAAGAAUUUUAAGAAGUUUACAAGGGUUUUAAAAAAAUGGCAAGAUUUUUACAAGACAUUUUUAAAGGUUUUACAAGACAUUUUAAAAGUUUUUACAAGCUUUAAUACAGAUUGUAAAACCUUUAAAAUAGAUAGUAAAUGCUUUAUGAAAUAAUUGUGGUUCACAUUUCUAACUUAAAUUCAUAUUCUUUUUUAUGCAGUUUGAUAUUAAACAUAUCAUUGGCGAUCCUGAACAAUAUUCUCAUUUGGUUCUCCCCCCAAAUCCAGAAGACAAGGACUGGUUUGAAGUCUUUGACCUUGUAGUCCAAGGUUAUAGGAUGACCAGGCAACAAUGGAUUCAUGGAUGGAUUGAGGUUGCAGAAUGGAAAACGCAAAAGCCUGUAAAUCAGCCUAGACAAAGGCAACCAAAGUCUGAGACUGUAAAUCAGACAAAACCAAGGAAAUCAAUGUCUGAUAGUGAAACACUAGAAUUGAUCUACAAGGCAUGUUUAGAAUUGAACAAGAGAAUGUUGGUGGUGGAGAAACAUUUAGGGAUCAAAGAACCUGAUGCCAGGGAUGAUGAAGAAAAGGAAUUCCCAGCUUCGUCAAGUGGAGUUGUAAGUGGAAACAAAACGAUAUCUUUUUAAAUAUAUCUUUGAUCUAUAGGAUGGUCAAAUUUGAUUAUGUUUAAAUAUAUUUUUGGUGUUACAACAGAACAAAAAGACUAUCNNNNNNNNNNNNNNNNNNNNNNNNNNNNNNNNNNNNNNNNNNNNNNNNNNNNNNNNNNNNNNNNNNNNNNNNNNNNNNNNNNNNNNNNNNNNNNNNNNNNNNNNNNNNNNNNNNNNNNNNNNNNNNNNNNNNNNNNNNNNNNNNNNNNNNNNNNNNNNNNNNNNNNNNNNNNNNNNNNNNNNNNNNNNNNNNNNNNNNNNNNNNNNNNNNNNNNNNNNNNNNNNNNNNNNNNNNNNNNNNNNNNNNNNNNNNNNNNNNNNNNNNNNNNNNNNNNNNNNNNNNNNNNNNNNGAUUUUUUACUGAUUUUCAAAGAAUUUGUAAGGGAAUUGAAAAUACUUCAUUCAUGACAUGACAUGCAGGAGCUGAAACAAAAGUUAUAGGAGCAGGGUUUGCAGAAUACAUUUGUACCUGUAAUAUAAUUUUUGCAAAUUUACAAGUUAUUUUGAAUCUUUGUUAACUUAUUUACAAGCUAUUUUAAUGAUUUGUUUACUAAUUUACAAGGUUUCUUUACUGUUUUACCUCAUUCAUGACUUGAUAUGUAGAAUAAGUAUCUGUAUUGCUCUCACUACUAAUUGAGAUGUUGCUUGUCCCCAUCAUUGGAUUACUGCUUGUUUUCCCCUGUAAAGAUAAUUAAAACUGUUUACAAAUUUGUUAAACCAGUUUACAAAAUUGAAUGUUGGUAAAAUACCUUCUCAACAGUUACACAUAGCUGAAUACCGCCUCUGAAUUCCGCAAGCUUUUUCAUAAAUGCUUGCACUUGCCUAUCAUUUCUAAUAUACAUAGGAGGCAUGUCUUUUGUAGAGGGUAAUGAAUAACUGAGUUUCACUAUAUUAAUACCGACAUCAAUUCCAAAAUCUUCUAUAACAACAGCACACAAAUCAGUGAAACACGUAUCCUCAUUGAUAAAAGUAAGAGACCCUCCUCUUUCAACAUCAAAUUUAAAAUCCCAACAAUUGUUAUUUUUCAAUUUCCAAACACCAGAUAUGCAAUUCAACUCAAUCAUUACGACCUGAUAAAAAAGAUAAUGUAUUAUAAUGUUAAACAUAUGUAUCUUUAUGAUAGUUCACAAGGUAUUUAUAAAGUUCUUCAUGGUUUUACAAUAUUUUUUAAAGUUUACAAUCUUCACAAAAAACACGGUAAAUCAAAAUUAUUUCACUAAUAGUGUACAAUAGUUACUGAAGAACAUAAAUACAGUGAGAAGAUGAAGAAGAAAUUUUUACAAUGGUUUUAGAAAGUUUUUAAAGGUAACACGAAUUAUAAUUUUCAAGCAAGACAAAUUCGAGAAAAUAGAUAAACACAGAAUCGAAGCUCUUAAUUAAUCAAUUCAGAUUUGAAGACGAAUUCGAUGAACUUUUGGAUCUAAACGGUUCAGAUUUCAGAAGCGAUUCGAACCUAAUUGAUGCAGAUUGGGAUGAGUCACAGAUUUUUGAUUACAGACUCGAUUGAUCCUCAUCGAUUGAACUCGAUUGAACUCGACGGAUCUAAGAUGAAGAUAUCGACGGAUCUAAGAUCUCAUCACCUUUUGUUCGUCGGCUGUGAAGGUGACGAGAGCCGCCGAGAUUUUUGGUUCGUCGUUCCCCAAUUUUGUCUUCGUCAAUUUGGUUCCUCAAUUGGUCAAUUUGGUUACUCAUUAAAGGUAAAAUGGUCAAUUUCAGGGAAGCUAUUAGGGAGGGGGCAUUUUUGAAAAGGAGUAUUAAAAAAGGGGCAUUUUUGUGAGUCCCCCAAAUUUUAAUCAUCAAAACAUAUCUAGUCAAUACCACUACUAAAAGGGCACAAACACGAAACCGUUUAUAAUGAUUAUAAUAUUUAGGGUUAUACUAGAUCUACCUUUUACUACAAUCAUGAUAUUCAUUUAUUAUUAGUUAAUACAAAAAAAAAAAAUCUAUACCAACGAAAUCCCCAAACUUCCUCAUCAACAACUUAGCUUAGAUGUUGCUUGUCUUUUUCUUUAAACUCAAGAAAUUCAAUUACAACACUUGUAAAUUUAUACUAAUAGAGUUUUUUCAUACUUACCGACAAAGGAAAAUUUAGUAAAAUGUAUACUUAUGAGGCAAAUAUUAGCCAUCUCCAAUACUUAGAAAAGCUUAAUGAGAUAAACAAACUAAUUGAAAAACAGUAUAAUGAUUUUAGGUUCUUAGGACUCUACCUGGCAUCAAUUAGUUGGAAUAAGAAUUCAUAAAAUGUAAAAAUUACCUUUACAAAAUGCUACUCAUGGAAUUGUGUAUUAUUUUUUCCUUUUCCGAAGUUGUACUAACCAAUAUUCCUCAAAGACAAUGUUAGUCCAUUAAUCAUGCAUUCUCAAUUUUUGUCAUCUAAUUAAAUUGAUGAUAAAGAAGAUAAAAUUAAACACAUGCCAUGUUUUUAGAAAUUCUAAGGAUAUUAAUUAGUUUUUGUUCUCUUCAUUUCAAAUUAAUUAAUGUCGUUUUAGAGUAACAACUAUGUUUUCUUUUGUUAAAUUUUGACUCUUGUUAUUUUAAUGUACUUUUGAAUUUUUGAUAAGGAUAUGUAUCUGUUGCCCCUAAGUGAAAUCAACAAUAGUGUAAAAUAUAAUACAAGUACAAAAUCAAUUUUAUUUUCUUAGGACAUAACCGAAUAUUUAAAGUGAUUCGUGUAAACAUGACACUUAAUUUGAAAUGUAAACAAAAUAAUUAAAUGAAAAUAAAAAUGUGUGUGAGUACAUUAGUCUUAUUGCCACCAUGGUUAGGGAAAAUACAAGAUCGGAUUCAGAAUCCAUAGGAUGCAGUCCAAAAAUUAGGUUAUAUAGAAUAUCUAGUUUCACGAUUUUCUUUUUCAUAUUUUAAAAUUUUGACGGAUUCAUAUCAAUACAUAUGCAAAUACCAUAACAUUUGGAUUGAUACCCAAAGUCCGAUAAAUGAUAAUCUAGAGAGCUCAUCGAUUAAUAGUCACAUUCACAUAUGAGAUCUUCUACUCUAGAUUUGGAUCUAAAUGUUUAGUUACGCUCGCUGAUGUUAUAAUUAUCGGACGUUCGAACAUCAAUCUAAUAUCUGUGUAAUCAUUUUUUUUCGUAAAAUCUUUCGUUUCUCCAUAACGCCGGCGCAAUCUUUCGUUAUUUUUGCCACAGAUAUGUCGCAAGCAUUUAAUGCUCAAAUUUUGUUUCGCUAAACUCGCAUUUUGUUAGAUACUAGGAUCGGACCCGCGGUCCACCGCGGGAGAAUAUUAGUUUACAUACGUUGCGUUUAAUAUUGUGUGUGUUUUUUAGUAGAACGAAUCGUGUAGUAUACUUAUAAAUAUUCAUAAUAACGAAUUGUAGAGAAAAUGUAAAAUUGUUUAUAAAUAUACCCAUCGUAUUAAUUAUGAUUUACAAAAUAGAAUUUUGUGUUUUAAAAUUCUAAAAUUAGACGAUUCAUGGAAAUUAGAGCAGUCAAAAUAGGUCAAAAACCGCGGGUCGAGCCCACAUCAUCUCACUAUGGGGCAGAUUUGGGAAAAUAUAUUAAACCCGCAAAUAAGCGGGCCACAUGGAUUCAUUCGCAGUGGGUCAUAGGUUUAAUCGGUUUUCAUCCGCGGGUUGGCGGAUCAGCCCGCAUAUUAGUAUUUAUUGAUAAAAUUAUAACUUAUUCAACAUGUGGUAAUUUAAACAAACUUUUAAUAGUAUUUUGAUUUAUUUAUUUAUUUUAGUAGUAUUUUAAAUUUUGGUUACUUUAAAAUUAUUUAAACAAAAUCCAUGGACAAUCCCGCAAAUCCGCAUACAUUCGCGGGACGGGUUUGUAUUUCAUAUAUGCUACCCGCGGGUCAUGCGGACCGACUAACUACAAGUCAAAAUAUUUUUUGUCUAUCGCAAAACGGACUUAACGGGACGAAUCAACUCGCUUUGACAGUUCUAAUGGGAAUAUUAUUUAGUCAUACAAUAAAAUGAAGUUUGGACAUAGUAAUAAUAGAAGGGUGAUUUAGGUGAAUAACCCAAAAAAAAAAAGAAAAAUUAGUUUUUUAGAAAGAAGGUAGAGAGAGAUAGGAAGAGAAAGAGAGUGAAUAGGGGGGGUUAGAGGUUAGAUAUUUAAUUUUGUUGUUUUUUUAGGUUAUAGGGUGCAAUUUCUCAUAAUAGAAUAUGUAUCUUAUUUGUUAGAUGAGAGAUUGAAAGAUGAAGUAUAAUGAUUAAAAAUUAAUUAUUAUUUUUCAUGAUUCACAAAAUUUAAUAAAUAUUUAUCAUCUUGUUGAAUAAUUCUAAAAUCAUAUUCAAGAAAUCUUUAUAAAUUGAAAAUUAAACUUCUUUGGUAAGCUAUAGGUAUGAAAAUAUCAUAAUUUCGAUUUAAUCUAAUUAAAUUAAAAUUAGUUACAUGGAUUUCAUAUCUAUUUAAUUUACAUGAAAAAAAUAAAAAUAUCUAUUUAAUUUACAAGACCAAAAUAAAAAUAUCAAUUUAAUUUAUAAAACAGAUGGGUUAUUUGUGAUAAAUUUUCUAAAAAUCUUUAGAAGCAAGUAAAAUAUCUUUCAAUUAAUGAUAAUUGGCUAAAAUGAGCGAAAUUAAUGACAAAAACGUUGAUUGUUAUGGAAUUAGUCCCAAAAAUAUAUGAACAAAUUUAUUAUACGUAAUUAAUGUAUAAUAUUGUUUGGAAUAUGCUUUUAUUAUUAGUUACCAUAAGUACAAUCAGAUUUUAUUUGAUUUCCAUAAAUAUUUGAUUUUAUUUCGAUUUUUCAUUAUUAAUUCGAAUUUAUAUUCCAAAAAAAUUUCAAAAAUCCGAUUUCAGAAUUUCGGGUCAAUUUUCUGAUUCUAACCCGACCCAUUUUCAUUUGUACUUCUCUUUUAAUAAUAUAGAGAUAGAGGUGAUAAGGGUGAUUUGAUCUUUUUCCAAAACUAGAGAAGAGAGAGAAUUAAAUACGUAAUUACGCUUCUCAGAUCUUACAAUAUAUAUUCUUCUGUGGUUUUAUAUUUCGUUCACCCAAAAGAGAAAAGGAUAGUAUAAAAUUAUGUUUCUUUAAUUUAUCUACUUAAAAUAGAGAGUUUCAAAUUAGAUAUUCCUUAAAACUAGUAGAUUUUUAGCUAUACAUAAUUAGUUUCAUAGUUGAAAUUUUUGAUUUUUUCUUUAUUUAUUAUUAGUAUUAUUUUUAAAAAAAUAAAAUACUAGUUGAAUCCAAAAAGAAAAAACCAACUUUGGGAAGCAGGGAAGUAUGGUACGUGUCAAGCAGGUAUUAGUCGGUAGUCAAUUUUCCCCAGACGUUCGUGUUACGGUAAGAUUUUCUUCCCAAAGAAAGCAGAGAGGUCCACAUGUUCCUCCUCUGAAAAUCUCUCUUCUCUUCUUCUCUCUUCUCUCUGGUUAUAUUCUCUCUCGGAGGUGACCGUUUCUUCACUCCUAAAUCGAAGCCACGAGAUUGAUUGUUUCACUGGUAGGUUUCAUUCAUGCCGUCUCUCUCAUUCUCUGUUUUUCCCCUUUCAAGUUAGGUUUUGAUUUUGUUAAUGGCGGAUUCUUAGGGUUUUCUCUGGAGUUUUUGCUUCAUCACCAACACUGAUUACUCCUUUUUCCUUUCUGGAGCUCUAAUUUGGCUAUUUUGUGGAUUUGAUUUUGAUCGGAUUUUGUGGAUCUUUGAUUAUUUUGGGAUCCGAUUCGAGGUUUUCGAGCGUUGAAAUCUUUGACUACGUAAACGGAUUAGAAUGUGAGAUUUAGGGUUCUUAAUCUACAUUUUUUGAUCGGGAAUCUGAUUUUGAAUUUUUUUCGGCUCUAUGUCGAGCUUAGAGUCGGUGAUUUGUUGAUAUAGAGAUCAUCUAUUUGAAAUUUGGAUUUGAUUCAUUUUAAUUGUGAAUAUUUUGGUUUUUUUUUUUCCAGGUGCUUUGCUUGGAGUUGAGUUUUAACCUCGAGGAGGUUGCAAUCACUGCAAAGAGAAGGAAUCUUUUUUUUUUGUGGAGAAUGUUGUUGGACGAUAAGCAUAUGAUUUCAGUGCAACGCGGCUUUAAGUGUCGUGGUCAGAUGAAAUUUCUGAGGUAUUGAAAUUGAUGAGCACCAUAGGAGAUGAUCAAAAUCUAUCUGGUGAAGCCAGUUUUUGUGUAUAUUUUGUAGAUAAUUAGGCUUUUUGCUAAUACAGUUAAAGGGUUUGUUAAAGAUUGAUCAAAUGGCUAUUGCUGGUCUGCAAAAUAUUUUGGCGAUCGAUUCCUCUUUCCGUCGGGACUCUGAGGUUCGGCCAUCUAGACAGAGGGAAAAUGAAGGAAGGCCAAGCGUCCGGGCAUCCUCACUCCUACAGAUGUGGAGGGAACUUGAGGAUGAUCACGUGAUGGGUCAUGCUCGUGAGAGGAGGAGUGGUUCUUCUCCUUCUAGUGCUUUGAGGGGAAAUGGUUGUGACAGUAAUAUUAGUGCACAUGAUAUUGUUAGAGAUAGUGUAAAUCUGGGUGAGAAUGAACUUGGUGGAUGGUCUCCCACCCAGAGUCAUGUUGGGUCACAUAACUCGAGUGAGGAUCUCGGCCCUUUUCAUAGCGAGCAUUUUUCUGAUCUGGGGAUGGGUGAAAGGGAAAGAGUUAGACAAAUUUUUCGUGAGUGGACGAGCUCUGGGACAGGUCAGCAUACUGAUUCUGCUUCCCACGCAACCAACAGCUCAAGAGCAGAAUGGCUUGGUGAAACUGAACAGGAAAGGGUGAGGAUCAUAAGGGAGAUGGUUCAGAUGAAUAGCCAGCAGAGGCCUGCUCUUGGUGAUCAAAGGGAAGAACAACCUAUUGAAGGUACUAAUCAGAUUGAAAGAGUACUUGAUGGACAGGUUGAAAAUGCAAACUGCAUCCAGAAUGAACAUGCUAGAAGAGGCAUACGCAAGUUGUGUGGUAGGCAAGUGUGGGUAGAUAUGUUAAAAAUGGCUGAGAGAGAAAGGCAAAGAGAGCUGGAGGGUUUGAUGCAGCAUCAUGCUGUAUCAAACUUCGCUCAUCGUAACCGCAUUCAGGUUUGCUCAUUAGACUUUUUGACUGUUUCUUGCCGUUCUGUUACUUGUCUCUGUGACAUUGAAUAUGUUAUCUUUAAGUAACUAUUCCGAAAUAAGCAAAAAUUAACCUUUGCUAUAUUGUCCGAAACCACUGUCAGAUACACUUACAGGCUACUGAAUUACCAAUAUAUUCUUAAAGACUGAAGAGGCCCCAACCUUCCUAAUUCUAUUUUGCACUAUUUGUGUAGUUGGAAUAAGAUACAUGAACAACAAUUAGCAUUAGUUCUAGAUACAGUUUUGAGCCUGUUGUCGUAGACGAACAAUGACUGAGAGAUAAGUAGUCACAUUAUUUUCUAACAUGAUUAAUGAAAUUCAUAAACAGAUGGAUAAUGUAAACAUACUUGAGGUUGAGGGAGUUUACGAUUGUUACUCUUUUCUUCCUGUAUACCUUCCAUUCCCAAUUUGGUCAUUUUAUACUGUUUGUUUGAAGAGAAAAAUUCUAACUUGACGUUUGUGUCAUAGGAGUUGAUUGAUAUGCUUAGCAAUUCUUAGUUGUUUCUUUAUAUUUCCUUCUGUUAUAUAUUUGCUUAUCAGUACUGGUCAGUUUAAGGUGGCACAUUGGUUGUUUGAAGGUUCUAGAAGGAGUUGAGAGUUGGAUCUAUAUCUCAACUCUAUAUCUUGGGUUUGUGGCUGACAUAGCUUGAAAUCAUAAUUUUAAAUUGCUUUUGCAGGCAUUGCUAAGGGGGAGAUUCUUGCGAAAUGGGGACAACGAUGAUAAAGAGAAACCAACAUCAUCCGCAGCUACUGAGUUGGGCUUUCUAAGAGAGAGGCACACUGUAUCUGAGCUGAGGUAGUUAAUUCUUCUGUAAUAAUCAAUUUGUGCAAAUCUUUGUGUAUUAUUGGAAGGUUUUUUUUUUUUGCCCUUUCAUAGGCCAUAUAUGUGGGUAAAUAUCCUGUGCAGCUUUCAAACCUUUUAUGCUGGUUAUGGAUAAACAGAUCUGGUAAAUCUUGGAAUGCUUGCUUUCUUUGUUGGUCUUGUUCAUCCUGAAGUUUAAUGCCAGCCCCAUUUUGUAUGAGUUUUUAGUUUGAAGUAUAUUUUCUGUUUGUUAUAAGUGCAGCUUGACCCAGAAAUGAAACUUCUGUUGCUUUAAAGGUGUUAAAAACGUCCUUGCUUACUGAGUGUUUGUCCAUGCCAGGGAGGAAUUUAUAUCUAGAUUGGACCGGUCUGUCUCUGGUCAAGCGAGCAGUAGUCAUUCUGAGACCUCAUCAAAUGCUGAAACCGAUGAUAUUAGAGGUGAACAAAACGAACUGAAUUGUCUCGAUAGCAUCAAUGGUGCAGACGGUGGUUCAGGUCAAAAUGGCAGAGAGGCUGACAACCAAAUUUCGCUGGAUGAGAUAACUAAUUCUGAACACUUUUAUAAUCGGAGCACAAGUUUGGAGGAAAGGACUGCACGUGUAGAAGGCUGGCAACGGUCAGAAAUUGAUGUUUUUUCUCAAAGAAGAAAUGAUGCUGAAGUCGACAUGAAUAACCAUCAAAGAGAGGAUGCUAUUGGGUGUUCAUCCUCUUCAAUUCAUGGAGACAAGAUCAGAUAUGGCUGUCAAUUACGAGGACCUAUCGAGAUACCUUAUGAACAGUCUCUGCAAAGUUCCGAAGAAAUUGCCACCAUGGGACCGAUAAACAGGACAAUCAAUUUCCAGGAGAAUCUGGUUGAAAACAUUAAUCUAAAUGUCACUCCAGAGGAACAACCCGAGGAGGAGACUAUGGAAAACGAAGAAUCCGGUUGGCAACUUAUCAAUGGUGAAACCAGUGCAUGGAGAGAUGACGCUAAAGAGGAAGCAGAUACAGAUGUUCCUGAGAAUUUUCCAAAUCAGUUAUCACAGAUAUCAUCCGUGGACGAGGAGAGAGAAGCCCAUGUUCUCACAGAACUCGCGGAGAUGCAACCUGAUGAUACUGAUCUUCAAAGCACAGUACAAGACUGGUCGGAAGAACAUUCUGAUCAGGACACAGUUUCAAUUGGAAGGGCAGCCACGUUCUUUCCUCCGGAUGAUGAUACUGAAAACAACAUGGAACUCCGAGAACUCUCGAGCAGGUAAGAAAUUUAGUAAAUUUCUGCCGUAAUGGCCACACUUUUCAACCUCAUUCUAUGUAUCUGAUGGCUUGCUGUUGGCACUACAGGAGACGUGUCUCAAAUCUUCUGCAGAGCGGGUUUAGGGAAAAUCUUAACCAGUUGAUACAAUCUUACAUGGACAGACGAAGUCGAAAUCCUGUCGACUGGGAAGAACACGAGACUUAUUCUGACCAUACAAUAGUAGGUGAAGAUACAGAACAGCAGGAUGAUGCUCAGACUGGUGGUCAAGAACUUGAUGCUGUUGAAUCUCCUCCUUUGUCUCUACCCUCCCCAGUGAUCCCUAUUCAGCCACGGUGGGACCAUGAUCGAUCUCAUUCAAACUGGCCGGCACAUGAUUUGCAUCAGGGCAUCGGAAUGGUAAGACUAGUCCCAAAGUGGAUCCUUAUUGAGAAAGCAAUUGUCUUUUCCAAUAGAUGAAGGAAAUCAUUAGUUGACAUAUUAUAUGCUGUCGUUUUUAUUUGUUAACUUGAUCAACAAUAUCUCUGCAGGAUUGGGAUUCGAUCAACGAUUUGAGGGUUGACAUGGGUAGAAUACAGCAAAGGAUGGAUAACUUGCAGAGAAUGCUGGAGGCUUGCAUGGAAAUGCAACUCGAGUUACAACGGUCCAUAAGACAAGAGGUCUCUGCUGCAAUGCACCGCUCUACUGACCAAUCAGGUUUUCUAUUAGUCCCAAGUCACUUUAUGCUUUUACAUAUGAUGAUUCACAACAGUACACAACAUAGAAUGCAACUUUUUUUUCUUAUGGAAGCACCUUAAUCGAUUCACAGGUCCAUCCAAGGACACUGAGAGUUACGAGUCAAAAUGGGAAUAUGUAAGGAAAGGGAUCUGCUGCGUAUGCUGCGAGAGCAACAUCGAUUCUUUAUUGUAUAGGUAUGUAUGAACUAUGAAAAUACUAGAGCAUUUGUGUUAGUUAUGUUCCCCAAUUGAUAUCGCUGUUUUUCUUGUUUUGUUCGAAAACAACAAUAGAUGCGGACAUAUGAACACCUGCGAGAAGUGUGCAAAGAAGCUAGUCGAAGCGGGAGGAAAAUGUCCCAUGUGCCAAGCCCCAGUGAUUGAGGUAGUUCGUGCUUACUCUAUUCUUUGAAACUCUUCUGCUCUCCUUCGGCUCCAAGCUCUGCUUAUUUGAUUCUGGGUUUUACAAAGAUAUCAAAUGUCUUUACUGUGAUGUUUUAGCAUAGAUAUUACUCUGAUUCACUCGGCUCUUAAUUUUAUCCGUGGUGUAAGAAAGACACAAACACACACUACUUCUUAACUAUUUUUAUACACAUGAAAACAUCAAAAGAUUCAAUAGAAGAAAUUGGUGAAAGUAUCUGUGACUUUCAUACAUUUUUGUGCAUAUCCAACAAUAAAAACAUCUAAAAAGUGCAACACUUUGGAUGAUACAAAGAAUUGAGCCUCUAGGCUCUGGUUAACAAGAUAUUCGACGAAUGCUAACAAAACUUUAAGAGUAGAUGUGUCUCAGUUAUGUAAAAAUCUACAUAAAAUACAUAGUGAAGAAACUGCGUGCGGUCUCAUAUCUAAAAGGGUAAUCAUGUGUUGUCUUUGUUUCUACUACAAAGUAGCCAAACACAAACGAUAUUUUUGAAACAAUCAAAACUAGUAGUACCAAAUUUCUCUCCGAAAUCAACACUACCAAAAAUUCUAGUACUCAAUGUCAUUUUACAGAUUCCUUAUUUCAUACCCUUUCCUUGUUACAAUACAAACACAAAAUCAAGAGUAAUAAAAAAAAAAAAAAACGUGUCAGAGACUCAACGACCGUUCCAAUCCAGUCCUCUGCCCCAAACUCGAACAGCUACUACACCUUCUGACACAAGGGUCCACAACAUCACACGUGUCAUGUUCUUCUGACGAGCCCUGAUCAGGCGGUUCUUGCAUGCCCAAGUCCUUAUCCGAGAACAGCUGGUUGCUCCGGCACAAGGGACAUGUUACGUAUGAGCUCAGCCACGUGUCAACGCAAUCCACGUGGAACACGUGACCACAGUGUGGUAUCACUUUAACUGUUUCACCUUCUUCGAAUUCACUCAAGCAGAUAACGCAAUCUUCGUUCCGCUGCUUCGUGGCUUUCGUGUAAUGGUACACUGGCAGAGAUCGAACGGUCUGAAAUGCCCCAACCUUGCUGGUUAACGUUAGAACGGAGAGAGAUGUAUAAAAAUUAGAGAAAUGGAUUUACCUGAGAAUCAAGUCCCCUCCGGUAACUAUACGGCCGUGAGACAACGACGGAGGUGGAAAGGCGACGUGGAGACAUCCUAGAGGAUCUUGUUCUUGGUAUGGAAGAAAUCUCAACCGUUGAAUCAUCUACGAAGUGGUGAAUGUAAACGGAGAAGAAACCCAUGAAGAAGAGAGCAACCAAGAGGACAAAGAUGGUUAGAGCCAUGGAGGAGUCUAAUGCCGAAGGUGGUUCUGGUGGUGGCGGUGGUAAUGAUGUGGCGUUUUGGACGUUUGUUACGAGCUCUUGUUCGCCACCACAAGCUUGGUAGAGCUGGAGAAGCUUGCGGAGGUGCAGGUGCUUGGUCUCCAUUAGUGAAGUCUAUCAAGAAACAAAAUGAAAUUCUCAUUUAUCAACUUUUAUUACUUAACAAUGUGAAAAGACUUAUCACAUUAACGUACACGUACACAUGUUAGUAUUUAAAUAUCAUUUUAACUAUAUGAAUAAAGUUGAAAAGAAAGAAAGAAAGAGAGGAAAGGAAUGCAGCUAAUAGGAAAGACCCGCGGCGACUUACUGUUAAAGGAAAGAAGAAAAAGUUUGUUAAUGCAGAGGAAAGAAUCAAGUACAAGCUUGAAAAGGUUUGUGAGAGUCUAGUCUAAUUCAUUAGGGCCGGUCCGGAGGGCAAGCAAGUGAAGCCACCACUUCGGGUCUCACAUUAUUAAGUGAAGCCACCGCUUAGGGUCUCACAUUGUCAAACAUUUUUUUUGGAAGAAUUUUUUUCUUUUAUAUUAACAAAAAGGCCUAAAUUGUUAAUUAUGCAUAAGGCAUUAAAGAAAAUUUAGAAACUUUGGACCGGCAAUAUGUGUACCAUGUUUUGAGAAGACGACGUAAAUGAAUUAAUGUUAAUGAUCAAAUUGUGUAGAGAUAGUAUUUACACGUGAUAGUAAACUUAGUAAAAACUUUUUUUCACUCCAUCUAGAUUCUAUACAGAUUUAAGUGUGUCAAUCGGGAUAAUCUGCUGCAUCAAACCACAAACGCUUCAGCCGAAUCAUGUGAAGCACUUCCUUUGAUACUUUCUUCCAUUUUCUUGAUACAAUAGACUUCUCUUUAAUCCAAGGUUGAUUGAUAUCUUCGAGUUUUCAUUACUUUUCAUGGACAAUUCAAUUCAAAAACUCCUCGGCUUUAUGUGCCCAGCCCCGGCCCAAAGAAACUAAGGCCUUCUGGGCAAAUAUAAUCUUUUUUGGCCUAUUGUUAUUGAAAUUGAAUAUAUCUUUGAUCUCAUGUUAAAUAUGCUAUUGGCGGAUAAGGAUCUUGAGGUAUAAACUCUUUUUUGUUUAUUUUUUUCUUUUGAUAAAAGUCUUUUGUAUGUUUUAGUACUAAUUAUAUAUUUAUAUAUAACUAUAUACUGAUAUAAUACUUGGCAGCUUGAUUGUUGGGUUGUCUGCUGAUUCAAAAGCUGGGCCAUUGGAUUUUCGGUACGUAGCGGCUGCGGUAGCGGCGGCGGCAACACUACCGCAGGUUGUUGUUCGUUUCGUCGCCGCAGCCGCAGCCACAGAUCGCAACUGUUUAAUCGUUUGACGUUAAAAUUAAAUAGCGUCCAAAAUUUUUAACCGCAGGUAGCUGCGGCGACGAAACGAACAUGCUAAUUGUAUGAAAGUUUAAUUGAGUUAAAUGUUGUUCUUGAAAUGUACAAAACUCUGUCUCACUUAAUCUUGAGGCUAUAUAAAACAAACAUACAAAUAGAGGAAAAAAAAUCACAUAGAGUUCAAAGCUUUUAGACUCAGCCGAGAGAAAAAAAAACAACAACAAAAGCGAGAGAGAUCCCAAGAGAGAUAAAAACUAAAUAAGUGGCCUAAAAUUAAUUGACCAGUGGUCUUUCCGUGCUAACAAUAAUUUAACUUUCUUUACUGACAAAUCUUCGAUCGUAAAUCUAAAAUCACCAUCCCCGCUUAUAAGCAUCACCACCCGAGGCUCUUGAAAAUGAAUAACUUGUUCAAAAAUCCAUUUCAACAAAGCAGCUAUGAUUUUCUUGUCUACGAAUUCUUUUAUCCUUCGAGGAGUUGGUACGUUACAUAUCAUAAUAUUUUUAUUUUGACAACUUAUUUAUGAGUUGGCUUUUAGCACCAUAACCAAUUUUACAUGAAUUUUUCCGUUAUAGUUGUUAUUUCUCAAAAAAAAUCGAUGCCAUUAAUCACAUUUUCCGCAUCAGCUACUUGGGAUAACACAAUUCUCGUAAUCCCAUAAAACAAGAAUAUUGGCUGUUGAGUAACCUGGUAAGUUCAUACACUAAAAGAAAAGACAAACUUUGUCAAUGUUUAGAUGGACAAAUGAAUUAAAAACAAAUAUUGAAUUGUUUGUUCAAACUCAAAAUCACGAUAAAAAAAAUUGUUCUGAUUAUUAGCAGUUCAACAAACCCCUCAAAAGCAAACAUAGCCAUUGCAAUACCCAUCAAAGGGGUCUUGAUUAUUCGCACCUUAGUGGUAAUGUAUUGAGGCGCUAAAAUUUUAUUAAGUCUUUGGAACAGUUAUGCAUCUGGAAAACAUAAAAACCAUUGAUAAUUUUUAUGGAUUUUGUAGCAUCUUAUGACAAGAUAGAGGUUUUAUGAAAUUUUAUAAAAAUUUGUUUGAUAAAUCGUCGUGAUGAGGUUAUUUAUUUAUUUAUUCAGUAGUUCUUUUUGUGCAGGUUUCGCCCGUUAAGACUUUACCCUACUUGGAGAAGCCUAAAGACUGGUUGCUAAAAGGGGAGACGACGAUGAUAUUGCACUUGUCAGAGAUAUUUUGGCCUAUGCUCUUGAGAGGCAACCACCAGCGUAUUUAUUAGUCAUGGCUAGCGAUGGUGACUAUACCUGUGAUCUUGAAGAUUUAAGACAAGUGGGAUACUAUGUUAUUCAAGCUUACUCCCUUGGAGGUGCCGGAGAUGACGUCAAAAAUUCUGGAUGUGUUUUUUUACAAAGACGAAGUGAUAUAUAAAUUUUAAAUUUACAAAUUCUAGAUGUCAAAUUGCAUGAAACAGAAAGAUUUGGGUAAAUGUGACACACACACAUAUAUAAAGGGGUUGUUCCAAAAUUAGUACAGUGAAUACAGGUCAUAGAGAAAAGUAAAUUUAAACUUUGUAAACAUGUGUUGAGGUUUAACAAAGAAAAAAACUUAUAUUUGUAAAUUUUACUUUUACUUUUACUUUUAACUUUAGAAUACUGUUUUUAGACUAAACCAGUGAAAGUUACUUAUUUUAAUUUUCUCAAAACCCAAGUGCAAAAAACUAUCUAUCCUCUUGUCAAGAUUUUGGAUCCUUUUAUGUAAAAAGAAAUUAAAAUUUUAUAUAUUUAAACAUGUUUUUAAAGGUGUAUUAAAUAAAUAAAGAAAACUUUAAAUUUUGAGAUGAUUUUUUUUUUUUUGAAAGUUUAAAAUAUUUGGGUUUCAUUUUAAACCUUUCUAAGAUUGGCAAAAUGAAUCUAAAAAAUAACAACAUUGAAAACUUGGGCAUUUUUCUUUGUUAAAUUCUUUUUUUAACGGGGCCUUAUACUAAUGAUAUUUUUUUGUGAUUCAAUCUUAGGCCUAUGCCCCUCUGCUCUACCCCUUUGGGCCGGGCCUGUAUAUCCCUAAGCUCUUGAUUUCAUUCUCAAUGACUUAAAUCAUGUUCUAUUUAGUUGUCUUUUUUUGGGCCUAAAGACUCCUUAGCUAAGCCUAGCUAAUUGUUGUAUACACACACAAACGUUUCGUUUUCCGUAAUAGGAAACUUAAUUUUAUCCCAAAAAUAAAACAUUUCCUUAUUUAUUUUCUGAAUCGAGUUUUAACAUUUGUGAAAUCCCUAUUUAUUUUACAUAUUGGACCUCUAUAUAAACCCUAAAUUACAGCCUACGUUAAUUAAGUCUGGAACCAAAACACACGAACGAUCUUCGAUGGCAAGAGAAGGAAACUCAGAUCCCAUCCCGAUCGACAUCAUUCUCGACAUACUUUCGAGAUCCUCUACUAAAGAAAUCGCUAGGUUUGGUCUCGCAUCCAAGUUCUGUGCAUCAAUACUUAACUCUCAAAAUUUCACCGAGUUGUUCCUGACCAGAUCCUUAACUUCUCAGCCACGUCUCUUAUUCGCCAUCAAAAACUCCGGUGACUGGUGCUUCUACUCGUCGCCUCAGCUCCAUAAUCUAGAUGAGAACCAUUCUCUUGUAGUAUCAGCCGACUUGCAUAUGCAGUUACCUGGAGACAUGGGAUCAGAGAUUUGUGGUCCUGUCUCUGGCUUGUUCUAUUUCCCUAAUAUGCGGAGAAGUGAAGUGCCGGUGAUAUGUAACCCUAGCACAGGACAGUACGCAAGAUUACCUCAAUUGAAAAGGAAAAGGGAUUCAAGAAGCUUAUUAGGUUAUGAUCCUAUUGGCAAAAGAUAUAAAGUAUCAAACAUAAGAAAUUCAAUUUAUGGAGCAUCUAAUGAAGAGGGACAUAUUAUGACAUUAGGAACUGGGAAAAUGUCAUGGAGAAAACUGCAUUGUCCGGAAAACCAUUAUCCUAUAGGGGAAGGGGUAUGCAUCGAUGGGGUUUUGUAUUACAUUGCUGGACAAGCAAAAGGUGUGAAGUUAGCUUGCUUUGAUGUUAGGAAUGAAAAUUUUAGGUUUCUUAAGACAGAUUCUAUUAUUAGGAAGUUAUUAGUUUCUUCUUCGUCUACUUCUUCGUCUACUAAAUUGAUAAAAUACAAGGGUAAAUUAGGUGUAAUUAGUUGGCGUUGGGAUAGUUACGUUUAUGGAAGAGCUAGGUUGUGUUUGCAGAUUCUAGAGGAUGCCCAGGAUCAAAAAUGGUUGGAACAUCGAUACACUUUUCCGGUGAAUAUUGUCGUUAAGGGAGAUGUUUCCGUCGUUGGAGUGACUGCUACUAAUGAAAUUAUUUUGUCCAUGGACUAUACAUCUAAAGCUUUCUUUGUUUUCUACUUCAAUCCCGAAAGGAGAACUCUUGAGAGAGUUAGAGUCCAAGGUUUUGAAGCGUUUGAGAAGCCUAAUAGAGUUUACACCUUUGUAGACUAUGCUGAGGAUUUCAAGUUUAUAACAGAGUCUAGCUAGUUUGCCUCUAAAUGGACAUUUUCAGCUACAUGUUUCAAUGUAAUUAAGCUCCAUAUUUUUUUGACAUGUCAUUUUUUUUUUCCAAGUUUUAUUCUCAAUGCCCUUAUUUUGUUGCACGUUACUUGAAAGCAAAACAAUGUUUUAGUUUUGUCCCACAUUAAUUGCAUUUUCAUGGAAUAUUCAUAGAACUUCUUGUUUCUUUGUAUAUGAGAAAUUACUGGAUGAAACCACGAACAACAAUUGGUUUAGUCCCCAACUUAAACAAGUUGCAAGGAAAAACGUCAAAACAAAAUAACCUAAAUUUGGUGACUCACUCUUCUUGUUUAUAUAUACAUGAUUAAGGCCUCGUUCUUUUCCACGACGCAUCUUCUUAAUUGUUUAUAGUAUACACUCUAUCUCUAAUUUAUUUGUGUAAUGUUGCUGAAGCUGAAAAAGAGAGACUUCGAUGACUUAAAUAAGAAAAUAUGGGUGUUACUACAAUUUACAGAGGCAGUUCUAAUGGCCUAAAAUAAAAACUUAAUGUGGCAAACGAAUUCCUCUCCCUCGUUUGUAGGUUUUGGUCGCUACCUUUUGUAGGCUGUAGCUGCGUCUAGAACGAACAAGGCCUAAAUUAAGAGUAUUAAGAUAGCUUAAUUAAGAAAUAUCAAAGACUAAACUAAUUUCACCUCUUUAACUUUUUUUUUCACUUUUUCUCUAAUCUAAUUCUAAAUUCUUCUUUUUUUUCACGUUCCUAUUAUCAAAUAUAUACAAAUAAUUUUUUUUAAUACAAAUUAUUUGUCAAAUUAACUAUCACGCAAUUUAAAAAAAAAAAAAAAAACUAUCAGGCAAUUAAAGCAAUAGUAUUUAUUUUCCAAAUCUUCGAGACCAUAGCGAACCCAUGUUGAUUAAAUAGUCUCCAAUGAAUGGAGUAAUUUUGACAAGUGAGAGCGACCUUCCAUGAGAAAAUAUCAAUGGAAAUUGAACUACCUUCCUUAAGUUGCACCAUAUAUAUCAAAGUUUUUGGGUAAAUUCUAAAUGAGAUUCUCCAAUAUGUAUCUAUACUAGUAUUUUUGCAACAUUUUGGUGACGGAUGGAUAAAAAUGCUUUUGGGUUAAUCGGAUAUCCGACCCGUUUUUUAAAAUCUUUCACAAAAAAUUUAUUGGGUCGGGUUAUAUUUAACCCAACUCAUACACCGAAUAUUCCAUAUUUAAUAAUUUAGAUAUUUAGAAGAUUUGAUUAAGAUUUAGAAUUAUGAUUCUCCUAUCAUCUUUGUUUGAUUUGUUUUUAACUGUUUUGAAUCAUCACAUAAUACAUAAAGUAAAAAAAAAAUCAUUUUUUUUCUGCAUAUACUAUGAUUCGAAAUUUUAAAAACGGACAUAUAUUAUCUAAUUGACAAAAAUGUGUGUUCAACGUUCUACAUCGAUUAAAAUAUUUAGACAAUGAUUCAGAAUCAUAUCAUAAAUAAGAUCAACAUUAAUAAAAUAAAUGAGUUUUUUGGCGGGACGGGUUUGGCGGGACGGAUUUUUUAAUCAACAAUAAUAAAAAGAUUAAAAUAUCAUUAACCCGCCGCUUCAAUACGGAUUAAAUCCUUAUUUUUUUUAAUACCACCAAUAUUAGACAUAUUAAAUCAGUCUCAUUUAGAAAAAAUUGUAUAAAACCAAAAAUUGUCCCGUGGUAUAAUGUUACUUAAUAACAAUAUUUAUAAAAUUUUAAAUAUCAUUAACAUGCCGUUUUAAUACAUAUUAAAUCUUCAGUUUAUUAAAAUAUAAAUGUCUUAGAGAAUGAUAUGAUUUGUAAACUUUUAUAUAUAAUAAAUAAUUAUUAAAUUUUAAAAUAAAAACAAAUCACGGGACGGGUUAAGAAAUUACGGAACAAGUUAUAUUUCGGAAAGGAUUUAUAUGGCGGACGAAUUUGAAUCAAUAUUUAUAUACCGCUUUAAUACGGGUUAAAUUCUCAGUUUAUUAAUAAUUAUCUCGUGGACUCGUGGUAUACCGUUACUUAAUAACAAUUGUAAACUAUAAUAUAAAUAAAUAUGUUAUAAGGAGAUACAAUUUACAAAAUAUUUUUAUACUAACUUUAAAAUUAAAUCAUCCCGCGGUGUACCGCAGGUUAAAAUCUAGUUGAUGGGAAGAAAUUUAAAUUCGGUCGCUGCAUCUCCAAAUUUACAAAUCAUAAGUUUUUUUGUUACCUGCAAGUGAAAGAUCGAUGUCAUAAUGCCUAAGUAUUAGAAUUGAGUCUAUGUUUUGGAUGGAAUUGAAAAAUAAAAAGAGGAAACAUAUUAGAGUUAUUCACAUCUUUGUUAUUUUAUGUACACUUUUCACACACACACAUAUAUAUAUAUAUAUAUAUAUAUAUAUAUAUAUAUUUAUUUAUUUAAUUUCAUUAUAUAGUUUUCUCUCAUUGAUCUUAAGUGUUAGUGUACCAUUUCGCACAAUAAAUUCAAUUUAUUUCAUUGGAAGCUCCUCAUGUCAUAAAGACCAAAAAAAAUACAGAUGGCUCAUGAAUAGAUCAAAUAGUCAAAGGUCAAAGAUCAAUAUUAAAAAUCAAAUAGUUAAGUCUUACCAAUAAUUUAAGAUUUAAUUCACAAAUUAAUGACCAUGAAUCACACACUAAUAGAAAACAAUUUUUCUCUCAUCUUAGUCCACAAAAACAUGGCUAUUCUAAUGAAUCCAAGCUUUUUCAAGGAUCUUGAAUCUUAAUAGAACAUACGGUCCUAUAUUAAUCAAGAAGGUUGCACUAUUGAUUACAUUUGAGGUAAUCUACAAUGGAUUCGCAGGUUUUUUUAACGCUCAUUUAGAAUUCUACUCAUCAUCUCCGCUAUUCCAUUUUGACGGGGCGUUCCAAAAAUAGUCUUCUCCAUCUUAAUCCUAUUAUCAGCACAAUAUUUUUUAAACUCGGCACCAUUACUAGAUUUUAGGCACUUCAACUUGAGAUUUGUCUCAUUUUCUACCUUUUCAUGAAGUAAACCUAUACCUUCUUUGUGGAGUCAUCAAUGAAAGACACAUAAUAGUGUGAUCCUCCCAACGAUGCAACAUAAUAGUGUGAUCCUCCCAGCGACGCAACAGGAGCGGGUCCCAACACGUCACUGUGAUUUCAAUUUCCUAUCAUCCAGCUUUCACACAUGUAGUGAUUUACUAUAUUCAAAUCUGGAAAUUCACGAUUUGUUACCAUGAGUUUCAUAUCUGGAAAUUCACGAUUUGUUACCAUGAGUUUCAUACAUUUUUCGCUCAGAUGCCCCAAUCUAAAAUACCACAUCCCAGUUUUCUUGGCAUUUUCGGCAACAACAAUUGUAUCUUCAUAGUUUGUCUUUAUAUAAAGAAUGCUUCUUUUAUGACCUUUUGUACCCACCAUGGAACCCUUUGUCACUAUCCAAGCUCCACCACCAACAUUGAUAUUAUGUCCUGUAUUAGCAAGUUAUCUAAUCAGAUUUUGCAUCAACUUUAGCACAUUUCUAACCUUUGUGAUUUUCCACACACGGUCAUCUGGCAUCUUGAGGUUAAUGUCUUCAACACCAACAAUGUCCAAAGGUAAUCCAUUUUCUAGAUCUAUCUUCCAAUAAUUUCGGGCAACAUAGUUCUCCAUUAUGUUCUAGUGAGCAUUAAUGUGGAAAGAGGCUCCUGAAUCUAAGACCCAAGAAUCGAUCUAAUUAUAAGCCGAAGAGAUCAAUUUUUUCUGCGGUUUCAACAACCGCAACAUGAACUUGACUUCCUCUUGGAGAAUCAGCAGACACUACUAAUGCAUCAAUUAUUUCUUGUGUGACUUCAUUGGCUCCAGCUCCUCUGUUAUCUAACUUCUUCGGUGUAGUACAAUAUUUUUUCUUAAUCUUGCUUUUUUGCCACAAUUCCAGCACUAUGUAGGAUGUUUGGUUUUGGAUUUAACCCCGUUAAUUACUCGAUUCCUCUGCCCUGAUUAUGGUUUGUUCUGUUUGGAUUUUUCCCUCUGUUUUCUACGUUCUAAGCAGAACUUGUUGAAGCUUCUCAUGUAUCUAUUCUUUGAACUUCCUCGCCAAGGAUUCGAUCUCGUACAUCAACAAAUUUAAGCUUCUGAUUACCAACAUAAUUACUAACCGCUGCCCGCAUGGGCUCCCAACUAUUUGACAGAGAUGCCAAAAAAAUCAAAGAACAAACCUCAUCAUCAAACUUGAUUUCAAUCGAUGACAGUGGUUGACAAUCGUAUUGAAUUUAUUAACGUGCGCUGCAACAGAAUUACCUCCUUCCAUCUUCGAUUGGUAGAGUUUCUUCAUGAGAAAUACCUUAUUGUUGGCAGAAGGUUUCUCAUAGAUAUCUAAGUAAACUUUCAUCAACCUCUCUGUAAUCUUUUUUUUUUUUUUUUUUACCCUAUCGCCUAUCCGGUCGGUCCCGGUUGGAACGCACCGAGGUGCUAUAUAGUGGACUUGUCUACCGUGUUAACGGCUAGGCCCUUCGGGCUACCACUCUGUCUAUCCCGAGUUUGGUGUGCCUUCCGACUAAGUGUCAGGGAUAGUCAGGCCGCCUUCAUUUCUAACUACUAGGUAAACCAAUAGGGCCAAAGCCCAACUCACAGACUUUCCACAUAAUGUUGAUAACAGCAGGAGCAGGAAAGGAGGGACUUUCACCCAAACACCCCUGGCCCACCAACCACCCGCCCACCACCACAUGGGCCUCUCUGUAAACUUACGUUUCGCGGCGUUGUACGUGACUUCCUUUGAUCUUGUUUAACUUAAUAACACCUUAAACUUGUUUAUCAAAAAAAUCCAGUCAUCCUAGCUCAUCGUCUCAUGCUUAUUUCCCAACAAUUGAUGAAGUUUUUCCCAUACAAAUAAUCUUCUAUCUGAAUCUCCAAAAUUGAAUAAUUUGUACCAUUAAUCUUGAACUUCACUUUACAAGGUAUAUGAGAUGUUAAUAUAUGUGGACAUCAUUAAUAAACUAAUAAUAAUAUAGAGUUGUUAAGAAUUUAUACGUUUUGAAAGUCUUCGUUUUUUUUUUAGUUUCCAAACAUUGGUAUAAGUUUGUUUUAGGAUAAUUUCCUUUGGGUUUUUACCAAAAAAAUGAUUUCUAGUAUAAUGGCUUGUGCUAGUGUUGUAGUUAAAAAAAAAAAAAAAUUCCACUAGUCAAAAUAUAAUAGAACAAUCUAAAAUAAAACAAAAUUAUAAGAAUGUAAUAAAUAUUUUACAUGUUUAAUUCAUGAGAGAAAUCUGAAAACGAUAUUUACAAUGAAACAUAAGGAGUAACAUUAAAAAUAGUACUCCCUCCGUAUUUUAAUAAGUGUCGUUUUAGGAUUUUCUUUUUUUAAAAAUUAGAUGUCGUUUUCAAAUUUCUAUGCAAAAUUUUUUACUUUUUAAUGUUUUAUGAUAUCAUAAAACAUUAAAAAGUAAUAAAUUUUGUAUAGAAAUUUGAAAACGACAUCCAAUUCAAAAAAAUAAAAAUUCUAAAACGACACUUAUUAAAAUACGGAGGGAGUAAGACUUAAGAAAUCAUAAUCCCCCUAAAAAGCGCGGCUGCGGCCAAAAAUUAAAUAAUGCAUUAACACACUAAUUAUUCUAGAAAAACAACAACACGUAAUUCAUAAAGUUAUGACCUAGUUAUUUUACAAAAUGACAUAAUAUACUAUGUAUAGAACGUGAAGGAAAUUACGGUCGAUACGUACUAAAAUAAGACCAUCCUUUACGUAAAAUGUUACCACUAAAAUUAUUUAUGUAAAUAUAUGAAAACGUUCCUUUCUUUUUUAAGUAACUGUACCUUUCCAAUACCUAACGCCUACGACAAACUAUUUUAAUUAUAUAGCAGCAUAGAAAUUAUCAUCAAAAACAAGUAGAGAAACAUUUCAUGUGUCUAUACAAAACAUAUACACAUUCAUGUCCCUUAACCAUUUAGAUACACAAUUAUUGAGCCCUAAACCCCACACAAUUUCAGUCUAAACUAAUGGGAAAAAACCCUAAAAAUACCUCAUCUAUUUUUUUAUUUGAAUGUUUAAUACCUAAAUUUUUUUUAUUGGAAGAAAAAUAUCUCAUUUAAUUAUAUUCGGUAGAAAAAUAUCUCAUUUAAUUAUUGUUAGUAGAUUCAAACCUCUGAUUUAGUCGUUAACGGACGUUACAGUAUUAGUAAGCGACGUUAAAUUAUAACGAGAAAAAUAGCCGAAAAAUACUUCAUCUGUUUAUUUUUGGACUUUUAAUACUUCAAUUUUUUUUUGGAAGAAAAAUACCUCAUUUAAAUAUUUUUGUCUCAAAAAACUUUGUUUUUGAAUUGUUAGUAGAUUCAAAUCUGUGCCUUAACAGCCGUUAACGGGCAUUUUAGAAUCAGUAAACUACGUUAAAUUUUAACUUUCCAUGUAAAAAUAAAUAUAUACAAUAUUUAUACAAAUUUUUACAAAUAUAUUGUUUGAUCUGGUGGUAACACGUAUUUUAUUCAACUUGCAUAGAACUUCUUUUGAUGUCUUAUUUUCUUUAAUGAAUGACGUCAUACAAAUUUAAAUACAUCAUUUUCUUCACUCCUACAAAUUUAAAUUUAAAUACAAUUAACACAUGAGAGAUUGAGACAAAGAUGACGACGACGAUGGAUAUGUCAUGUUUGUGGUCGUGGAGUAGGUUAGUUGCGGAAGUGGAGAGAAUUUAGGUAAAAGUGGAGAAAUAAAAGAAAUGGUUCGAGAAAGAUGGAGUUUUGAUCGUAUUAACGCAAUAAUAUUAAAUAAACUACUUGUUACCACUAGACCACACCAAUAUAUUUGUAAAAUUUUGAAUAAAAAUUGUAUAUAUCUAUUUAUAUACACAGGAUUAACAUUUAACGUCGUUAAAUGAUUUUGUAAUAUCCGUUAAUAAUUGUUAAGUCGCAGACUUGAAUCCACCAAUGAUUCAAAAUGAAGUAUUUUUAGACAAAGAUAUUUUAAAUGAGGUAUUUUUUUCUAACCAAAAAGUUGGGGUAUUAAAAUUCCAAAAGUAAAUAGAUUGAGUAUUUUUCGGCUAUUUUCCUGUUAUAAUUUAACGUUGUUUACUGAUACCGUAACGUCCGUUAACGGCCGUUAAAUCAGAGGUUUGAAUCUACCAAUAAUUUAAAGAUAAGGUAUUUUCGACCGAAUAUAAUUAACUGAGGUAUUUUUUUUCAAACAAAAAAAAGUUAGGUAUUAAACGUCCAAAUAAAAAAUAAAUAAGGUAUUUUUUCGGGUUUUUUCCCCUAAACUAAUAUAUAAGAUGACGACGACGAUGGAUAUGUCAUUUUUGUGGUCGUGGAGUAGGUUAGUUGCGGAAGUGGAGAAGAAUUUAGGUAAAAGUGGAGAAAUAAAAGAAAUGGUUCGAGAAAGAUGGAGUUUUGAUCGUAUUAACGCAAUAAUAUUAAAUAAACUACUUGUUACCACUAGACCACACCAAUAUAUUUGUAAAAUUUUGAAUAAAAAUUGUAUAUAUCUAUUUAUAUACACAGGGUUAACAUUUAACGUCGUUAAAUGAUUUUGUAAUAUCCGUUAAUAAUUGUUAAGUCGCAGACUUGAAUCCACCAAUGAUUCAAAAUGAAGUAUUUUUAGACAAAGAUAUUUUAAACGAGGUAUUUUUUUCUAACCAAAAAGUUGGGGUAUUAAAAUUCCAAAAGUAAAUAGAUUGAGUAUUUUUCGGCUAUUUUCCUGUUAUAAUUUAACGUUGUUUACUGAUACCGUAACGUCCGUUAAAUCAGAGGUUUGAAUCUACCAAUAAUUUAAAGAUAAGGUAUUUUCGACCGAAUAUAAUUAACUGAGGUAUUUUUUUCAAACAAAAAAAAAUUAGGUAUUAAACGUCCAAAUAAAAAAUAAAUAAGGUAUUUUUCGGGUUUUUUCCCCUAAACUAAUAUAUUUAGUAGCUAGAUGGAUAUAGCUAGAGACAGGUAACUUCAAACCACCACAUCGAUUAGUUAUUAGAUCAUUACUCGAAAAUAAAGUAUACAAUAUAUCUCCACCGACAUUCUCGUAGUCUAACUCCUAAUUUCCAUGUUAUUCCUUCCUUCCACAAAGAGUCUUUUUUAACUCUUGAUUUUGUAUAAUGUGUUUCAAAGAUGAGACUUAUAUAUUUCACAAAAAUUAUUUAGUGUAUCAAAUAUAGUCCAUCCUACAAUCCCACUCAUAUAGAUAUGAUAUAAAAUUAGCUAGAAAAGUAUUUAAUAUUUUACAGCAAAAAAGUUGGGAAAUUAGGAUUUUCUUCUAUACAAAUUGUUGUAUUUCAAUGUGAGAGGAUUGUUAGAAGUGAGCUGGACAUUGUACAAAUUGGGAAUAUAUAAAUACACCCACCCAAUACGCAUAUACUAUGCUAAUUUGGGUGGACCAUUAAAUGAGAUUUUAAAAAGAUAAAAUAAGUUAAAGAAAAGUUUUAUUUUUUUAUUUCUUGAAAAAGAUUGAUUAAAUUAGGAGGCCAAAGGAGCUCUAUGAGGAAUGCCUUUUCGUCGCCUAGAAUUAGAGGUAUGAGUUGGAGGAUGCGUGCCUUUGUGCGUUUCUUGUUGUCUUUCUUUACGCAAUCUUUCUUCUUCCUCUUCCUUAUUCUUCCUCAUUCCUUCAACCUGACAUUUUUAUGAUGAUCACAUCAUACAUUUCCCUUAUGCAAAUGUAACAUAUAUAUAUACAUAUAUACACACAUCUAACCUCGCAUAUACAAUUUUAUAAGAUACAUUAUAUGAGGCAAACAACAUGCAUUAUACGAGUUUGAAUAUAGACGAAUCAAUGAAUUUACCAUAUAAAUGAAUAUAAACGUUAUACGGUGUAUCCUAAAACCGAUUCCUCAUAUUGGACAAAUAGAUGCGAAGGCAUUUGUAAUAAUGAUGAAAAUAUGCAUAAACCAAUUUUGUUGGUCCAGUUGUAAAGUACUUGUUAUAUCGAUUGACUCCACAUUGACUUCUAUAGACGCAUUAAAUGGUAACUAUCCAUUGUUCUAUAGAUACGAAAAUUGACAGAGUUUUGGCCUAUGAUUUAUCCGACUACAAGAAAAAAAUUGUGCAUUCAGAAAAAGUGUUGGUGAACGAACCUUGCAACCCAAGGAACAGAAGCGAAAGGGAUCAAGAAGGGUUCUGCAACAUGUCUCACAGAAGUAGGAAAUGGUUUUCGGGGUUGAGGAGGCGGCGCCAUGGGAGGAGUUCUUAGGCUGAGGUCUCUCGUUUAAGAAGAGAACCCUCGCGCUGUUGAUGACAUAAGUUUGCACUCCUCUUAUGUCCAAUGCCUUCUCUAUCUCCGACACUCUCACCACAUCAUGAUAUGAAGAUCUUCUUAUCUGUCCCAAUGUCAAUGAUAAAGAACUGGAGUGAGUCAAAUUGAUAUAUGUAUAUGCAAUGUGGUGUGUUGAGAAAAUGAAGGACCUGAAGAACGGGAUGGUCAAUGUGAAAGGAGGAGCGGCAGUAGAAGCAAAACGCAGCGUUUUGACAGGAGAGACAGAACAUGUUGCACUCAUUUCGCGGUGUCUCACGGUGUUGAGGGCAAAUGCUGAAGAAGUUUGUUCUCAAGAGACCUUCCAGCCAUUUUGGCUCCUCCAUUGAUCUCUCUCCUGUUUUGUUUUUCUUAAACAAUAAUUACAAUAUACAAAAAGGGAAUUAUAUUGAUCGAGACAAAACCUUGUGAGUAAUGUAAUAAAUUACGAAGAACAUGCUUUUGCCAUUUGCAUUACCUCUGUGAAGAUGAUCAGUAGAGAGAGAGGGAGAGAGAAAGGGUAUUAGAUAAUUGAUUUUUGAGACAAGAGCAGGAAAAAAUCAGAUUUUCAGGGUAAGAGAGAAAGGAAGAUAUAAAUUUUAAUUUAUUGUUGAUAAAUGAAGAUUUUAUGUUUUUUCUUCUUAUUUAGGAUUGGUAGAUAUCUUUUCUUCUCUUAAUUAUUAUUAAAUAUUUAUUGUUAAUAGUUUAUUGGGGAGAGAAUGGAAAGGAUAUAUAAUUAGAUAUGAUGUUUGGUUAAGGUUGAUUCCAAACCGUUGGAUUGGGCCAUUAGGUAAAUGAGUCUGAUGACAAAAUUACAAGCUAAUCAAAAAGUAUAGAUCAAAAUUUGUUGCAACUUGGACUUUAAUAAUAACCAAAAUAUUAUAAUGAUAAUACUCUAAUAUUGACAAAUAUAUAUAUAUAUAUAUAUAUAUAUAUAUAUCAUUAAAUUCAAAAAAAAUACUUUUUGAAAAAUAUAUUUAAAUAACAUUUAUGAUUUAAGUGUGUAUAGACAUAGAUCAAAAUUUGUUCCAACUUGGACUUUUAAAAUAACCAAAUGUUAUAAUGAUAAUACUAUACUUUAAGAAUAUAUUUAAAUCAAUACAAUAAUAACACUAAGAAUCUCUCUAGGCCUGACACAUCAGCAUUUUGGGCUCUUCUCAUGUUGACACCUCAUUAAAAUCGUCGUCCAAUGAAAACAUUUCGAUUAAUACAACUCAACAUGUUUUAGCCUAUAAAUAAUUUUCUUUAUGCCAUGUCAUUAUAUUUCAAUUUGUAGGGCUUUAUUGUUUGGAGAGAAGUGGGCUUAAAGAACCAUAGCUGAUGUAAGAUGUAAUAAUUUUCUUUUUUCCUAUCAGGCGCGUGAGGAUAUAUAAGUCUACCGAGAACAGUGCUGCGACGGUAGUAGAGGCAGAAGCUGCAGAGGUUGAAAUCAAUGAAGAGGUUGUGAGUACAUUGUAGGAAGCUUUUAUUCUCCAAUUAAGUCGAGAUUGAAAAGGUUUUGAUUUUUGAACGAUAAAAAUUUCUGACAUUUUUUUUUACGACUAAACAGUUUGAUUCUAAUUAUGAUUAUAAAUUUGGUUGAAAGAUCAUAAUAACAAUGGUUCAUGAAGAAUUUUGAGAUAGGGUUACCAAUGUCAGAAAGCAUAACUUGAUUUUAAGGUGAUUUUGAUUGAAUUUAAAUUUGCUUAGAUCUUCCACUUUGUUUUCGUGAAUCCAGUCAAGCUGGGGAUUUGAUUUGACGAUUUUGUCGACAACUUGAUUGAGAUGGAAGUUCAGUUGCAAAGAAGAAAUAAUUUGUGUGGGUAGUUAUCUAUUUCUUUUAAAUGGUGGGUUGAUGCUUAUAUUAUCUUGAAAUCUUCAAAUGUGUUUGUCUUUCUACUUCGAUUGAUUUGAUCAAAUUAGGUGAUGGAUCCAUCAAUUUUUACCCUUGUUUAGUAGCUUACCAAUGUUUUUAUAAUUCGCUAUAUUUAUAUUUUCGUAAGGUUUUUUGACUCACUGAUCUUUAAAAUUUCAUAUUUCUUAUGACACAUGUAUAAGAGGAUCAGGAAGUUAACAACUUCAACACAGCCAAAAAUCUUCAAAUCUCGAGCAGCAAAAGUUUCUCGAAUUCACGCAAUGAAUAUGAGAAUGAAACUAGAGAAACCAAAUCCUCAACAGAAUCCGUCGCUUUAUUAGAAGCUGAAGAAGGUCAUGACUGAGAGCUCGAGUACAUAACCAAGUUCAUAGUCUCUGGCCAACUGAUGAUAAAAGAAUUCUCCUUGGGGAUGGCUACUGAUAUUACCUCUGAGCUUUUUCGAUGAAAUUGAAGGUAAGAGAGAUGCCCAGAGUAAGAUUGAGAGAAAAACACUGGUCGACUUUGUGCUUAUCAAAUGCGAGCAAAUGUUCAUGGGAAGCUAUAGAGGAUUGUUGGGGAGAGAAGUCAUUUUUCUUGAAAGAAGAGAGAAUUUGACAGAAGAAGUGAAUAAAGAGGUUCAGGGAUUGAAGAAACCAUGGUCCCAAGAGUUCGCUCAUUACACACUUGCAUCGAAUUGGAAUUAGAUUUGAGAAAAACUUUUCAAUCCCCAAAAAUUCUAUGUAUCAAAAAAACACACAUUUCAAUUUUCUAGCUGAGAUUGAACCUUAGGCUCGCCGAAGAAGAAGAAAACGAUCAACGUUGUGACGGUGGAUUGAAAUUCAUUGUUGUGGAGGUUCUCGGUUCUUUUUUUUUCAAUCUCUCGCUAUCUCUCUUUCUUAAUGAAGAGAAGAAGGAUGUUCUAGUGGAUUCAGAGGUUUGACUUUACUAAGCCAAACCGAUAUGGGCCAUUCAAAUCCAACAGAAACCUUGGGCCAUUCGAAACCCAUCACUUCUCAGUCAUUAACGCCUGCAACAAGCAUAAAAGCGACACACAAAGUGUGUGUUCUAAGUAGUAAAUGGUUUUGGUAGUCAGAAAUUUAAACAAAUUAUAUAAUUAACCUCUUCAUAUGUAUGUAUUAAAUUAUUAAUAAAAAAACCCCUUUUUUUUUUUGACAACUGAUUUUAUUAAAUAACUGAAAUGGGAUUUACAUAAGGUAAAUCGGAACCUAUAAUAUCAUAUCAAAAGCCCAAUUAUAAACCCAAAACAGAGGUGUCAAUGGAAAAACAAAGGUUAAAAACUCAACAUUGGUGGAUUAGAUGCAAUAACUGCAAAUUGGAUUUCUUAUUGAUUAAGAACAUAAAAUAAUGUGUGAUAUCUAAAGAAAAGAAUCUAACAGAGGUUGGCAAUUUUGAACACAAUCGGCUCAUGCGAGUGUAUCUCACGGUAGCGAGAAAGAUCAAAUUUUCAUUUGUGUUCAUGAUUAACUAAUCUCAUAAACAUGUAGACAUGUAGUGGAAGUAGAGUGGAUAAAACACAAUUAAGCAACUUCUUAAAAAAACGUUUUUAAAAAAAUCAUGCGGCAUAGCGCGGGUUUCGCCCUAGUAACAUUAAUGAUUUGAUUAAUAGAUUAUACUCCUUAGAACUAUCGAAACGUGUACAUCCAAAAGAAACAUACAUAAAUUAUCAAAAUAUGUCAAAUAAAUGAAAAUUCAAUUUUUUUUUUUUUUUUGAUAAACUCUAUCGGCUGAUCCGGUCAUCCUCGGUAGAAAUCCACUGAAGUGCUUCAGAGUGGACUUCUCUCCAAAAGAAAGGGCCACUACAAUAUCUAUCCCGAGCUUGGAAUGCUUUUCGACUAAUGUCUGGAGGUAGCCAAAUCGCCUGUUACUAGAAUACCAGGUAAACUGUUUGGGCUCUUUGGCCCAAGUCCAGAUCGAACUUGGAUUAAUUUCUUCCAACAUUUCUCUAAUUCUCAACCACCACUAGACCACCGCAACUGUGUGAGCAGAAUUCAAUUUCUCAAUCAAUGAAAAGAUGUUGUUAUCUUUAAAAUAUUUUCUCUAUUCAUUUUCUACAUUUGUAAAUAAAACACUAAUAUUUUUAGUUCUACUCGAAUUAUCUCCUAAUUCUUAAAAAUACAUUAUAUACAUGUCUAACAUAACUAUAUUAAUUUUAUUCAUCAGUUAUCUUACAAAAAUAUGAAAGAAACAAUUAAAUACUGUGAUAAAAAUAUUUUUUGUAUUAUCAUGCAUAAAUACACUAAAUCACAUAUAACAAUAUUUAAAUAAAUUUUUAUCUGAAUACUAUGAGCAACUGAUUUUGACCAGAAAUUAAUAAUAAAAUAUAAAGAUAAGUAACGGUAUUUCAUAGAAAAUAUUUGUCCAAAGAAAUUAAUUAAAUAUAAUCAUGAAUUCAUAUUUUUACUAGAAAACAUUGAAAGUCUUACAUAAAAAAUGUUUACAAAAUAAAAAAGUCAUGCUGCCUACCAAAAAAAAAAAAAAAAAAAAAAGUCAUGCUUUUAGGAAAGUAGAAGAUAAUAAUAUGUUCUUUGAUCAAAAAAAAAAAGAAAAGAUAAUAAUAUGUUUAAGAUGUCUAACUAGCAAUGCAAUUGCAAAACAACAAAUUUACAUGCAAUUAAAAAGUUUUACUUCAUUAGUUUUAUUCAGCUAAUACAAACUUGUAGUGGAACGUCCUUUCAUUGACCAAAAAUUAAUUAAUGCUUCUAAACCUGAUUUGGGACUCGGUUCCCAAAAAUUGCGGAUUAUUACAGAUAAAUGGAACAAGUUAAUAAGAGAUCUCAAACGUUGUGCAGAUAGAAUCGUUAAUCGUGAUCCGGCCUGACAAAGGGUAAAACUGUCCACAAGAGCGGCUCAUAAAAAUUAAAGACCUUGAACUGAAAAAAAUAAUUAGCCCUUAUUUCUUAUGUUUUUUUGUAUAAAAAAAGUUUUGGACCCUAAUUUUGAUAAAUUUAGUUAGAAAAAAAAAAGAUAAAAUUAGAUGGAUCUUGUGUAUAAGCACCUCCAACACAUGCAUAGAGCCAGACCUGACUGUCCAUCAUGAUGCAUAGAGAACCAUCUAAUGUAGAUCUUUGUAAUGUAGGUAGAAUUGUCAAUUGUAAAAUUGUUCAUGAAAUUGCUCACUAUGAAAAACACAUGAAUGAUUUGUUAGUCGAGAAGGUUGAUCAUUUGUAAUAGGAUAGAACUAAAUUAAAAUAUAUUCAAAUGAUAAUGUUUCAAACAAUUUAAUUACAACACGUAAAUUAAAUUUCAUGUACUACUAGUUUUAACAUUAAUAAACACACUAAUCGGUGGACAUUACUCGUGUAGUGGUAAGUGACAUGGGGAAAAUGCCCGCUAACUAGUCUUUAGGGAGGGUACUAGCCUUUGUGGUUGGGCGUGCCGUUUUGAGACCAGUGUCAAUGAUCGAGUUUGGAGCCCAUAUCUUCGUAUUCUUUUGAGUUUAUAUUUUCCUAGUGGAUUUUGUUAUUGGGCAUUCUAAUAGACCCGGUUUCGAAUCUUUUUUGCCCUCAGUUUAGUAUGUUAUUAUGGUAAGACUUUAUUGAUUAUUGCAUAGAUGCUGAGUUUUGCAUAUUUUUGCACUUACUAUAGUAUAGAGCAUAGUUCAUAGAUUUGAUUGUAUAGAAAUUAUUGUUUUCGUACAUCUGAAUUUGUGUUUUCAGUAAACUCUAAAUGAAAUAGUAGAGCCAGCACUAAGUCCAAACAAGAAAAGUUUGAGCUUGUAGCCUAUGUUAUAAUAUAUGUAUAUAUGUUUUAACGGCCAAUUUUCUGUUGAAAAGUUCAAUAGGCUGGUGGUAAAACCAUGAACUACUGAUAUUAAGGUGAUAAGUUCAGUCAUCCAUGGCAUCAUCUCCUUGUUUUUAUUUACUUCGUAUUCGUAUCCUUAUAAUUUUGUUCAGAAACAAUUUUUUUGUUUGAGUUCUAUAUGGUGCCCAAACAUGAUAAUUUAAUUUAUAGAUAUAAACGUGAAUUUGUUAUUAGUAAUAUUUUAUUUUGAGAUAUUUAUUUUUAAAUUGAUACGCGUAAGUAUUAUUUGAUUUAUGGAAUUUGGAGAAAUUUUUCUUUCAAAAUUAUAAUGCAUAUAUGAAAUUUCAUCAAAUUAAUUAUGAGAAAUUGUUGAAAAUGCCCCUUUUUCAAUACGUCUUUUCAAAAAUGCCCCCUUUGAGAGUUCAUUUUUAAGUUUGUCCUCUUUUAAUUUUUAAUGACCAUUUUACCCUUAUUUGAAACAAAAUUAGGUCCACAAAAUACAAAAUAUUUUUUGGCGGGAAAAGUGAUCCCGCAAUUUUCCCGCCAAAACACUUGUAAAAACUUGUAAAACCGUUAAAAUACCUUGUAAAAUUUUCCCGUAAAAAUUUUUCCCGCCAAAAAUUUUUUUUGUGGGACAAGUGAUUCCGCAAUUUUUUUGGCGAAAUUGUUUUGGCGGGAAAAAUUUACAAGGUAUUUUAAAGGUUUUACAGAGUAUUUACAAGUGUUUUGUAAGAUUUUACAAUGUAUUUUAAAAGGUUUUACAAAGUACUUAUAAAGUUUUAUAAGGUAUUUAUAACUUGUAAAACUUUAUAAAAAACUUGUAAAACCUUAUAACUUGUAAAAACUUAUAAAAUAGCUUGUAAAAUCUUAUAAUAUCUUAUAAAUACCUUAUAAAUACGUUGUAAAACCUUUUAAAAUACAUUGUAAACCCUUAUAAAUACCCUGUAAAAAACCUUUAAAAUACCUUGUAAAUUUUUCCCGCCAAAAAUUUUCCCACCAAAUAUUUAACGCCAAAAAAAUUGCGGAAUCACUUUUCCCGCAAAAAAAAAUUUUUGGCGGGAAAAUUUUUUGGCGGGAAAAAUUUUUACGGGAAAAUUUUACAAGGUAUUUUAAAGGUUUUACAAGUUUUUACAAAAUCAAAUUUGUAAUUUUGAUGUGUGCACAUUCUCAUGUUUUCCUUAUAUAUUUGUGAUAUCUUUUAUUAAAAGAAGGGUAAUUUAGUCAUUUUGUACAUAAAGGGGGUAUUUUUAAAAAUGAACAGCCAAAAGGGGCAUUUUUGAAAAAAUAUAUUGAAAAGGGGCAUUUUUGUGAGUCUCCCAUUAAUUAUUGUUCCAUGAAUAUUGUAAGUCUUAUAUUAUUAUUUUUUAUAUAUUUUUUUUAAAUUUACAUUAUUUUUGACCAAGCUUACAGUAAUUAAUGUGUUGCAUUAACAAACAAAAAAUUGAAAGGAAAAUUAAAGUCACAUGCUUGAACAAUUUUACCAACAAAAUAUAUAUUUAAACUUUUAUUUAAUUAUUUACUAAAUAGUUAUGUGGAAAUAAUAGAGAAUGAUAUGUCAUUCUCCUUGGCAUUCUAUGAAGAGUCCCCAUUCCGCCAUGAUAUUUUUCAGUCAUAGGAUAAUUCAAAAGCAAACAAUGAAUUGUAGUUUUGGUAGCAGUGCAAACAUGAAGUCAAGCGGUAUUUUUCCAACAACUGAAGAUAUUACUUUUUAUUUUAUUUUAGACUCAUCUCAACAAUAGAAGAAAGUAGUCAACUCCAAUAAUUUUCCAACAUGUAAAAUAUGUGUAUUAAAGACUAUUUUCUAGUUAAAGAUUAAGUUUUAUAUCAUUUUUGAAAUUUUUGACAAAAAUUAUAUGGAAUAAAAAGAAAGGAGAAAAACAGAAAACUACAAAACAAGAAAUUUACAACAACAAAAAUGAAAGCAAAGCAAGGACUUAUAUGUUUGAGCUAAUUACGGAAUUUACCAAUUAUUCAUAUAAUCAAAUAUGUUAUGAACUUAUAUUUGGUAUAUAAUAAUACCAAAUUCAAUCUAUGUGUGGAGUCUAUAUUUUCAUUUUACAAUCUCAAUGAAAAUAUUGCAGCACAAUCUAUUAUUUAUUAUUUUCAAAAUUACUUGCAGAAUCAAAUUUUCAAAUAUUUAGAAGUGUCAAACCUUAUUUAACUCAUCUCAUCAUAAAAAUCUUAAAAUGAGUCUGUUAUAAGAAUCAUAACUUUCUACUAUAUAAUACAUUACAUUUAACCCGCCGUCUACUAUAAAUAUUUUAAACAUAUUUAAAAAAAAUCAAAUUAAAGUAUUUAUAAUUUUUUUUAAUUUUUUAAUUUAUUAAAUAUUUAUGAUAUUCUUUAAUAUAUUAAAUUAAACUUUUUUAAAAUGUUCCAAAUUAAAAUCUUUAAAAAAAUUAUUGUAGUAUGUAAAAUUAUGAAUUUUUUUAAAAAAAUGAUAUGAAAUUAAAUAUAAAUAUUCAAAUAGUUAUAAGGAUCAUAACUCAUUUCAUCAUAUAAUAUAUUAUAUUCAACCCGCCGUCUAUUAUAAAUAUUUGUUUCAAAAAAUCAAAUUAGAGUAUUUAUACUUCAUAAAUUUUUGAUCUAUUAAGUAUUGAUGAUAUAAAAAAAAGGAAUAUAUUACUCAAAUAUGAAUUUUUGACCCGUUAAAUUUGUUCUUUCAUACAUUGAAUAAUUUCUAUUCGUUUUUAAAAAUCCAAAUCUUAGUAUAUGCGAAAAAAAUGUACUUUUUUUUUUGUUAUAUAGAUGAUAUAAUGAUUUAUUUAUUUAUAGAAAUAGAAUCAUAUAAAGAGGUGAAGUAUAAUGAUUAAUAACAAAUUAAUAUGGUAAGUUAGAUAUCAAAUCUUAUAUGUUCAUUUUGAUUGGUCAUUUUUUUAAAAGAAAUUAAUAAUAGAUUUUUGUUUUUAUAAUUAAAUUAAAUUAAUUAAAUUGCAUAAAAUAGUAUUUGACUUGUUUAUCCUUAAUGAGUUGAAUUAAUUUACUCUAUAAAAUUUUAUUUCUAAUGGCAUUCUUAAGUAAAUUCUUAUAAAGGGGAAGGUUAAUUAAGGGUAAUUGUAAAUUGUACUCUACAGUUUUGAGCACAAAAAAAAAAAAAAAAAAAAAAAAAGAAAUGAGCACAAAUUGGUCUUAGAUUUGCCACGAGUGCAGCGAGGUAGGCCAAUCCUCAAAACUUUAGUUCGGCAUAGCUUACAGCUUCUCCUUGAACAAACCACACUCAUACAUUGAAGACAAGUAAAGCUUCCGAGAUUGAAAGGUCCAAGAUCGUCGACACCGCCAGCGGGGACCUCGCAUCAUCCUAGCAAUCUUUCUCUAGAACUAGCUCAUUCGGUAACUCCAAACUGCUAAAGGAGAUCUGUCAACAAAGCGUUUCUCGUUAGAGACCAAUACCACAAGACAAUAAAAAUGCAACAACAAAGCGUUUAGUCCUUGCUCCGUUUUCGUUUUUGUUUUUCUGGUGUAUUAAAGAUUUAAUAGCCAAAUAAUGUGUACUAAGAUAUUUACCAAAAAACAGUUGCGCACUAAUGGACUAAAUGUAAUUAGGAGAACCCUAAUUUUUCUCUUUGUGUAUUUCAAUAAAUACUUGUACACAUUAUCUAAUCUGUCUUUUCCCUACUUUAGUAUAGAUAAGAUAAUGUUUACAAGUAUUUCUUGAAUUUGUAAGAAGUUUAUCUCUUCCUCUUCUUUUUUUAAUACAAUCUUUUGUUUAACAUAAUAAAAUAAAAGAGGUUUAACAUAACAAUUUCUAUUUCUGUUUUCUAUGAAGUAUUAACCCUAUUUUCUUGUUCAAGAGGUGAGAUUUAGGAAUGCCAAGUUAGGGUCAGAACAUCACAUCAACAUGGAAAUAUAUUAGAAUUACUAAAUCAAAAAUACUAAUGUAAAAUUCUGUGUCCAAAUUUAAUUAAAUAUAAUUUGAAAAUCCAUCGUGAUACUUUAUUUGAUUGCUCUUACAGAAUAAUGUACUAGUUAUUACAACUUAAGAUAUUGAUACUAAAAGAUUGAGUUAUUUUCAAAGUAUUUAACCGAUUCAAAAUCUUAGUUGAAAUAACGUAUGAACCUUUUAUUCAUAUAUCCUUUGUUUGAUACCUAAGAAAUUAUGAAUUUUAUAGAAUUUUGCACCAUUUAGAGUUUUUUUUUAAAAUAUUUAUAAAUAAAAAAAAUUAUUGAUAAAUAGAUUGACCAUUUGUGGAAGCCCCCUUGGCACAUUGGUUGACCAAAUGUUGAUUAAUGCUUCUACACCAAGAGGUCUGGGGUUCGAGUCCCAGAUAUUGCGAUUUAUUAACAAAUUUGCAGAUUAAUGGGGGCAAGUAUGCAAGAGAUCUACAGCGAUGUACAAUUAUAGCCGUUCACCAGAGUUCUACGCAGAGAAGGAAGUGUCGCCAGGUCAUGGAUCAUUGAAGGUAUUCAUCAAGAUCACGAAAAAAGAAGUGUAUUCUGUCGUGGAUCUAGUAAGGGUCAAGAGGAAUUGUCAGUUAUAGAAUCGUUUAUGUAACAAUUAUCAUAAUUUGCAAUUAAUAAUAAAUGUAGACGACAAAAAAAAUAGGUUGACUAUUUAAAAUGGAUCAAAAAUAUAAUUUUUAUAUGGUUUACAAAGUAAUUUACUAAUUUUCUUUGACGUGGAAUAGAAAACUUGAAAAUAGAUUUAAUUUUUUGAAAAAAUCAAAAAUAUUAGAAAUGCUAAAGUAUGUAUUCAAAAGUUAACAUGAUAAAAUAGAUAAAAGUCAACAUUGAUGAUGCAUCCUACAUAUAUUAGAAAGAAUGUGUACUUGUUUUUUUAAAAAAAAUUCAAAACUUGAAGAGAUGAAAAAGACUUCACAUAAGAGCUAGAAAUUAAGGAGACGAGAUUGAAAGUGUCACGGAGAAGAUUAGUAACAUGGAGGUUAAGUUACGUUUAUCGAACAAGAAACUAAGAGGAACCAAACAAGUACUACUUGAGAUAUAAGAAGCUUGUAUCAGAGAAGAAGCUAAGUAUUUAGAAGAAUAAGCAUUGCUUGAUAAAAGUCUCAUGGUUAUACACAAGACUUACAAAGGUAUGAUCAAAGUGAUAGCAGAGAAAGUGAACACAACACUAAAUUUUCAAUCCAUGUUGGGGGUGCAAAGGGUAAAUGAAGAAAAACAAAUAUAAAAUAUAUAUAUAUAUAUAUAUGUAUAAUAAAAAUUAAUGAAGAAUUUUUCAUCGUAUUUUUCCUGUGUGUUAUUAUUCUCUAAUAGAAUUUCAAACAAUGUUAAAAAUGUAUAGAACAAAAGACAAUCAGAGAAGUAAAGGGUAAAUAUACAUAAGAUGUCAAUAUUUCUAGAAAACUAAAAAAAAAAAAAAGGAGAAAAAAAAGACCAUGUAAAAACUUCUUUCUAAUACAUAUUUUUGGGUCAGUUUCAUUAUUUUUUUUUCUUUUUGCUUGUUAAAUAAGAAAAUUUGUAUGUUAAUUCAUUAUAUAUGAUGAUGAUAGUUGGGUGGUUAUUUUUAGAAUCGGAAUGUUUUGUGUGAAUAUAUUUAUCUUCGAAUUGAAAUUUUGUGUGAAUAUAUAUAUCCUCUGACAUGAAAGCUAAGAUUGGCCAUGUACGUAUGAGUUAAGAUAUUAAAUUGCCUGAAUAUUCAGAUGUACUUUUUUGAAAAUUUAUUUUUCUCUUAUCUGUUUUUUAGCUCAAGAAAGUGACGCAAUACUGAUAGCCAACAUGUGCAGUAGUUGUUGCAUCGACCUUACGUCAAUUCCCCGAAUGGCUAAAUAUCAUAUUGCUUUAUCAAAUCUUCUAUUUGGGAGUAAAAUUCAGUUACGGUAUUUAUUAUAAAGGAUAACAAACUUACGCAUGAAUCUAUUCGUAAUCAAUGUCGAAACCACUUUUUUGGUGUCAUAGGAAAAAACAGUUGCAUUCGUGCCCGCAUCAUCGAAGGAGCAAACCAAAGAUAUUGUUUUUUGAUAAUCAGUCCAAAAGGUGAUCUGAGGUUUUUACCGCUUGGAAAAUAUUUCAACAAGUAGAAAACUAUCCACCCAUAAACGCAGCCCCGAUAUCCAAAUCCGGUAUUAACAAAACACUAUAAGUAGCAAUUAAUCUACACUUCAUCAACAAAAGAGGCUAACCAAAUCUAAUUUCAAUCCCGUGGGAGAUGGUUCAUCUAGCUUCUUGCUCGGGAAAUGGUGGUCAGAGGCUAUCCGUAGAUGCUUUCGUGCAGCCGGGUGCGGUUAAGCCUCUCUAGCGAUUUCAUUUUUGCAUUAGUCUUCGGAGAAGUUGUAGACGGUCUUUUUUUGGAGGUUUUGAGGACGUGCCAUUAGAAGAAAGGUUUGUAUGUGGCAACGACGACGAGGUUUUGAGUUUUUUGGAGAAUUGAGGCAAUUACGCAAAUGUUCGAGCUUUGCGGUUCGGAAUCGGUGUUUCCUCUUCAGGCCUCUGCCGUUUGUUUCGCUUUGUUUUUUUAUCGUGUUUUAUCUUGUAUUCGUAGUUCUUUUAGUCGUAGUUUUUGGUCUUUCUGCUUUCAUUGUUUCCUCUGUAUUUUCUGUUUCAAACUUGAAAACGGUAUAAAUACUUAACAUUGGUACCAAAAAAAAAAAAUCUAAUUUCAUCUAGGAAAAGCAAUAAUCUAAAACAACACUCGCUAAAACACAAUAAAGAACCGCAUAAUUUACUUGGUGUUCUUCGCUUUCGCUCAAAUCUAAAACAACACUUGGAAGUAAGAACCAUUUCAAAAGUGUUUUAAUGGAAUUUUCUCGUUAUAAAUAAAACUGAACUGUAAUAUUGUGUGAUUACAUGUUCAUUUUUAUUUACAUUGAGGUGACUAUACUAAAAUGGUGAAGAUAAAUAUAAUUAAUAUACAAAAAUAUAUAUAUUGAACUACGAUAUCAAUGUAUCAUUAAAUAAUAUGAUAUAAUUUACACAACAUGGAUCAAUCAUCUUGUUAUUAUACUAAAAACCAAAAAUAUUUUUUAAUAAACACAUUCACAUUGUAAAUGUAUAACAAUUUCGAUACUUUUCUCACAAAUAUUUGGUAAUAAUAUAUUACUUAAAUGUUAGUCAAAUUACUUUUUGAUAUAAUUAUAAUUUUUUACUAGCAUGUUUUCUAAUCAUAUUUUCUUAUCAAUUUAUUAUAAUACAAUAGAAGUUUUUAAAAAUGAAAAACGAAAAUCCUUUUAGUCAUAAUCUAAAAUUGAAAAAUAAUCAAACUAUACAAACAAUAGAAAUAAAAUAUUAAUCUUAUCUUAUGGAAUAAAAUAUUUCUUUCAUUCUUUGGUUAAUAAUUUUUACAGUAAGAAUUUUUCUGACAUUCUAUAUUUACUAGUAUUUUCAUUAUUUGGUAUAUAUAUACCAAAUAAGGUUGAACCAAUAGUAUUGACUUAAUGACUUGACACUCCAAAAUAUAUUACUUCUCCUAGAUCUUUAUCUCUCUCAAUCUUUUUUUUCUCUCUCCCUCUCCCACAAUCACAAGAUAGGUAAAUUGAUCCAAAAAGAGUCGUCUGAAUGAAGAAAUCCGUUGUUCAUCUUGUGAUUCUAUGCCUCAUUGUGUCAUGUACCAAUGGACAAACCAAACCUGUAAGAAGAAGUAACUCCAAUGGAUCCGAAGCUUGGGGAUACGUCGAAGUUAGACCAAGUACGUUCUUUAUCUCUAAUUCUUCUACCAACUUUUUCAAGAAAUCAAUUGGUUUAUGUUAGAUAUGACUAAAUGGGUUUUGUUUUGACUCUUUUUUCUAAAUCAAAAUCGGAAAAAUAUAGAAGCACACAUGUUUUGGUGGCAUUAUAAAAGUCCAUAUAGAGUUGAAGAUCCUUCUACGCCAUGGCCUAUCAUCCUCUGGCUUCAAGGUGGACCUGUAAGGUUUUAUCUUCUUUUAUUUGUCUUUUAUACAUUUGUUGUUUAUUGAUCAUUAAUGUUUUCAAUUAUUUGGUUUUGGUGAGAACAGGGAGCUUCAGGGGUUGGAAUAGGGAAUUUUCAGGAGGUUGGACCAUUAGACACAUUUCUCAAGCCCAGAAACUCAACUUGGUUGAAGAAGGCCGAUCUCCUGUUUGUGGUAUCUAUUUUUUUUUUAUUUCAUUACCAUCAAUAUUAUUAUUAUUCUUUAUCUAUUUUAAAAUAUAUAAUUAAUUACGGUUGCGUAGUUUAUAUUUUGAUGAGUCUUUAAGACUCGUUUAUGUUGAAUUUAAAUUUUGUUUUUUUUUUUUUAAUAAAAGGAUAGUCCAGUUGGGUCAGGUUAUAGUUUCGUGGAGGGGAAUCAAAAGGAUUUGUAUGUGAAAAGUGAUGAAGAAGCAGCACAAGAUUUGACCAAACUGUUGCAACAACUCUUCAACAAAAACCAGACUUUAAACCAAAGCCCUCUCUUCAUUGUUGCUGAAUCUUAUGGUGGCAAAAUCGCGGUUAAACUCGGUUUAUUGGUUUUCGACGCGGUUCAAUCUGGCAAAUUAAAGCUUCAACUUGGAGGUAAAGGGAUACUUUCUUUUUCUUCUCUUUUCUUCAUUGAAUAAAAUGAAACUAAUAUAAUGUAGACACAUAAUUCCAUUAUAUAUAUUGAGUGAAUAGGAGUUAUUUUGGGAGAUAGUUGGAUAUCCCCUGAAGAUUUUGUGGUGAGUAUUUUUCAUCAUUUUUUUUCACUUGUCACUUGUUAGAGUAAUCUCAUUUAUUUGUGAUUAAAUGAUAUAUUCAUAUGAUUUUGAUUAAUUAAUUGUUACAGUUUUCAUGGGGACCUCUUCUUAAGUAUGUCUCUAGGCUUGAUGACAAUGGCUUGGAUCUCUCUACUAGGUCUUUCUUAAUACAAAAUCAAUAUUUCUAACUAAUAUAUAAUUAAUUUACUUCUCUAAUCUAUUUAUUACACUUUUUUUUUUGGAGCAGCUUAGCCGAGAAGAUUAAAACACAAAUUAAGAAUGGUGAAUACGUUGAUGCCACACAAACAUGGAUGGACCUCGAAAACUUGAUUAGUUCCAAAUCCAAUUCAGUCGUAAAUUUUUUGUCCUCUUAUUUUUUAUCCAUUAGUAUUUACAAUUAUAAGGAUUUGAUGGUAAAGUGAAUAAUUUACAUGUUGGUUUAAUGUAGGAUUUUUACAAUUUUCUACUGGAUACUGAAAUGGACCCUGUCUCGCUUACGACGAGUUUAAAAAUCAAAAAAGAAGAGAAAAUAAAAAAGUAUUCAAGAUAUUUAAAUGAUUUGAGAAGUUCAAGUGACGUAGAAGAUGAUGAAGGAGACCUUGGUAAGUUAAUGAAUGGUGUUAUUAAGAAGAAGCUCAAGAUUAUUCCCAACGACCUCAUGUAAGUAACUUUUUUUGAUAAAAAAUUUAAUCGUAGUAUCAAACUUAAUAUAGUCAAUUUUAGUUGUUAAAUGUGUUAUUAUGUGGUUUUUUUUUAAAUCAACAGAUUUUUUUUUUUUUUGUCAAAAUUUUAAAUCAACAGAUGGGGAAACAAUUCGAAUGAUGUGUUUGCAGCGAUGGAGGCUGCUUUUAUGAAACCUGUAAUUGAAGACGUAAUAUUUCUUUAUAUAUAUAUAUAUAAACUAUUUAAAUUAGUAAAUUAUCAAAUGUAUAAAAAGUUUCAAUUAUUUUGAAGGUUAGAUUAUGAUAUUUUAAUAAUAACUAAAAUAUUUUUAUUUUUUUGGCAGGUCGAUGAGCUUCUUGCCAAGGGGAUAGAUGUGACCAUCUAUAAUGGACAAGUAAGACCAUCAUUAUCUAUAAAAAAAUUAUAUUUGAUUGAUAUGAAAGAUGAGAAAUCAUUUGCAUUGCAAGAAAAAAAUUGUUAAUUGAAUAUAAAAUUUAAAGAAUGAGAUAAAUUGACAUGUGGUUAUACGCAGCUUGAUGUUAUCUGUUCAACAAGUGGAACUGAAGCAUGGGUUCACAAACUCAAGUAAGGCCAAACUACUUUUCUAAUUUUAGUCAUUACAUCAUCAUCAAAAUAUAGUUAUUUUGUUAUGAAAAUAGAAUCCAAAAAAUUACUGAAUAUAGGCACACUUAUAAAAAAGUGAGGAAUGACUAAUCAAUGAUAAUAAAUAAAUUAAAAAAAUUAAAAAAAUAUUCCCUCGGUUUUAUGUCAUUCUACUAUUUUCACACAAAUUAAGAAAAAUAAACAAAUUUGUUUUCUACCCUUUAUAAAUAUACUAUAUAAUACAUUCUCUCUAAUUAAUAAGCUAAAAAAAUAGGGAUGAAAAAGAGAAUUAGUCUUAAAAACUGCAUCGAAAACAUAAAACGACAUUAUUUGUGAAACAAGAUUAAAACCUUAAAACGACACUUUUUGUGAAAGGGAGAAAGUAAUAAUAAUAGAGGGAAUAAUAUUAAAUAGCUUAAGAAAUGUUGUUUGUAUUAAUUAUAAAAAAAUAGGUUGUUGGUAUAUAAAUUUGUCAUUUACAUGAUAAUGAUGAUGAUGAUGUGCAAGGUGGGAGGGGCUAGAAGAAUUCAAGAAAAUGGAAAGGAGGCCAUUAUUCUGCGAAAGUGACAGAACAACAAGAGGCUUUACCAAAUCAUACAAAAAUCUCCAUUUUUAUUGGAUUCUUGGUGCUGGUCAUUUUGUAAGUACAUACACUCUCACUUUUUAUCCUUUAGUAACUUCUCUUCAUUCAUAUAUAUAUAAAUAAAUUAUUUUGCAUAAGUCAUAAAUAUUUCUUGCACAGCCAUCACAAAUAUUGCAUAUAUAUACAGUGAAAUAUUGCAUCGAUAUUUAUUGAAUAACGUGAGAGAUACGUGAUGAAUCUAUUAAACGAAAGCACAAGUCUCUUUUGUGUCUGUUUCAUGCUUUUUUCUGCAUUUUCUUUAUAUCAAAACAAAUUGUCGACUGUCUCUUUAAUACUUUAAAACACUGACUCAAUCUUUAUGAUUUUUUCUUUUGUCAAUUUUUUUUUUUUAACAUCAAUAUUAAAUAGCUAUAUAUAGAAUUCUCUUUUCCUUUACACGCAACAUAAUAAAAGAAAAAUCAGACAGUGUGUGUGUGUUUUUUGAUGGAGAAUAUGGUAAAUAAUUUGGAAAACUAAUAUGUUGAAUAUUUUGUUUGGAAAAAAAACAGGUACCAGUAGAUGAGCCAUGUGUUGCAUUAAAAAUGGUUGGAGAAAUAACGAAGUCACCACAACUUUGACCCAUUCUUUCUUCCAAACUUUCACAUCACAAUAUGACUCCUUUCACAUCUGAUUGAUUUUAUAACUCAAAACGUUAAAAAUUAAUAAAAGAAGUCAACAGUGAAACUACCUACACAUGCUUUUUUUUUAUUUUUUUUUUCCUUUUAUUUUUUUCCGGCAAAUCAAAUAUAUUGAUAUCAAAAAGUGUUUACAAGAUACACAAUCAUUUCUAAACAACCGUUUACGUAAAUACAGGAAAUUAUUACAAUUUCGAUGAAGGAGUGGAGAGUAACCAUGCUAUCUUUAGACUUAUAGGCUAACAGAUAUAAUCUGUUAUGUCCCCCCUUCACACACUUUUUAUUGGCUAUCAGCUUAUAGCUGAAACUCCAAAAUGCCAUUGGCACUACAUUUUUUGAAACAGUGAAAUUAAAUGUCGUUGGAAAUGAUUCUGGAACUUGUUGUCUCAUUGAAAUCAAAGUACUUGAUGGAUCCAGCAUAGACCUUCUAUGUUCAUCGGGAUAUAUCCAUUGUUUUCUCUCCCGCGGUUGUUGCCAUAGUGAAUGUUUCCAUUGUAACCAAUAAAUAUUUGAAAGUAAAUCCAAGACGGGACACAAGUAUAUACCAUGUUCAAUAGCAAAACGUGGGCUCAGUAGUAUCUCUUUCUCUUGUAUCUUCCUUUUGUUAAUACCAAAGAAUUCUCUAUACCAAAGAACAACGAUAAUGGCUGAUUCUAUGAAAUGGCCUUUUGAAUACGUUGCCUUUAUGUGGUGAAGCUUCUCGGCAACAAGAUCAUGAACUUCAAUAACAUGUUGGUCGAAAUUAGAGAUAAAACUAUAGUCUUCAAUAGCCUGAUUUGCUUUCUCUAUGACUCCAAUAAUAUGUUCUCUGAGAUACUCAUCAUGAAUUCUCCAUUCUUUAAUCCAUAUUGAAAUUAACUUCAAAACUUCAUCUUGGAUAUUUGGAGGCCAUCGAUGGAUUGUGAUCAUCCAAUCAACAAAAAGCCAUAAGCCUCUCUGAAUCACCAAAUUCAACUCUUCCUGUGAGGAUUGGGGAAGUGACACCGGUUCAUCGAGUCUGCGAUUAAUCCUAGUUUUGAAGCCCAACAAAGUCUCCCUCAAUCCAAAAGAAACAAUCGGAGAAAGUAAAAAAAUAUCACCAUCAAUACUGAAACUUGUUGACGUCUUCGCGAGAUGGAGAACUAAGAUCUCAAUCGUCAAAACAAACAUAAAACGGCUUCCCUUGAUUCUAUCCGUACGGAGUCGUCGUAUUCCACCAUUUGCAAAUCUGUAAAUAUGAACUCCUGGAUCCCAAAUCUGGGUUUGAAAGUUCUUUCUCAAUUUGAAGAAAUUAACAUCAUAGUCAUGAAUUCGACGAUGAUGAAGACGAAGAUAUUCAAUAUUGAGAUAACAGAGGCCGCUUUGACGAAGCUUCAGCGGAAAGACACCACCACUAGUCCAAGACCAUUGUCGGAUUGUGGUCGGAAAGAAACUCUCGUGAGUGGAGAGAAAAACGAUGAAUUGGAAAUCUACCACCGAACAAAUUUCUUUGAGAAUCAUAUGCCGAUGUUAUUAUUUAUCUAUAGAAUAAAUUUAAAGUAAAGAAAAAAGGAUGCAACAAAAAUUAAAGCCGAGCUAGUUCAAUUAAUUUGGGAAAUCCAAGUAAGAAUCUAAUAUAACAAAUAUUUAAGAUACUAAUUAAGUAACUAAAUGGAGGAAAAAUUGUGUGUUACAAUCUUGAAGAAUAUACAACUUCAGGAGGAUCUUUUAAAGAAACACAUAAGCAAUGACAAGUAACUACUAAGAAGGGCCUAUCCUCAAAUUUACACCACUCAAUACAAAUGCAAAAGUAAGAACAGACAGGACAAGACCAGAGAAUUACUUGAUGUUGCUGAAGCUGCCAGAAGCUUCUAGUUGAUCUACAGUGAAGCUGAUUCGAUCUUCUCGAUAACUUCCAGCCGCGUUUUCCUUUUCCAACCUUUCAUGGUGGCUACUAAAUUCACCAGUCCAAGGACCUGUGCUUUUGUAUAUCCCUGCAUAUUUACAACCCAUGUUUAUACAUUUUUCUCAACUCUUCUAGAAGUAAAAUAUAGGUUUGGUUUACGCAAGCCAGAGAGAAAAAGAUUUGUUUGUUUACCGGAUGAGCCCUUGCCCAGUGAACAAAUUCCGUCUCUGGCAGAUAGUACGCCUGCAAAGAGGAGUGAUGAUUUUGGUUUAAGCCGUAACAAAUGUUUCUGUUUUUGAGUCUGCGCUUACAUAUGAGUUUCUGUUUUGCUUACCUUGAUAAAUGUUACGACUAUCUUUAACUUUUCCUUCACAUCUGUUUGCACAAAGUGCUGUAGCCCGUUUAUUAGAACCUACAAGAAGAUAGAUUCAAUAUAUCAAUUGCAGCUGUGUUGUUUAUUUGAAGUUUCUAUAUUAGUAUUGGAAUGUCUUUCAAUGUUGAUUGAAAAAUUUAUUACUCAUGUAUACAAUUCCUGAUCUCGCGUAGAAGAGAAGAACACUGGAAAAGAUUGGGAAAAGUACCUGAAGAUCUAAUGACAUGAGAACACGUCCUUCAUCAGUACAUCUUUUUAUUCGAGAUAAGCCUUCAACAAGUAUCUCCGCAAAUAUUUCAAUUCCAUAUUUCAGUAGGCGGUUUUGGACCUAUAUAUGAAAAGAAGUUUAAAGUGGAUACAGAUUUGAGAUUUCCAUAUAGUAUGAUAAGAAAACAUUCUCAAUCUGAUAUCUUAAUCAAAUUAAGUUGCAUGCCGUUUGUCAGUUGACUGUUUAUGCAGCAGAAUUAUGUUCAGUUUGAUUGUGACACACAAAAACAUAGAAAACCAACAAUCUCAACAGGUGCCAACUACUAAUAGAGGGCUCAGAAAAACAGUCGCCACUGAUGUCCCAAUCCAAAGAUGCAAGUAUUGAUGUUUUCUGGCAAUAUUCUCAACUUCUGGAAAUGAUGAGGUCUUAGAGAAAUUUACCUCCUGUGGAAUGCCUCCAUGAGCAAGCCUUGUUUUGUAGUGUUUGAAUUCCCCGAGCAUCAGAUCAACAUACCUGUUAGUUCAAAGAGGUUAUUAUAUAUAAGAUAGCAGUGAUGCAACCAAUGGUCCAGCAUGCCAGUACUGAAUAUCUAAAAUCUGAAUUCAGUAAUGUGGCUUGCCAAGUAUAGCUUUCUUUAUACAACACGAGCAAUAUAUAUAUAAACAAAAACAGUAAGUAUAUUGCAUGAUUCAGUUAGGGGUCAUCCGGUAAACAAACCCAUUAUGCUCCAUUCCAAGCUCCUUGAUUUCCCAUUUAGAAUUAGCUAUCCGGUCAACAUAUCUGUAAAAUUAGUUGAAGCUGAAUGAAUAUGCAUACCCCCAGUUAGCGUACCAAUUGAAUUCACAGUAUAUACAUUCAACGUAACAGUUUCAAAAAUCCUGAGGUCAGUAAGAAUAAGAACGAAGGCGCAAGGGAAGAGAGAGGUGCAAUUUAUCUAAUAACUUCUUUCGAAAACACAAGCUCAUAAGUAGAUCGGCAAUUUACCCAUUAACAUGCAGCAGUAUCCUCGCAGUUGUCCUAUGUAAGUGCUUUGUCAGAUCAGGUACGGAACCAACCUGAUGAAUCAUUCCUUUUAAUGCAACUCCUUCAAAUAUAUUGUAUUUAAAUAGUUCUUUUGUAUAUAUAGGAGAAAUUAGUUUAGGAAAGGAACACAAUGAAAGUACUGAUCAUGUCCUGCAUAAUCCAUUAUUAUUUAGAGGCAAAAGACUAUUGGAUGCUACAGAAGUCUUUGUAUAAUAAGAUUGUAUGCAUGUUGUCAACAGCACAGCCAAGUAAGGCAAUACAUCCAACCAGACUUUCUCUUAAGGACUCAGAACUGAAAGAGGUGCAUACCAGUUGAUCAAAGAAGUCUUCAACCAGAGAGCCAUUUCUUGACAUUAACAUUGAUUGGAGAUGAGCCUUUGAUUUAUGCAAUACCCGAGCCACAAGAGAUACUGUGUCCACAGCAGCACAUCUUUCCUGCAAGUAAAGAUGAUAAUCCUUUUAUUCUACAACUUUGAGAUGAUAAGAAGAAAGUAAGGCAGCUGCUCUUCUUUUCUCACACAAUAUAUCAAAUACGCUAAAUAUAAAUGAUUCGAUUAUAUUUAGAGUUACUAAUGGACAGAAAAAAAUAUUAAUUGUAGUUCAGAUUGAUGAAAACCUAGCCCUAGGUUAUACCUUGAGACUAAAAGAUACGCCUGAUAAGUGACCAGAAGUAUUUAAGGGACUUGCUGGAGUCACAUCCGCAAGACUAACUGUGUUGGGAAAGGCAAGUGAAGAAGAUGGUGAUGAUGAAAGGUGAGGUUUUAUCCAUUGCUCACACUCUUGUGAUAUCCGGGAUAAGCAGCUUUUCAAACGAGCUGCAUUUCAAAAUAUAUCUUUGUUGAGCCUUAAAAGUCAUAACACGACUCAUACUGACAUUGGUGGGGAGUAACAUUACAAACAAAGAGGAGGAUCAAAAGUAAAAGAAUCAGUAACUCACGAUUGAAAGAGUCGGCAACUCCUUUUCCACCUGAAUUAGUAUUUUCUUGACCAAAUACUUGAAAAACGAAAUAGAAAAAGACCCCAAACAAUUGGCAUAUUCCCUAACAAAAUUUCAAACAGGUGUAAGAUAAACGUUAGAAAAGAUAAUGAGGAAGAAUAGUACAGAAAUAUGCAGAAUUCCAAGAAUUAGAUUGGUACCUUAAAGAAUUCAACAUUAACAAUUUCUAGUUUCUGCAUAAGCCUCGCGUACUUAUCCAUGGAUCUUAGACAUCAAAAACAAUGAAUGUAAUUCCAUGUCACACAGUGACUCGCAGAAAAUAUGUAACAGGAAGGCUGCAUUAUAAAACAUUUACUAAACUGCAUAUUACCUUAGAAGACAAAGGGACGAUCCUGUUUGAGCUGUCAAAUCAUCAUUAGUAUUGAAAUAUGAAGAAGAACUCCUUGAUUGACUACGUGUAAAACUUCGUCUUGGAAGCUGACUAUCCUCAUCAAUAAAGUCAGCAAGAAGGUCUUCGUUUUCAUCUUCAGAAACAGGACUACCUCCGUUGAUGUGGUUUUUGUCUGUUAUCUUGGGAUUCACAACAUCAUCGUGAAUACUAUCAUUACCUUCAUGAUCUCCUCCAUUGACCGAGGAGUAGUCUUGAUCUUCUCUAUAGUGAGUUAACUUUGCUGAGAAGGGGUUUCCACUUUUCAGCCAAUAUGAAAAUCCACUCCUGUUGCCACUUGGAUCAAUUGAGUCAUUUGACUUAUUAGAGUGAGGGAAUCUGGAAGAACCCGAGGCACUGCGGGAAGAAAUAAUUAGGGGAGCCCCAUCCCCCACAAGACCAGCAAAAUUAAUAGCUUGCACAGUAUCUGGUGACAGUUUCGUCCAUGUCUCCUUCUCCAGGACCAUUUUAAGCGCCUGUUAGGAAGAAAAACCAAACAAAAACUUUAUCUUCAUGUUAUCAUGUAGGAGAGGUGAUGCAUGAAAUUAACUAGGUAUGUGGUAUUGGCAAUGUUAGUCCAACAGGCAUUGUGAAACUGAACUUACAUGCAUGCUUUGCCUAUGAAAUGCAGUGAAAUAAUUUUCGCAUACACCCUUUAGCUUCUCCCUAAAAUCAACAACUUCAAAUCCACAGAAAGCUUCCCCAGCAAGGAUAAAGAUGCUCAGGUCUUCAUAAUUUUUUAGGAACUGAUGUAUACUUGUCGAAGAAGCACCUGGGGAAGAGAGCAAAACUGACACACGACUUGUUGUAAGUUGCCAAAGAUUUCUGCGUCCUCUCUGAAGAGUUUCUGAAACAAAAGCUGCACUUUCUUUUCGUAGAUAGUACCAUGGCGACUCGCUACUUGAUACUGUAUCUCCAGAAUUCCUAGACUCAUCUAUUGCAAUAUCAGACGCAUGUUGCACUGAACUGGAUGUUCCACUUCCAUCAGACUCUUCAGCAGAAAUGGUACAAGGAGGUAUGCUUCCUGAAAAGAGACCACCAUCCUGUGGGUUGCAUGAACUUUCGGUCACUGAAUCAACCUUUUGAGUUGUUGCAGGACUUGGUGAGAUCAAACUUUCUACCUGUUCCAGUUCAGAAGCUUAGCCCUUAAAAACCAUUAGAGAUAAUUUAAAUAAAUUGACAUUGACAACAUACAGAAAAAAUCUAAAGGAAGUUGACAAUGUAUAAGAUACCGAGCAAUGAAGCCAUCAAAGAGAAGAUUUUAGGACCCAUUAUCCUUCAAGCCGACAGGGAAUAAAACAAAGAAAAAAAAAUUGUACUAAAAUUAAAGAACAUAUCAAAAUUAUUGUACAAUCAAUUACCUGACAUGGAGUACUUAGAUAGAAAACCUCGUAAUUUUAUGUUAACUAGGAAAUCAAGUAAUAACCAAGACUUGCAUACAUGAUGAUAUAAAUUUUGACAUAAAUCCCUAUCAAUAAAGCUGGUAUUCUUCGAGUUCUACACACCACCAAACUAAACAAGCACACAGAAAAUUAUAAACGUAUGCUAAGAUUUCCUCUAAUUGCAGUGUUAAAGAGAAGUGUUUAUACACUGAGUUUAGGUAUAGUUUGGCUCAGACAAUAGGUAAAAGGUUUGCACAGAGGUGUUUAAGACUAUGAAAUCUAAAAAAUAUUAUAGCACUGAAAUUAGAACCAGAGGCUGUUUCAAGAACCCUAUCAAGUAUCAAGGUAAUAAGAAAAUGUUAAAUACAAACUAAAGCAGGGAAUGGAACCUACCUUCUUUUCUGGCGUGAAACUCAUUAUCUCAUGGUAUGAAUAUAUUAACUGAAAGAGCACAGCUAGUGUUCUCAAAAGACAUUGCCUAAACUUGGAUUCUGGUGUCUGAAGGCAUAGAUCGCUGUAGGUAAGUCUGAAAUUAAUUAAAAAAGAAAAAAACAAAUUAGAAAGAAUACUAGAAUCCAAAGAAAAAGGGACCAGAUAUAAAUACUAGAUACUGUAAUAGGUACCAGUAAUAAUAACUCAAGUGCAUAGAGCAUACCUACUAUAUUGGGUGGCAGCACUGUUAUCCUACAAAAACAAAUAUAUAUACAGAAUGGAUCAACAAUCUGAUUGGUUUGAUAUGCUGACCUUAAUAAACUCAUUUCGUGCUCAGUAUGAUGAAGUAAAAACGCAUUACCGCCUAUGACAAAGAUUGCAUGCAGAUUGAAAUAAGAUAAAUCAGAACGUGUAAAAAACUUGUAGCCAUCUUUACAUUUGCAAAAAAAAAAGGAGUGAUGUCAUCUAUUAAAAAAUCAAACUUGUUAACCAUUCAAUAUAUCUAUCUAUAUUAAUGCUCAGAUUUCAAAUUUUCUACUUUCGUGUAUCUGCUAGGAUCAAAAGUGACAUCUAAGCAACACAGAAAAGAGAUUGCGGCUUGCACAAAAAUAAAGGGGAAAAACUACGAUUGCAUCAUACACCAGCAAGCUCAAUACAUUCAACCAUCCAAGCAUGCACGACUACAUCCUACAGGAGCAACAAAUGAAUAUUUAGCUCACAUACCUCCCCAACAAUGCUCUUUAGCACUGAGUGGGUUUCUGAGAUAACUUCCUGCAUAAAGAAGCUUUGUAUCUUUUCUGCGAGACCAGAGACAUCACCGAUCAGUGCAUAAGCGUCGAGGACCUAAAGGUAUGAGCACAUAAACAAGUUAAAUCACUGAACAAAAUGUCUAGUUCUCCACUAAACUGAAGGCCCACAAUUCCAUCCUUUUAAUUUCAAAAGGAGAAAGCUAUAGAGAUGCAUGAGAAUGAGUUGGCUUACUAACCAUUACAUAACUAUCUUCUUUGAAUUCCUGGCAAACGCCCAACAAAAGUGAAUCCAGCUUAUGAAGAGUUCUUCCUAACCAAACCUUGAAAAGAGUAUGAGAAGCUCAACCGACUGGCAAUAGAAAAUUAUGAAGACAAUGGUUGGUCAUAAAUAAGCCAUAACUACCUCAACACCACGGGUCAUCUCUUGGGCUGCUGAGAACUCAGAUAGACUGUCAAGCAGCUGCAAAUACUCAGAUAGAACUUGAAAUGCCUGCAUAAUAAAUAAGGAUUACAUUCCCAUCUCUUGUUAGUUCCAUAACAUAAUAUCACCAUAAUUCAUAUAAGAAAACCAUGGAAGUAGACAACAAAGACGAAGGUAAACUACCAACCUUGCAAUAGUUUCCUUCUUCAACAAGGUCUUCAAGAGUUGACUGCAUUACUCUUGCAUGGCGGAGGUCAGUUAGUAUAGGAAGCAUAUCCUGCAAGUAGAAUAAUUAAACAUUCAUGCCUCUCUAAUUACAUGGUAUCCAGAAGCAAAAAGGCAUGCUAGAAAGAAAAAAAUCUUCACAGUAUGUUUAGAUAUAUUAAAACAAAAAAUUAGGCGAGAAUACACAUUAGAUUGUAUCUAAGAAAGUACUUGCGUAUAGAAACAUCCUGAAAGUAUCUUCAGAGAUUAAAACAAAAUAUAUACAGAGUAAUUUUCUACACAAAGUUCUUGAGCAUAUUGAUGGGGGUUUCAGAAGGAAACUAUAACUCAUGAAAUAUUUCAAGAAAGCAGAAUAAAGAAACAAUCAGUGGAGCCUAGAUGUCUGAAAUAAAAAGAGAAGCCUACCAGAAGAGCUUGUUUCUUUUUGGAAUGAGUGUGUACAAUAAGAUCUCUUGAAGCCUCAUUCAUAGAAGAGGUCAAAUUUCGUCUUCCAUUCUGGCAAUAAAUACACAAAAUAGUCACACCAAGGUCAAACCAGUAACAGAUAAAAUAGAAAAUGAAACCACUGUACUGUUCAUAAAAAUUUAGGUUAAAGAAUAUGAAACUCAUACCUUGCAGAUGACAUUUGCAAUCUUCAAAUCUUUUUCCAAUUCUCUUACCAAAUUCAUCCCCUUCACUGGCCAAAAGCAAAUAUUAAUACUCACAAAACAAAACAAAUAUGGUCUUCUCAAUCGAUAUCGAUUUUCACAAGAGGAAAAAGACAAAGUUUUUUCAAUUCAAGAUACUUACCCAUUACUUCAUGAUGCUCCAUAACAUGGUGUGACAGAUUUUCCGCCACUCUAUCCAGCUGUACCAACCUCAAGGUAGCCUAGACAGUAAACAAAACCUAUCAAACUCACUAACUAAAACAUUCAUCACCAUUCUUAUACCUUUCACGAUAGACGCAUCAGUCAAUAUUCAAUUCCUUGAGAGAAGUUACUAGUUAGUACCUGCUUCUCAAAAUAAGCUAACUCACUUUCAUCUUCCGGCACAUUCUCCAAAAUAUGCCUUACCGGAUCAAAAUCCUACACAAAAACAAAACCAAAAUGUCGCUAGUGGGCUUAGUGAUAAAAAACGAAAUCUUCCAAUAUCACAAACACUAAGAUAAAGCAGACAAACACACACACACACCUCUUCAUAAAAUCCCUCUUCAAGCUCUUCAACUUGUUGAGGAAGAGGUCUAUUUCCAUAAAUUGAGUUAAGCUCAGUAGCAGUAGAAGAUAUACUCAACCUCUGAUCAGAAGGAAGUCCCGCCAAAGCACGAGCAACCGCAGCAGCUGCCGCAGCACGUGCCGGAAUCUACACAAAAAUCCCAAUUCCUUAGAAGCUCCAUUGAUGUUAAAAAUUGAACAAAACAAGUUAAAGUUGAGAUUUUUAUUACCUCAGGACGAUCAGAGAUAGAUGGUGAUGGUAAGAGACCAAGAGAAGUAGCGGAUUUAACAGAGCUGAGGAAUUUUUCACCAACCUUCGAUAAAUCCAUGACACCAGUGCCUUGAGAUAAUAAGAAAGGAAGUAAGAAGAAAACCCUAGAGCUUUCGAAUCCAGCACCAGAACCAAGUUCGUUUAGAUCUCCACCGCCAUUGAAGAGAAAUGGAUUACCCAAAACUGAACCGAAUGGGAAGAGAUUUGGCUGCAUCUCUCAUCUCUUCUUUAUACCAGUAAGAUCAAUAAUUGAUCCAUCCAAUUUUCCAAAGGAGUAAUCGAUUUCACGAUCGGAGAAAAUGUCUGUGUUUUUUAUUUUCCGGCGAGUCACAAAUCGGAUCGGGAAGAGAUCUAGAAGAAGGAGACUUUUGUUGAGUCUUUUGAUUUGUUUCGACAAUGGUGUGUGUUUGAUUAAAGCCACUUCUUCUUUUUACACUCUUCUUCCAAAUUUUUUCUCUAUAGUGUUAAUGUUUAUAUUAUAUUCUUAUUUUUUUCCUUAUGUUUUGCUUUUUUGUCAAUUUUCUAAGACUAUCUUUAAUUACUCUAUUGCCAUCUCUUAAUGUAUAAAACAUCUUACCACUAUAUAUGGCUAAUCAAAUCCAUAAAUAGAAUUUUGUUGUUGAAAAAAAAAGAAAUAUAUAUAUAUAUAUAUAUAUAUGAAGUUUAUUAGAUUAUAAUAUUAUUGAAUUAAAAAUAAAUCCACAAAAGUAAUCCAUUGAAAAAGUAAAUAACAAAAAGUUUAGAAUGCUAUAUACUAUACUCCCUCCGUUUCAAAAUAUAAGUCGUUUUAGGUAAAAGCACGCAGAUUAAGAAGAUCUACUUUUUAAAAGUUCAGCCAAUCAUAAAAGAGACUGCAUAAUAUAAAUAAUCAUAAAAUAUUAAAAUAAUAUAUAAUUUGCAUUGAAACUCGAAAACGACUUAUAUUGUGAAACAAAAUACUUUACCCAAAACGCCUUAUAUUAUGAAACGGAGGGAGUAUAAUAAUAAUAAUAAUAAUAAUAAUAAUAAUAAUAAUAAUAAUAAUAAUAAUAAUAAUAUAGUUAGGACUUAUGUUUCGUCUUCCAAAAAAAGAAGAUGAUCACAACCUAGGAAGCACGGAAUCUUCGUCGGAGGUCCGCUUCCCGCUUCGGAAUCUUAGUCGGAAUCGGAAGCUCUUGGAAGCUUUCGGAAUCUCGCUUCCAUCGCGUUUCCAAAAAUUCAACUUUGGAAGCUCGUUGGAAGCUUACGAUUCCGGUUUGGAAGCUUGCGCUUCCAUUUUAUAAAUUCAAUUUUACAAAUAAAACAUGAAAUUAUUAUUUUUAAUCAAACAAACUCAAACUAAAAAUUUUGCAUACUAAUCUUUGUAUUUUAUUUUUAACAAAAUCAUGUUUAGAAAAUAGCAAUGACAUGAAUCUAAUAUGUGAGAGAUAUUAUAAAUGAUUAAUUAAUUUAGAUUAAUUUCGAGAGACUUGAGUUUGAUCAUAUUUUUACCUAUAAUAUACAUAAUUUGAAACGAUUUUGUUUGAUGUUAUUUUAAAAAAAGAAUGAAUAUAGUGUUAUAAUUUUUUUCUUGAAUUAUUUGAUUUUGUUUGUUGUAAAAAUUGGUUUAAUUUUUAAAUUUAGUUUUUAAAAUUUAUUUAUUAGAUUUAUGGGGUUAAUAUAACUUGUAAUAUGAUAUAAUGUUUAAUAUAUAGUUAUAUAUAUAUAUACAUAUAUAUAUAUAUUCUUUAUAUGUACUAUACGCUUCCAUCGCGUACCGCUUCCGUAAAAUUUUCUAAAAAAUCGCUUCAGCGCUUCUAAACGAUUCCGUUUCCGCGUACCCGCUCCCGUUUCCAUGCAACAUAGAUCACAACAAGCAAAAUGGUGCCCCCUCGAAUAGAACAAACUAUGAUGAAUGCAUUUUUUCUAUUAUCCCCGUGUGAUAUCCAAGUUUGUGAGGCGGUACUCUGUCAUAAAGAUCAUGACUGCUUUUAGUCAUAGCAUAUUCUUCCUCAUCAUACAAGGUCGAAAAAAAAAAAAAAAAAAAAACCAUACAUCGGUAGUGUGUCAAAUACAGUUUUCUGUAUCCUAUCAUUCUAAUUAUUGGGUUCAAAAUGGUAGAGAUAGCUGUCACUAAUACAACAUGUGUUAACUUCAAAAAUUGUGUUUGCGUUGAGUUAUGGACCGUUCAUUUUAAACAACUUAAAUUUGGCAUGUUCAUUUACUAGUUGCUCGCGACAAGCCACUGCGACUAGCGACUUCUUCUGUUGUUCGUUUGACAGUCGAUGCAACUAUUCUAUAUAUAUAUUUCGAAGUUUUGAAUUUUAAUAUUAUUAGUUUAUGAAAAUUUUAAGGAAACCUUAUGUUUUUAAGAGUAAUUUAAACCCUCCACUAGAUUCAGAAGGAUUCAUGAACUUGAAACCACAUGAAUCAUCAUAAGACAUUGAGUCAAAUUAUAUUUGAGUUUAUCAUAAAUGUUUGUAUUGGAGAUUAACAAAAGAACUGAAGCAGAGGUCAAGUUUGAAAAAUUAAUGUUUUUGUUUUAACAAAUGAAACUGAGUAUUAAAUACAAACUUUCCAAAACAAAAUUUAGACUUAUACUGUUGUUUACAUUCAAACUCUGUUACGGCUCAGUUUCUACCCAAGCGGAAAGAAUUUCCAGCCAAAGAACCCAAAGAAGCAUUCUUUCAUAUUAAAUUUGAGGUUUUGUAUGAUCGACGAAGAAUCUUAGUCUCUUUCAAAUGGAGGUUCUGGAGACAACGUCACAAGAAAUCCCCCUCAGGAGCUUUCUUUAAACGAUUCAUAGCUUAGAAAACGAAAAAAGAGAAUUCUUAAUUAUCACCUCUCUCAGAUUUAGCCGCUCGAAUUGUUGCCUCAAACAAAGAACUCUUGCUUCUACGUCUGUUCUCUAGUCUACUGUGUGUUUGCUUAACUUUUUAUCCCUAUCUAAUCAGGGUUUCAAAGUAACAAAAGAGGAGAGAAUUGGAAGAGUGAUCUGAUUCUGAUGUGUUUAUGUGAAGAUUGAGAGAGAGAGUUAGACUUUAUAUGCAAGUUCCAGGUAGGUUUUGUCAUGUUUAUAUACUCCUUUAUUAAACUUGCUUCCCAAGUUUCCCAGAACUUUCCAUUUUUGUUUAUUCAUCCUAUUACUGUAAUGGUAUUACACAUAUACAUUUUUGUUUAUUCUUGUUUUUUUUUUGCUGAAAACAUGGCUUGGAUUUUCAAUUUCAUUGUGAAAAUUACGAAAACCCAUGGAAAGAUAAAAAGCAGAGGCCGACAAUUCUCAAAGCAAAAAAAUAAUACCAAGAUAUUUACGCAAAAGACCAUUAGUAAAAAUACUGAGGCAAAUGAUCGUCCAAAAACCCAUAAUUAACCAUUGGUGUGUUCACAAACGACAAAACUAGUCAUCAGAUCAUCUGUCUUAAACCAAAACGCAUAAUAUAAGUCCUAAGAGAAAAAGUUGGCCGAAUCCUUCAAAACAUUCACAGCCAAACCCAAAAGUGGUCAAACCCGAGCCGCAUAUAGUUUUUUUUUUUGAAGUAUUAACGGCUUUUGAAACUGGUAAAGAGAAGAAGAAGUAUCAUCAGCAGUAAAACAUAACGUCCUUGACGUUAUCUUUUAUUGCUGGGAGCUGCGAAAUGACUUGACCCGCACCUGUUGUUGUGUUCCUCGACCUGCUCGAGCCUCCAUCAGACAUCUCACUCUCCAUGUAGUAGCGGGCACGGAAAGCAGCCAAGUGAGCGUAGUAGGCUGGUGGCACAAUUGACACAGAUCUUGUGCACCUCGCAAACCUGUAUACAGUUUUUAUGUUUUGUUAGUUUCAGAGAGUUAACACAUGUCAAAGGAAAAUGUACAAUGUUGUUGUUUCUUACGUGUAGCAGAGGUUGUUGGUGAGCAUUUGCAACUGAUCAGCAGUGAAACCGUUCUCGUCGAGAAGAACAUGGUAAUGAGCCGGCCUGCUUGUUCCCUAUUACCAUUCAAACAUUCAAAGAAACUUAGAAUUCUGCAGAGACAAUAGAGAUCAUUAAUUGGUCUAAGAUUCUGGAAGUAAUACCUGAAUACCAGCGUGGCUGUUCAAAUAGAAGUCGAACUCAUUCGGGUGACAGAUUGUAGUGUCAACGACAGUACCUAAUAAAGGAAAUGCAAAUAUGUUACUAGCAUUUUCGAUCAUCAACGGAAUUAAGUUGAUAGAGAAGAGAAGCGAGUGAGAAACCUGGUUGAAUAUUGCCACUUUUAUCAGUCGUAUCACGAUUCCCGUGUUGCUCAGGGAACAAACGAGUGUGGUGACGUUUCUGGACAAUCACGAAAGUGACACGAGGAACAUAGUUCUCUUGGAGAGAGUUACAAGCCUUUCGUAUAGCUGUCAUCUCAUGCAGCAGAACCUGACUAAACUGCCCUUCGCUUACUCCGUCGCUGUAUAAAGGAAAAACAAUUAGCUAAACCUGCUCAUGCUAUUAAAUGUUCAAGCAUGGAAUGCAAAAAACACUUACCGAUAGAAGAUAAUCCUUUGAGGUAUCUGGCCCGUAGCUCUCCUGAAUGCUAUGAAAUGUUCCCUGCAAUCACAAACAGUGUCCAUUUUUUUUGUAACUGUGAAAAAUCAAAGAAAACAACAAGUUGUAGAUGUUUUGUUCUUACCUUAUCAAACCAGAGUGGACUAGCCCACGUUGUGGAUCCUGAACCAGCUUAUACAGGUCCUGGAUAAUUUCUUCCCUAUGAGCUUGAGCAGAAACCAGUCCUCGGUAUUUAGUUAUCUCAGGCCAGUCCAUAGAGGCCACAACCUGCAGUUCAAAAAGGAGAAUUAACUUUUAUGAUGAAUCAAUAGUAUAAUGAGAUACAAGUAAAAUUAAUCAAGAUAUACAUACAGCAGCAAUAGAAGGACUCGAGUCCUCUCCAGGUUGCGGAUGAGUCACAUCAGCACCCAUGAUUAUGGUUGGGCGAUCAGUAAUAAGAGGUAUGUUUCUUCUAAUAGCAUCAUUAAGAACAGUGUUCCUUCCCCCAGUCUGUAAACAAAUAACCGUUUUACACCGUCAUAUAAAACAGCUGAAUGAUUAAACAAUAAGAAGCAUAAGAUGAUUAGACCUUGACAUUAAUCUUCAAGGCAACAUUUUCCAUGUACUGCUUAUUGAGUUUAGAAGCUUGUCUUGGUUGGCAACACUGAGAGACGAUCCCCAAUUCUGUUUCACAGAUCCUUUUGAUUUGUCCUGUGGACAGAAGAACUUCAUGAACAGAUUGUUGGAAUAAAUUUUGCACCAAAUAUUACAAAUCAUUUGCACAGAUUUACCAUAUGAUCCAGUCACAUCAGGCAAUAUUACAAUCAACAGUUGGAGACCAGGUGCCCUAUUGUGGAUAUCAUGAAGAGCUUCCUCAAUUCUUUGAGGCGGAUAAGAGAUGAACGGAAUAGCAGGUUGUGGAUUAAAUUCCUGGCACAAAGAAUAAGAAACAGUUAGUAACUUUUCUGGUAUGAAAUUGUGAUAAGCAUGAGACAAGACAGACCAUUCCUUUGCUGACGCACAUCCCAGUCAAUUGUUUGCAGAACUCUUGGGGUAAACCUCGGUCAAUCCGCGUAGAGAAAUUUACGCAAGUCCAAGAUGCAACUCUUGCUCCAUUAACCAUUUUCUAGACCACAAAAAUAUCACAGUCAAAAGGAGGUAAGAGACCCAAAAUUUGGUAACACACAUUAAACCACAAUAGAAGCAUUAAGCACAAAUCUUCAUCACUAACUUUUUCUUUCAUAUCCACACACACACACAAAGAGCCUACAGAGAGCAAAAAUAUUAUGAUAGUCAAUUACAGUUUCACUUUUACCUUGUUAAUCAUGUUCCACUGUCCCAGGCUUGGAUUGACCAUCUUCUCUCUACCGCUUUCAUGGUACUUCAACUAUUAACAGAAAGAACAUCGUGAUGAGCAACAUUGCAAAGAAAAUGAAUAACAAUAAAGCAAAUUAGUAACAAAAGUAGAGUCAGAGAAUCACCAUCGGUGGAGGAAGUACACGAGCUUCAAUCGAGGCUAGUUGGCUAGUCACUGACAUCCCAAACUCCUUGCUCAGACCAUGAACAUUGUUAUAAUUAUUUUUCACAACCAACUAAUAAUAGAAAGAUUAAACGUGAUGUUAGUCAAAAUAGAAGUGCAAAAAUAAAGACUCUUUUUCCCAUGGAAGAACAAUUGUAUAUGUGAUGUAAAGAGGACUAAACCUACGUUUUUGAUCGAGUUCUCUCUCUCUUGAGGUCGUUGGCAGGUAGCUCUUAGCAACGCAGUCACUUGCUUCUCAUUAAGCCUUUUGGUGUAUCUUUGCCCUUCGUCAAUUUGGCAGAGCUGCAAGAACCAGGAAUAACCAGAUCUUUAAUGAUACAAAAUGAAUCCACGAGAAUGAUGGGAGGUAAAAGAGUAGAUGUUUAAAUUGAAAUCAUACUUCCAUAGGUAGGUAGACGGGUCUUGUGUCACUCCCAGUUUGAAUAGCAGGUAGAGCCGGGUAUUUCACUCUAUAAUUAUAUUUUUCAGCAAAAUAUUGUAUAACCGUCUUCUCUGAUUUGUCCUCUAAAGUGAACCUGAAAUGAUUAGAACAAAGGCAACAUCAGCUACAAUAUAACCAAAGAUUCAGAAACCUCUUGAAAGAAAAAGCAAGAAACAAAGUUCAACGAUUCUGCACUUUGUUAAACUUUGUUAAGGCUUAAUGAAGUAAGCAUCUUCACCUUAGCUGACUGAUGGGACAGCUGGAAAUCCCACUAAUCUUGGCACUUUUUGUGCUGUUCCAAUGUAGCAACUUAACUUUUAGUGUCCUCAAAACUUUCUUCACCUAGAUACCAACAUAUGAUUUUCAAGAUAAGAAUCAUAUAUGACAUCCUCUUUAAUAAUAUUAAUAAUUUAAAUGGUGGAGUAAAAGUCAGAUAGAUACCUUAAGUCGAUCUGAGUCUCUAAGUGGUCUGUUUAAGUCUCUUAUAUUCAGAAACUUGCUAAUAAACUCAGUGACAACGAUUGGUUCAUAGAAUGAUCUUGCUGAAACGUCUGCAUUAUAAGAAAACAACACAGCUAUAAUGCAUCAAAAUCAUCUCCAGUCAAAACCAUAAACAAGUAGAAUUAUUCAAAUCACAAUCAAAUAAAAAAAAAAACGAGAUUUCAUCAACAGAACCAAUCCAGGAUAACAUUUAGCAUGUUCUUACCGAUGUUAAGAGACAAACCCAUCUGAGUCAGCCUUAGACUUUGGAAAAAACCUCUCCAGUACUCAAUACCAUCUCCAAGCUCACCCCUACCAUCUCUGGUGUCCUUUCCCAAACUAGUGUGGAAAAAAGACCUCCCAACAGAGACAUAACUGAACAGAAAGCAAUACAGGGAAUGUUAAAGUUUAUGCAUAGCUUUAGACAAUACUGAAGUAUAAGCAACUUCCAGAAUUCCUACUCAUUAGAGGGCUUGUCCCUGAGAACAACAUCAAGCACUUGGAUAGUAUCAUAUGGAGCAUCUCUUUGCCUAUGAGCAAGGAACUGUUGCAACUGAUAAAGAUCAGGUCUUGACGCCAGCUUUAUAGCAACUUUAAACGAUCUGUCCUUCCUGCCAAAAGAAGUCACAAUGCCCAAAAACUGUAAGAGAAAAAGGUGCUACGAGCAUUUCCUACCAUAAAAAAAACAAACACAUUCACAAAGAGUUUAAACAAGACAUUACCCAGAAGAACCAUCAGCUCUUUUUUCCGCCAGAUUCACAACAAACUCUUUCGAUUCAAAAGGUAAUGCACCAGCAGUAUAGAGGCUUUUCCUUCCAUCAUACGCUGGAGCCUUCCCUCCCAAGUGAGAAUCUUUAUAGUUCUUAACCAAAAGUUUCAUCACGUUCCUGUUCACUGCCUUUGAUAUCACCUCAGGAUUAAUCGAAACCUGUAAACCCAAUAAAAAAAAGUUUUAGCUAAAAAUCGAAACAACUACGCUAUAUGACAAAAACAAGUCAUAAACGCAGAUACUGAAAAGCAGAUUCAUUCAUCGUGUCAAAAAUCUCUAAGAACUUUGUGAAAUACAUACGAAAAUACAUCAGAUCAACAAUAAAAAGGACAAACAACAGUAGAUUCGUCAAAUGAAAAAAAAAAAAAACGCCCCCACUGAUGCAACAGAAACAAACAAAUUCUCAGCCAGAAACUUCAGUGAAACAACAACGUUAGAUGAACAUAAACGACAAAAACAAGUCCAAAACGCAGAUUCAUUGUUCGACGUACAAGGUAAGCAAAAAUCACUAAAACUUGUGAAAUAGAAACGACAAACUAGUACAGAUUCGUCGAGAAAAAAAGCAAGAAACAGAAAAAAAAAAUCGCCGGAAACUUACAUCGUAGUGAUAGAGAUCACAAUCAGCAAUUUGAACAAGGAAAUGAUUCGCACGAAUAAGGACUUUCUUCCCCAAAGUACCACGCCCUGGCCGUACCGGAUACGUAAUCGCCUUAGAUGACGCCGGAGGAAGCGUCGUUUCCGGUUUCGUCUCCGUCGGAGUAAUCUCAACCUUCGCCAAAGCCUCAGAAACCUCCGUAACCUUACUUUCCUCUUUAGACGAAGAAGAAACAGACAUCGUCUUAGACGAAGAAGCAACAGACGUCGCCGUCGGAUCUCCGGUAGAAUCGCUUCGUCCGACGUUACCACGACCUCUCCCGCCAGAAACAGAAGCAACCGGAACUUGCGUCGCCGUCAGAUCUCCACUAGUUUCACCUCUUCCGACGUUACCACGACCUCUCCCGCCAGAAACAGAACCACCACGACCACCGGAGCUUUGUUGUAAACCCGGCCAAGCAGCCUGACCAGAAGACUGAUUUUGUCUCUGAUCAGACCUACGUCCUCCUCGACCACGACUAGCGCCGCCGUGACCACCACGAUUUGACAUUGUAGCGGAAAGCUUCCCAAAGAAGAAACAAAAAUCGUUUCAAAAUCGGAGAGAGAGAGAAAAUGGUUACUGCUGUGUGUGAGAAGAGAGUGGGACGUCUUGGUUUUAAAAGGAAUCUCAAGGUCGUCGGUUUUUUCCCGUCAAUUGUUUUAAUUAAAGAAACAAAAAUCAAAAACUAAAACCACUUUGACUAUUUUGCCCUUAUCUCUUUGCCUUCCCUUUUCUUUCAAAAUCAAAAUUAAACCAGUUUGACCAUUUUGCCCUUAUCCGCGUUGUGAAGAAAUCCAAGGGUUAGUUAGUUAAAUGACUGUUUUGCCCUUGUGGCUUUGUCACCACGUUCUGCGUAAUUUCCUCUGUGCCUACCUGUGUGUGUGGGUCGGGUCGUACAUUUUCUUUUAACUAAACCAUGGUCAUUGGUUUUUAACUCUUAUUUAACUUUUACUUUAUUUACUUUUUUAAAAAGCUCUGUCCUAUCUAUUCAUGAAUUGAUAUAUGCUUUUUGCAGAACCAGAAUAGAGAAAAAAUAACAGAUUUUACCACUAUUGUCUAUGUUUUAAUUUCUGCUUUUUCAAUUUUAUAUUAAUUUACGAAUGAAAAAUGAGUAGGUUUGGUUUCGUUGGAGAAAUUAUAAUCGUGACCUUUUGAUACAGGUUACGUGUUUUGGGAUUUAAGAAUUUUUUAUUUGAGGUACUAGUAGUUGUAUUUCGUAAUUUUUUUUGUAUAAUUAGAGUAUUAAUUUUAGUUCAAAAAAAAAAAUUAGAGUAUUAAUUAAAGAUAAAAAUCAUUUUAGCUAGUUAUGAUGAUAUUGAUAGCUGACACAAUCAUAAUUCCCUCUUUAACAACACCAUGUCAGUUUUUACGGCAGCUUCAUUAGUUACGAGGCCUGAUUUUUCUGGUUUUUUUUUACUGAUGUUAAAAAUAAGAAAGUUUUGGGAUUAAUGUUUGUUCUUAUCAUCUUUCUUUAUACCCUUUUGUCGUACGAUGAGCCUUUUUUAAUUUGUUUCUUUUUUAUUAGAGUUUAAAAUUUGAAUCAUGAUAUGCAAAUUAAGUUUAUUUGCAUAUUACUGCUUUAAUUUAAGGACUGAUAUGCAAAUAAACUAAUUUUCUUACGUCCUUCUUUAGUUCUUUUAUUUGUUUUCUCACUUGGGGUGAUAUUAGUAACUUCGACUACUUGAUACAAGAAAACUGUUAUAUUUUGUAAAUAAUCUUCUAUUUAGUGGAACGAUUGGCUGAAAAUAGCUUUUUUUAUCACGUAAAUAAGGGUUACAAAGUAAUUUUGUAUGUGACGAAAAAAAAAAGUAAUUUUGUAUGCUAAUCCUUAUUUGCAUUUGUUAACAUUCAAAAUUCUUACGUUUUAAAAUGGGAUAUAAUAGUAAAUGGAGUUUGACUAAUGACUGUAUACUGUAUAUGUAUUGACGCGUUUAAAAUGGUAAUGAAAUUAAAAUUUUGCGACUAAUGGUAAUAUAGUAACAGAGUUAUUGCAAGUCAAAAAUUUGCACAAUAACAUUUUGUGAGAUGAUUCGUUUUUUAGAUACAAACUAAUUUGGAAUGUGGUACGUAUAUGAACACUUAUAACAUAACGUACCAAAUAGAAUAAUCGAUUUUGGCCGAAUUAAGAAAAGUUCUACAUGGAUAUGGUUACGAUUGAAGUUUACAUAUUUAUAGUUUGUAAAGCGGUUUAGUAGAAAAUCUUAUGGAUUUAAUAUGAGGAUCAAGACAAAUUAAGAGUCAAGAGUCAAGAUAAUGAAAUGCAUUAGAUUUGUUCAAAAAAUCUACUAGUAAUUAGUAAACCAAAGUUCUACAUGGAUAUGGUUACGAUUGAAGUUUACAUAUUUGUAAUUCGUAAAGCGGUUUUAGUAGAAAAUCUUAUGGAUUCAAUAUGAGGAUCAAAACUAAUCAAGAGUCAAUAGUCAAGACAAUGAAAUGCAUAAGAUUUGUUCAAAGAAAUCUACUAGUAAUUAGUAAACCAAAGUUCUACAUGGAUAUAGUUACGAUUGAAGUUUACAUAUUUGUAAUUCGUAAAACGGUUUUAGUAGAAAAUCGUAUGGAUUCAAUAUGAGGAUCAAGACUAAUCAAGAGUCAAGAGUCAAGACAAUGAAAUGCAUUAGAUUUGUUCAAAGAAAUCUACUAGUAAUUAGUAAACCAAAGUUCUACAUGGAUAUGGUUACGAUUGAAGUUUACAUAUUUGUAAUUCGUAAAGCGGUUUUAGUAGAAAAUCUUAUGGAUUCAAUAUGAGGAUCAAGACUAAUCAAGAGUCAAGAGUCAACACAAUGAAAUGCAUUAGAUUUGUUCAAAGAAAUCUACUAAUAAUUAAUAAACCAGAAUGAAACUUAUUUAGAAUAUUAUAAUUGGCGGAAUGAAACAAAAGUGAAAUGCAUUCUUUUAUUUUCAUUCGCUAGUACCAAAAGAAAUGGUAAAUCUUGGGAAAGGUAAAAAUUGAUCGUGCCCUUUAGUUAAUAAGGAAGAAAUAUCAAAUUUUCAAUCAAAUUUCAGGCCAGUCCGACCCAUUUUUAGGAUUCUUGAAUCUUGAUUACUUCAUCAUAGAACAUGCUUUUAGGUUGAUUAAAUAUUGGUGUCCGUAGUUUUAUGUGAGUUGCAAUCAUAUUUGGGAUAGAACUAGUUUUUUACGAUAUUAUUUUUAUGAAAUAUUAGAGUAUAGUACACUUGUAUAUAGUUUUAUACUUGUAAUCUUAUUAAGUAUAUAUACUGUAUGUAAUACACAUUUAGUCUUCAAUGAGAAAUAACAAACUUCCUUUCUUUCUGUAUAUUUGAUAUGGUAUUAGAGCCCUUUCUUUCCUUCCGCAUCAAAUUUCUCAUUCAAUUUUUUUCAUUUUGAGCUUCGAUCCUCAUGAUUUGAGCUUCUUUUUCUUCAAUUCGACAUCCGAUUGUCUCGAAUUGAUCUUCGUUUAUUUGAUUUUGAGCUUUAUUUGCUCAUUUUUCAUCUUCUUUCUUGAUUUUUCUUCGCGAACUCUUCUUCGGUGUAUCAAUGGCGAAUUUGAACGCUAACAGAGAUUCGUAUGAUAAUCCUUACUAUCUUACUAGUACGAUCAUUCUUGUUUGAUGUUAGUGUCAGAUCGACUCACCGACGCUGGCGAUUUCGGUUCGUGGCAUUAAUCUAUGAUCAUGAACGGGCUUUUGUGUUUUCUUAGAUAUUUCUUUAAUCUCAUGGAAAUCAUGAAAGCAACAAACUGCUCCAGAAGCAGCGCUGAAUCUGAAUACAUGACAUUAGCUGAUACUACAUGUGAAUUGCUUUGGCUGAAUCAACUAUUGAAGAUUUACAUGUUCAAGUUAUUGUCCUGCUAAUCUCUAUUGUGACAGUAUAGCUGCAAUACAGAUCACCUCUAAUUCAGUCUUUUACGAAAGAACAAAACACAUAGAGAUUGACUGUCACAUUGUUCGUGAUCGAUUGAAAGCUGCAGAUAACCAGUUGCUUAUUUGUUUACCAAAGUACCUCCCAAGACUUUCAAGAUGCUCAUGUCAAGAUAUGCUUUGUAAGUCUCUUUCUUCUUUCUUGAAGAAUUCGAGUAUAUUUUGUUGUAAAACUCAUGAAUAAUGUGAUCAUUGAUUAUAAUUUUUUUUAAAGAUGGAUGAUAAUGUUUUAAAAUUUUCUAGUUUUUUUUUUAAUACUUUCACAAGAUAUAGUGUGACUUUACAAUAUAUUCGUCUUAAAUCAUAAAUUUAAAUUGAGUUUAGUAAUAUUUUAUUUUAUUUGAGUAAAAUUUAAUAAGAAAUAAAAAUAUGUAGUAUAUUGUUCAUAGAAACUAACGUUUCAUUUUAAAUUUUAUUUUCUUGUUUAAAGUUUUAGAGAUAGAAUUACAGAAAUUUAGUUUUAUUAUACCAUGAAUAUAAAAUUUAUUUCCAUUGUAAAACUCAUUAACACAUUUAAAAUUUGACGUAUAAUCAUUUUAAUUUUUAUCUGUUAAAAGUUAAAUUAUAUUAUUACUACUAAUAAAAUUUUGAUAGUAUUAUUUUAACAUUGCAUUUCUUUACAUAAUUUGUUUUUUAUUUAUUUAAAAUUUUUAUUAAUUAUAAGUAACAUAAAUAUGCAGUAAAUAAAUGUUUUAAAUUUAUUUUAGUGUAAAAUAAAUAGUAUUGUUUAGAUGGAUACUUUAGAUGCAGAAAUGACUCUCCUAUUAUAUAGGAAUAUAUAUUUUCUCUUUGUUUUGUUCUUUUAUUUUUUGCAUCUAAAUAUGUUUCUCCUUUUCUCUAAAAAACAAAUAGGCCUCUUUAGAGGUUUUAAGUUGUAUUGUAAUAAUCCUUCGUAUUUAUGUGUAACUUGGGAAAAAGACUGAGUUUGAAUCAAGUUUGGACCAUGUUUACGAAAUGAAGAAGCAUGCAUUGAUGUCUUGGUCAGUCAAAAAACUCGGAAAAAGGACGAUUAUAUCGAUGAUUUUGCAUUAUUGUUUUUGGGUACAAAAUCGAUAAUGCUGCAUAAGGUAUACAAUUUUAUGAUAAGAAACAUCUCAUGGAAGUAUAGCGAGCAGGGAGGGGCUAGGAAAGAGUAGUACAAUACAUAUAUUCCCUCUGUUUCUAAUAGUUUGAUGUUUUAUAGUUUUUACAUAUAUUAAGAAUUCAAUUAUUGUUUAAUCAUUUGAACAUUAAUUUUAUUAUUACAUAUUUUAAAAUAAUUAUCAAUCAAUAGUAAUUUAAGAAAGUUAAUUAUUUUCAAUCAUUACGCAUUGAAGUUUACGAUUUAUUAUUAUAAAUCAAUAAAAAUAAAUAAAAAUGCUAGAAAAUCAAUCUUUGUAGAACAAAUAACAAAAGUUAGAACAUCAAUCUUCUAGGAACAAAAGAAGUAUAAAACUAUAAAUAAAUAAAUAACAGAACAAAAAAAAGUAAAUAAAAGUGUCAAUGGAUUUGUGCAACAUCCAAAUUUUAAAGAAAGGUAUAUAUGGUUAGGGGUGUGUGAUGAGUGUUUCGAGGUUGUUGCUUCUCGGAAAGGUACCCUGAUAAUUGUUCAUCAUAUUUUCUCUCUUUUUUUUUUUUUUUUUUGUCUCAAUCCUUUUUAGAAAAAACAAAAAAAAAUGCAAUUAAGCAAAGAAAAAUUAGCAUGUUUAUAAGUUAUAUAUAAAAAAGGUUAAUUUUAUUGACCAUGUGAGUAAGUGAGUAUCAAUGAUCGAACGGUCGACAGCUCACUGUGAGGCAAUCACAUGACCCCAAAUUAGUCUCAGAUAAUUCCAUUAUCUACAUAUUGGUUAAGCGAAAUUCAUAUAAAACUCUCUUCAUAGUGAUUAAUUAACGAAGUCCUAUAAUCUUUUUUUUUUGUGAAACCAUUUUUAUAAUAUACUUCGACAUGCAACUACAAAAUUUAGCCAUUUUUAAUAAUGCUUAUGUAGAUCACAUUUGAAAACGAUAUCUGGGAUGUUAUGCAAAAUUCCAAAUAAAGUUACACUAAAGUACUUGUAGCUUUAGUGAUGUAUUAUAGGAUUUCAUGUAGGACGUGUUACUCAUGAUGACAUGCUUAAAAAUCAGGAACGUUUUUAGGUUCCACGAUUAUUUUAUUAUUUUUGAUGAAUUUUGAUGUUUUUUUUGUUUGAGAUAGAAAGAACAAACAAUACAUCAAAAAAUUAUUAAUUAAAAAAAUAAUCUUAAUUCACAAAAAUUAUUAAUUAAAAAAAUAAUCUUAAUUCACAAUUAAAAAAACUGUGUAUAAAAGAGUCAAAUUAAUGGGUUUUCAGGAGAAAAAAUCGCUUCCAUCACUACUAAAUAUUAAUUCUGGAUUUAGACCUUUGUAAAUGAGUAAUUAAUUAUCAUAUUUAGUUGAGAAAAUGAAAACAAAUUCUAGUAGGUCCGAACCAAAAAAACUAUUUAUGUAUUACAGAUUUACAGUAAACUUAUACACGUUUGGUAUCUCUUUUUUUUUUUUUUUUUUUUUUGGUAUCUCAUAUCCAAACAUUUGCAUUAUUCAUUUAAUAUGUAUAAUCAUUUUAUGACAUUUUUAGAAAAUGGGCUUAACACGUUAACGUGGCAUUAUUCUCAUACGUACAUCAGUAUCAUGGAGCGUAACUACUAGAAGCGGUAUUCAGAAGCUUAAUUAAGAUUCAAGCUUAACAAAAAACAUACAGUAAAACCUCUAUAAAUUAAUAAUGUUGGGACCAUAAUAUUUUAUUAAUUUAUAGUGAUAAUAAUUUAUCUAUAAAUUAAUAAUUAUUAAUUUAUAGUGUAAAUUAAUAUUUAUUAAUUUAUAGAAAGUUUUGUUUCAACUGUGAAACAUUUUUUAAAAAAAAUACGAGCUAAAACAAUGUUAUCUAAAUAAAAUUAAUGUUUUAAAUGUUAUAUAUUUUAUAGUUUUUGCCUUAAACACUAAAUAUUUCGAAGAAAAAAUAAUUUAUUUUGACAAUGAAUAACAACGAUAUAGAAUUCACAUAUACAAACGAUAUACAUAAAUUAAAUCACAAAUAGUGAUAUCCAUUGUUGUAUUUUAAAAACCUAUACGACUAGUAAAACAAAAAUUAUGCAUAUUCAAACUUUGAUAACUUCCAAAAACUUUUGGCUAUUUUUAUGAAAAACACUAAAACUAUUAUAUAGAUAUAUAUAUAUAUAUAUAUAUAUAUGCAAAUUUACAUGAUUAUUAAUUUAUGAUAUUAUUGGGACUAUAUUUUUACAUAAGGAUUUAAAAAAACUUAUUAUCUUAUUAUCUUAUCGAAUUUGGUUAAUUUUUACACUGGCCCGACUCGGGACCGACCAAAUUUAUUAAUUUAUCAUGUUUAUUAAUUUAUCGAGUAUUAAUUUAUAGAGGUUCUACUGUAUUUCGUUUAAAUUCUUUCCUAGCCAGUUUAAUUUUCAUGAUAAUAAAAAAAAUGGAAUCUCCAAUGUUUGCUUGGUCAAGUUUAGUAUUGAUUCCCCAAAGCCAUUCUUCUCAAUAAUCAAUAUACAUAUAUUAAAUUUGAUUUCAUCCGAAAUUAUAACCAAUCCUUUAAUGCACUUCUUUUCAAAAAUAAAAAUUAAUUUGAUAUCAAUCAGAAAUUAUACACAAAAAAAGAUUUCUCUUUAGUCCUUUUUAUAAAGUCACAAAAAUUCUGCCGACAUUUAUAUCCCAUAUCUAUAUAUACAUAUUUGGAUGACUUUUAAGCAAAUAAAUCCUGGAGUUGGAAUGUAUUUACAAACAAUGCCAUUGGAGUUAAUUCUUAAGAUUUGAAAAAAUUAAUUAAAGAUAUUAUUCUAAAGAUCGUUCCUCAAAUCACUUCCAACUAAUUACUUUAAAAAUCUCGAUAAUAACUAUUCCGUGAUUUACUGUAAUCUUCAAAUAUAUUUGGUAUGAUUUCUCAUAAUUAAAGAUCCAUCAUUAAUUGCAAUAAUAAAUAAAAACAAUAAUUUCCUUUUAUUUUAAAAAUUUUCUAACGACAAAUGUAUUGCAAAAUAAAUAAUUUCCUAAAACAAUUACAGAACCUAAUAACUGUUGUAGACUUUUUAGGAAAAUAAUUACGUAAAUAUAUAAUUUAAAGAUAACAAUUACUCAUCAAAUCUUUUUUUUUGUUAAUAUUGUAUCAUAACAAGACCUAAAUCAAUGGACUACUUAUUCUCUAUAUAUAAGUGAGGUUAUUUAGUCAUCAAAUCAAUGUGCAUGGUUCCACUCUCGCCGUCCCUCAGCUCUGCAAAUCAUUUGCUUCAUUUUCUACAUGUCUUGGACUAAGGUUCUUCCUAUUCUUCUUUGAUUUGAAUCACUUACAUCUCUUUUUUUUUUUGAUAAAUCACUCACUUUCAUCUUUCUAUGGCUUUAUGUUUGAUAGCCUCACGUUGAAUUGAGGAGCUUCCCAGUGUAUUCGGAAACUGGUCCUUCUACGUUACCUUAAUCUACAUGUUUUUGUGUUUGGACAAAUGAGGAAAUGAUUCUGAUUUUUAUUGUUUUGGUAUAUUGGUUCAUGUUUGAGUGUGAAAAUAUUUGCAGGGUUAACCAUAAUCCGUUGUAGCUUCUUUAUAUCGAUUUGGAGAUGCUCUUAGUAUUGAUUUGAAAAUUUUCUUUGGUUUGUUUACUAAAAAAUAUUUAGUGGUUUACCAUCAAAUGAAAAAAUCAUGUGAUAAAAUAACCUUUAUAGAUUAAUCUAUAUUUAUCAAUUUUUUGAGUAAAUCAUUUUCUAAAUAUAUUUAUUUUAAUGUAGAUUAGUUAAAUUAUGGUUACUAUUCGUUAUUUGACAAACUCAUUUGGCUAUAUUACUUAUUUUAAACCAAACUCAUUUUGGCAAUAAAUAAUGUUUAUUUAUAAAUUAGAUUAACCCCCAAAAAAUUAUUACCAAAUAUAUAAAGAUUAUUUAUGUCUAAAGAAUAAUAUGUUGCUUUAGAUUAUUAUUAUUUAUAAGGUUUCAAAUAUUAUAAAUAUUUUAACCUUAUAAGAAGUAUAAAUUAAUAAUAUUUAAAUUAUCUAUAAUAUUUAAUUCCAUAAAAAGUUUAUAAUAUUAAUAAUAUUUGAACACUAUAAAAAUUAUAAAUAUUUAUACUAUGGAACCACUUAAAAGCAAACUUUUAAAUUGACUCGAAUUAUAUGUUUUCUAAACAAAUGUGUUAUUAAAAAAAAUGAUGUUUAAUUUCACGGGACGGGGUUAUAUGGUGGGACGGGUUUAGAUCGAUAAUAAUACCGGAAGAUAUACCACGGGUUAAAAUCCUAGAAAUAAUAAUCAAAAUUCAAUAUAUAAUCUUAAACACUAAACAAAACAAAUAAUAUUAACAAAAUAAUUACAACUUAAAAUUUAAAACUUUUUAGUUAAAUAGUCGCGGGUUAAAAUCUAGUGAAGAUUUAUUUUGUUAAAAGAAGUUUUUUCUCUUUAGUCUUUUUUUUUUCUUUGACAAAAAAAAAAAAAAAUGUUUUUUCUUAACGCUUAAACACAUACUCCCUCUGUUCCUAAUUGUUUGAUGUUUUGAAAUUUUCACACAUAUUAACAAUUCAAUAAUUGUUUACUCAUUUUAACAUUGUUUUUAAUCUUAAAUAUUUAUAAUAAUUAUCAACCAAUAGUAGUCUACGAAAGUUAAUGAUUUAUAAUCAUCGUAUCUUGAAGUUUACAAUUCAUUUAUACUAUAAAUCACAAGUUACCUAGCCAAUCAAAUUAUGCCACAUAGAUUUCUAUUUUACAAUUUUUUAAAAAAUUUUUAAAAAAUCAAAUAAACAAUCAAACACAUCACGCAACUUCUCUUAAAAAUCCCUGAAUUUUCUCGCACAAGUUACCACUACCACACCACCGUCACCACGUUUUCACGAUCUCAAGAUCGUUGGAACCGUUUCAUCAUCCUCUAUAUAUUUAACUCACGAUAAACUCACACUCAUUUGUUUGCUCUGUGAAAUUUUGAAUCAUUAAUUUCUCUCAACGGUUCAUGCGGGCUGCUCUGUAUGGUCCAGAAUCAUCGGAGAUAUAUGUGUUUCUCAACGGUUCAUGCAGAAGCAUCGGAGAUAUAUGUCUCAGCCUGCUACGUCUCUAGCUCUCUCACGUACUCAGUCUCCUCAGAUUCCUGUCUUGGACGUUGGUGGUGACUGGUGAGUUCUUACUUCACACAUUUAUGUUUCUUUUUUGUUGCAUGACAAUGACUUCAAAUUUUUUGAAAAGCAGUACAUGGCUGGCAUUUGUCCAUUGCAGACAAUGUAAGCUGAAUAAACUCACGUAAAUUCGACAACAAUUAUAAAAAAUGCCAAAUAAUAUUUACUAAACUUUUCUUUUCUAGCAGGACACGUAUUGGGAACUUUAUACUUUGUUCUACUUACGGGAGAUACAAGAGUUGGUGAACUUGAUUAAAAUAACGAGUUGUACUUCCAAUCUCAAUCUUUGUGUGUUAAUCAAAUGCCUACUUGAAAUAUCCGAUCAUGAGAAUCAAGAUUUGGCUAAUUGAAAGAUUUGUUCAGAAUGUGAGGAGUUUGCAAUUUCAAAAUUGAUUUGUUCCCGUAAGAUAAGUAAGUAUUUGACUUAUAGAACUUUCAUAUCUGUUUCUCAAGGAUCUCACUUGCAAACUUAUGUUUCUUUCAAAUUACUUGAUUGUGAUUUUCUGUACAUUGUUAACCCAUUUCUCUCAUCUGACUAUGUUUCUUUCAUUCGUUAUCUUUGUAACGAUUACUUUAACUUUGCUAUACUAUGUCCCUAUAUAACCUAUCUCUAUCAUCUCAUCUAACUAUGUUUCUCUCUUGAAGGUGGACUAUUACAGGCUAUUCCCAUACAACAUAUAUAACAAUGGUGUGGAUGGGUAAGCGAUCAAAGGAUUAGAAGAUGAUCCUGGCUGACGAGGCGUAGCGAAACCUGAACAACAACGACACAGAAUGACAAUUAAAACAGAGGAAGCAAGUAAAAAUUCAAAAACAUGUGUUUCAAACGUUUAAGCACUAAAUGUCAUUCAAGCUGAGUUUCAAUGGAGUUUUCAUAACAAAGACGAGUUGCAGUUUUCCGAGAAAGAUCAAAGCGACAACACCAACAAAAGUAAAAUUUAGAGAUAAUGUUAUUUUGUUGUCUUCAAAACAUUUAAGAUCAAUGUAAUAGUGAUAUAAUAUUAAAUCUAUGAUAAAUCGAUUAUGAAUUUAGGAAAAGACAUAAAAGUCAAAAUGUUAUACUAACUAUGUUGCAUAACACACUAACUUAGUAACAAACAAAAAGAAUCCAACCAAUGUAUGAAAAACAGAAAAUCUUACUUAGAGGCAAAUAACUCAAUGCAUUUCUGUUAUCAAAAUAAGAACACAAACUCAAUGUAUUCAAAACUAUUUUAUUUCCGUACAAAGUACGGAUCUAAUACUAGUUACUAUUAUAAGUCAAUAAAAAUAAAAUAAAAUGAUAGAAAAUCAAAAUCUUUGUGGAACAAACAAGCAAAGCUAUAACAUGAAUCUUUUAAGAACAGAGGGAGUAAGGGGGGGGGGGUUAUUGGAUGAAAGACUUUAAUAGAAUUCAGUUGGAUAGAAUUAGAGACGUAAGCUACAGAUUUUUAAGGAAUUAUAUAAUUCUAACUAUUGUAAUUCUCAACAUUUUAAUAGAAUUUACUAGAAAUUACAAACCGAAACUUUUAGGUGGGGGUAUUGAACCAAAUAAUUUAAUAGAAUCUGAUUGAACAGAAUUGAAGACAUAAAUUACAGAUUUUGAAAAAAUUAAAAUCUUUCUUUAUAAUUAUACCCAAUAUAUUUUGCAACACUUCAACAGAAUAUAAUGGAAUUUUGAUAAAUAUUCUGUUUUGUUCCCACAACGUCAAAAACAAACGAAGUUCAAUCAAAGGCUUCUCUUGAUCUUUGAACCAAACAUCUUACUUCAUCUGAUAGUUUUUUUAUUUUGGGUCUGAUCAAAAGUUUAUCAUUUGUUCACUACAAAGUGAGUUUCUCUCUUUUCUUAUAAGAAUUGAAUCCAUAGAUUUUAGAUCUGUGAAAUUUGAGAAGAAGAGUAUCUACCAUUGAUGUCUAACUUGCAAAAAGCUGUAAGCCAAGUAAACCAUGAAUUUGUUUUCGACCCAGAAUAGUCGCUGUGACUCAGUCGCCGAAAUCCCGACAGAAACAGUCUCAAACUUCUCCUGUGUUAGAUCUCUCUCUCAAUCUCAGACAAACCAAGAUUGCUUAUGUUUUAGAUCUCUCUCCAUCUCUGGUUUAGAUACAAAACUGUUCUGAAAAUAAUGGGAAAAGAUAUGAAGGCGAAGACGACGCGUUAAGAUUUUGUUUGUGAGGUUGUUUUUGUUAAUUAUAUAUAUCUAUCCAAAUCUCACCCCAAAAGCUCAGAAUUUUUUCUUCACAUUCUGCACUAAUGUUUCUAUUAAAUUCUUGUUAAAUCAUGUUGCCAUACAAAAUUCUAUAAUAGUGAAUAACACUUGAAUUUGAUAGAACUUAAAAAUUAACAUCUUCAAUAACACAUGAAUUUAAAAGAAUUUACAAAAUCUCUAAUUAAAUAACACUAGAAUUCAACUUUCUAUUAAAUUCUCUCACAUUCCUUAGAUCAAUACCCCCCCUAAGACUAAACACUCAUAAUUAAUAAUCAUACAAAAUCAUUAGUCGAACAAAUAAAAAUAUCACAUCCUCCUCUCGAAUAAUAACGAGACGAGAUCACGUGGAUCUACAGAUAAAGCGAGUACACACCACGCGCCAAUACCGAGAUUGAGAUUUCAAAAUUCGACGAACCAAUUUGCCUCUCUUCACAUGCGAUGCUUCUUCUCUCUUAAGUAUCCACCGUCACCACUCUCUCUUUCUCUUUAGAUUCUCUCUCUACAGAGAAUUCGAUUUUUUUUUUCUAAUCUGAGAAAAAAUGGCGAACGGAGCUAAUAGAGUGGAUCUAGACGGAAAACCGAUAAAACCGAUCACAAUAUGCAUGAUCGGAGCCGGAGGUUUCAUCGGUUCACAUCUCUGUGAAAAACUGAUGACGGAGACGCCUCACAAGGUGCUUGCGCUUGAUGUUUACAACGAUAAGAUCAAACACUUGCUUGAGCCAGAUACCGUUGAAUGGAGUGGUCGGAUCCAGUUUCAUCGUAUCAAUAUUAAGCAUGAUUCGAGGCUUGAAGGUCUUAUUAAGAUGGCAGAUCUGGUAAAAUGCUUCUUCUAUCGAUUUCGCUUCUUUAUCUCUUGUUCUUCGUUGUUUAUGGUUAAGAAAUUAGCAAUGAUAGUGUGAUUGUGAUGAUUGUAGUCUCAGAUCUGAUGAUUCUUUAUCGGAAUUCAGAUAUUUUGCAUUUUGAUUAUCUGCUUAAUUUCGCGAUGUGUUGAGAUCGGGAAUGUUGUGAUGUGAUUCUGAUCUUUGUUUUUUGGAGUUUGCAGACUAUAAAUCUUGCUGCGAUCUGUACUCCAGCUGAUUACAAUACACGUCCUCUUGAUACAAUCUACAGCAAUUUCAUUGAUGCGCUUCCAGUUGUAUGUGUUUUCUUCUUACUUCGUCCAUUGUUUUGUGCUUCGUUAUCAGUUGAAAUUGAUUGGUUUAAUGUGUUGGUUUUGUUAGGUUAAAUACUGUUCUGAGAACAACAAGCGUCUCAUUCACUUUUCUACCUGUGAAGUGUAUGGAAAAACCAUUGGUAGCUUUCUUCCUAAGGAUCAUCCUCUGCGUGAGGUAAUGCCUAUUUGUACCUUUCGCUUUCAACAUGUUGUUGUCUUUCUAUCAAUCAAAUCAAUGAAUGUACUGAGGAACAUGUUGAAGCUGACAUUUUCUUUCGUUUUCCUAGCUACAUUAUGAAUUAUUCAUUGGAUCUAGUAAAACUCAUUUGUUUAAUUCACUUAAGACUUUAGACAGAUUGGAAUAGUUAAUAUUUUCCGUUUUAAGAAUGUGUGGGAUCUUAAGCAUGUAGAAAACAUGGUUUCUUGAACUUCAAUUGCCUAAGGUUGGCUUGAUUGUUUACUAAUGUUGUUUGUUGUGCCUUUCUACAGGAUCCUGCUUUCUAUGUUCUUAAAGAAGAUAUUUCUCCUUGCAUAUUUGGUUCAAUUGAGAAGCAGAGGUGGUCAUAUGCGUGUGCAAAGCAACUGAUUGAGAGACUUGUUUACGGUAAGCAUUUCUGUUUAAGAUGAUGUGUGGUAAGAACCAAAAGGUUUACACUUUGACUUCAUUUGUUUCUUGUGACAGCUGAGGGUGCUGAGAAUGGACUUGAGUUCACCAUUGUAAGACCUUUUAACUGGAUUGGACCUAGGAUGGAUUUCAUCCCCGGCAUUGAUGGUCCUAGCGAAGGUGUCCCACGUGUCCUUGCCUGUUUUAGUAAUGUAAGUGUUCAAAUCAAAGUAUAUAACCCAAUGUUAUCCUGUGUAUAUGCAAGUUUUGAGUUAAUGCAUCUCUAUCUAUCUUUCAGAAUCUUCUACGUCGUGAGCCUCUCAAGCUUGUGGAUGGUGGAGAAUCACAGAGAACUUUCAUCUACAUCAAGGAUGCUAUCGAAGCUGUCCUUUUGAUGAUUGUACGUUCUAUUGCUUAUAUCAUUCUUUGUGGUUUUCGUUUACAAACUGUUUAACUCCAAAGAAGUUCCAACUAAAAACCUGCACUGAUAUAUUGUGUUUGUGGUUCAGGAAAACCCAGAGAGGGCAAAUGGCCAUAUCUUCAAUGUGGGCAAUCCGAACAAUGAAGUUACAGUACGACAGCUAGCGGAAAUGAUGACUGAGGUGAGGAAGAUUGGUUUCAAAACAACCAAAAGAGUUGGAGUUUUCUUUCUUUCUGUGGUUCUGAAAUAUCGAAAUGAAUCAUGUUUCAGGUUUACGCAAAAGUGAGUGGAGAAGGAGCCAUUGAGAGCCCGACGGUUGAUGUUAGCUCCAAAGAGUUUUACGGGGAAGGUUAUGAUGACAGUGACAAGAGAAUCCCAGACAUGACCAUCAUUAACCGCCAGCUCGGUAAUUUCCAUAUUUAACAUGGUGAUGAUAAUGCUUUAAAAUAAAAAUCAAUGGCUAUUCUGAUAGAGUUUGGACAUUGGAAAUAGGAUGGAACCCGAAAACAUCGUUGUGGGACUUGCUCGAGUCGACCUUAACCUAUCAGCACAAGACAUACGCUGAAGCUGUGAAGAAAGCAACAUCCAAACCAGUGGCUUCCUAAACUCUCCAAGACCCAAGUUACCAACAAGACUCGUUAAACACGCAUCAUUUUGGCAUUUUACUCUAUUCGAUUCUAUUUUUUUUUCAUCACAAGAGAAAACCUUUUUAAAAAGAAAACAGUAUAAUCACGGUGGUUCGUAUCAAGUAUAUCUUCUAUAUUUUCGUUACUAGUUUUCUCUUUUUGGUUGGUUUGUUGGCCAUGUAUGUCGCAGCUGUUUGAAAGCAAAAGGUUAAUAGUUUGUAGCCAAUGAUACAGACAGUAAUGUUUGCGUUUAUUAUAUGUUCAAAAUGCUCCGUUUACGUGUUUACGAGUUCAAAUAUUUUUUUGUCUAUCAAGUACAGAAUGUGUUUCUUCCCCUGUUCUAAAAAUCUCCGCUUAUUCCGAUUAGUCUCCGUUUAAUCGCUAGGUCCACCCUCUCCGCUUCGAGUAAUGACUAAUCUCUUAAAAAAAUUCAGUCAUGCGAUUAUUAUCCGUUUUAUCGGAUUAAUUUCCGCCUAAUCCGAUUAAUUUCCGCAUAUUCUUAUAUAUUCCUAUUAUUUUUUUAUUGCAAAUAUAAAACAACAUUUUUUUUUGUUAUUCAAUCAUUGGAAUUGGAAGUUUGUGAUAUUUUACAAUAAUUUAUGUUCAAAUUUUAAUAAAAAUCAUAAUUUUUAAUAAAAAUUCAUAAAAAUUUGCUUUAAAAUAUAUUUUUAUGUGUUUACUGCAAUUUUGAAAACAAUAUUAGAUUAAUAUAUCUUUAAAAAUUAAAAUAACCUUAAAACUAGUCCCCUAUUAAUUCCCGAUUUUAAUCCGAUUUUUUGAUUAAUCGCUAGGCCCAUAUCGAACGUCCGACUAACGCCUAGCGAUUUUUCAAACAAGGUUUCCCCAGUAAAAAUAAAUAAGUAGAUGUUGACUGGUUAUAUAAGUUAAUAAUAAAUAAAGUAACAGGUAGCGUCUGUAGUCCAACGGUUAGGAUAAUUGCCUUCCAAGCAAUAGACCCGGGUUCGACUCCCGGCAGACGCAUUUCAAUUUUGGAGAUUUUGAAUGUUUAAUUUCAUUCGUUUUGCCACACAUUUCUGCCUACUUUUUCUUCGUUCCUUUUUUUAAACAUCUUUUUAAUCUUUACUUUACAAACGAAUGUUGUUGUUAUUAUUGUUUACAAUAGGGAGUAAAAAAGAAAGGACAUUGACUAAUUGAACUACUUCCGUUUUUAACUCUUUUAUUACAUAUACGGAUAUACUCUACUUUAGUAUUGCGAUCAAGAUUAGAUUAGAACUUGUCGACAUCAGCAAUCAUCACUGAAAAAUUUAUGGACUUGAAAAGCAAAAAUGAUUUUGAAAUUCGAAUAACACAAAUCAUAUUUCAUUUAGGGGGUGUUAUUCAAUGGUGGAGUUAAAAUCAAUUCUUUAAGGUUUAGAUUUGUUUUCUGAUAUUGGUUUUAAGAAUCUGUUUGUGUGGAUUUCAAAAUCUCUGCAAUAUAUCUUGGAUUUUGAUUCUAAUAAUUUACUCAUGAAACUCCAAAGAGGUUUCAUUUGAAAUGACUUAAUAUACAAACAUUUUACAAAUUUUUAGUUUUGAAUAACACUGAAUUUUACAAACCUUAAAGAAUUGACUUUAACUCCACCAUUGAAUAACACCAAACUUUUAAAAUCUAAUGAAGUAUAAUAUCUAAUAACACCAGAUUUAAACGUUAGAUUUAUAAUCAUUAGUUAAAUAACACUGGAUUAGUGUUGGAUUUCAAUUCUAUUAAAAUCCAUCAUUGAAUAACACCACCUUAAAGUUUUAAACCAUUAAAACUCCAAAACGACAGAAUAAUCCCAAAAUUUUCAACCCCAAAAACCUCAUAAGUCACUCAAACAUUCACCAAUAGGGUAAAGUAAACUAUCCAAAAUUUUGAAUAAUAAAAACAAGUACAAAUUUCUAUGGAAAAAUGUGAUUUGGUGUGUGCAUAUAUCCUCUACUUUUUGCAGGAAGAACCACAAGGGAAUGGACAUCUCUUUUUCCCUCCUACACCAAAAUGGUUUUAAACCAAAUCAAUAAUCCAAAUCAUACUCAAAGUUAUAUCUUUAUAUAUCUGAACUUUUAGUUUUAGUUACCUGAUGACUUGUUCUUGUCUCCACCUUUAGGUAUCCCAUGUAUACCAUUUGACAUCUUCUUGCUCGGAGGAACCUGUGCUUCAGCCUCUACGUCUUCUUCAUCCGAAGACUCAUCAUCCUCGUCCAAACCCAUCUAACCAAACAUACAGAAAAAAAACAAUCAAGAUUAGCUUUUUAUACUGAUUCAUUGCUUAUCAGUAACUCCUUCAAGUAAAAUCUACCUCAUCUGAGUCGUCGGAUGACCCAUCUUCUUCAGGAUUCAUCUCAUUAUUCAUCUCAUUUUGAGGCAAAGCAUCUUUUCAACAAUAUCAAAGUUAGGAUUCAUAAUAAACUUUAAUUACCACAAAGCAAUAGCUUAGUAAAGUAAACAUACCAAUUUGUUGUUCCAUAAAUUCCUCUAACUCAGAAUCUACAAAAACCAAAAGCAAAAGAUUAGCUUCAAGCUUCAUAAUAGAUUAAAUCAAAUUAUUGACUAAGAAUUAUAUAUAACUCACCGGAAUCAAUCUCCUCAUCCGUGAGCAACAGCAAAAAAACAGAGCAAAACAAAAUCAAGGAUAAACAAACAAAGCUUGAAAUUGCAAGUGACCAUGAAUUGAACUAAAAAAAAGGCAAUGAAACAAAGGAUAUUGUUCGUCCAUAGGGGUCCUGUAGCCAAUAAGAUAGACACUUGUUUUAGAGUUGUGAGAAAUCUCAAACUCAUGCCCUAAGAAGAUAUCAAGAGAAACUUGAGGAAACUUCUGCGAGAGGUUUCCAAUGAUAAACCCACUCUUAUCAUCACCAAUCUUCACAUAAACGGGAACAUUCUCAUCUUCUUUAACCUUGUCAACCUCACCAAGAGUAACCUAAGAGAUGUUACAACAAGUAACAGAAUCAAUACCAAUCAUGUUUACACAAAGAGAGAAACUUGCAGGAAUUACAAAACUGAUACAGACCUGAUUGGCAUGGACCAUGUAUCCAUCUUUUGAAAUCAUCUUAAAAGGCUUCUCUGGCUUAAUCUCAAUACCUAAAAUUGAACAUUAUUCAUCACACAUUGGGUACAAAUGCAAACAAAAUCUCAAAAAGACAGAUGCUUUGAAAACAUAAACUCACAAAGAUAGAUGCUUUGAAACAAAAUCUCACAAAGAUAGAUGCUUUGAACAUAAACUCACAAAAAAGAUGCUUUGAAACAUAAACUCACAAAGAUAGAUGCUUUGAAACCUAAACUCACAAAGAUUGAUCUUUUGAAACCUAAACUCCAAGAAUACUAAUACUAGCAAACAAUUAUACAGUUUUCGAAUGCAAGACAAUGCUUAUUGACUAAUAGAGAGAAUUCAACACAGAUUUUUGAACACAACACAAGACAGAGGUAUUCAAUAGAACUUAAUAAAGGUAUAAUUUUUAGAGAGACAUACCCCAAAACUCCAUAGCUAGUGAAAGAGGAAGAUGUGGAGGUGUGUGUGUGUGUGUGUGGCUGCUUUGAGAAGAAGAAUUUAGGGUUUUAGAGUUUGUAGGAAACAAACAAAAAAACUAUGGAGCGGCUUAUUUAUAAGGAUGCUCUUUAAAAUUCCUUUUCGCAGGUAGGGGUUUUUUUUUUUUUUUUUUUCACUAAAGAUUAUGUAUAUUAAAGAUCAACAGAAUACACAGCCCACAGGCCCAGUACAUCACAUCUUGUAAAAGGAAGGAUAAUCUCUAAUACAAUACACGUUCUUAAAACAACGACACGUGGAAUCAACGUGUUGCAAGAGAAAUGAUGAAACAUUCCUUCAUCCUUUGCCGACAAAAGCUCCGAUCCGGUGAACGCAAUCGACGCCGGUAUAACAGCGAACAUCGAUUUUAGUUGUUAUUCACCAGAGACUGCUAAGACAGGGAGAGAGGAUACAAAAACAGAGACUUCAACCCCAUCCGUAUGCCAAAUCAUCAAACAAGAAAUCCGGCGAAUAUCGGGUAAAAAGGAUAGAAAAUCUGAUUGAUCCUCAAAAUUUGAUCAUCGAAGCACCAAUUACAUGUAGAACGGCUACAGGCAAUCCAAAUAUGCUGGAAACAAAACUUCCUUUCAUUACUUUGGCGAUCCUGCAAAUCGAGUUUUCUAGAGAUACAAGCCGGCGAGAAUAAUCUUAAGUGACUAACACCUAAAACUAGUCACCAACUGAAAUCCAUAGAAUUAUUGACAGAUAAACGAAAGAGAAACUAAAAACAAUCGGUAUACAAACCGAUCAACGGCUAAAGAAAUAUAAAAGCCGGCCAAAACCGCUAGUAGAAGCCAGAUUUGCCGGACGAAAGCCAGCCAUCUUGGCUAACAGAGCCAUAAGAUGCCGGACGAAAGCCCGAAUCACUCGGGACGGCUGUUCACCGGAAAAAUCCCGCCGGUAGGGUUUUACGACAGUUUUGGAAAACAAUUUUUUUUAUUAUUCUUUUCGGUAUGCUAUGUUAAUGGGCCUUAAUUUUUAGUGGGCCUAUUUUUGAUCGGCCUUAUUAGAUAUCUUGUAAAGCCAUGUCGUAUGAGUUGCCUGCAAAUGAUGAUUUGCUCAUAUUGGAUGUGCGUAAGUUAAACUUAAUGCUACCCAAAUUGCUUUGGCACAAAGGUUUUUUUUUUUUUUUUUUUUUUUUUUUCAUGUAUUAAAUUUAAAAAACUAGUGAUCAAAAUUUUUGCUAGAUGCUAAUCGGACCACUAAAAAAAAUCUAGUGCCUAGCCAAUUAAUCAGGGGAUUUGUUUUUUUUUUUUUGAGUUUUUUAAUAGUAUUUUAUUUAAGAAAUAAAACUAUGUAUAUGAUUCUGAAGGCUGAACACUGCUUUUGAUAUAAACUAGGUGUUAGUCCACGCGACGCGUGGAUUAUUCUAUAAUGGCUUCUAUUAUAUUUCUAAAAAAUAAUAAAAAAAUAACAUUUUUUUUCAACUAACAUAGUAAAAAAAAAUUAUUUUUUUUCUAGAAAAUUAAAUCUCAAAAUUUCCUAUAUGGCAACGAUGUGGAAGUUAAAUGGUCAAAUAAAAACAAAGUGAAACCUUGCAUUUUUGUCAAAUUUAUUUAGUAUGGUUAUUUAUCAUACCAAAUUUAAAAUAAAAUGAAAAAUCUAUAGAACAAACUUAGAAAAAUAAAACAAACAAAAGUAUUACAAAAUUUAUAGGAUAUAUUAAUAUAAAAAUAUAUACAUUUUUCCUAAUUUAGUGAACACCUAUGUUGAUCAUAUUUAAUUUAAUUAACACCCAUGAGGCUAUAUAUAUAUUUAUAAAUUUAAUAAACAAUAAUAAGAAAUUUUUUAUUAAAAUUUAACUGAAAAUAUUUCAUCUGGAAAGACAAGUAAAUUACGAUGUUAACCUAUUAUUAUCAUACCUAUCAUCAUAUUUCACCAUUUUCCGAGAUUAUCCGAACACUUGCCUCAAGUUAGCCACCAUUUGAACUUUAUAAACCUUGUGCUCUACAUCUGUUUGUGAAGUUCUGAUUCCAUGAACCUCCAUAACCGUUCCUCUUCCUUUCAAAACUUUGUUUUCCUAUCAUACAUAUCCUCAUUUCUUUCUCAUGGAUCCUUGCUUGCUUUUAUAAUUGACUUUAUUUUCCAUCACUCAUUUCUUCAUAUACAUUUAAUGGCUUAAAAUGCAUUUGAUUCUUUCACAUCCUCCUCAGUAGUUUUUAGUUCUACCAUAUUGUGAAGAAUAUGGUUUGGAGAAGAUGCAAAAAAUUCAUCAAUUACAUUUAGGACAAAGCAAAAACCAAAGAAGAUCUUAAAGGAAAAAAAAAACAAAAAACAAAAGAAGAUAUACAUAACCAAGACUUAACUAACAAUAGGAAAUUAAACAAUAUAAAAUAUUUCUCAAAAACUAAAAGGCUGAACUCUAGAGCUAAUAUGAGUCCAAAACUAAAGUGCACAUCUAAAUAUAUAUACAAGUGAUAUUUCCAUGUUAGUAUUACGUUAGACUGAUAUUACUUUUUUUUUUAGAGUUUUUAGUUGACCGUUAGAAAAAUGAGAAUUCAAUGCCUAAGCUAAUGAUAAUGUGCAUUUAUUCAUGAAUUCGAAAAUUAUGAUAAUGUGAAUUCAAUCUCGUUUUAUAUUGUAUUUUAGAGUCAUUUAAUAAUAUUGUCUUAUAUUUACCAUUCAAUUUAUGAAUUGUAGUCAAUAUAUAUAAUCAAAUAUUUAAUGUAUUUUAGUGGGAGAAUGAAGUUUUUGUAACUAUUGGGUAAGAGUUACACUUGGAUUAAAUAUGGAGUUAUAAUGUGCAAUGAAGUUUUUUUAUAAUUUACAUUUGGAUUAAAUGUGGAGUUUAACCAUGGCUUUGAAUAUGAGUUAAUUAGAAUUUAGAAAUAAAUAUUAUAAUUUUGUUUUGUUUUGCUUAUGCGUGGCUUGUUGCAUAUUUUCAUUCAUUAACAUGUAAAAUUAUUAUGCAUAUAUUAACAUUUUUAGAUAUGGUGGAGGAAAAUAAGAAAACUAAAAAUGUUUAUUUAUACAAUGAUGAAUGAUGGAAGUUACAUUUACAAAAUAAAUGCAUUUAAAGAGUUAUAAAGUUUGUAAAAUUAGUAGGAAAACUAUUCAAAUUAUAAUUAUGGUCAAUGCGAUGAAAAAAAAAAACAUUAUGGUCAAUGUGAGUUUAAUCACAUAGUAAAUGUAUUUUAGUAGUGUUGGGUGAUGUCUUAUAUUUAUUUAGUAUGAGUUAUUAAUAUUGGUUUUAUAUAAGCCAAUGCUGAGGAAUAGUUUUUACAUAGGUAAUAAUAUGGGGUUGGGUACGAAUAUUUUGUGUCAAAUUAUAUAAUGAUCUACUGGAUAAAAACUAAAUGUAAUGGUGAGUAUAUUAAAAAUAUUACAAAAAUAUAUUUGAGAUAAGAAAAAAGUAAGUUAAGAAAUAAAGAAAUUAAAACAUACAAAAAUUGAAUAAAAAUAAAUAUAAUAAAAAAUAUUUUAUAUAAUUGUCUAUUGGAAUAACAAACUAAACAAAAUGAUGGUGAGUAAUUAAAAAAAUAUUACAAAACAAUUAUUGAGAUAAAAACAAAACAAUACAAAAAUUGAAUAAAAUAAAUAUAAUAAUAAUAUUUUAUAUAAUUGUCUAUUAGAUUAACAAACUAAACAUAAUGGUGAUGAGUAUAUUAAAAAUAUUUGAAAACAAUUAUUGAGAUAAAAAAAAGUAGGUACAAUUUCUUUGAUAAAUGUAUUACAAUAAUUAUUUCAGUUUAAAGAUACAUGAAUAUGUAAAAAAAUAACUAAAUGUCUAACGUAGAUAUUGGAGAUGAAUUUUUUCAACUUGAUCUCCUUGUUGUGCUAUUGAUUGAAUUGCUCUUUUUGAAUUUCCAUCGAUAAAUAUGAAUUUUUUGUUAUAACCAUCAAAAAAUUUAUUUACAUAAUAAUUUUGAAUUAAAGAAUAUUCUAGUAACACAUUAUAAUUAAAAUAAAAUUGGAAAAAUGUAAUAUACAUACCAUAUCUAGACAUAAAAUUUAGAAGCAAACUCUUAUAAUGAUGUCUCAAUUGAUUUUUCGACCAAUGCAACAACAUAAGAUUGAAAAAAAGAAAGUAGAGUAAUACUUAUGAUUUGAGAUAUGGUAGAUGAGGAUGAGAAAGUGAUUACUUAUAGGAUGAGAUGAUGGAAGUUACAUUUAGAAAAUAAUUAAAUUAGGGGGUUACAAUUAAAAUUAAUAGUGUUGUUGAAUGACAUUGAGUGGAGACAAAUAUUUAAUACAUAAUUUAUAUAAUUUCAGUUAUAAUUAUAAUUUCAGUUACAAUUUAGUACUUAAAAGUAGAUUAAUAUGUAUGAUUAAAUAUGUUAUAUUUAUACUUUGAUUGGAUAUAAAUAUUAUUAAUUUUAAUUUUAGUUUUUAAAAUAAUUGCCAAGUGGACCAAUCAUGGAAGAGUGAAACACUACUUUUAUAUGUAUGAUUAAUUAGAAACUAAUUAAAGAGAGAAAUAGAGAGAAAAUGUUGAUUAAACAAAUAAGAGAAGAAGAGCAACACGGUAUCAAAUUGGGAAAAAUGUCGUUUUAUCUCCCAACUUUUAAAAAGUGGCCAAUCAAUACGUCAACUUCAUAUGUGGCCAUUUAAAACAUGAAAUAAACGUUGACUAACGUUUGAGACAUGAAAAUUCGUUGACCAGGCCAAAAUAGACAUGCCGUUAUCAGUCGUUAACGGAACCUCUAACGCCCGUUAUCACCCGUAACGACUCUGUUAAUCAACUUUCAAAUUGUGGCCAUUUUAAACAUCAACUUCAUAUGUGGCCAUUCAAAACAUGAACUAAUCGUUGACUAACAUUUGAAACAUUAGAAUUCGUUCACCAGACCAAAAUAGACAUGUCGUCAUCAUUCGUUAACAGAACCUAUAACAUCCGUUAUCACCCGUUAACGACUCUGUUAGUAUGUCCAAAGAGAUUUUUCCCAAAUGAAAACACCAAAUCCCCAAAUCUAUUUCUACAACAGCUCAAAGAAGAUGAAUAGUCCUAUUAUCUCUAUCUCCAUUUCUGAAAAGCUAUAUUUAGUCUAGGCCUGGGCAUAAUACCCGAAUCCGAAGAACAGAACCGAACCCGACCCGAAAAAUCCGACCCGAACCCGAACCCAAAGUUUUAAAAUACCCGAACGGAUUCUAAACUUCACAACCCGAAAACCCAAACCCGACCCGAACUCGAACCCGAACAAAUACCCGAAUAUACCCAAAAUAUAAGUACAUAGUUAUAAUAUAUUAGUAAUAGUUAUACUGGUAAUAACCUAAGUGCCAAAAUUAUUCGGAUGUUAAGAUAUUUUCGGGUGUUUUAGCUAAUUUGGGUUAGAUUCGGGUUAAAAUACUUGGGUUUUAUAGAUUUUUUGAGUAUUUUUCAAUACUUUGCAUAGAAUCGGAUACAAAAUUUCUAAUAUUUGGAUACUUUGGGUAAACCCGAAUCUGAACCCGAAAUACCCGAUCCAAACCUGACCCGAACCCGAAGUUUUAAAAUACCCGAACGGGUUUUAGUUUUCUAAACCCGAAAAACCCAAACCCAAAAAACCCGACCCGAACCCGACCCGAAUAUCCGAACGCCCAUGCCUAAUUUAGUCCUAUGAUGGGUCUACAAGUUUGCUUCCAUGAUUCCUUUUUAGAUUUAAAACAAAUAUAUAAACGAUGUUUGCUUCCAAUUACUGGCUCUACGAUUGUCUCUAUAUCAAACCAUGUCCUUGGAUUAUGUUUUAAACAAAAAAUUUGUCCUGAUUUUCUCUCGAUUAUUUUCAAAACGACGUCGUUUUGGACAUACUAACAGAGUCGUUAGCGGGUGAUAACGGAUGUUAUAGGUUCUGUUAACGAAUGAUGACGACAUGUCUAUUUUGGCCUGGUCAACGAAUUCUAAUGUUUCAAAUGUUAGUCAACGAUUAGUUCAUGUUUUGAAUGGCCACAUAUGAAGUUGAUGUUUAAAUUGGCCACAAUUUGAAAGUUGAUUAACAGAGUCGUUACGGGUGAUAACGGGCGUUAGAGGUUUCGUUAACGACUGAUAACGGCAUGUCUAUUUUGGCCUGGUCAACGAAUUUUCAUGUUCCAAACCGUUAGUCAACGUUUAUUUCAUGUUUUAAAUGGCCACAUAUAAAGUUGACGUAUUGAUUGGCCACUUUUUGACAGUUGGGAGAUAAAACGACAUUUUUCCCGUAUCAAAUUGGUUUCUUAGAAGUGUCUGACUUUAGGGAUAAGGUUGGCCAAUGUCGUUAUUUACAUAAAACGAAAGCAAAGUUCUAUUAUUAGAGGUCCAAAAACCAAAUAUAUCUUACAACCAAAAAAGAUAAUAUAAAAUAUGCAAUCUUCUAUUAUAUUCAGUUUGUAAUUAUUACCCAUUUUCGUGGCAAUAUUCAUCCUCUUAACUUUAUAAAUUCUCAAUUACAACAAAAGUAAUUUUGUCCAUAACACCAACAAUAAAUAAAUCCUAUCAUAAUGGAUUCAUAUUGGUAAAAUUUAGAACUUUCUAUAAUCAUCUUGGUAGAAUAUAAUUUGAUUAAAAUACAUUAUACACCACAAAUUAAUGAUUUUCAUUUUUUUUUUUUGGUGAAUCACCGGGAGUUAAACUCCCGGAUAUUAUUAUUAAAAAAUAGAAAAAAAUUACAAAAUAACUUGUCUCGGCCUCGGUGGCCCAAAAACAUCAUCCCGUGUAAGCUCAUCCAAACACGGGGGUACAGAAGAAAACGAAUGAAAACCUAAGGGCAACGAAAAUGCAUAGUUUGCUAACCCAUCCGCGAGACGGUUAGCUUCUCUAUACACAUGUGAAAUUCGGACUAGCCAGUCCUUCGAUAAAAAGCCAUAGCACAGACGUACUAGGAAGGACAAGGGAUGAGAAUCCCCAAUCCCUGUCGUAAGAAACUCCACCACCAUCUCAGAAUCCACCUCCAAUUCCAGUCUUGUAAUGCGCUGCUCCCAAGCUAUGUAGAGUCCAUAGUAUACUCCCCAUAACUCCGCCAAAGGCGCCGAACACCUGCCAAUAUUCAGCGCGAAGCCUCCGCACCACUCUCCCGCUUCAUUCCGUAAUACUCCCCCAGCUGUAGCUAGUCCCGGAUUGCCAUGUGACGCGCCAUCAGUGUUUAAUUUGAACCAGCCCGUUGGCGGAGUCACCCAUUUGAUCAUCUUCUCAACCCGAACAGCCUUGGUUACACCGUUACCAUUCAAGACUUUGGCCGCCAUUACCUCUUUCGCCAAUUCCUUGAUGAACCGUACCCUGUCCUUCCAAACCCGAUGUCACCGAAAAUGUUCCCACAUCUCCAUUUUNNNNNNNNNNNNNNNNNNNNNNNNNNNNNNNNNNNNNNNNNNNNNNNNNNNNNNNNNNNNNNNNNNNNNNNNNNNNNNNNNNNNNNNNNNNNNNNNNNNNAUGGGACGAUGCGUAUCCAAAUUCCUGCCAUCGCUGGACAAUCACGGAGCACAUGAAUAAUGGACUCCACACCAUUCUUGCAAAUCUGACAAAUCUCGGUGUCACACAAAUGUCUCCUGAAUCUCUCCACAUUAGUCAUAACCACUUGCUUCCCAACCAGCCAUAAGAACACACGUACUCUUUCUGGUGCAAUUACCUUCCACAACCGCUCGUAAAACUUAUCCAUAUGCUGUCUUGGAUAUUCAUCUCUUGUUAUCAGCUCAUAAGCUGAUUUAACAGUAAAUUUCCCAUUAGUCGUCGCUGCCCAUGAGAAUCUAUCUUUAGCUCCUGUUACCGUAUCCAAAACAACUGCAGCAAGCUCCAAACGCCUAUUCUCGGAUAUAUAAGGCGUUUCUACAUAGAAAAUAUAUACAGAUUACCAAAUUUAUAUAUAUUUUUUUUUUGUUAAAGCCCAAAUUUAUAUAUCCUUUUCCUAAAAAUGGAACUAAUUCGAAAAAAGCAAUAAUCCAAAAUGAUUAAAAACUUCUAGAAUCCCAUAAAUUUGAGCCAAUGAAAACCAGUUUUAGCCACUUUCUCAGCUUCCUUUGAACAAGAUUCCGAUGAUGAACCACCGCCGAUAAAGCCUCCGGUCUCUUUCCGGCCACAUAAGAAAAAGUUCCUCGACCCAAGCGAUAUCAGCUUCUCCUCUCUUCCAAUACUUUCAAGACUAAACUGAGAAUAAUGAAGAUCAAAUCUUGACGGUUCAGAUUCCGGUAAAAAUGGCCGGCGAGCUUCUUUAACAUACUGACGAAUCGCGGCGUCGAUUAGAUCACUCACGGUGGAUUCCGGCGAGAUUAUAAUUUGUACAGCUCCUAAACUUCCUUGCACCGUUACGUUGAGUAAAAGUUUCGUUAGACGCGGCGGGAACGAUUCCGUCACCGGUCCGGUGAUGCUUUGACCGGUGGAGAAUAACUCCGGUAAUGUUUUCGGUCUUCGAAGCUCUCCUGGAUUCGAUACCGGCGUUGUUCCUCUGCCGUGAAACGACAUCGCUUUCUCUGAUAACUUUCUCCGGUGAGACUUCUCUGUUUCCGGCGUUGUUUUCCGGUUACCGUUCUUCAUGUUUUAUAGAUUUUUUAUCGUAUGAAGCUUGGAGAUACGGUGGCGCUCUCGUGUUGUCGCCGGUCACCGGAAGAAGCUAAUAACAUAAAGUCAGAGUGGCAAAACUGUAAAUAGUGGAGGAUGGUGAGGGUAUAAAGAUAAAGAGUAAUGGAAUGUGAGAGAAUAUAUGGAGUUGAAAGAGUGAAGUAUAUAUAGUGGAUUUGUAGAUAAUGAAACGGUGAAUAACUCCAGUUUUACCCGGUUUAACUUUGGUAGGGCUUACAUAAGUCUUGGUAGGGCUUAUAAUUUGUAAACUAACAAAACGAGAUAUAUAUAUAUUUUUUUUUUUGACAUCUUUGGAUCGACAAGGCCCGAUCCAUAGCCAAUUCCUACUACGCGGGGUAACGCGUACUUAGUGGAGUCGAACUCCGGUGGGGAAGGCGGAGUUAAGUGGACUUAACCACUUGACUAAAUGCACAUUCCCCAAAACGAGAUAUAUUUAUAUCGUCUAUUUUAUGAAAAAACAUAAAUGAGGAAAGCAAUGUAAAUACAUACUACAUAAUUAAAAUAUUUAAGUUUUCUAACAUGCUUUUAUUUCACAAAACAUAGAGAAAAGUUGUUUGUAGCAUGCUUUAAUUUCAUAAAAGAUAAAUAAAUAAUGGAUUCACUCAAUGCUUUCAAUUCAUUUAAAAAUAUACUAGUUCUGUUCCUAAAAGAAAAACCAACAUUAGUUUUUUUCUUGUUUCAUGAAAAUUGAUUUUUAAUUUAUGUAAUUUUUAUUAAUUAAUGUUAACAAGUUGUAAACUUCAAGAUAUAUAAUAGAUGGGAAUAUUUGAAUAUAGGAGUUAUUCUUGGUUCAUAAUAGCAUAAAUAUUUGUUUUGACGUGAAAAAUGACGCAUUAAAUAUUACUAUUUUUUUUAAUAUAUGCAAAAACAAUUAAAAUUAAUCUUUUACUAAAAAUGGAAGUAUAUAAUUAAAAAUCAUAUGCAAUUUUCUGUUACUAAUGGUAACAAUGUGCAUGAAUAUAAUAAAAUUCCAACUGAAGGGAAUGAACUUAUUCUCAUAAUUACUUUGAUUUCACAAAAGAUUACAAUUUACAAACAAUAAAUUGUGUUGACCAAACUAAAAAAGAAUACUAAAAUCAAUUAGAAACAAUAACAAUCAUUGAGCAUUUCAAGAGGUGAACACUAUAUUACAAAGUAACCAAUGAAACUAACAAAGAGUCGAAUCCAACCAAAACCUAGUCCAAAUUGGUUUCUACGACCAGUGGAUAAUAAUAAUGGAAUUCAUAAAAAUUCAGAGCCACCGGUUAAACCUGGACCCAGUACCGUACUCACACACAUAAUUAAACCUCCGGUUCACCUCCUAUAGCCGGUUCCCUUCUCUCAUAAAUUUUCAAGCAAUUUCUGAGAGCAUGAUUAUUGGUAGUAUCUUAGAAAUAUCACUUAGCAAUAUUUAAGUAAUAUAUUUGUAAAAGUGAUUGUUAAGAGAUAGUAUUUUUGAGUUAAGAUUUUUGUGUGAUAAUGGUAGGCUCUUAACAUGUGGUUCUUAGAAAAAAAAAUAUUAAUAUAAAAAUAAAAUUUAUAAUUAUAGAAAAUUUAAUAAUUGUUGCAAAUUAAAAAAAUUAAAACAUACAUGAAAUACAAUUUAUAACAUAAAUAACAUAAAACACAAAUGUUUUAAACUUAAUUUCUGGAAUAUUUUGUCUAUAUAUACUCGAGUUUCGUUUUUUCUGGAAUAUUUUGUCCAUAAAGAAAAAAACACGGUUUCGUUUUUUUUUGUUUAUAUAUUUAAUGCAUCGAUCCCUGAAACGCUGACACAUGUCCACCUCUUAAGUGGGUUUUUGUUCCUUAGCUAAGAAACGUUUCUUAGCUAAGGAACGUUUUUUAGCUAAAGAAUUUUUCUUAAGGUUAAAACACAUUUUAGAUUAAAUUAUAUUGAAUUUAAUGUUAACAAAAGCCUAAGAUUUUUCUAUGAGUCUCCUUUUAAUCAUGCUUAAGACUCUUGCAAGGUUCAACGAACAAACUUAGGCCUAGCCGCCUAGGCCUACAAGGCCAAGUCUCUCUUAAUUACAGACAAAUUAAAUAAAUAAAAGACUGUGUAACAUACAAAAUACACAUGGCAGGAACAGAAAGUGAAGAUGGGACCAAACGGCCGACAAAACUGAAAGAUGCCGGAGACGUGACCAAUCUCAUCCUCUUCAACUUGCUUUGCGAUUAGUCCCCUCAAUAAUUGCAUAGUAUAUAGUGACAUCAUUUGGACAAUUAUGUUAUAUAAUAAUAUAACGAUUUAAAUUAAAGAAUCAAGAACAACAUUAACUAUUGGAACUAAACUUGACUUAUCAAGGCAUAACAUAAAAUAGAUACAAUUAUUUUUGUUGGGCAUAGCAUUACGUAAGUAAACCUCAUGGGCCAUGGCAACAGAUUAUGUGACCAACUUAUGUGAGGUUUAACGAAAUAUCUAAUUUUAAACUAAUCAAAAUAGGAGUGGACCUAAUAUUAGUGCUUUUCUGGUAUGUAUACGAGCUUCUUCACUUUGAUGCUUCACGUGGCCUAAUUUAAAAAGUGUUUUGUGUUUUUAAUCAUACAAAAUGCAAAGCCGGAACAGACCAUUGUUUUGUGUUUUUAAUUUCUAGUAAAAAAGUGUAUGAUUGAAAAUACAAUUUUAUUUAGAAAGAUUGAAUCUUACGGCGGCUAGUAUAUAAUAAGAAGGAUAUUUUGUUAUCACACAUAAUAGAAACGUGGCUACAAAUUUGAUAGAUAGGCUUCCACGAUUCUAACCCAAUUUGCAUUUGAAUUAUGAUGCUUUAUUUUAUUUUUUAGCAGAAAAAUGUUCUCUCUUUUAUUUUUGGCUCUUUGUUUGGGAUGUUGCCUCCCCCGGAUGAUAGCAACUCAAGCUUCAUUUCCAUUUUUUGUUCAUAUUUAUUAUCGAAGUUUACAUUAAUAUUUUUUUUUUAUAUUUUGUAUUUGCUAUAGUUUAAAAUCAAUAGAGAAAAUGUCGGUUCUUUCUCUUCUUUCUCUUGAAUUUUUUAGAGAGAGACCGACUAACUUGUUAUAGUCCGGAUAUUUUCUGGUUAUCAAUUUUCGUUUAAUGGGCUCUCUUCCAACACUCACCAAAUCUUUUGUGGUGUUUGGUUGGCUUGUAUCCGAUAUCGAUUUGACUUCCAUAGUUUCGAUGAUCGGUGUGGCCGUCGGCGAUUCUUGCCGCUUUGCUCUCGGUUGUUCAUGACCGAGUAAAGUUUAUGUUAUGGUGGUCAAUGAUGUGUCCAAGCCACAUACUCUUGAAAUCAAUUUUGAUCCCUAGCUUUCAUGCGUCUUCAAAUCCUUCAGAUUUAGCUUCUCUUCCCUAGACCUUCAACCGAUUGAUCCCAAUCUCUCAUCUCUUAGAUGGGUGAUGUUGCGGUUAGGCGGCUCCUUCAGCUUCCUCCAACAAGAAUUCACAAUCAGAUUUGGGUCAAGAUCUGAAAGGUCUACUUUUGCUUAUCGGUGUCAACAUGUUUUUGAUGGUUCCAAAGCUUCAUCAUCGAAGCCUCAUCAAAUUGGGUUUGCAAGUAGAUGUUUUAUUUUCUUACGUCGAUUUAAUAACAAGAGAGGACGAGUAGUUCAGAGUUUUCCGGCGGUUAUGGCGAUUUCCGUCAUCAAAACCAAAAUUCAGUUCUCGGAAAAGAAGUAAUUGUGUUUUCAGAUGCUUCUCAAAGGAAUUAUCUAGGGGUUAAUUAUUAGAUUUCGUUUGUUUGAUUGUGGUUUUGUGCGUGUAAUUGGCUUAUGUUAUUGUACUUUUGGUUUGUGUUUUACCUCCGGGGAAUUCUCGUUUCCGCCAGCUAAAUAUCCGGGGACUUACAUGUGUCCUCCGGCUUUGUAUCAUACGUAAGUUUCUCUUCCUUCAUUUGAAGGUUUGAAUAAAAGUUCGAUUGUGAAAAACAAAUAGUUUAAAAUCAAUAUAAAAUCCGACUCUUCUGUUCGAUCGACUCGUGCAAUCAAAACAAAGAUUUUGAUCCCAUUUUCUUCAAUCCA